GCGGUGUACGCUGGCCUCAAGUUCCGUGCACCGGUGGAGCCCUACUAGAUGGGAUCUGCACGAGUUUUUGUGAAAAUGGGUGUGUUUAACCUCCGGAAUGAACUCUGGUUGAAGCUCUUAGGAUUGAGCAAUAAUGAAUGCCGCGCAUGUUUUAUGUGAACGGAACGGAUAUGUACCCCCAAACUUGCUCCAAUUUUGGUCCUUGUGGAUAUGUACCUGAUUCGGCCCUGAACCUUUUGGAUGUGUAAUACUAGUUUUUGGCGCAUCAUCUUUGCCGUUAUUGUGUUAGUUUACUUGUUGCAGAAAGCAUGCUUCUGAGAAACUUGCUUUCAUCUUUGUUUGCUAUUCUCAAAACACUGGUUUUCCAUUGCCAUCUGUUUUUCUUUUAAAGAAACUUGCUUCUGUUGUCAUUGAUGGGGCGUCCUGGUUGAUUGGAGAUGAGUACUUGAAGCACGUCAUGAUUUCGGAGGUUUGCCUCUGACAGCAACGGAUUUCAACUAGAAAAACUGGGCGAAAAACAGAUUGAAAACCGGCUGAAAACCAUCAUAUCUGAACAAAUUACUCCAUAGGUGAUUGUCGAGAUAACCCACAUUGUAGCGGACGCGUGAAGGUGAAUGAAAAUCUGCACAAAAACUUAGCCACUUGCAACCACCUUCAAUCUUGCCACAAAAGCCUGGACACCACCACCGCUAACCAUCGGUCCUGCUUGUCGUGAGCUCCAAGAUGAAGCCCCUGAGAGGGAAAAUGACACACCCGAGUGCCACAAUCGUCCGAUCACAAGAUCAAGGGUUUCCCUUGAAGAGGGAGGCCAUGAUGGUCGGGUCCCUGCAGGAGGUGUGCGAUAGCAUAACACCGAUGCCUAAAGGAAGGUUAAGGACGACCACAACCGCAACCAUUGUUGGUCAUGGCACAAAGGUCGAGAUGGGGUCUUCACCCAAGCUCCCUUACCACCUCGGUCGCACAUCAUCCCGCACUGGCGCCGGCAAGACCGCCAACCACCGUCUCUCACAAACCAUCAUCCCACACUGGCGCCGGCAAUGUCUCUUCUCUCUACUCGAAUCAUUAUCACAUGGGCCGCUCGUAAAGAUGGAAGUUACUCUCUGGGCCAUUUGAUCGUCACGUUGAAAGGCCAUUCACGAAAGCAUCUUUCAAAGCCGGGCUGCAUUGCAUUCUUUUGUCACAAGAUUCAUUGAUGUCCAAAUUAUUCAUGAGAAGAAGCCGUUAGCUGCUGUGGUGGGCAUUGCUACUGCAAAUAUGGGUGCUCAUCGCCCCAAGGGGCCCCCUCCGUACUUUGCAAAAAUCCACCUUGACGCGACUAUUCAGCCAUGUAUGGGAGAAUCGGCGGUGGCUGUUUGCCGGGACAACAACGACAACUAUCUACGCAGCUCGGCACUAGUUAUUGGAGGUGUUCAUGGCCCAACGGCUGGCUUGCCGUGAAGCUCUAUCAUUAGCAAGAGACCUUCAUCUACACAAUUUUAUCAUAACAUCUGAUUCUAAACAAGUUGCGGGAGAUAUUAGGCAAGGUAGCUAGGGUAGAGUUAGUGCCAUCAUCAGUGAGAUCAAAGCAGAGCAGCUUCUUUUAAUUGUAAUUUUACUUUCGAAUGUCGUGUUAUUAAUUUCGACGCACAUAGUUUACUAGUGAGGUUCUCUUUCUUUACCUCGGCCCGAAUUGUAUCCCACUAAUUAUGGUCUUUGAUCCCCUAAAAAAAUGAUUUUUGAUUAAUAAAAUUGGCUUUACCCUAAAAAGGUAAAAAAUAAUUAUCUCCCAAAAAAAGCUAAAACGAAAAAAAAACAUCACCCCAUCUUCUCCCCACUCCUUGAUGGCGCCUCCCGCCGCCGGGGAAACCCCACCUACGGAGGCUGCGGAGAACAGCGCCAAGACCGAGGAGUCGCGGUGGCUCGCGGCCCUCUCCGAGCCAGAGCUCGUCCGUGACGCCCCUCCUCUUCUUAUUCUCUCUUAGCUUCUCUUCCUAACGACUGGUGUUAAUGGCGCCACGGUGGUGUUGUGCAGGAUCUCCUCAUCAGCCUGAAGAUGCUGGCCGUGAAGCGGGCGGAGACGGCCGGCCGCCCCCACCUCGCCGACGGGUUCGAUCUGCGCACGCUGCGUGCCCUCGGUACUUACUACCUGAACCACUUUGCCAGACACUCAUCAUAUAUAGCCGCAGCGAUCUCUUUGCUGAGCAACAUGCUAUAUGCUUGUGCUUUUCCAGGUGUUGUUUUGCUGGAGGAUUUCAAGGCACGGUUAGAAGAAACCUCGGUCGAUGCAUCCGUUCUUGAUAGACUUGCGCUGUCGAGGGACUGUGUCGCGGAUGCCGGCGGCGGCAGUGGUGACUCUGAGGUGCUCAGGCGGCACGGCAAAGAUGAGCCAAAGCCAAAUAGCGUCAAGAGAGAACGAAAGCAGAGGCAGGAUGGGUGAGUCCUUUUGAGUAUUCGGUCGGUUUGGCUGAAGCAGUGCAGUCCAAUUUAGCUCAUGCCGAUAGUUUCUUGAGGUUCUGUCACUACUAAUGCAGUUACGGCGUGUUUGCGUAUGAUGCAGGCGCCAUGGAGAAACCGUGAAAAGCAAGAAGAAAAGAAAACUGAGCGAGAGGAGAUAGCAUCGAGAGAGCAGACUGCGACGAUCUUCCUACUGAUAGUGAUCUAGUGCAAACACCGCCCAGGGAUGUAUGUCGUUGAGCGACAACACUGAAGCUGCUGCUGCUGCUGUUAGUGGUGUAAAUUUUGCUUUUUUUUUAUCUGAACUCGAAACUUGUUUUGGGAAUGCAACCCGGCAGGGAAGGGAUGCCGUGAACUGAUGAUGAUGACUGCUGUGGCAACCAGGCGUAGUUUAAUGCAUCUUCGUUUCAGGACUCUCUUAACUGUGCCAUGAUUUCUUUUCUAGCAGCUGUAGGUUGCUGGGACCUGGGAGCAUGAGACACUCCCCUCCAGGAAACUGCUUUCGAAUCAACAACUAGGGUGGGUUAGCUGCUGGAUUCUAAUUUGUUUCGUUGCCUAGGCACCAGUUAGGUCGAUCAUAGCACAACUAAGAAUAUGAUUUCACCUCCUAUUCUUGGCAAAUAAUAUUUAGUGUCACAAAUUCAGUUGCUAGCAACAUGACGAUAUUUUCAGUAUCUAAUAGCAUUGCUAAUAAACCUUGCACCUUUUUUUUGGCAAAUGAUUACCUCUACUGAGCAAUGCCACAGCCUCUCAGGAAUGUGGAGAAUUUGGUUUAGCGUUAGCUGAAUCUUUAGUCUCUACAACAAUGCACCAAUAUCAAUUUUUGGAUUCUGCAACAAAUUAACUGAAAUAAUUUUCAAGGCAUAUCAGUGUUGAUGUUGAUUAAUUAUUCACUGCCAGGCUAAGAUCCUUUGGCAUCUUCUGUCACGGCAGCUGAAGAUGAUGAUUUAUAAUUUUAUAUAGUUGACUUGUCUGUUGUGACAUAAACUUACUUACUCUUUGUUUCCUUGAUUAAAUUUUCUUUUUUGUGGGGAUCUUAUGCACGGAAAGACCAUGUGCAUAACUUUACAUGCAUGUUCUUCCACCUAGACUGCUCUACGGCUGUGUUAAGGUGCCGGUUGGUUGACAAUGGUCACACAUUCAUAAUAUGAAUGUCUAUACAAGGGAUUAGGAUCCUAGUCUGUGAUGCAGUUUUUCUUCUAGAUGUACUAGUUCAACUCCUUUUCAUCAGUAUUUGAUGUUAAACUAGAUUCUUGUGCAGAUGGUUACCUCUUCUGAACAAUGCUUGCAAUGCUCUGGAAUGCUGAAAAACUAGUUUACCUUUUUGCUGAUUCUUUUUUAAUUCUUACAAAUUUAGUUGAGUUGCAUAACUAUAUUAUAUCUUAUAAGUAGCCAUCCGAGUACUUCUGUUAACUAAUGAUUUAGAGACUCACGGUGACCGUGUGACCAUUGGAUAACGCCGUCGAGGUGUUAACAAACUGGUGUUACCAAUAGAACAUCUCACAUUUAAUUUGCAUUUCUUGAUGUUUUAUAAUAGCACAUACCAUCUCUCCUGAAAUUUUAGAGACGACCAAUGAAUCACAGGUCUUGAUCAGUUUGUCCUUCUAUACAUACAAUUUGAUCGACUCAGGAACUAUCGAGAGGACAAAAACGACAGACGGACAGAUAAUCAACACAUAUCCAAGUUGUUUCAAAUUAAUUGCAGCCUGCAGGAUGCAACCUAUCACCAGAAUCUAAUUUCAAUUAUAGGAUUUUGGAAGCGCUUACCAGCUAGUCAUAAAGUUCAACAAUCUCUGAAUUGCUGCGGUGUCUGAAGAGCAGGAUGAGAACAGGUAGCUCCAGAAGCUGUAGAAGUUCACCCUCUCGUUGCACUUAUUUGUAGCCUGCAUAGCUCAUCUUUUGCUUCUUGUGGCACACCACCUACUUAAUUAAUAGAAUGAGUCAUAUAUUUGAACUCUCUACCUUGUUUAUCCUGCCAACCCAAACCCAAGAUAAAAGAUAUUAGUCAAUAAUAAUAAUAAAUGCUGACCAAAAUACCACUGUGUUAUUACAACUGUUGUUUCGGUGCUACCACAGUACACGAUGCGCGCAGAUUCAGGUUGCCACAGCUAUCACAAAUGCAACACUUAAUAUACUACCACCGUGGCAACUGGCAAGUCACAAAAGUUAUCAGUCCUUGGAUUUAAGUGAAGAUAGUUCACCUUCUUUGUGUACAUGACACCAGCAGAUCAGAAGAUAAUACACCAAAUGCACAUAAAAGACAAUACAGUUAACACCAUCUUGUUUACAGCAAGGCAAUAUAGUAGCAUGCCUCUGACACAUCAUCUUGUUUGAAUGCCUUCCGGCAAGAAAUGGACAACUAGUCUAUUUCUCUCACAUUUUCAGAGUAACACCAUCAACAGUGGCAGGACCAAGCUGCUCCAGCCUAAACAAUUGACUGGUACUGCUGGUUAAGCAAUGCAAACUACUACGAAACGUAACUUACUGUCAGCGCAUCGUCAAUAACUUAUAACCACAUGGCAGAGAUUAGCAAUCAUAGCUGAAAUGGAUCACUACUUUUGAUAUGUCAGUUUACCAAAAGAAAAGAAGCACAGGUCCAGUUCUUGCAGGCAACGAACCAACAGAGUAUUGGCAAUCAUUCGGCAAUUCCCAUCCAGCCAGCACUAAUACCACUUCUACUUUCAGAUAACCAGAGUCAGACAGGCACCAAGUAAACAGAACCAUCUACAGUUGCUACUAGAUGUACAAUCUAAGAGGAGGUGAACUUGGUGACGGCCUUGGUGCCCUCGGAGACGGCGUGCUUGGCGAGCUCGCCGGGGAGGACGAGGCGUACGGAGGUCUGGAUCUCCCGGGAGGUGAUGGUGGGCUUCUUGUUGUAGCGGGCGAGCUUGGCGGCCUCGCCGGCGAGCUUCUCGAAGAUGUCGUUGAUGAAGGAGUUCAUGAUGGACAUGGCCUUGGAGGAGAUGCCGAUGUCGGGGUGCACCUGCUUCAGCACCUUGAAGAUGUAGAUCUUGUACGUCUCCACGCUCUUCUUGCUCUUCUUCUUCGACUUUUUGUCGCCGCCGCCCUCCUUGCCGGAAGUCUUGCUCUUGCCCGCCGCCGGCAGCCGCUUCUCGGCCCUGGGCUUCUUCCCGGCCGGCGCCUUCUCGGCCUUCUCCGUCGUGGCCUCCUCCUCCGCGGGCUUCUUCGCCGCCGGCUUCUUCUCCGCCGCCUUGGGGGCCAUCGCUGCUUCUGGAGCGGGGAAAGGGGAAGCCGCCGAAGCCGGUGCGGGUUGGUUUGUUGGGGAAAGGUUGGGAGAUUUGGAACGAGAUGCUGGGAAAGGAGGAGCGGAGCUGAAGGAUUUAUACAGGGAGAGAUGUGACUGCUGAUUGGUGGAGGCGUGGUUGUCCCGGAUCAGUGACGUGGGACGGUGUGAGGCGUUCGGUGCUGUUUGGAUGGACGAUCGUGAUCUCUGCCGGGCGGACCGUGGUUUUCUUGAAAAAAAUUGGACCCUGAUAAGGCCCGAACGUUCGGUAGAAGCCCUUUCCAUACCGAAGAAAUGAGGAAUGCUGCGUCCACGCAAAGCUAUCUAAGGUUUACGUUUGUCUAAAAAAAAAAAGCUAUCUAAGGUUUACGUAGUGCUGCUGAUUUGGCAAAUUGGAAUAGGGAAGGGAGAGGGGCCCACACCCAUGAAAAUUAGGGGGAGGAGAGAAUUAAAGGGAAAGUUACGUAGGAUCACGUAACAGGUUACGUUGAUGUAAUAUUAGUGCCGAACAAAUUGUUCCCCAAGGCAGAAACGACCCAACGAUUCCGCUCGGAGCGGGGGUGUAGUGGGAAGAGAUGGAUUCGUUCGGCCGAUGGCGUGGUUGCGUUCGGCCGAUGGCGUGGUUGCGCCGAAGGCCUGAGGAAAAUGACGCGGCACCAUAAUUGCUUCAAGAUGCGUGUGAUUUCAUCCGACGGCCAUCGUGGUGUUCGGCCCAAAAGCUUAAAAUCUGGUCAUUCGGGAGUUAUAGGUUCCGAAGUUUUUUUAGGCGAACAGUGCACUUCACUUAAUAAAAAAUGUCUACGUGGAUACAAAUAUUUUCUGGAGGUUUUUUUAGGGGAAGGCCACAAUGGUUAGUGUCGGGGCCGGAUUUCCGGGACAUAAAUUCCCAGCAAACGACCCUUAUGUCACCACCAGCCCCAGGAUUACUGUUGCUGAUGGACAUUUCCUUGAUACAGAAUUCCAAGCAAUUACAAGUAUUUGAGUACAAGACCUUAUAGGUCCAUUGAGUACAACAAUGAUUUCUAGUGGCAGGUGAUGGAAACGACUCGUGGAUCUCCAACGUUGGUGGAACUCCAUUCCCACGGGAACAGCUGACCUGGAUAACUCCUAUCUCGCGUGGCUGCUAUCUCCGAAUCCUAGGUUGCGGGGUGUCUUCGUAGUGCUCGUCUCUGAGUCAUGAUCUGGCCAAGACAAUAGCCAGGGACAAGCCAGUGAGUACGUUUGAAUGUACUCGCAAACAUCAAGAACAAAAGAUAUACCGGAUGCAUAUGCUCAUGAUGAAUUAAAUUAUACUACCUCAUUUCCGGUUUAUAGGGCUCAAUUCAAAAAUCUCACCAACCAAGGUGGAUGAUGAGUGAUGGAAUAAUUUUCGUGGUUUGUAAAAGCACUCAAUUAAUGCGUUCGUUUUCCUCAAAGAAUUGUGUUUACCAGUGCAUUAAUUGCAAUGCAUGCAUGCAUGAAGUACAUGCAUUGGUCAAGUUUCUCAUAAUCCUUGCAUGCAAUGAAUUAAUGCAUCUUGAAAUCUGAGCAUGUGAUGGGGAACAAUCAAAUUGAGACUUAUAAAACGAGAAACCGAAAUUUUUGAGAUAAGCCCUAUAAACCGGGAAGGAGGGAGUAUGCAUGUGCUGACCGAGAAUAAAAGCAUGGCAUGACAAAUAUUCAUACGGUGCAGAAGGGUAAAUAAGUCAUAUGAUUAGUAAAUCAAAGAAAUGAAACGAAACAUCGGGCGUUGGACCGCCCAAAAAAUUCCAAGAGAAAUGCCAAACGGGUGUCUAAGAGAGAAUCGGGCGAGACAGGACCGCCCGAGAACUCAAGCGACGCCACGAGAGGUCUUGAAAAUGCAUGCCACAGUCGGGUGUCUGAAGCGACGCCUCAUAAAGGGCUUAUAUGAAAAUAAUAAAACGAGUAUCCAGGUGGACUAGCCAUCCUAAGUGAUACUCAUAAAAGAAAAGAAAACGAGUAUCCCGGGUAGUCUAGCCAUCCCAAGAGAUACUCAAGGUUAAACAUAAAAUGAAAAGGUUAGUCCACAACAAUAUCCAUAUCAACAAUAAUAUUCAUAGUGGCACCAGUAGUGACAAUAAUUAUCCUGCAGAACGAACCAUGAUCAAUUUAAUUAUUUCCUUCGGAGACUGACACUAAGACCGACACUUGACCAACUGUCGGGGGGAUGAACCCCGGGCAGGCAACGGAACCCGUAUCCUUUUCAAAAAUGACGAGGCCAACAUCGCCCCUCAAGCCGGCACGUGCUUGGCCGGGUCGCCCAACCCGGCCAACCCCCUCGACCCGGCCAAACUUCCAACCCGGCCGGACUCCUCAACUCGGCCCCAACAACCAGCUCAAGACAGUCAAACCCGGCACCAAGACUUCUCCAACAAGCCAGCUCCACCCUUGGCGCGUUCCUCAACCCGGCCACGGGUCAGUUCCCGUCCCAGCCCAGCCGUACGAUGGGACGAGUCUCCACCUACCAAUGACCGAGGCAACAGUGCCCCGCCCAUGCCUCUGGUCAGCCGGGGCAUGGCAACAGUGCCCCACCUACCCACUGACCAGGGCCGGCGUGGCAACAGUGCAACCAUCGUCACCAAUGACGCCAGCAAGCGGCGACCUGACGGAGCGCCACUGUAGCCGACUGAUAACCCACAAGUAUAGGGGAUCACAACAGUUCUCGAGGGUAGAGUAUUCAACCCAAAUUUAUUGAUUCGACACAAGGGGAGCCAAAGAAUAUUCUCAAGUAUUAGCAGUUGAGUUGUCAAUUCAAGCACACCUGGAUAACUUAAUAUCUGCAGCAAAGUAUUUAGUAGCAAAGUAGUAUGGAAGUAACGGUAACGGUGGCAAAAGUAACCGUAGCAACUUUGUAGUAAUUGUAACAGUGGCAAUGGUAAAGUAACUAAGCAAAGAUCUAUAUGUGAAAAGCUCGUAGGCAUUGGAUCAGUGAUGGAUAAUUAUGUCGGAUGCGAUUAUUCAUGUAACAGUUAUAACAUAGGGUGACACAGAACUAGCUCCAGUUCAUCAAUGUAAUGUAGGCAUGUAUUCCGAUUAUAGUCAUACAUGCUUAUGGAAAAGAACUUGCAUGACAUCUUUUGUCCUACCCUCCCGUAGCAGCGGAGUCCUAUUGGAAACUAAGGAUAUUAAGGCCUCCUUUUAAUAGAGUACCGGACCAAAGCAUUAACACUUAGUGAAUACAUGAACUCCUCAAACUACGGUCAUCACCGGGAGUGGUCCCGAUUAUUGUCACUUCGGGGUUACCAGAUCAUAACACAUAAUAGGUGACUAUAGACUUGCAAGAUAGGAUCAAGAACUCACAUAUAUUCAUGAAAACAUAAUAGGUUCAGAUCUGAAAUCAUGGCACUCGGGCCCUAGUGACAAGCAUUAAGCAUAGCAAAGUCAUAGCAACAUCAAUCUCAGAACAUAAUGGAUACUAGGGAUCAAACCCUAACAAAACUAGCUCGAUUACAUGAUAAAUUUCAUCCAACCCAUCACCGUCCAGCAAGCCUACGAUGGAAUUACUCACGCACGGCGGUGAGCAUCAUGAAAUUGGUGAUGGAGGAAGGUUGAUGAUGAUGACGGUGACGGAUUCCCCUCUCCGGAGCCCCGAACGGACUCCAGAUCAGCCCUCCCGAGAGAGAUUAGGGCUUGGCGGCGGCUCCGUAUCAUAAAACGCGAUGAAUCCUUCUCUCUGAUUUUUUUCUCCCCGAACGUGAAUAUAUAGAGUUGGAGUUGAGGUCGGUGGAGCACCAGGGGGCCCACGAGGCAGGGGGCGCGCCUAGGGGGGCAGGCGCGCCCCCACCCUCGUGGACAGGGUGUGGGCCCCCUGGUCUUGAUUCUUUCGCCAGCAUUUUUUAUAAAAUUCCAAAAAUAUUCUCCGUGAAGUUUCAGGUCAUUCCGAGAACUUUUAUUUCUGCACGAAAAUAACACCAUGGCAAUUCUGCUGAAAACAGCGUUAGUCCGGGUUAGUUCCAUUCAAAUCAUGCAAGUUAGAGUCCAAAACAAGGGCAAAAGUGUUUGGAAAAGUAGAUACGAUGGAGACGUAUCAACUCCCCCAAGUUCAAACCUUUGCUUGUCCUCAAGCAAUUCAGUUGAUAAACUGAAAGUGAUAAAGAAAAACUUUUAAAAACUCUGUUUGCUCUCGUUGUUGCAAAUAUGUAAAGCCAGCAUUCAAGUUUUCAACAAAGAUUAUGAACUAACCAUAUUCACAAUAACAUUUAGGUCUCAUGUUUACUCAUAUCAAUAGCAUAAUCAACUAGCGAGCAAUAAUAAUAAAUCUCGGAUGACAACACUUUCUCAAAAUAAUCAUAAUAUGAUAUAACAAGAUGGUAUCUCGUUAGCCCUUUCUGAGACCGCAAAACAUAAAUGCAGAGCACCUCUGAAGAUCAAGGACUGACUAAACAUUGUAAUUCAUGGUAAAAGAGAUCCAGUCAUAGUCAUACUCAAUAUAAAUUAAUAGUAAUGGAUGCAAAUGACAGCGGUGCUCUCCAACUGGUGCUUUUUAAUAAGAGGAGGAUGACUCAACAUAAAAGUAAAUAGAUAGGCCCUUCGCAGAGGGAAGCAGGGAUUUGUAGAGGUGCUAGAGCUUGAUUUUUGAAAUAGAGAUCAAUAAUAUUUUGAGCGGCAUACUUUCAUUGUCAACAUAACAACCGAGAGAUCUCGAUAUCUUCCAUGCUACACACAUUAUAGGCGGUUCCCAAACAGAAUGAUAAAGUUUAUACUCCCCCUCCACCAACAAGCAUCAAUCCAUGGCUUGCCCGAAACAAUGGGUGCCUCCAACUAACAACAAUCCUGGGGGAGUUUUGUUUGCAAUUAUUUUUAUUUGGUUUGAGCAUGGGACUGGGCAUUCCGGUGACCAGCCAUUUUCUCGUGAGUGAGGAGCGGAGUCCACUCCUCUUGAGAAUAACCCGCCUAGCAUGGAAGAUACAGAUAGCCCUAGUUGAUACAUGAGCUAUUCGAGCAUACAAAACAGAAUUUCAUUUGAAGGUUUAGAGUUUGGCACAUACAAAUUUACUUGGAACGGCAGGUAGAUACCGCAUAUAGGAAGGUAUGGUGGACUCAUAUGGAAUAACUUUGGGGUUUAUGGAAGUGGAUGCACAAGCAGUAUUCACGCUUAGUACAAGUGAAGGCUAGAAAGAGACUGGGAAGCGACCAACUAGAGAGCGACAACAGUCAUGAACAUGCAUUAAAAUUAAUAAACAUCGAGUGCAAGCAUGAGUAGGAUAUAAUCCACCAUGAACAUAAAUAUCGUGGAGGCUAUGUUGAUUUUGUUUCAACUACAUGCAUGAACAUGUGCCAAGUCAAGCCACUCGAAUCAUUCAAAGGAGGAUACCAUCCUAUGAUACCACAUCACAACCAUUUUAAUAGCAUGUUGGCACGCAAGGUAAACCAUUAUAAACUCCUAGCAAAUUAAGCAUGGCAUAAGCAACUAUAAUCUCUAAUUGUCAUUGCAAAUAUGUUUCAUUCAUAAUAGGCUGAAUCAGGAACGAUGAACUAAUCAUAUUUACAAAAACAAGAGAGGUCGAGUUCAUACCAGCUUCUCUCAUCUCAAUCAGUCCAUCAUAUAUCGUCAUUAUUGCCUUUCACUUGCACGGUCGAGGUGUGGACAAUAAUAAUAGUGCACGUGCAUUGGACUAAGCUGAAUUUUGCGAGCAUUUAAUUCAAGGGAGAAGACAAGGUAAUAUGGGCUCUUGGUUAAAUCAACAAUAAUGCAUAUGAGAGCCACUUCAACAUUUCCAUUAUGGUCUUCUCCUCUCGACCCCCAAAGAAAAAGGAAUAAAAUAAAACUAUUUACACGGGAAAGCUCCCAACAAACAAAAAGAAGAACGAGAAAUCUUUUUGGGUUUUCUUUUUAAUUAUUACUACUACAGGCAUGGAAAGUAAACUAGCUAAAAGCUACAACUAUUCUUUUUGUUUUUCUUAAGGUUUAUCAAACACACAAGAAGAAAGCAUAAAAAGAAAAAUAAACCAGCAUGGAUAGUACAAUGAAAAAGUAUGAGCACCAACAACUAGAAUGGGUGUGUGAACAUGAAUGUAAUGUCGGUGAGAAAUACGUACUCCCCCAAGCUUAGGCUUUUGGCCUAAGUUUCUCUAUGCCCAUGGAUCAAAGUUGUAGCUGGGGUCGUACUGAGAUGCAACAACUAUUGCCUCAUGAGCUGCAGCUUGGAGGCGAGCUGCCUCCGUCCUCCUCUCGUACUCGGUCGCCUCCUUCCUGGUUAUAAUAUAUCUCCUUUUUGCCUGAAAGUCAAAGAAAGUAGGAGCGGGGAGAGCAAUAUGGACAGCUUGACGCCUGUCAAACAUUAGUCGGUACUGGAGGGGCUGUUCAUUCCUCUCAACAAACUGAUGGCGAACCAUAGCAUUAUAAUCUAAAUAAGCAGGAGGCAAUUCCAUAUCAUUUUCAUGUAUGGGUAUCUCAAGAUAAUUAGCCACACGGGUUGCAUAAAUUCCACCAAACAAAUCUUCACUAAUACUGUUAUUAUGCAACCUACGUGCAACAAUGCCCCCCAAGUUAUAUUGUUUAUCUCCUAACACAACACUCUUGAGAACACUAAGAUCUGGAACACACAUGUGACAUGCCUCAUCCUUACCGUUUAUGCAUCUACCUAUAAAGAGAGCAAAAUAAUGUAUAGCAGGAAAAUGAAUGCUCCCUAUGGUAGCUUGUGUUAUUUCUCUAGAUUCCCCCACAGUGAUACUAGCAAGGAAAUCUUUAAACUCAGAUUUGCAAGGUUCACUAGCACUACCCCAUUGCGGGAGUUUACAAGCAGUAUUAAAAUCUUCUAAGUCCAUGGUAUAAGAUUUAUUAUAAAGAUCAAAUAGGACCGUGUGAGAAUUGUGUGAAGAUGUAAAUUUAAACCUUCUCACAAAGGAAUCAGUAAGGUGGUAGUAUUGAGGGCACUUAUCUAACAUGAAGCCCUCGAGUUCAGCAUUACGCACAUACGCGUCAAAUUCAUCCUUAAUUCCUGCUUGGACCAUGAAAUUUUAUGACGGCCAUUCACAAGGCCGCACUUGAGCUUCUCUUGGUGGUUCAUGGUCCGGCUCACGUAUUGCAGGCCUGGGUCCCUGCUUCCUUGAAGAAUCACCUUGGUACAUUUUCCUAAAUAUAUUUCUUCCUCUGAAAUAUUUCUGAAAUUUUUAGUAACUCGAAAUAAAAGUGAACCAAACUCAACAAAAUUGAUAGCAACCACUCCCACAAGUGCCUAGAGACUAUAUCAUGCAUUAGAACUACUUGGGACCAAAUAAAUUUGAUAUGCAAGCUCAAGAACAGGGUCACCUAAGCAACAAAAAUUUGCAAUGAAUAAAGCACUAGAACAAAAACUAAUUGGACCAUUGGAGGAGUCACAUAUCAAAGAACAAUCCCCCAAAGCAGUUUUGUGAGUGGAGCUUUGAGCAAGGAGAUCGAAAAUCGCAGCAAAACUAGCUAGAACACGGGUUUGAGCUAGGUGGUGAUUUUUUCUGGAGAAAGACAAAGUGUGUGGGUGCUGGAAUAAGUGGAGGGGGGCCACCAGGGGUCCACGAGGCAGGGGGCGCGCCCAGGGGGUGGGCGCGCCCUGGACCCUCGUGGCCAGGUGUUGGCUCCCCUUGAUGUGUUCUCAGUGCCAGAUAUUCUCAAAUAUUCUAGAAAAAAUCAUAUUUCAAUUGCAGGGCAUUUGGAGAACUUUUAUUUUCGGGGUAUUUUUUAUUGCAGGGAUAAUUCAGAAAACUGACAGAAAAUACUAUUUUUGCUUUAUUUAAUCUAAAUAACAGAAAGUAAAAAGAGGGUACAGAGAGUUGUGUUUUCUAACUUCAUCCAUCUCAUGCUCAUCAAAAGGAAUCCACUAACAAGGUUGAUCAAGUCUUGUUAACAAACUCAUUCCGAAUCGCAUGAAACCAGAGAAUUUUUGAAUAGCACUAGGUUACCUCAACGGGGAUAUGCACGUCCCCAACAAUAAGAAUAUCAUAUUUCUUCUUGACAGUAGGAAGAGGAAAUUCAAAACCUCCAAUAGUGAUCGUUGGAAUCUUUCCAAUAGAAUUGAUACUGUGGACUUGAGGUUGUUUCCUCGGAAAGUGUACCGUAUGCUCAUUACCAUUAACAUGAAAAGUGACAUUGCCUUUGUUGCAAUCAAUAAUAUCCUCUACAGUAUUCAAAAAGGGUCUACCAAGGAUAAUAGACAUACUAUCGUCCUCGGGAAUAUCAAGAAUAACAAAGUCCGUUAGAAUAGUAACGUUUGCAACCACAACAGGCACAUCCUCACAAAUACCGACAGGUAUAGCAGUUGAUUUAUCGUCCAUUUGCAAAGAUAUUUCAGUAGGUGUCAACUUAUUCAAAUCAAGUCUACGAUAUAAAGAGAGAGGCAUAACACUAACACCGGCUCCAAGAUCACAUAAAGCAGUUUUAACAUAGUUUCUUUUAAUGGAGCAUGGUAUAGUUGGUACUCCUGGGUCUCCAAGUUUCUUUGGUAUUCCACCCUUAAAAGUGUAAUUAGCAAGCAUGGUGGAAAUUUCAGCUUCCGGUAUCUUUCUUUUAUUUGUAACAAUAUCUUUCAUGUAUUUAGCAUAAGGAUUCAUUUUAAGCAUAUCAGUCAAAUGCAUAUGCAAAAAGAUAGGUCUAAUCAUUUCAGCAAAGUGCUCAAAAUCCUCAUCAUCCUUCUUCUUGGAUGGUUUAGGAGGAAAGGGCAUGGGUUUCUGAACCCAUGGUUCUCUUUCUUUACCGUGCUUCCUAGCAACGAAGUCUCUCUUAUCAUAACGUUGAUUCUUUGAUUGUGGGUUAUCAAGAUCAAUAGCAGGUUCAAUUUCUACAUCAUUGUUAUCGCUAGGUUGAGCAUCAACAUGAACAUUAUCAUUAACAUUAUCACUAGGUUCAUGUUCAUCACCAGAUUGUGUUUCAGCAUCAGAAAUAGAAAUAUCAUUGGGAUUCUCAGGUGUGUCAACAACAGGUUCACUAGAAGCAUGCAAAGUCCUAUCAUUUUUCUUUUUCUUCUUCUUAGAAGGACUAGGUGCAUCAACAUUAGUUCUCUGAGAAUCUUGCUCAAUUCUCUUAGGGUGACCCUCAGGAUACAAAGGUUCCUGAGUCAUUUUACCCCCUCUAGUCAUAACUCUAACAACAUUAGCAUUUUUAUUAUUAUUUAAUUCAUUGAGCAAAUCAUUUUGAGCUUUAAGCACUUGUUCUACUUGAGUGGUAACCAUAGAAGCAUGUUUACUAAUAAGUUUAAGUUCACCUUUUACUCUAGACAUAUAAUCACUCAAGUGUUCAAUCAUAUAAGCAUUACGUUUCAAUUGUCUACCAACAUAAGCAUUGAAGUUUUCUUGUUUAACAAUAAAAUCAUCAAACUCAUCCAAGCAUUGGCUAGCAAACUUAGUAGAUGGGAUUUCACCCUUAUCAUAUCUAUAGAGAGAAUUUACCUUUACUACCUGUGUCGGGUUAUCAAGACCGUGUAUUUCUUCAAUAGGUGGUAAAUUAAGACCAUGUAUUUCUUCAAUAGGAGGUAAAUUCUUAACAUCUUCAGCUUUAAUGCCUUUUUCUUUCAUAGAUUUCUUUGCCUCUUGCAUAUCUUCAGGACUGAGAAAUAGAUGCCCCUUUUCUUCGUAGUUGGCUUAGGAGUUGGUUCAGGAAGUGUCCAAUUAUUUUCAUUAGUCAAAAUAUUAUUCAAUAGCAAUUCAGCUUGAUCAACUGUUCUUUCCCUGAAAACACAACCAGCACAACUAUCCAGGUGGUCUCUGGAAGCAUCUAGUAGUCCAUUAUAAAAGAUAUCAAGUAUUUCAUUUUUCUUGAGAGGAUGAUCAGGAAAAGCAUUAAGUAAUUGGAGAAGCCUCACCCAAGCAUGUGGGAGACUCUCUUCUUCAAUUUGCACAAAAUUAUAUAUUUCCCUUAAAGCAGCUUGUUUCUUAUGAGCGGGGAAAUAUUUAGCAGAGAAGUAAUAAAUCAUAUCCUGGGGACUACGCACACAACCAGGAUCAAGAGAAUUAAACCAUGUCUUAGCAUCACCCUUUAAUGAGAAUGGAAAUAAUUUAAGGAUAUAGUAGUAGCGAGUUUUCUCAUCAUUAGUGAAUAGGGUGGCUAUAUCAUUUAAUUUAGUAAGAUGUGCAACAACAAUUUCAGAUUCAUAGCCAUAAAAAGGAUCAGAUUCAACCAAAGUGAUUAUCUCAGGAUCAACAGAGAAAUCAUAAUCCUUAUCAGUAACACAGAUAGGUGAAGUAGCAAAAGCAAGGUCAUAUUUCAUUCUAGCAUUCAAAGAUUUUUCUUUCAGCUUAGCUAAUAAUUUCUUAAGAUCAUUCCUAUCGUUGCAAGCAAGAAAGUCUCUAACAGUUUCUUCAUCCAUAACAUAACCCUCAGGCACAAUAGGCAAUUCAUAUCUAGGGGGAGAAUCUUCAUCAUCACUUUCAUCAAUAUUAUCAGUUUCAAUAAUUUCAUUCUCUCUAGCCCUAGCAAGUUGUUCAUCACGAAAUUCACCUAGUGGCACACUAUUAUCAAGCAUAGAAGUAGUUUCAUCAUAAGUAUCAUGCAUAGCAGAAGUGGCAUCAUCAAUAACAUGCGACAUAUCAGAAUUAAUAGCAGAAGAAGGUUUAGGUGUCGCAAGUUUACUCAAAACAGAAGGAGAAUCAAGUGCAGAGCUAGAUGGCAGUUCCUUACCACCCCUCGUAGUUGAGGGAUAAAUUUUGGUUUUCUCGUCUUCCAAGUUCCUCAUAGUGACCAGCAGAUAUAAAUCCCAAGUGACUCAAAGAAUAGAGCUAUGCUCCCCGGCAACGGCGCCAGAAAAUAGUCUUGAUAACCCACAAGUAUAGGGGAUCGCAACAGUUUUCGAGGGUAGAGUAUUCAACCCAAAUUUAUUGAUUCGACACAAGGGGAGCCAAAGAAUAUUCUCAAGUAUUAGCAGUUGAGUUGUCAAUUCAACCACACCUGGAUAACUUAAUAUCUGCAGCAAAGUAUUUAGUGGCAAAGUAGUAUGGAAGUAACGAUAACGGUGGCAAAAGUAACAGUAGCAACUUUGUAGUAAUUGUAACAGUGGAUAUGGUAAAGUAACUAAGCAAAGAUCAAUAUGUGAAAAGCUCGUAGGCAUUGGAUCAGUGAUGGAUAAUUAUGUCGGAUGCGAUUAUUCAUGCAACAGUUAUAACAUAGGGUGACACAGAACUAGCUCCAGUUCAUCAAUGUAAUGUAGGCAUGUAUUCCGAAUAUAGUCAUACGUGCUUAUGGAAAAGAACUUGCAUGCCAUCUUUUGUCCUACCCUCCCGUGGCAGUGGGGUCCUAUUGGAAACUAAGGGAUAUUAAGGCCUCCUUUUAAUAGAGUAUCAGACCAAAGCAUUCACACUUAGUGAAUACAUGAACUCCUCAAACUACGGUCAUCACCGGGAGUGGUCCCGAUUAUUGUCACUUCGGGGUUACCGGAUCAUAACACAUAAUAGGUGACUAUAGACUUGCAAGAUAGGAUCAAGAACUCACAUAUAUUCAUGAAAACAUAAUAGUUUCAGAUCUGAAAUCAUGGCACUCGGGCCCUAGUGACAAGCAUUAAGCAUAGCAAAGUCAUAGCAACAUCAAUCUCAGAACAUAAUGGAUACUAGGGAUCAAACCCUAGCAAAACUAACUCGAUUACAUGAUAAAUCUCAUCCAACCCAUCACCGUCCAGCCAGCCUAUGAUGGAAUUACUCACGCACGGCGGUGAGCAUCAUGAAAUUGGUGAUGGAGGAAGGUUGAUGAUGACGACAGCGACGGAUUCCCCUCUCCCGAGCCCCGAACGGACUCCAGAUCAGCCCUCCCGAGAGAGAUUAGGGCUUGGCGGCGGCUCCGUAUCGUAAAACGCAAUGAAUCCUUCUCUCUGAUUUUUUUCUCCCCGAAAGUGAAUAUAUGGAGUUGGAGUUGAGGUCGAUGGAGCGUCAGGGGGCCCACGAGGUAGGGGGCGCGCCCCCACCCUUGUGGACAGGGUGUGGGCCCCAUGACGUGGAUUUUUCUUCCAGUAUUUUUAAUAUUUUCCAAAAAGAUGUUCCGUGGAGUUUCAGGUCAUUCCGAGAACUUUUGUUUCUACACAUAAAUAACACCAUGGAAAGUCUGCUGAAAACAGCGUCAGUCCGGGUUAGUUCCAUUCAAAUCAUGCAAGUUAGAGUCCAAAACAAGGGCAAAAGUGUUUGGAAAAGUAGAUACGAUGGAGACGUAUCACCGACUCAACCCGGCCACUCCCUGACGAUCGACAAGACGGCCAACAGUGCCCCCAUACCCGGCGGGCCCAGCGCCCGGAGAACCCGGCGAGCCCUGACCCCAGGCAGGUCCCAGCGCCGGCUUCUCGGACAAUGACAAUCCGGCCCCACGGCCUUGUAACAUUACCCUUGUACCCCUGGGGGGUUGGCCUAUCACUACUAGGGAAAACCUUAUACAUAGAAUCUUAGCAGCAGCGCGGCACAAAAAGAGGCGCUACUGCUAAUUAGCAGUAGCGAGGUUAAGAAAAGCACGCUACUGAUGUAUAGCGCGUGAUGUCUAAACCGCGCUGCUACAAAAAUCUACCGACACUACCCAACAACCUAAGUUUACCAGCAGCGCUGUGUGACGAUGCGCGCUACUGCUAAUGCGAUAGUAGUAGCGUGCUUUUGAGUCACGUCGCUGCUGCUAAUUUUGAAAUUGUCCACACGGUUGGCCCGUUUAGCAGUAGCGCGUGUGAUGAAAGGGCGCUGUUGCUAAGCUCUUAGCAGUAGCGCGUUUUUCCUCCCGCGCUACUGCUAAGACGCAGCACCCCACCACCUUUUCCCACCCGUACGUCCUCCCCUCCCCCAUCUCCUCUCCUCCCUUUCCCCUACCUCCCACAUCCUCCCUCUCUCACUCUUCUUCUUCCUCAAUACUUCUUCCUCAAUACUUCUCCCCCCAUUACUCUCCCUCUUCUACCUACCUUUCUCUCUCUUCAUUACUCCUAGCUAACUAACACCACCUCCAUCAAUGCAUCUCCUUUCUCUUUUUCCUUCCCCCUCCACUAGUUGAAGUUGUCUCCUCCCAAAUUAGCUAGCUAGGUAGAUGUAGCAUUUAGUCAAGUGACCUAUUUGCCCCCUAACUAGAUCUAUCUUUGUCAAGAAGAGCUUUGUGCACUUGAUCUCCCUACAUCAUCAUCUCCACCGUGUGCUCGAUCUCGAGAUAGAGGUGAUUAAAAUUUCAUGCUUUUGCAAAAUGGAAAUAUGUGUAUGUGUGUGUGAUAUGAUAAUUGGGCAAUAUGAUGGAAAUUGUGUGUGUGGCAUGAGUUGACGCCAAAUUGUGCUUUUGAGUUGCCUAUGUUUUGCCGAAAUGUCGAUUUAUUUCCGUUUCGGCGAAUUCCGGGCAAACUCUAGAUCUAUAUAUGUCCUAUUUUUAGGGAAGGUCAUGCCGAAUUUUUGUAUGACUUUGAUGCAUGCACGCAUUUUUAUAAUCAAUUUGUUUAUUAUUACCGUGCAGACGUUCAUGAUGGCAGUGGAACGAUGGUGGACAGGUGGUUGCGGUCGGUGGUGUAGGACAUGAAAGAAAAUAACCGGACAGAGGUUUUAUGUCCGUGUCAGAAAUGCAAAGGAAUAGUUUGGCUCGACCCCUAUGACGAUGGUCGUGUCGAAGCACACCUGCUCAUGACUGGUUUCAUGGAUGGCUAUACUCGAUGGAUAAUUGAAGAUGAGGAUGACGAUGUUGAGGACACCGACGGGGCAGGCAAUGACGACACGGGGCAAGAAGAAGAGAUGAUCGAUAAUGGCGGCGGGGAAGAGGCCGGACAUGGCGGCGGAGAAGGGGCCGGACAUGGUGGCGGAGAGAACGACAUGGACUCCACGCAGCAGAGUUCGUCGGUACUAAGUUCAAUCGUGCGGGACCCUCAUGUUCAAGCACUGCUUCACAAGGAGACGAGUACUGAGAGAGCUGCUUCUAGAGAGGAGGCUAAGCUGGAGCAACUGGUGGUAGACUCAAACACUCCAUUGUAUGAUGGUUGCAAUCCUGAGGUGACCCGCUUGAGUUUCACGCUCCAACUCCUGAAGACGAAGGCUAAAAACAAAUGGACCGACACUAGCCUCGAUGAGCAUCUCAAGUACCUAAAGGAUGUUCUUCCCGCGGGGAAUCUAUGUCCUACUAGUGUUGAUGAGGCCAAGAAGAUCGUGUGCCCUCUUGAUCUGCCGCACGUUAGAUACCAUGCAUGCAUCAACGAUUGCAUAAUUUAUCGGAAGGAGCACGCGGAAAAAACCAGCUGUCCGGUGUGCAAUGCUUCUCGAUACAAGAAGGCCGGGAAGAAAUGUCCCCAGAAAGUUGUAUGGUACUUACCGAUCACUCCCCGUCUCCAGCAGUAUUUCAUAGAUCCCAAGGAAGCAAAGCUAAUGCGCUGGCACGCGGAGAGGAAGAAGCCCGACGAUGGAGAUGAUCCGAAGCUGAGACACGUCAAGGAUGGAAGCCAGUGGAGAGCGUUGAACAACUUCUAUCGGUAUUUCGAAUGUGAUGCAAGGAACAUCGUGCUCGGCGCGUGUACCGAUGGCAUGAAUCCGUUUGGCAACCAGAACACCAACCAUAGCACAUGGCCCGUGUUUGUAUGGAUGUACAACCUCCCCCUGGUUGUGCAUGAAGUCGAAGUACAUUCACAUGAGCAUGCUUAUUCAAGGGCCAAAACAACCAGGAAAUAAUAUUAAUUUGUAUCUUGGGCUACUUCAAGAGGAGUUAGACACAUUAUGGAAAACAACGGCCAAGACAUGGGACACCAGCAAAGGCGAGUAUUUCUACAUGAGAGCCGCGCUGAUCACGACGGUGCACGACUAUCUCGGUUAUGGAUAUGUCGUAGGCCAGGUGUGCCAUGGAUAUUGCGAAUGCACGCGGUGCAUGGAUGAUACGACGUCUCAGCAGCUAACGUCAAGGAAAGAUGGCGGGUCUGGGAAAAUCGUGUACAUGGGGCAUCGAAGAUGGCUCGAACAGGACGACCCAUGGAGAAACCAUGGAGAUCUAUUCAAUGGUCACGCCGAGCAUCGAGGACCUCCACGUAAGCGGAGCGGUGCCGAAAUCGAUGAGCUGUUGAAAAACUGGAAGGAGUGCCCCGCGCCGGGGAAGACGAUGAAAAAGGCGCCAGAGCCGCUGCUGAAGGUAUGGAAGACGAAGUCUGUGUUCUGGGACUUGAGUACUGGCACAAACUCGAUACACCUCAUUACCUUGAUCAAAUGCAUAUCUGUAAGAAUGUCCUUGAGAGAUUGCUCGCGACACUGAUGAUCAUGCCGGAUAAGACCAAGGAUGGGCCGAAGGCAAGAAAAGACUUGCAAGAUUUGAAAAUCAGGGAAGAUCUGCACAUGCCGCCCCGUAAAAAGUUAGACGAGACAGAGACGGAGACAAAGGCGCGGGAGAAGAAGGGCAAGAAAAUAAAGAAAUAGGAUUAUUGCCCCCCUUCUUGCUUCACCUUAAGUCAGGCUGAGAUCGAUCAAUUCUUUAAGUGCCUUACUGGAGUCAAAGUUAGUUCCGGUUACUGUGGCAAGAUAAGUAGAUAUCUAGACACGGACAAGAAAAGGUUCAGCGGGAUGAAGUCCCAUGACUGUCAUGUGAUGAUGACGCAGAUACUACCUAUUGCCCUUAGAGGGAUAAUGGACAAGCACGUCCGUGACACGCUUAUUGGUCUCUGCAACUUUUUCGACGUCAUCUCUCGAAAGUCGAUCAGUCUGAAGCAGCUCCGAAGGCUACAGGAAGAGAUCAUUGUGAUACUGAAUGAGCUUGAGAUGUACUUCCCGCCCGCGUUCUUUGAUGUGAUGGUGCAUCUGUGUGUCCAUAUUGUGGACGACAUAAUAGACCUGGGGCCGUCAUUUCUGCACAACAUGAUGCCGUUUGAGAGGAUGAAUGGGAUCAUCAAAGGAUUCGUUCGUAACAUGUCCCGUCCGGAUGGAAGCAUCGUCCAGGGCUAUCUGACACAAGAGUGCAUCUCUUUCUGCAAGAAUUUUCUAUAUGGCGCAGACCAGCUGCCUGGUGUUAGUGUUGGUUUGCCCAUUAACAAGCACGAUGGGAGGCUCGAAGGAGAAGGUCACUCCAACGGUCGCAGGGAACUGCACGUGGCAUACUCAGAUCGACGCAGCGACUUUGACAGAACAAACUUGGUAGUGCUACAACACCUAGACGAGGUAGAUCCUUUCGUGGCACUGCACAAAGAAAUUAUCGCAAAGAAGUAUCGUGACCGGGGGGUAUGCAGGACGGACGCCGAAGUUACUAGAGAGCACAACUCCACUUUCCUGCAUUGGUUCAAAGAGCAUAUUAUUGCUAAUCCCCCGGAGGAGGGCUCUAAGGACGGAUUACUCAUAUACGCCUUAGCACAUGGCCCCUCGCCCAACCUCGUUACCUAUCAGGCAUACGAUAUCAAUGGAUACACGUUCUACACGGAGGCCACAGAUAUGGACAGUGAUGAUCAGAACUCAGGGGUGACGAUGGAAUGCAUGACCGGCAGCGACAACAGCGCAACUGAAAGAUUUUACGGAAGGGUCGAGGAGAUCUGGGAGCUUGACUACUAUGGACUGCACAACACGACGAUGUUCCGUGUCAGAUGGGCUAAGAAUGUCGAAAGAGAAAACCGAAAUUUCACUACCAUGACUAUACCCGACGCCAAGAGCCCUACCGUGAACGCUAUCGCAAAAAACGAGCCAUGGGUACACGCUAAGCACGUGACACAAUGCUUCUUCAUAACCGACCCGCGCAAUCCCAGCCGUGUUAUCAUGAGGAGAGGCAAAAGGAACAUCAUUUGAAUGGAUGGAGGCGCCAACGAGGAAGACUACGAUCAGUACGGCAACCCAAUGAGGGAAGAUGACGAUGAUGAUGAAGUAUACGUCAAAAUAAGAAUCAAUACUACAUUACCUAAGAAAAAUCGUACUCCAUGGAAAAGGCAAAGUCACAAUGAGGGGCUCAAUUAUUCUUCAACGAACAAGAAGGGAAAGAAGCUGACUCAAAAACGAAAACGUCAAUGAUGAGGAACCGUAUGUAUGUUAUCGGUCAAAUGAUGUAAUAUAUAUGUUCCUAUUUUGUAUACACACUUAGCCAUUAUUAUGCAUGGGUCCAAUAAUGUAAUAUAUAUACAUAUGUUCCUAGUUUGUAUACAUAUUUAACCGUCAAAUGAUGCAAUAUAUAUCGCCUUCCAUUCGUUCACUGCUCUCGGAAAAAAAGAAAAGUAAAGUGAGAGAAAAUAAAGGAAAAGAAAAUAGAAGGAAACAAACAGGAAAACUGUUAUAUAGGUGUUAUAGCAGCAGCACUUUUGUGAGAGAAGAGCUACAACUAGUCAAGAUAGCAGUAGCGGUUUCUACACGAAACCGCUAUAGCUACCUCGGGUAGCUAUAGCGCGUUUUUCCUAAACGCGCUACUGCUAUGCCCACUUAACCCCCAAAAUCGGUCCCCACUCCUCUAUUCAUCCCACCUCUUUUCCCCCAAAUCCCCCGUCGCACCGCGCGCCGGAGCCCUGCCCUCGUCGGGCCUCUGCGCUCGCCCCCGACCCCGACCGACCCCGGCGCCGGCUCCGUCCCCNNNNNNNNNNNNNNNNNNNNNNNNNNNNNNNNNNNNNNNNNNNNNNNNNNNNNNNNNNNNNNNNNNNNNNNNNNNNNNNNNNNNNNNNNNNNNNNNNNNNNNNNNNNNNNNNNNNNNNNNNNNNNNNNNNNNNNNNNNNNNNNNNNNNNNNNNNNNNNNNNNNNNNNNNNNNNNNNNNNNNNNNNNNNNNNNNNNNNNNNNNNNNNNNNNNNNNNNNNNNNNNNNNNNNNNNNNNNNNNNNNNNNNNNNNNNNNNNNNNNNNNNNNNNNNNNNNNNNNNNNNNNNNNNNNNNNNNNNNNNNNNNNNNNNNNNNNNNNNNNNNNNNNNNNNNNNNNNNNNNNNNNNNNNNNNNNNNNNNNNNNNNNNNNNNNNNNNNNNNNCCCCGACCCCGACCGGCCCCAGCGCUCGCCCACGGCCCCGGCCCCGACCCCGGCUCCGGCCCCGGCGCUCGACCCCGACACCGACCCCUCCCAACCUCGGCCGUCGUCGGGACUGCACCCUCCAUAAGCCCCCCACCGCUCCUCCUCUCUCUGGUAGCUAGGGUUUUUGGUUAAUUUACUUAGGUUUUAGUUAGGGAAGAUGGUUAAUUAGGUUAUAUAUUUAGUUAUGAAUUUAGCUAGGUUUUUUCUUCAAGUUCUAUAUUUUUCUUCCUUCUAUAUGCAAAUUUGAAGUGGACAUGUGAUAUGUGGACAUGUGAUGUUUUGGACAUGUCAUAUUUGGAAUUUGGACAUGUCAUUUGGACAUGAUGAUUAUGUGCAGGGUAAAUGAUCCAAGUGGCCUAUGUUACGCCGGAAUGUUGAUUCAUUUCUGUUCCGGUGAAUUUCAGGCGCUCGAUAUGUCCAUUUUUUUAGCAAAGGUCAUGCCAAAAUUUUCCGUGAAUUUUGGCAUGAUUUGUGCUAGACAGUAGGCAUAUCGAGUGCCGCGAGUUGCUGGGAAACGACAUUCCAGCAAACAUAGAUUUCUUUUUUAUGUCAUUUCUCAUUUUUUCAUAGUUUUAGAAUUAAACGACGAGACUUAAUCAUAGGAAACAUGUCGAACAACAAAGAAAUCGGGCCUACUGACCAAGAUGCAGACGAGAUGGAUUAUGAGGGUGAACAAGAGUACCUUGACUAUUUGACUGCUAAGAAAUUCCAAAGUCAAUGUUUGUAGGUCGGCCUAGAUGAUGGUACUGACGCCGACAUCGACACCGACGGCGCCGGCACCGAUGGCGGCGCCGAGACGGGCGGGGAAGGUAUCGGCGGGGAAGAUACCGGCGGGGAAGGUACUGGUGCCGAUGCCGCUAUCGAAAGGAAGAAGCAGAAGAAGCAGAGGAUACAAAAACCUAACAACCUAGGGAUUGGACGACUGGUGAUCACAAAGAUGGCACCUGGCAAGUUUGAGCCAUUAGAGGCGGAAGAACCUCGCAAGUGCUAUGGGAACCAAGUAGGAUGCAUCCUACGGGAAUGCGCGAGCAUCAACGACGAUGACUUAAGGAGUAAAGAACAUUUGAUGCAGUUGCUCCCGACGAAGUUGCCCAAGAGACUCAAGUUCCCCGACCGGGAUGAUAACAUAGAACAACCGUGGGAUGAUCCGAAGAUGAAAAAGAUUAACAAUCACGCCAUGGGCAUGUUCAGCAAUGAUUUGGCCUCCUGGAAAGGGGGGGUGAAACGAGCUAUUGAGGAUGAGGAACCCCUGUCCAAGAUUCUGGAGGAAAAUCCGACACUUACGGAAGAGGAGUUCGAAAAGUUCAAGGACACUUGCGCUACCGAGGCAGCCAAGGCUAAGGCUGCAAAAUUCAAGAGCCUUCAGCAAAGGAACACGGGGAAGCAUCGCCCCGGAAGUCGUGGCUACCUCGGUAAAAGGUCCAUAUGGGAUAAGGAGGACGCGGAACGUGAAGCCACGGGUAUCCCAGACCCCAUCGCGAAGUUCACCAACCCCUUGGAGCGUGACUUCAUCAGGGCCCGCUACAAGUGGGACAAGGAAAAGAAGGUUUUUUACACGGACCAGAUCACGAGGAAAUUGAUUAGACUACUGGUAAUUAUUCUUUUACCACCUUACAUUUAGCUCCAUAUCUAGUCGACUACACAUUCCUAAACAGUUCACACUCCUUCUGCAGGAGAAGCAACACCAGCUUGCAGCCGAAAGCCCUACUUCUCCGAUGAGGCCCAAGUGGGACACCCCUCUCAACCGGGCCUUGAACGAACUUAAGGGACUGCCUUUGGGCCAGCGGCCGCAAUAUAGUCGUGUGCACGGCGCUGGAGACGGCGCCACGUGGAAGGUGUUUUAGAACGAGGGCCCGGAGGCCAAGAAGCAGAAAAAGAAGUUUAGUCAGGCGGACAUCAACGAGAAGGUGAAGCUUGCGGUCGAGAAAAAAGCAGCUGAGGAUGCGAAAAAAAUAGCCGAGGAGAAAAAUGAGUUGCUACAACAGGCAGUCAAUGCAGCUGUAACUGCCUACAGAAAUGAUUUCGCUACUAACUUGGUUCCAGCUAUCAUCAACUGGACAAAGGAAAAUCCAGACAAGACGGUACAUGAUUUCCCGUUGCCCAGUUUCGUCAGGAGCAACUCCAUGAACAACAACACCACCGCACCAUCACUUGCUCACGCAACUGGGCCUCCUCUCGCAGUUGCUCCCGCUCAUAGCAGCCAUCCUCAGUCUCUGGCGCGCUAGGUGGGCCUUCAUCUUUGGCUGAGCUCGACGCCCUCACGGUAAUUACAUGUCGCACCAAAAUAUAUAGAAUAUUCCAUUUUCGUUGCCUUUCGGAUGUUUUAUGCCACAGACAUAUGUUUUUGCAGGCCGAAGAAACCCCGUGCACCAUACUCUACUUGAUCAAAGGCCAAAAGGUGGACGUGGGAAAGGGGAUGAUAAUUGUAAGUGCAUCUAGUGCCACCCCUAGUUGGUUUUGGAGUAUUGACGACAAACCUGGUUGAGGGACUAAUGUGUUUGUGAGAAUUGCAGGAUAACACAGGUAGUAGUCCCUCAUUGAUUCGGUUUACCUACCGGAGUUGACCCCUAAAAAUGUAUGAAGACAUUGAAGACAAUGGUGGUAUGUGAAGAUAUUCACAUUGAAGACUAUGACCUGAGAAGACAUUGUGUGAAGAGUAUGGAGCGCGAAGACUUAGUUGUUUCGUUGUUUCCUUUUCUUCUUUGUUGAGUCGUAGGAACCACCGUACUGUUAAGUGGGGUCCCAGUGAACAAAGUCAGAGUGACUGAAGUGAUGCUCAACCAAAAUCCUAUGUCUUCGAGCGAAGACAAUGAGAGCAAAUCAUAUCCAGAGCUGGAUGAGUCAGCUUACUUGCAGCCCAAGUCAAGCUGUCGCGUGUGUUUGAAAUAUGACCGUUGGAACACGUGUCAGUUCCUGAGUGACCCAGGGUCAUUUCGGACAAAUUAGGUCGGGUUGCCUAGUGGCUAUAAAUAGCCCACCCCCUACACCAUAAAUUGGUGGCUGCUCAGAGUUAGUGCACGGCUUCUGUCGUUUGAGAGCAACCCACCUCCGAAGCUUUUGAGAGAGAGAAAUCCUUGCGAGGACAAAGCCCAAACACCCAGAGCCAAAGAGUGUUAGGCAUCACUGAAGUCUUUCUGUCCGCGUGACCUGAAGACUUGUUACACUUGAGGACUGUGAAUCCUCCAGCCAGUUAGGCGUCGCGUUCUGAGCAUCCAAGAGUCAUUGUGGAUCGCCGGUGAACGAAGUCUGUGAAGGUUUGGAAGUCUACCUUGAAGACUUACCAGAGUGAUUGGGCGAGGACUGGGUGUCCUUAGCUCAAGGGGAAUAAGGUGAAGACGUGGUCUUCUGAGUUGAAUCUCAGCCUCCCUAACCAGACGUACAGUUGUCACAGCAACUGGAACUGGUCCAACAAAUCCUGUGUCCUCACCAAGUGACUGGUUCUAUCCUCUCCCUCUCUUUACCUACAGUUUGUCUUCGUGAAGUCAUUGCCUGCUUGCACUACUUGUUUGACUUCACUGUGUGACUACUAUCAUUGUUUGGCUUCAUACCAUCUUCCAUCCUGAUCUGUUCUACCUAGCUGCUAUUAGUCUUCGUGCUUUCACUUCAUUGCAUACUUGACUAUGGCUUGCUUAGUGUAGUCCACCUUCCACUGCAUAUCAAUAGGUUCAUUUCUAUUUGGACGUUCAUAAGACUCGCCUAUUCACCCCCCUCUAGUCGAUAACUAGCACUUUCAAUUGGUAUCAGAGCAAGGUACUCCCUUGUUCUGUGUGAUUUGGUUUAACCACCUGAAGUUUUAGCUAUGUCGACUGCAGGGAUAAUCAAAGUCUCCGCUGCUUGCCCCGUCUUCGAUGGAACUGAAUAUCCCUACUGGAAGAAUAAGAUGCGCAUGCAUCUUGAAGCCAUUGAUGUCGACCUCUGGUAUGUCGUCAAGAAUGGCGUUCCCAAGACUGGUGAAGGUGUCACCCCUGCUGAUGUCAAGAAGUUCAUUCAACUGGAUUCUACUGCCAAGAAUAUCAUCUGUGGUCAUCUGACCAAAGGAUAGUAUGGCCGUGUGAGUGCUCUGGAAAUGUCGAAGCUAGUCUGGGACUGGCUCUCCAAGGUCAACGAAGGCGUCUCAACCCAGAGAGAUCAAAGGAUCAGUGUUCUUCGCAACCUCUUCAACCGCUUCAAGAGAAAUGACAAUGAGAAUGUCCAGCUCACGUUUGAUCGCCUCACUGACAUCACAAAUGAGCUACGUGCUCUCGGCGCCACUGAGAUCACCAAGCAUGAAAUCUGCAAGACACUACGGAGAUCACUUGACAGCUCGUUUGACACCCUUGCCCUGAUGAUACAAGAACGCCCUGACUUCAAGACACUCGAUCCGUCUGAUAUACUUGAGAGGCUCAACACACAUGAGUUCCAGCUAUCUGAGAAAAGAGAUAUCUAUGGUCCCAACUAUGGCCGAACUCGUGCUUUGAAGGCAAAAGCUGUUUCCUCAUCUGAAGAAGAAUCUGACUGCAGUUCUGAUGAUCCUGAAGAUAUUGGAAAGGAACUUGCUAUGCUUGUGAAGAAGUUCCUGAAGUUCACUAAGGAGAAGGGCUUCAGAAAGUCUUCACGAUCGAGCUCAAGAAAUGAUGAAGCUUCCACUCAUGACUACAAGAAGAGAACAUGUCACAAGUGCAAGAAACCUGGACACUACAUCUCUGAGUGUCCACAGUGGGACAAUGAGAACAACAAGAAUAAGAAGAGCAAGGAAUAUGAUUCUGAUGACAAGAAGAAGAAGAAAUCCUCAAAGUCCUCUUCCAAGUCCUCAUCCAAGUCUUCAUCUCACAAGAAGAGCUCAUCUGGCAAGGCUCGUGCCUUUGUGGGCAAGGAGAUGGAUUCAGAGGAGGAGUCUGCUUCUGAGGAGGCGGAGGUGGAGUCUGAGGAGGAGUCCGACCCUGGCAUUGCAAGUCUGGCUCUAGCUACAGCCUACGUCGCCAAGUCUAUCUUCAACACUGAAGACAAUGGCCCCGUCACCAACGCUGAUGCUAAUGACAAGGACGACUCUGCUCCCACCUACUGCUUCAUGGCACGUGGUGCCAAGGUAAAAUCACGCUAUGCUUACUUUCAAACAUCAAGUGAAGACGACUCUGAUUGUGAAUCCAAACCCAGCUACAAAACACUUGCUAAAAUUGUAGCUGAACAACAGAAAGCUAUGGAACAUACUGAAAAACUGUUAGACAAACACGAUGACCUGUUGGACGCGGAAAUGACCCGUUCUCAGUCCUUAAUUGAAUACAUAAAAAAUAUUCAUGUUAAGUACCAGGAACUUGAAAGUCGUCAUGAAACGCUCUCAACCACUCAUGAAAAGCUCUCCUAUGAUUAUCUUCAAAGGAAGCUAGAGAUUGAGAAAUUGAGAGCGGCUCAUGAAGAUCUUCAAAAAGAAAAUGAGUCACUUCGCGCUCAACAGAUCAUGAAACGCUCUCAACCACUCAUGAAAAGCUCUCCUAUGAUUAUCUUCAAAGGAAGCUAGAGAUUGAGAAAUUGAGAGCGGCUCAUGAAGAUCUUCAAAAAGAAAAUGAGUCACUUCGCGCUCAACAGAUCAGUUCCGCUCAGGAAGGAUUUGAACCACCAUGUCUAAAAUGCCUUGAGCGUGAUAACGCUACUUCUAUUGCUGAAUGUUCUACUGCUGCUACUGUUGCAAUAUCUUCAACUGUUGAUGUGGUAACUAACCCCUCUGCUGAGGAUACCACUACUAUUGCUGAUGAAAAUGCUAGGUUAAAUACAUUGCUUGAAACAGGGAUGUACAAAAGUCUCAAAGGGCAUCAGACAUUGUGCGAUGUCCUCAAAAAGCAGAUUUUGAACCAAAACCCUAGGAAAGAGGGUGUUGGGUUCGAGAGGAAAAUGAAUGUUGAUGGCUCCUACUGGAAGCCUGAGCAGUAUCCCAAAACCACAUGGGUUGCUGCAAAGGGACCUUCAGUGGAUCCAUCCACCUUAUCUGGCUUCACUUGUGCUAACCCUAUUAUCAUUGAUGAAUCCUUUGAUGCAAACUAUAAACUGUUUAAGAAUCAGAAUGGUGAAGUGUUUGCCAGGUAUAUUGGUACUAACUGCAGGAAUGGGCCACCUAUGAAGAAGAUCUGGGUUCCCAAAAGUUGUCUUGAGAAUCUUCCUGUGAAUAUCAUCAUGACACCACCUGGGAAGAAGACAAAUCUCAGACCAAAGGCUUCAUAUGGUCCAAAGGCUUCAUACAGAUACAGGACUCAACUGAGUCACCCUAACGCCAAUGUUUUGCAGGGAAAUCGUACUAAGACUUAUGAAUAUGAGCGUGUGUCUUCAAACCGCUAUGUUCGUAAAACUAAGAACUUUUCUGCUUAUUCAUAUGAGUAUCAUUCAUCUCCUGCAAGGCUAUUUGCUAGGGCUCCAAAGCCGAAGUUCUCAGAUGCUGCACUUAGACUCAUUGCUUCUAAGCCACCCCUGAAGAUGUGGGUGGUUAAGAAGAAUUAACUUUCUUUUGCAGGGAAAGGUCUCCAGCCGGAAAUCAAAGGCGUUUGAUGCUAUUGCUGGGGACCUAAAACAUCUUGUAGGGCGCAAGAUCAAAUGCCCAAAUGGUCUUACUAUGUAUUUUGUUCCUGAAUCGCUUGCCAAUCAUCCUAUCAGUCCUAAUCUUGAUCUGAGCUUUGAUAAUCCUCUUGCCCGUCAAAUGUUUAUGCUUCACAAUACUCUUGGUGAAGCCUAUCCCCCUAACUGUACUAUAGGGUAUGACACUUCAUGCUUUAGAAUGGACGAUGGACAGCGGAUGCACUAAUCAUAUGACUGGUGAUCGAAGUCUUCUCAUGGACUCAACCUUACGACCAUCUGACAAGAGUCACAUCACAUUUGCUGACACUGGUAAAAGCAAGGUAUUGGGUCUAGGUAGAGUUGCAAUCUCAAAGGAUCAGCACAUGGAUAAAGUGAUGCUUGUUGAAUCCCUUGGUUUCAACUUAAUGUCUGUCUCAAUGCUUUGUGACUUAAACAUGAUUGUGAUAUUUGGAAAAUAUCGUUGCCUUGUACUAAUGGAAUCUGACAAAUCUUUAGUCUUUGAAGGGUACCGGAAAGAUGAGCUGUACAUGGUAGAUUUCUCAGCAGGACCACAGCUUGCCGUAUGUCUUCUUGCAAAAGCUUCAGAGUGCUGGCUCUGGCAUCGGAGGCUAGGGCAUGCUAGCAUGAGGAACUUGCAUACUCUCGCAAAGAAGAAGCAUGUCAUAGGCAUCGAGGGCGUCAAGUUCAAGAAGGAUCACUUGUGCGGUGCCUGCGAAGCUGGAAAGUUGACUAGGGCCAAGCAUCCCUCGAAGACAAUCAUGACGACAUCACAACCCUUCAAGCUGCUACACAUGGACUUAUUUGGCCCUACUCACUACUCUACUCUCACUACUACUGCUUGUCUUUAUGGCUUCGUCAUUGUUGAUGAUUACUCAAGAUAUACGUGGGUGCAUAUAAUUCUCUACAAGACUGAAGUGCAGGAUGUCUUCAGACAAUUCGCCAACCGUGCCAUGAACAACUAUGGCGUCAAGAUCAAGCACAUCAGAAGUGACAACGGCACAGAGUUCAAAAACACCGGCCACGAUCUUUACUUGGAUACACUGGGAAUCACUCAUGAGUUCUCAGCUCCGUAUACACCUCAGCAGAAUGGCAUCGUGGAGCGCAAGAACAGAACGCUCAUUGAGAUGACAUGGACAAUGCUUGAUGAAUACAAGACUCCAAGAAAGUUCUGGCCUGAAGCUAUUGAUACUGCAUGCCAUGUCAUCAACCGUGUUUAUCCUCACAAGCUUCUGAAGAAAACAUCCUAUGAACUCCUCACUGGUAAGAAGCCGAAUGUCAGUUACUUCAGAGUAUUUGGUGCUAGGUGCUGGAUCAAGGAUCCACAUCACACUUCAAAAUUUGCACCGAAAGCACAUGAAUGUUUUAUGCUCGGUUACGGAAAGGAUUCGCACUCCUACAGAGUCUUCAACCUCUUUCACUAUAAAGUGGUUGAAACUAUGGAUGUGCGGUUCGAUGAGACUAACGGCUCGCAAAGAGAGCACCUGCCAAAUGUGCUAGAUGAUGUUCCACCUAGUGAAUCCAUCAAGCUCAUGGGAACUAGAGAAAUCAUACCGUCUGAAGCACAGCCUGAAGAGGAACUUAUCAUUUCUGCACCUAAUCAACCAGAAGACAGUGCUCAGCCCGAAGACAAUCCUCCUAACGAUGACAAUGAUCAGCAAGAGCAAAAUCUUUGUCCGGUUCAUCCUCGUGUUGCAACUGAAGUACAGAUUGAGAAGAUAAUUGAUAGCAUCAAUGCGCCUGGUCCACUCACUCGUUCAAGAGCAACACAGCUAGCAAAUUUUUGUGGGCACUUUGCAUUUGUCUCAAUAUCUGAACCCAAGAAAGUCGCUGAAGCCUUCAUGGAACUUGAAUGGAUUCAAGCCAUGCAAGAAGAGCUUCAACAGUUCAAGCUGAACAAUGUCUGGGAACUUGUCAAGCGUCCUGACCCCCGCAAGCACAACAUAAUAGGCACACAAUGGAUAUAUCGCAACAAGCAAGAUGAGCAUGGUUAAGUUGUCAGAAACAAGGCUCGUCUCGUUGCUCAAGGAUACACUCAAGUUGAAGGGAUUGACUUCGAUGAAACAUUUGCUCCUUUGGCUAGGCUUGAAGCUAUUCGCAUAUUGCUAGCCUAUGCAAAUCAUCACAACAUCCUGCUGUAUCAAAUGGAUGUGAAGAGUGCAUUUCUCAAUGGAAAGAUUGAAGAAGAAGUGUAUGUUGCACAACCUCCUGGCUUUGAAGAUCCAAAACAUCCUGAUAUGGUGUACAAACUAAACAAGGCACUGUAUGGCCUCAAACAAGCCCCUCGCGCUUGGUAUGAUACACUCAAAGACUUCCUGAAGAGCAAAGGCUUCAAACUUGGUUCCCUGGAUCCCACACUCUUCACGAAGACAUAUGAUGGUGAACUAUUUGUAUGCCAAAUAUACGUGGAUGACAUUAUCUUCGGCUGCACCAACCAAAAAUACAGUGAUGAGUUUGGACACAUGAUGCAAGAGCAAUAUCAGAUGUCCAUGAUGGGUGAGCUGAAGUUCUUCCUUGCUCUUCAAAUCCGUCAACAAAGCAAUGGCAUCUUCAUAUCUCAAGAGAAAUAUCUCAAAGAUUGCCUGAAGAAGUUUGGAAUGCAAGACUGCAAAGGUUACACGACGCCAAUGCCAACCAAGAGUCAUUUGGGUCCUGAAGCCAAUGGUAAAGAGUUCGAUCAAAAGGUAUACCGCUCCAUGAUUGGUUCUUUACUUUAUUUAUGUGCAUCUAGGCCAGAUAUUAUGCUUAGUGUUUGCAUGUGUGCUCGAUUUCAAGCGGCACCAAAGGAAUCACAUCACUUAGCUGUGAAGCGAAUUCUUCGAUAUUUGGCUUACACCCCAACAUUAGGAUUAUGGUAUCCAAAGGGCUCAGAGUUUGAUCUAGUUGGAUUCUCGGAUGCUGAUUAUGCUGGUGACAAGGUGGAUCGCAAGUCUACAUCAGGCACAUGUCACUUUCUGGGACGAUCACUUGUCUGUUGGUCUUCAAAGAAGCAGAACUGUGUAUCACUCUCCACUGCUGAAUCUGAAUACAUUACUGCUGGAUCUUGUUGCGCUCAGCUUCUAUGGAUGAAGCAAACACUCAAGGACUAUGGCAUCCAUCUGAAACAAGUACCACUAUACUGCGACAAUGAAAACGCCAUCAAGAUUGCCAACAACCCAGUUCAGCACUCGAAGACAAAGCACACUGAAAUUCGUCAUCACUUUCUCAGAGAUCAUGUCAUGAAGGAAGAUAUUGAUAUCAUACACGUCAACACUGAAGAGCAACUGGCAGAUAUCUUCACAAAGCCCUUGGAUGAGAAAAGGUUUUGCAAGUUGCGGUGUGAGCUAAAUAUCUUGGAAUCCUCAAAUGUCCUGUGAUCAGGCACAUCUCCUAACACUUAUGCAUGUUGAUGACUUCGAUGUGCAACACACGAAGUAAAGUAUAUCUUCAAUCAAUGAAGACUUACACUCUAAGUGUGAAUACAUUAACGCGAAAUUUGACUUCGGAGCGCCACAAUAAUUGUGCGCCGUGUCUGGGUCUAAUACUUCCUAUACGGUGGGUAACACCACCACCAAAUUUUUCUGUUUGAAGUGUUUUUCUCAUGGCGUUACAUUUGCUAUGUCUUCGCAUUUGGUUUGUCUUCAAUAUCAACAUGACUUCAUGUUUUUCUUCACAAUGAUGAUUUGGUUUCAUUCUGAUAUAUACAUAUACAUAUAUUAGUGUUCUGUCCUCUACAGCAUUCACUUAUAGCUAUGUCUUCUUGUUUGAAUCUUUUGAACUAAGUGAACUAGAUGAUUCCCCGCGCGUUGCUGCGGGACUUUGUUGUGGAUUUUCUGUGACAUCACUACAUCAAAUAAGAAAAUAACUUGAACAAAUAAUAUGAUAGAUUUUUCCAUAGGGAGUUGUGAAUGGCUGCCGAACAACACAACCCACUAUCGAAACAUGGACCCUAAAUAAUAAGCAAUACAACAUGGCAAGCAUUCACACAAUGGUAAGACGACAAAUUUCCAAAAAAAAGUAUGUACUGUAUUGACAUAGUUCAAGCAAAUACAUAUAGAAGCAAGAAUGUUGAGCCCCCCAAGCUGUAAGGGCUUAAAGAUGGCUCCUGGAAGAUGGGUCACUAAACAUUAUUUGUGUGAAAACAGUACUACAUACACCUGCAAGCUACCAAGAAGAGAAGUGAACGACAUAAGCUUACGGAAUACGGAUAUGGGAAAAAGGGUCAAAUUUGGUGCUUGCAAAGAUGAGUAUUUUUAGUUUGGCUGUUGAGUCAGUGAACUCAUGUGUUAAGAUGCUGUUUUGAUUGAUACCAAGAAUACAUGAGAUCUCAUGUGCUUUUAGAUAAAGUGAUAGAUAUAAUACAUGAGAACUUGAGAUCUCAAGUACUUCAUCAACCUAACUAACCUCUAUUAAGUUAUCUACGGUACUUUUUCAGCUCGUGCAACCAGGGUUGGUCAUGGGAUUAGAACAGGUGGCAAUGGUGUGUGCGUGGCGUGGUCCGCGAGUACGUCCAUGACCUUGUAGAACCGCGACCCCCAAUCUUAUAACCACAAGGGUAAAUUAGAAAGAUUAUCAAAAACUCAGUACCGACUAACAAAAUAAUAUGGUCCCUUGUAUUGUGCUCCACAUGCUAGUUAACCUUAAAACUGUUCUCAGAAAGUGUCUCAUUAAAUUGAUUUAAUUAAUAACAUGUUAAUACAUAAGUGCUCCACAUGCUAGUUAACCUUAAAACUGUUCUCAGAAAGUGCCUCAUUACAUUGAUUUAGUUAAUAACAUGUUAAAUACAUAAGGCGGGGAACAUGCAAAGACAUGGAUGUGUCUCAUAAAUUCAUAGUACGAACAUUGAUUCACUGAAUUCAAUAUAGGUAAAGUCUCAAGUUCACCAUAGUAAUCUGACAACAAAAGAGAGAACCUGGCAUAUAGAGGGGAUCGUGACGGGUCGCAGGCAAUGUCGAGGGCACAGCUGGGUCCUGGCCUAAUACGUUUCCCACCCUCCCGUUAGUGAUUGCAAGAGAAACCUGCAUGAAAAGGUGGCCUGAUAAGGACAAUUCUAAUUCAGCAACUUAGUAGUAAUUUAUUGAUGACUAAACAAACUGUAUUGACCACGUAGGUAUGCUAAUAUGGCUGUAGUUCUACCUGUAGACUAAAGAUGGUCAAAAAUUCGGUAAUAUCCAUGUAGAAAAUCAUGGAUGCACACCAUUUGAUCAGUUGGUAGCAGUGAACACCAAAGUAAGAGAGCAUUUUAUGUAGCUUCAGAUAGUAAGCAGCAAAGUAACAGUGGCAAUACAUGGUCGCAUCAAGGCUCUUUUUGGGUAUGCAUUUAUAGAUAAGUCAAUUUGACCUGCAGCUUUAGGAAGACAGUUAAAUUUAAGAGCGAAAUAUCAGUAUAGCAGUCAGAUCGAUAGUAUCAAGUUUCAGCAUCUCUAUAAUCUGAUAUUUGCAUCAACCAAGCAUGAAUAUUGCAACACGGUAUCUCUGCAGCUUGUGCAGUUAUACAAACAUCAAUUGUAAAAUCUCUGUAUUAAGAACGGACCUGUAAAAAACAAAAAACUGGAUGUCCGAGACCAGAAUCAACGAACGCCGCGAGUAAGAAGGUGUAGGGAGAACCUUGCAUGGAGAAGGACAGUAGCAAAAUGGCCACCCACCCACCCACCCGCCCGCCGCCACCCUAAAACCCUAGCCCACUCACCGCCGGCGAUCUCCACGUCUGACCGUGGGAUCACUCAUCGAAUCCGGCCAUCGUGUUCGGCGUCGUCUGCUCCCUCUUUUGGUUGUCAUCUCAAUGGCGGUACAUGCUUCCAUCUCCCUAGGUUUGGAUUUCUCAGCGGGGAUGAGCAUGGCGCAUGAGAUCGGCCGCUUGUUUCACCGCACGGUCCAUCCUACGGAUCGAUCUGGCCACUUUGUCCUGGUGGCUUCAUUUGCAUGGCACUCUUUCCAUUUGGACGAGGACAAUGUGGGCUUGGCACUUGAAUCAGCCAUUGGUGGAUAUUGUUCUGCUCUCAAGGUAUCUCAACUGCAUGAUCGUGUUUUCUCUUUCAAUGUUUCGUGCAAAGAAGUUGGGUUUUUUAUCUUGCAUCAAAGGAGUUUUGUCUACCCGCAAUUCAAAUGUUACUUUCAUCUUUGGGGUCAUGGUGGCCCAGAUUGGGAAAAAGAAUUUAGGUUAUGGCAAUCUGAAUGUGAUCAGGAGUGGACUUUGAUUAGUCCCUCUAAGAAGAGAGCUAGGUUAGGAUUGGAAGCCAUGCAACAUGCCCCAAGGAAAUCUUCUCUCUGUACUCAAUCAGCUAGAUCUAAGCAUUCCAAGCAUAUUCAAUUUGCCACGUUCAUGCAAUACCCGACUAGAAAAGGUUAUAAUUAUGGGCCUACGUCUGAUGAGGUCACAAUUGUCCGGGAGGCAGGCUAUGUGGUCUCUGGGCAUGAAGCUGUUUCUUCUACGUCGUCGGCAUCUUCGCCGGUACCUGUUUCUUCUUCGUCAUCGGCAUCUUCGCCGCCGGCGUGCCCAGUCAUUCAGUUUGGAACGUUGCCGCCAUCCCCGCAGGGAUCCCAUGCAUGCGACAAGUCUGGAUUUUCGGGUGGUCUAUUGUUACCUGCCACGGCAAGUUUAGACUCGCCCGUAUUGCCUUCUGUUGCAUCUUUGGACCUUGUCACGGCCCUGGGCUCUAGUGCCCAGCCCAUCUACCUAUCGGAUGAUGAAGUUGAAAGCCCAUCUUCGCCGGCGAUUCAGUUUCCCUCUCCAAAAGAUAUUGUUGAUGAUCUGCAGAGUUUUGAUGAGAUGAUUGAGGAUUUAGCUGCAAGCUAUUGGGACUACCAGAAUUGUUUGGGCAUGCGCCACACGUCAGAGACCUGCACAAACCUGAUACGGUGCAGAAAUUGUUUUCGUUCCGGUCAUAUUAAAAAAGAUUGCACCGGUCACGCUCCUGACUUAUCCCUUUGGGUGCCCAAAGUCCCAUCACCUUGCUUUGGAAAUCAUGAGAGGAAGGAAAUUUACUCUGCUUCCCUUGCCUCUUCGGUUUCCCAAGAACAAACGCCUCCCCAGCAUAAAACCCCACCUCCUGCUACUCCACCGUCAUCGCCAUUGCCACGCCCGCCGCCGCAAACCACAUAUCACCAAGCAGCAUCAAGCUCUGAUCCUCGCCCGCCUCCCCCAAUGGCGGUGUAUGAGAUCGAUCCGUUUUGCUUCAUCCCUGCUGGCUUCGACAUUGUGGAUGGUGGUGCGGAUCGUCUGCCGCGCACCUACUACACUCCGGCGAUCCCUCCCCCCCCGAGUGCAUGAGCAGUACAUGGUGGCAAUCGUUGAGCCCGUCCCCCCGGCUCAUCUGGUUGGUGCUCGUCGGCAGGAGGUGCUUAACUUCUUAGUUCAGACCAUGCAUGUUCCUGUCCUCUCUGCUCAAACUUGGUUUCAAGGAGUUGGUUUAUUCAAGAUGGAAGAUCCUGUGGUCCGUGACUCUUUCACUUCGCAUCCGCCUUUUCCUUUGGGUUUAGAUGAGGAUGGCCAGGAGUUCUUCGUCAGAUUAAUUUUGCAUAACCAGGGAGAGGGUUUCAGAGCUCUACAUGGACACAUACAUGGUUGGUUGAUGUUUAUUGGCAUACCUCUGGAUUACCGUAAUACACAGUGCAUUGCGGAUAUGGUUAGUACCUUUGAUCAGUUCCACUACUGGAAUAGUAUAGAUCGUCAGAAAGUCAGAUCAUUGGUUCGAGCUUCGUUCCCUGACAAUGCGCUGGUUCCACGCUCGGUUGCUUUUAGGGAAUUUCCUAAUUGGGGCGGUACUCUAGUUUCUUGGACGGCUGGCUGCUAUAUCCUGGAUGGUGACUUUGCUGAGGCUAUGGUUCCAGCGGAUGAGGACCCUAUGCCCCUAGAUGGCAACCCACAUCCCAUGCCAGGCGCUAAUGCUCCCCCUCAGCCAUUCUGGGCCAUGCCGCCGUACCCUGCUUUGGGUUGGAAUGCGGUGCCCCCUGGUCAUGAUCAAGGACACAAUGAUGCUCAAGGAUGGGGACAGAACUUGAACAAUGAAGGUGGUUGGGGGCCUUGGGAGGAAGCCAACCAGCCCGCCCAUGAACCUGUACAGGACCCAAUCGUACAGGACCAAAACUCCAUGAUCCUCAAUCCAUCCAUGAAUUCUGAUGAUGAUGCUGACAUGGAAGAUGUUCAGGAGCCUUUGGUCCAUGUUCAUCCAGCGGGGCCGCUCGAUCCUAUCAACCUGGGUAUUGUCAGGGUGUUCUAUGGGCCGGUGCCACCACCAGCAAUGAUUUGGGAAAAAUCUUUCAAGUCCUUGAUGCCAGAGUUCUUAAUCAUGAAUAUUCCAGCCUUUCUGCCAGGCCUUUGCUUGCCGCCCUUGCCUGUUAAGUUGAGCUCGCCUCUUUUGGAGCAAUGCUGGCACUCCCUGGCUUUCUACAAGACUGAUUUCUGCACUCAACCACGCCCCUCUAUUGUACUUCAAGACAUACCAGAUGAUUCGCAGGACCCUGCCUCUCAAGCAAUGGAUCAUUCCCAGGAUGAGUUCCUGUUCAGAUCUGUCACCCCCUCGCCCUUGGGGAAGAGACCACGGCAAGCUCGUCACUCCAAGCGUGAUGUUCAGAUCGUUCAAGAGUUGGCUGAUUUUUCUGUCAGACGGAUGACACGCAACUGUGCAAAAAGGACUGGCAUGAAGCCCACCUCUGCAAUUCCUGUGAAGCCUACUCCUCUCCGUCGCCCAAGGCCAAGAAGCUCAAGCUCGACGCGGAUGCAGGCCAAGAUACUCCUCUGCCACCUCCGACGCUGAUCGCUACAAUGCAGGCAAUCGGCUCUUCACUUGUGUAACGCCCACGAUGCGGCUAUAUCUCCCACGUGUCGAGGCACGACUUAGAGGCAUAACCGCAUUGUGGUUUUGUCGCAAGAAGGGUCAUCUUCACACAAUCCCAUGUAAUGAACAAGAAUGGGAUAAAUAGAGUUGGCUUACAAUCGCCACUUCACACAAUACAUAAAUUAAUUCAUACAUCAUCCAAAAUCCACACAUAGACCGACUACGGUCAAAUCCAAAUGAAAAGAAGAUAACCCCAAAUGCUAGAUCCCCGAUCGUCCCAACUGGGCUCCACUACUGAUCAUCAGGAAACGAAACAUAGUAACGACCAAGUUCUUCGUCGAACUCCCGUUAGAGCUCGGUAGCAUCACCUGCACUGGUAUCAUCGGCACCUGCAACUGUUUGGAAGUAUCUGGUGAGUCACGAGGACUCAGCAAUCUCACACCUGCGAGAUCAAGACUAUUUAAGCUUAUGGGUAGGAGAAGGUAGUGAGGUGGAGCUGCAGCAAGCACUAAGCAUGUAUGGUGGCUAACAUACGCAAAUAAGAGCGAGAAGAGAAGCAACGGAACGGUCGUCAACUAGUAAUGAUCAAGAAGUGAUCCUGAACUCCUACUUACGUCAAACAUAACCCACAAACCGUGUUCACUUCCCGGACUCCGCCGAAAAGAGACCAUCACGGUUACACACGCGGCUGAUGCGUUUUAGUUAAGUCAAGUGUCAAGUUCUCUACAACCGGACAUUAACAAAUUCCCAUCUGCCACAUAACCGCGGGCACGGCUCUCGAAAGUUUAUACCCUGCAGGGGUGUCCCAACUUACCCCAUUAUAAGCUCUCACGGUCAACGAAGGAUAUUCCUUCUCCCGGGAAGACCCGAUCAGUCUCGGAAUCUCGGUUUACAAAACAUUUCGACAAUGGUAAAACAAGACCAGCAAAGCCGCCCGAAUGUGCCGACAAAUCCUGAUAGGAGCUGCACAUAUCUCGUUCUCAGGGCACACCGGAUUGUCCAAACUUCCGGUAGGCGAGCCCAGAGUUGCCCCUGGUGGCCACCGGUGGCUGACAGGUUGGACCAACACUCAGAGGAGCACUAGCCCAGGGGUUCAAAAUAAAGAUGACCCUUGAGUCUGCAGAACCCAAGGGAAAAAAAGGCUUAGGUGGCAAAUCUUAAAACCAAGGUUGGGCCUUGCUGGAGGAGUUUUAUUCAAGGCGAACUGUCAAGGGGGUCCCAUAAAUCACCCAACCGCGUAAGGAACGCAAAAUCAAGGAACAUAACACCGGUAUGACGGAAACAGGGCGGCAAGAGUGGAACAAAACACCAGGCAUAAGGCCGAGCCUUCCACCCUUUACCAAAUAUAUAGAUGCAUUAAUAAAAUAAGAGAUAUUGUGAUAUGCCAAAAUAUCCAUGUUCCAACAUGGAACCAACUUCAACUUCACCUGCAACUAGCAACGCUAUAAGAAGGGCUGAGCAAAAGCGGUAACUUAGCCAAACAACGGGUUGCUAGGAAAGGAUGGUUAGAGGAUUGACAUGGCAACAUGGGAGGCAUGAUAUAGCAAGUGGUAGGUAGCGCAACAUAGCAAUAGAACGAACAACUAGCAAGCAAAGAUAGAAGUGAUUUCGAGGGUAUGGUCAUCUUGCCUGAAAUCCCGCAAGGAAGAAGAACGAGUCCAUGAAGAAGACAAACGGACGUAGUCGAAUGAAUCCUCACAAACGCAACAUUACUGGAACUAUCAAGGGGAAGCGCAACCGGAAAGAAGCAAACAACAUGGUAAACAACCAUCACAUAAGCAUGGCAUGAUGCACAAUCAAGUAUGAUGCAUGUCCGGUUUAAAGAGGCAUGGCAAGGUGAAGCAAACAAUACUACAAUUUAAGUGGAGCUCAAUAUGCAACGGGUUGCAUAUUGACGAAACACCACAUCAAUUAUUUAGUUCGCUCUUGUUUAUGCUACUCAUCAAUAUUAAAUGUUGGUUAACAUGGCAAGAGGUGAGGCUUAACAAAACUACCUAUCUAGGCAAAUUUAAAUGAGGCCGGAACAACAAACAACAAUUCCGGAAAAUCCUCAUGUGCAUAUUUUAUAUUUGGUACUGUUCUGCCUAAAACCAUAUUUUAAUGGUAUUAAACAGUAAAACAAAGUGCACCAUGUUAAUCUAUGCAUUUUUCCACUCCAAUUACGUAUAAAGUUUAUUUAAUUCGGAGCUACGGUUAUUUAAAUAUGAAAUAAAUCUUUUUAGCAUGGCAUUUGAGCAAAUUUAAUCAAACAGCAAUUUAAACAUUUCAAACAUGGAUGAAAGUAGCAUAUUAUGAAACUAGAAAAAAUUCUAAGCAUUUUACAUGUCUAAAUCAUUUUAAUCCGAUGCACGGUUGUUGAGUUAUUAAAUGCAUGAUGUUGAGGGUUUUUCUGUAAAACUGCAGUUCCUGGAAAAAUAGUUAAAAUCGUUCCGUGGAAAAAAACAUGAAUCGGGCCGAAUCUGCUGGCCCAACAGUGCACAGAGGGGGCGCUGGAUCUGAUGCUCACCAUGGGUUUGGCCCGGGUCGGUGGAGAGGGGAGGCAGGGCGAAGUGGGGCUGGAGACGCGUUGGGCCUUCGCGCCCUUGCAGCCCACGCACGCGACGAGGAGGCACGAGGCAGCAGGCGUCGCCCUUCUUUGCUUGAUGCAGAGACUGAAGCCGACCGCGGUGGCUUCAGGUGAGACAGGGGACGACAUCUACGCGGGGAACGCAAGGAGGCGGCGGAGACGAGCGGAACCAGACGCGUGAUGGUGUUCUCCGGCGAGGUGGCACGCGGGCGAAGCUGAAGGUUGCGGCGCAUGUUCUCUGUUCAAAUGCAGAGAAGGUUUCAGAGAGAUAAAGAAAUCGGGGUGGAAACAAGAAGGCCGUGAGGAGGCUUGCUGACCAGCGAAGGAAUGGCCAGGAUCCGGCGGAUCCUGAUGCGAUCGAGGCUGGGGAACGGCGAGGCCGGAUGGAUCCACCUCGGACCCGGCGAGGCAGCUUGAGCUCGGCGGCUGGACUCGUUCUGUAGGCAAACAGAGAGGGAGAGAUAUUUAGAGAAGCAGAACGAAAAGGGAAAGAAGAGAGAAGGCGAGGGCGACGGGCGCGCGACUUGCAGGGCUCCGGCGACGAGGCAACGCGGCGGCCACGGACUUGGCGAAGCAGGGGAGCUCCGGGACAUGCGGGACGCGGGGAUGGACGCUGGAGGACGGAUCCGUCCGUCUCCCGGCUGGCCUGGUGCAAACGGCGGCGAGGGAGCUGCGGCCAACCAUGGCUGUUCCUGGUACAGAGAGGGAGAGGCAUGAGAGACGAGGGAGAGGUGCGGCGGCCUGCUCGUACUCGAUGGCGAAGGGACGAAGCAGCAUCGGCGGUGGCGCUCGCCGGCACGGUGCUGGAGACGGCAGAUGCAAGGGCAAGGGAGGAGCACGACGCAGGGGCUCCUCGGGCUCAGACGUGAGGAAGGAGGAGGCAACUGCGGGCUGGUUGGUCCGAUGAAGAAAAUGAGGGAGGAUUUUUGGAUCGGGAGGGGAUCCCGAGGUGGGAGACGACCAGGUGGAGUGUGGCGGCGGCUAGGAGGACAAGGGGGUGGAUUUCUACGGUUAUCCAAAAUGGACUAGGAAUUGACUAUAAAUAUGGAAAGGAGGGAAGUUUGGAUCUUCUGAUUGAAAUCUGACGGACGAGAAUAAAUAGGCUACGGAGUCCAAUAAAUAAAACAAUCAUAUCUUAGGGAUACUUGGAGAUGAUCCGGAUCCAUCGGUAACGACAGCCGGGUUCGGGUUCAGGGAAGUUUUGGAAGCGCACACGAGGGGGUCUGUGCACUAUACAGAGAGACUCCAGUUUAGGCAAGAGGGAAACGGAGAACAAGGUUGGCUCAGAACGGUCAACAAAAGCAAGGGGGGAUGCGGCAACUACGAGUAGAUGCGAGUUUUAAAAAGAAUGACGACAACGAGUGCCGAUGCAAUGCGGAUGAUGCCAUGAUGAAAUGCAACAAACAAAAUAAAACACACGACGGCAACGAAGAACAUUGAAGGCUUCUGAAGCGUCGGUCUUGGGGCGUUACAACACUCCACCACUACAAGAGGAUCUCGUCCCGAGAUCUAAGGACGGCACCGGAGAAAAGCGGAAGAGGAAGAGAAGAGGUAAAGCUAAGUUGCUUCUUUGACAAACGAGUGAAACCACGAACCUUGAGAGAUUGAAUGAAUGAAAAGAGAGAAUACAAGGGAGAUGAACGAGAUUGAAAACACUCCGUUAUCAAAGAGGAACAAGGAACAUUGCGAGAACCUUUGUAGGUUGAAUAAUAUGAAACAAGAGCUUAACGGAUCAGAAGGAAUAUGAAAGCACACCGGUAGAAAAGAGAAACAAGGAACACCAUGUGAACCUUGGAGUUUGCAAAGCUAUGAAUGACGAGAACAAUGGACGAGAAGUACAUGCAAGCACUCAGGUUGAAACGAGAUGUACAAGGAACGAUAAGGAUCAAUUACGAUAACGCUCCGGUUGGAAAAUGGAAGGGAUAGAAUAUGAACUUGGCAAAAUGAAAGCACUUGGACGAGACUCCGGUUAAAAUAGGAAUGAUAGACACAACACUCCGGUUAAAUGGAUAAGUAAGAAAAGAACACGAUCCUCACAAUUCGAUAUGAUGAGCGAAGAGAGCAACAUCACCAUGCCUCCGGAAGAAAAAAUAGAAGAUAGAUCAUUGGAAUAAAGGAAUGGAGAAGAAAAUGCCAACUUCUGCCACCAAUGAUCUUGGAAAGCACCCUUCCAAGAAUGUUAGAACGGAGUUGUUGGAAAAAACCAACAACGAAACGAAUAAGCUUGUAGUGGGCUAAUGGAAACAUCUCAACAUUAUGAGGUGACAAACGGCCACUAAAGGAAGACAUUGGUUUGAGUGAGAGCACCAAGGCGAUGAAAAACUUCUUUCACCAAGAGGAUAGGAGAAAACUUGGAUCAUUGAUAAGCACCAUAAUAGCAACAUUCCUUAGGGAAGGCUUUAAGUGAAACAUGACACAAGAUAAAUCCAACGAAGAGAUUGGUGGAUUUAAAAUAUCUCAUUCUUGACAACAUGUGAAUCAUGAAACGCGAACUCAAAUUGUCAAGAAUGACAUAACACCACCUCAAAUGAUAAGGUAGAAUGAAUUGCACUUUAGAAUGCAAGAUGAAGAAUGCUUGGAAUCCACAAAACAAAACAUGUGUUGAGCACCAUGUUUAUUUUGAAGUAUGGCUUGACAGUUCAUAGCUUCGAGAGAAAUCUUGAAGAACAAUUGAAGAAUGAAAGGAAUCCUUGACGAAGCACCAUGUAGAGCCUCCAUGAAGAACUCCGGUCAAACCAGGAUGAUAGAAAGAGAUAGAAGUUGAAAACACAAGGUGAAGCCUUGCGAUGAUUUAGAUGUAGCUUCGCGACGAGAUAAUGCGAAAAAACUUGGAACUUCGGAAAAGAAAAGAUGAAUCAUCCGGAAUCGAGAAUGUGAUAUGAUGAACAACUCUGGAAAGAAGGAACUAGAUCACUUGGAUGAAAAAUAAUAAGAAUUACGUUAUGCGUAUCCUUCACCAAUUUAAAUUGAUGACAAGCAACGGAUUUGGCAUACUACUUAUUUUUGUAGAAAGGAUUAAGAUAGAUAUGGCGCAAAGUUGGGAAGGUCUUCAACGAACCACCGGUAGGAUUGAAAAGAACGAAUGAAUCUAUAUGAUAACGAAGGAAGAGAAUUCUUGAACGAACCACCGUAAGAAUUGAAAAUGAACGAAGAAAAGAUAAAGAAACACCGGGAAGAAUUAGAAAAUGAACGAAGAAACUUGAGAGAAUUUAGAUAAAAGUGAACGAAGAGAUCAUGAGCUGAUUAGAGAAUACUUGAACGAUGCACCGGAAGAAUAUGGAGAUGAACGAAGAGACAUCAAUUUAGAAUAAUUGGAGAACGAGGCUGAAAACUUAGAACGAAGAAAUCUUCUGAAAUGAUGGCCUUUGGAUGAUCAAGAAACAAAAACAACUCAUGAAAUGCUCCAGAUGGGUAUGAAAAGAAUUUUCACAAUCGAAAAACAAUUAUGAGAGGAUGGCAUAAGCUAGAACUAUGAAUCUUCAAGAGAAUGGACAAGAUUUAAGAGAAACUCUUCUUCGGUCUUCAAAUGUUGAGAAUGACGAUGAGAAACACCACCAUGAAUUGUUGAGGCACUCCGCAAUGAAAUUAGAAAGGUUGAACCAACGAUGAAAAGAAUUUGAAAGAUCUUGGAGAAGGAGUAUGACUGAUGAUACUUCAUUCUUACAUCAAACUUCUAAAAGAAUUUGGGAAUAGCUCCGAAAAGAAUUAGAAGAGUCAGGUAAGAUCCUGGGAAAAGACCUAUGGGUUAGGGCCCACUCAAAAGAUACACCGUUGAAUGACUAAAAGAAAGAUUGCGCCGGUUGAAUUAAAUGGCUCAAAAGAGAUAACAACCUCGAGAUAGCUUGAAUGGAUUGGGAAUGGAAAUGCGAAUCUUCUGAGAUAUCUUCAGCACUCCAGAUAACAUGAAUAGCAAGAGGUGGAUGAUUAAGAGAUGCACCGACAUGAGAAAGCAUUUGAAACAAGGAAAGGAAUGUGAUUAACCCCGAAAACUUGAAUUGAAUCCACCGGAGAAGAAAAGAGAAUGAUGAACUUGAAGCUCCGUUAGUAUCUUCCUGAGAAUCACCGGAUAAGAACAUUGACGGAAAAGGAUGGAGAGACUUCCCAUCAAUAAAAAGGAUACUUGGUUAAGAAAUCUUAGUCCUUGAAGAAAAAGGGUGGGAGGGCGGGAAAACAAAGACAAUUUGGGACGGAUGAAACAAACAACGUUGGGAAAAACUGAGAGGUGAUCUUGUGAAUGUUGAAAUGAUCGGAUCCACUUGAAGAGAAGCACACCGGUUGAAAAGAAUUAAUAUGACAACCUCGAUGAUCGAAAGGAUUAGCAACCACAUAGAAAUAUGAGAACACCACUUAGAAUAAGGUAUGGAAUCAACACUUCGCAUUGAAGCAACUCGAAUACCACAAAACAAAACAACAACAAAGGAUUGGCUCGCAAAAUAAGCCAGAACAAACAUAUGAUAGAUAUUUCAUCCGAAGUUUUCGUGGUGGGGCCCACACGGGCUCGAUCGUACAGCACCAUCAUGUACAAGGCAGUGCACAUGACAUACGAAGCGUCCCCGAGUCGGCAUAGCCAAGGAAUCUUUAAGACACUACGAGACCACUGUAAAACCAACCGUGGAUAGGCAGACCACUAGACGUCGAACCCCAAUCUCAUAUCAUGCUUCUGUCGGAAAGAUAUCCUAUGAGCUACUUGAAUUCCCACUUAUAAACUCCCGAAACUUUCUGGUUAUGCAAUCAGGUGUUGGGGAUAUAGGGGACGCAAUAUAUCUCACCCAAACUAACAAUACCUAGAUCCAGCUGUAUCCAUCCCUCAACACAUAACCAACAAACCUUCGGAAAUCAUUUACCUCAACCUUCGAAAAGCAUCCGUUAUACGAGUUAUGGCAAUACUCCCGAACUCCCGCCCCAGUACUGGGUGGCGUCGAGGUGAUCUCACCAACAACUGCAUAAAAGAGAUUUUCGAUGUCGGCGAAAAAAACUCAGGUAUUCCAGAACUGCAACGAUAAAAUUGUGACGACAACACCUCGGAGCUCAACUCCCCGGGACACUGCCACAACCCCUAAAUGUCAGGAGGCACCAAGAACAAUGUUCUCGUCACAAAACCAUUGGAACGAUUCCAAGAUACCCGCGUGAUCCUAAAAAAAAAUUCGUGAAAUUUGAGGAGAGGAGAGCCAAAACUUCUACGUCAGGGGGCCUCACCAGAGAGAUGAAGGGACUGAGGAGUAAAAAGAAUCCUACUCUCCGAUAUAUAUAAUCCUAAGACUCAAAACAUUUUUGUUCUAGACUCAACAACACCAGCGAUUCGAUCAAGCAGGGGGCUCCUAAGUCGGCGAUGGCUCUGAUACCAACUUGUAACGCCCACGAUGCGGCUAUAUCUCCCAUGUGUCGAGGCACGACUUAGAGGCAUAACCGCAUUGUGGUUUUGUCGCAAGAAGGGUCAUCUUCACACAAUCCCAUGUAAUGAACAAGAAUGGGAUAAAGAGAGUUGGCUUAUAAUCGCCACUUCACACAAUACAUAAAUUAAUUCAUACAUCAUCCAAAAUCCACACAUAGACCGACUACGGUCAAAUCCAAAUGAAAAGAAGAUAACCCCAAAUGCUAGAUCCCCGAUCGUCCCAACUGGGCUCCACUACUGAUCAUCAGGAAACGAAACAUAGUAACGACCAAGUUCUUCGUCGAACUCCCGUUAGAGCUCGGUAGCAUCACCUGCACUGGUAUCAUCGGCACCUGCAACGGUUUGGAAGUAUCUGGUGAGUCACGACGACUCAGCAAUCUCACACCCGCGAGAUCAAGACUAUUUAAGCUUAUGGGUAGGAGAAGGUAGUGAGGUGGAGCUGCAGCAAGCACUAAGCAUGUAUGGUGGCUAACAUACGCAAAUAAGAGCGAGAAGAGAAGCAACGGAACGGUCGUCAACUAGUAAUGAUCAAGAAGUGAUCAUGAACUCCUACUUACGUCAAACAUAACCCACAAACCGUGUUCACUUCCCGGACUCCGCCGAAAAGAGACCAUCACGGUUACACACGCGGUUGAUGCGUUUUAAUCAAGUCAAGUGUCAAGUUCUCUACAACCGAACAUUAACAAAUUCCCAUCUGCCACAUAACCGCGGGCACGGCUCUCGAAAGUUUAUACCCUGCAGGGGUGUCCCAACUUAGCCCAUUAUAAGCUCUCACGGUCAACGAAGGAUAUUCCUUCUCCCGGGAAGACCCGAUCAGUCUCGGAAUCCCGGUUUACAAAACAUUUCGACAAUGGUAAAACAAGACCAGCAAAGCCGCCCGAAUGUGCCGACAAAUCCUGAUAGGAGCCGCACAUAUCUCGUUCUCAGGGCACACCGGAUUGUCCAAACUUCCGGUAGGCAAGCCCAGAGUUGCCCCUGGUGGCCACCGGCGGCUAACAGGUUGGACCAACACUCAGAGGAGCACUGGCCCGGGGAUUUAAAAUAAAGAUGACCCUUGAGUCUGCAGAACCCAAGGGAAAAAGGCUUAGGUGGCAAAUGUUAAAACCAAGGUUGGGCCUUGCUGGAGGAGUUUUAUUCAAGGCGAACUGUCAAGGGGGUCCCAUAAAUCACCCAACCGCGUAAGGAACGCAAAAUCAAGGAACAUAACACCGGUAUGACGGAAACUAGGGCGGCAAGAGUGGAACAAAACACCAGGCAUAAGGCCGACCUUCCACCCUUUACCAAAUAUAUAGAUGCAUUAAUAAAAUAAGAGAUAUUGUGAUUUGCCAAAAUAUCCAUGUUCCAACAUGGAACCAACUUCAACUUCACUUGCAACUAGCAACGCUAUAAGAAGGGCUGAGCAAAAGCGGUAACUUAGCCAAACAACGGUUUGCUAGGAAAGGAUGGUUAGAGGCUUGCCAUGGCAACAUGGGAGGCAUGAUAUAGCAAGUGGUAGGUAGCGCAGCAUAGCAAUAGAACGAACAACUAGCAAGCAAAGAUAGAAGUGAUUUCGAGGGUAUGGUCAUCUUGCCUGAAAUCCCGCAAGGAAGAAGAACGAGUCCAUGAAGAAGACAGACGGACGUAGUCGAAUGAAUCCUCACAAACGCAAUAUUACCGGAACUAUCAAGGGGAAGCGCAACCGGAAAGAAGCAAACAACAUGGUAAACAACCAUCACAUAAGCAUGGCAUGAUGCACAAUCAAGUAUGAUGCAUGUCCGGUUUAAAGAGGCAAGGCAAGGUGAAGCAAACAAUACUACAAUUUAAGUGGAGCUCAAUAUGCAACGGGUUGCAUAUUGACGAAACACAACAUCAAUUAUUUAGUUCGCUCUUGUUUAUGCUACUCAUCAAUAUUAAAUGUUGGUUAACAUGGCAAGAGGCGAGGCAUAAGAAAACUACCUAUCUAGGCAAAUUUAAAGGAGGGCGGAACAACAAACAACAAUUCCGGAAAAUCCUCAUGUGCAUAUUUUAGAUUUGGUACUGUUCUGCCUAAAACCAUAUUUUAAUGGUAUUAAACAGUAAAACAAAGUGCACCAUGUUAAUCUAUGCAUUUUUCCACUCCAAUUACAUAUAAAGUUUAUUUAAUUCGGAGCUACGGUUAUUUAAAUAUGAAAUAAAUCAUUUUAGCAUGGCAUUUGAGCAAAUUUAAUCAAACAGCAAUUUAAACAUUUCAAACAUGGAUGAAAGUAGGAUAUUAUGAAACUAGACAAAAUUCUAAGCAUUUUACAUGUCUAAAUCAUUUUAAUCGGAUGCACGGUUGUUGAGUUAUUAAAUGCAUGAUGUUGAGGGUUUUUCUAUAAAACUGCAGUUCCUGGAAAAAUAGUUAAAAUCGUUCCGUGGAAAAAAAACAUGAAUCGGGCCGAAUCUGCUGGCCCAACAGUGCACAGAGGGGGCGCUGGAUCUGAUGCUCACCAUGGGUUUGGCCCGGGUCGGUGGAGAGGGGAGGCAUGGCGAAGUGGGGCUGGAGACGCGCUGGGCCUUGGCGCCCUUGAAGCCCACGCACGCGACAAGGAGGCAUGAGGCAGCAGGCGUCGCCCUUCUCUGCUCGAUGCAGAGACUGAAGCCGACCGCGGUGGCUUCAGGUGAGACAGGGGACGACGUCUACGCGGGGAACGCAAGGAGGCGGCGGAGACGAGCGAAACCAGACGCGUGACGGUGUUCUCCGGCGAGGUGGCGCGCGGGCGAAGCUGAAGGUGGCGGCACAUGUUCUCUGUUCAAACACAGAGAAGGUUUCAGAGAGAGAAAGAAAUCGGGGAGGAAACAAGGAGGCCGUGAGGGGGCUUGCUGACCGACGAAGGAAUGGCCAGGAUCCGGCGGAUCCUGAUGCGGGCGAGGCUGGGGAACGGCGAGGCCGGAUGGAUCCACCUCGGACCCGAUGAGGCAGCUUGAGCUCGGUGGCUGGACUCGUUCUGUAGGCAAACAAAGAGGGAGAGAUAUUUAGAGAAGCAGAACGGAAAGGGAAAGAAGAGAGAAGGCGUGGACGACGGGCGCGCGACCUGCAUGGCUCCGGCGAUGAGGCAACUCGGUGGCCACGGACUUGGCGAAGCAGGGGAGCUCCGGGACGUGCGGGACGCGGGGAUGGACGCCGGAGGACGGAUCCGUCCGUCUCCCGGGUGGCCUGGUGCAAACGGCGGCGAGGGAGCUGCGGCCAACCAUGGCUGUUCCUGGUACAGAGAGGGAGAGGCAUGAGAGACGAGGGAGAGGUGCGGCGGCCUGCUCGUGCUCGAUGGCGAAGGGACGAAGCAGCUUCGGCGGUGGCGCUCGCCGGCGCGGUGCUGGAGGCGGCAGAUGCAAGGGCAAGGGAGGAGCACGGCGCAGGGGCUCCUCGGGCUCAGACGUGAGGAAGGAGGAGGCAGCUGCGGGCUGGUUGGUCCGGUGAAGAAAAUGAGGGAGGAUUUUUGGAUCGGGAGGGGAUGCCGAGGUGGGAGACGACCAGGUGGAGUGUGGCGGCGGCUAGGAGGACAAGGGGGAGGAUUUCUAGGGUUAUCCAAAAUGGACUAGGAAUUGACUAUAAAUAUGGAAAGGAGGGAAGUUUGGAUCUUCUGAUUGAAAUCUGACGGACGAGAAUAAAUAGGCUACGGAGUCCAAUAAAUAAAACAAUGAUAUCUUAGGGAUACUUGGAGAUGAUCCGGAUCCAUCGGUAACGACAGCCGGGUUCGGGUUCAGGGAAGUUUUGGAAGCGCACACGAGGGGGUCUAUGCACUAUACAGAGAGACUCCAGUUUAGGCAAGAGGGAAACGAAGAACAAGGUUGGUCUCAGAAUGGUCAACAAAAGCAAGGGGGGACGCGGCAACUACGAGCAGAUGCGAGUUUUAAAAACAAUGACUACAACGAGUGCCGAUGCAAUGCGGAUGAUGCCAUGAUGAAAUGCAACAAACAAAAUAAAACGCACGACGGCAACGAAGAACAUUGAAGGCUUCUGAAGCGUCGGUCUUGGGGCGUUACAACUUGGCAUCGCUCCGGACGAUUUAUCGGAGGAGAAGCUUAUGGCUCCUCCUAAACAAGCUCCACAAGACGAGGGUUCUCAUGAUGAGUGAUUUACAGAGUUAUUUGCUGGGACCAAGGAAACAUCUGGUCGUUUGUUCUUUUGGUUUUCUUUUGUCUUAUGUCGCUCUGAACUUGUCUGAUGUGGCUGUGUGUUACUCUGCGGAAGUUAUACCUAAACUGUUAAGCAGCUCAGUAGGAUUCUAUUGUCUUAUGUUAGUUAUUUAUGGAGACUACAUCGUUUCGUAAUUGGAAUGUGCUGUGUUGGAAUGUACGUGGUCUGAAUUCUGAUGCUCGCCAGCGUGAUAUUAGAGCUAAGAUCGAGGAGAGCCACUGCUCCGUAAUUUGUUUACAGGAAACUAAGUGUGAGCAGUUUGACAUUAGGAAGAUUCGGUCCUUCUGCCCUAGGCGUUUUGAUCAGUUUGCUUUCUCUCCUUCUGUGGGUGCCUCUGGUGGAAUUUUGGUCAUUUGGAAUUCUUCUGUCUUUGAGGGGCAGCUAGUGGAGGUCCAACGCUUCAGUGUUGUUGUUGUUGUUUCUUUCAAGUCUGUUCGUAACUCAGAACGAUGGACUCUGGUUUCAGUGUAUGGGCCAUGUGAGGGUCAACCUAGAGACGAUUUUGUGAGUUGGUUAUAUCAUCUAACUAUCCCUCUGGAUGAGAAUUGGUUGCUCCUUGGUGAUUUUAACUUCAUUCGCUCUCUAGAUAACAGAAAUCUGCCAGGAGGUGAUAUAAAUGACAUCUUUCUCUUUAAUGAAAUUAUUGGUCAUCUUGGGCUAAUGGAACUGCCAAUAAAGGGUAGAAGCUUUACUUGGUCCAAUAUGCAGCAAAUCCCUCUCCUGGAACAGCUCGAUUGGUUCUUCACAACCUCCGACUGGAUCUCUCACUACCCUAAUACAGUUGUCUUUCCUUUGGCUAAAACUGCAUCAGAUCACGUGCCAUGUGUGGUUUUAAUUGACACUAAAAUCCCCAAGUCCAAGGUUUUUAGGUUUGAAAAUUUCUGGGUGGAAAUACCAGGGUUUAUGGAGUGUGUCAAGAAAUCUUGGGAGGCCCCUGUGUUUUCUGACCUCUCUGCAUCUGCAGUUUUAACCAGGAAAUUUAAACGCCUCAGGUAUGAUUUGAGAGUUUGGAGUAAAACCUCUCUUACCUUAAGAAGUUAACUGUGGAUUGCAGCAAGGUUAUUCUCUAUUUUGAUAAGAUGGAGUUAAGACCACUCGUUAGAACUGAGUUCAAUUUCAGAAAAAUCGUCAAGCUUCAUUAUGAGCAUUUGUUGAAACUCCACUAUAUUUAUUGGAAGCAGAGGUGUACGAUCAGGUAUAUCAAGGUGGGUGAGGAAAACUCCAAAAUUUUCCAUGCCAUGGCAUCUGAGCGCAUGAGGAAAAACUCUAUAGCUAGUCUGAAAACCCCGAGGAUGGAUGAUCCCGUUUCAGAUCAUGAUCAAAUGGCGGGAAUCCUCCGGGCUUCCUUCAAAAACCGAAUGGGCCAGGCCCAGGACAUCUCAAUGGGCUACGAUUUGGGCGCACUCAUUCAGCCUGUCCCUGGUUUGGAGGAAUUUUCACUUCCCUUCUCUGAUGCUGAGAUUCAAAAGGUUUUGCAAGAGCUGCCAACCGAUCGGGCACCAGGGCCUGAUGGUUUUAAUGGCAUGUUUGUCAAGCGCUGUUGGCCGAUCGUCGAGAAAGAUUUCUUGAGUUUGAUCAAAGACUUUUAUGAAGGGAAAGUUUCUCUGGAAAAUAUUAAUGGAUCUCUCAUUACCCUCAUCCCUAAGAUGAUAUCUCCUGAGGGGCCGGAUGAUUUUAGGCCUAUUUCUCUUACCAACACCUGCUUGAAGUUUCUAACCAAGUUGUUGGCUAAUAGGUUGCAAAGGGUGAUUUUGAAUUGCAUCCAUAAAAACCAGUAUGGCUUUCUCAAGGGUAGAUCAAUCCAGGACUGUCUGGCUAUUGUUAUUCUGAAAUUGGAUUUUGCCAAGGCUUUUGAUAUAGUUAAUCAUGAGGUUAUUUUGCCGAUGCUCAAACACAAAGGUUUUGAUGAUAAAUGGAUUGGUUGGGUCAAAGAGAUCCUUUCUACAGGGUCUUCUUCUGUGUUGCUCAAUGGCAUCCCUGGCAAGCAGUUCAAGUGCAAAUGUGGGGUCAGACAAGGGGAUCCUUUAUCACCUCUUCUAUAUGUAAUAGCAGCUGACCUUUUACAAUCUGUGGUUAAUCAAAUGCUGGCCCAGGGUAUCUUAUCACUCCCAAUCCCCACACAUGACCAGGAGUUCCCUAUUAUACAGUAUGCUGAUGAUACUGUUAUCUUUCUGUCACCCAGAGAUGAGGAGCUGGUUGCUCUCAAGAACAUGCUGCUUACCUUUCAGCAAUCUACUGGUCUCAAGGUCAAUUUUGCAAAGUCUUUAAUGAUCCACUCAACCUUGAGGAAGGUGAAGCAAUUAGGUUAGCUGCUGUGUUGGGCUGCAGGAUUGGCCAACUCCCUUUUACUUAUUUAGGGUUGCCCCUUGGAACCACUAGGCCCAGGAUUGUUGAUCUCAUGCCUUUAGUGAACACUUUGGAGAGGCGUCUGACUGCUAGCUCAUGUAUGCUAAACCAAGGAUCUCGUUUGCAGCUCCUAACUUCAGUCCUGACUUCUUUGCCAAUCUACUUUCUUUGUAGUUUGCAAAUCCCACCUGGUAUUAUCAAGCAGUUGGACAGAAUCUUCAGACAGUGCCUCUGGAGGGGGAGUUCUGAUGUUCCCAAGCAAUCUUUGGCCGCUUGGGAUUUAGUCUGUCGGCCAAAAGACAAAGGUGGUCUUGGGGUUAUCAACUUAAACAUUCAAAACAAGGGUCUUCUGCUCAAGCAUUUGCAUAAAUUUUAUAAUAAGGCUGACAUACCCUGGGUGUCCCUCAUCUGGAACAGUUAUUAUGCUGAUGGUGUUCCACACGCUACAACCCCAGUGGGCUCCUUUUGGUGGAGACAUAUCCUCAAGCUCCAUGAUGCAUACACAGCUAUUGCCUCAGUGCACAUCAACAUGGGUGACUCUGCUCUGUUUUGGACUGAUGCUUGGUUUAUUGGUGGCUCUUCUAGACCUUUAUGUUGGAGAUUGCCAAGGUUAUUUUCCUUUGUUAACAAUGACAAGGUUUCAGUGCAUGAAUUCCUCAUAUCGCAGGAUAUUUUUACCAUGUUCUUCUUGCCAUUGUCUCAUGAGGCUGCUCAGGAGUUGCAAGUGCUAGAAGAUUGGAUCAUGGCCUUGAACAGGGACACCAACAUACCAGAUGUUUGGGUUUGGCCGGGCAGAUCUAGUAGUUUCUCAGCCAAGAGUUUCUACACCUUGAUGCACUCACAUUUACCCACAAUUCAACCGUGUAAAUGGUUGUGGAAAAGCAGAUGCACCAUGAAGAUCAAAGUCUUUGGAUGGUUACUUUUGUUUAACAGGCUUAACACCAAGGACCUUCUGAUCCGCAGGCACUGGAGAUCCCCCCUGGAUGAUAAUCUUUGUGUUAUCUGUCAUGAAUUUUCAUAUGAGGAUACGCUGCAUUUGUUCUUCAACUGUAAUUUCAGUCGGAGGGUUUGGAACUACCUUUCUAUUGACUGGUCAAGAGGGCCGGAUAUUCAGCAAUGUAUCCAACAUGCUAGCUCAAGCUUCAGGCAUCCUUUCUUCUUCGAAGUAAUUUUGACGGCAUCAUGGAAUAUUUGGAUCCUCAGGAAUGGCAGAACUUUUAGAGGGGAGAGAGCUACUUUUGCUGCUUGGCGGUCUAACUUUGUACAUGAUCUUUCACUCCUAACUCAUAGGCUCAAGGAUGAUACCAGCAUCAAGCUUAAAGCUUGGAUAAAUGCUUUAGCCUAAUUAGUCCAGGUAGGUAGUUCUAGUCUUGUACCUUAGCUUUGUAGGCUAAUUUCUUAGCUCCUAUAUAUAAUCCUACUAUUCCUUUUUGUACAGUUGCUCGAUUUCAAUAAAGGGCUGUGGGGCUUUGCCUCACAGUAAAUAUUAAAAAAAAACCUUGCAUGGAGAAGUGAGACGACGCCUAGGUUGUAGGUGUGUCCCGGGGAGCACGUGCAGCACCAGUAGGCGAUGAUUAGUGGAUCUGUUGAUGAUCAAAUUCAUCACAUCCCAUGAUCAUACGGACUACGGAGGGUGAAACAUGGCGAUUGUGGAUCAGAGGUGCAGGCUUGAGACAACGGGAAUGGAGCAGGUUCGCCACUUAAAAGGGGAGGGGGAAGUUCGUCGGCUACACGCACAUGAGCAGGAGCAAUAAACCCAGCCGUUCCUUUUCUCGAUAGUGGAUCUGUCGAUUGGAGAAGAUGAAGAGGAAAAGGGGCGGCCGUGAAGAACACUGGAGGUGUUAUGGGAAGAACAGGAGUGCCAUGAUGGGAGGGAAUUGAAGCGAUGGGCAAGGCACUACGAUGGGGAAGAAGAAGCGACGGGGAAGAAGCGCGAGGGGAUCCCCUUUGGGGGAUAAAAAUAUCUGACGCUACAAAGCGGUGCGCCUGGAAAAAAAGGACGACUUCUUUAGAGAAAAAAAGGGACAUGAAGAAAAUGAUGCCAAGUGACGUGGCAUCAUCACAAUCUAGGAAAAAUCAAUAGUGGGAGUUUAGGAAUAGAGGAUGACGUGGCACACUGAUGUGGAUAGUGUGCAUGAUGAGAGAAUAGGGAGUAGUGGGGAGUAACUUCUUAAAAAUGGUAGAUGUGAUCGGACCCUAACCUCUCUAUGCUUUCUGCCUCAAACUCUAUAUAUCCAAAUCAUAUGCAUUCUGUUGAAACGGUCAAAUGUAUUCUCUGCGUCCUUGUCAGCGGAAGAUACAGAGACAAACAUUAAAUCUAUUUUAAAUGCUCAAUUCUUAUUGCCUGAAACCCGGAGAAGCCGGAACGAUCAUCCGACAGUCCAGGCGGGCGUGGGAACGUGGGACAACUCCCAAUGUGUUGCAUGUUCGCCAUGUGUCCCUCAGAUGUGAACCACCAGGGGCGCCUGCGUAAUUGUGCUGUGCUGUCCCUUUCCCUAUAAAUACACAUCCAAUCGCGGUCAAAAUCUUUCUUCCACCUCUCCACCUCAACAAACCCUAGCGCCAUCGCUAGCUCUCGACGACGCCGGCGACGAAGCGCUUAGCUGCCGCGACCUCUCCGACGCCGUCUUCACGCCGGCCGCGGACAUCGUCUUCUCCGCCGCCGCCUUAGGUGUCCUCCGUCGCCAAGUUAGGGCACGGAAGAUCGAACUGCUCGGCCUCAUCUUCUACUCCGUCUAGCAGUUCAUCGUGUGGUAAAUUAAAACCCUCUUUUUACCGUCUUUUUGAUCCUAUAGAUUAAUCCUUUCUACCAAAAGUGGUUUCUGCCUCCACAAAUUUGGAUCUAUCCUGUUUGCAUCUCAUAUGAUGCCUAGUAUAUUCACUUAUGCUUCACACGUAGUUAGAUUCCUCACUUGUACGUAUUCUUGGAUUCGUACAAAUCUGGAACCAACUCUCAACAUAUAAGUGAAUGUCUUCGCGCUAUGAGGUCAAUGGCUUCUAAACUGAUUUAUCUUCAAAAUCUUCUAAGAAUGCAUAUGACCUCUUCCCCUUCCCUCGCAUCUCUAAUGCUGUCACAGGUACAUGUCCGUGGGAGAAUCCCUUGGUUCUCAUAGUCUGCAUUCAUUUGCAGAAUUCUUACAACAUCAUAUCAACUCUCCCGAAGCCAGUUCCUGUCUGACCAGCAGACGGAAGCCUUUGACAGUGUUGAAGCCAUUCAGUCUGAACCUCAUGGCAAUAGAAAAGUCUGCAAGGAAGGGUGGCAGACAGCGCCGUGGGAACACAUCGAAGGAUUUGCCACCAUAUCUCUAUGAGCUGUACAAGACAGAUCCAGAGGAGGACUACAAUCAGUGAAAACCCCGAAUCCAAUGGAUUCGAAGAUAUUGGGCAGAACAAUGGUACAAGUACAGGUUCGUGACCCAGGAAUAUGCUGAGAAGAAUGCCAUCAAGCGACCCUGGGGAGACAUCUUGUACAAAAAUCUUCCACCCAAGUCCAGAGCUGAAGCCAUUGAACAAGGCUUCUACCCUUGCAUGGUCCGUGGACCACAGCCUGCAGAUGCCGACCCAUCUUCAUUGCUAUGGUGUCGUGACGACAAUCUGUUCAAGCGCAACUUCCAGUUUGCCAAGAACUCGGCCAAAGAAAACAAGAAGUCGCGGGGAUUAGACUUCAACCCCGGUCCCUCUGCUCCUCGUGCUGAUGGCACACGCGAAGCUGAACCCAAUCUUGUUGGUCCCUUCUACAACCUGGAAGGUCUCAUCACUCAUAUUAUGGUUCAAGGGACAGACGUGGAUCAACCUACAGAUGACGCUGAUUCUGACGAAGCGCCUGCACCACCGAAGACUAAGAAGCUGAAGAAACCCAAGGCUUCGAAGCCUUCCACUGCACCAAAAGCUUCGCAAGCGAAGCCUCUGGCCACUGCUCCUUCUCCACCAGGUGUGCAGUCUGAAGCCCAUGCACACCACUGGUCCAGCUCUGACCCCUGCUGCUGUUUUGAGGAAUGAAAAUGACGCCAUUGAUCUGUCAAGUGAUGACGAUCUUGCCGAUGACGCUCUUGAGCAGCUGAUAAAGAGCAAGCAAGAGGCAUAAAUCUUCAAUGAUUUGCCUCUCUUUGACGUGGAAGUAUUGAACAACUUCAUUGAUGAGUGGUUUGACACCCCCAAUCUCAGCUUUGAUGAUCUGCAACUUCCCAUUGGGCUAAGCGUCUCCUUCCAUGGCGCCAUUGCUGCUGAGCUGGCUCUUGCACAGAAAAUUGUUGAGCUGAAGCACAAGAUCGACUAUGAAAAGGCUCAGUUCAAGAAGCACAUGGCCAAGCUCAGCGUAACAGACGUCCAGAACUUCAAGGUCGUGCUGCAUGAGCUCAAGGAAGCGUUUCACAAGAAACGUGAAGAAGCCAAAGGUUCUCGAGAGCGCAUGAAGCUUCUGGCUGCAAAGUGUGUUCAAGCUUACAAUGAAGCUGAGAAGCGCAAGGCACUUGGGCAUCCUGGCAUCGACCCUAAGAUGGCUGCCAAGCAGAAGAAGAAGCCUGCUGUGGACCAAGCUGAACCAUCCAGGCGGGAAGAACCUCGCAUUGUCUUCCCCGCUAGUAUGACAUGCGUGAAGCCUAAGGUCCCCAUAGUGGCUUCAGAGCUUCAGAAGACAAGGGCAGCCGAAGCCAAAGCCAGAAAGCUCAAGACCAAGAACACCACUGACAAUGCUCCACCCACCAAGAAGCGCAAGACCAAGAAGAAAGAUCGGGCUGCUCCCACAGAGCCCCUUGUCGUCGAGCCAAUUUCUGUUGCUCGUCCUCCAUCUGCACAACAAGAAUGUCGUUUGAUAGUUCAUGAGCCUGCUUCCCCAAAGGCUCUUGAAGUUGAAGACAUUCCAGCUGUUGACCCCACCGCAGCUGAAGACAUUUGUCAUCAAUACAAUGUUGAAGAUGAUUAAGUCCUUCCUCAGAUCGAGCAUAAUGUGGUAUCAUCGCCUGUUCUCACGAACAACGAACUCAUCAGCAUUGGUCGUCCUUUGACGCUAAUUGCUCAGGAUGACUCAUGGGCUGAUCACCCUCAAGACUCCCCUCGUCAAGCAGAAACACCAGUUACUCCCCCAACUCAAGUCACCACUCCGAUGAUUGAAGAUGAAGACUUUGUGGCCCAACCAACUCCAUCUCCACAAGCGUCACCAGCAUUCCGCAGGCUUCGCAAAGGACCAAGGCCACAGGUCACUCUGUCAAGUGUUCCAGAAGGAGAAGAGCGCCAAUCGGUUUCUCGCCAAGUAUUUCCUGAAGCCUCUCCAACUGUGAACAACCCUGAGUCUGAAGCCAACGCAGCUGAAGAUAUUCCGGCUGCAUCAGCCGAUGACCAAGAAGAAGAACCAAGAGUUGAAGAAGUUCGUGUUGCUACACCCCUGUCCAACCCUGAAAUUGUUCUCGAGGAGAACGUGACCGACCCUCCAGCUACUCAAGUGGAGGUCAACAACAUUCAGGCGAUCACCAACACCAACACUGAAGCCAAUGACGUUGUCAUGGCUGAAGCUAAUGUGGCGCCUGAAGUCAAUGUGGUGCCUGAAGUGAUAGCACCUGAUGCAAAUCAGCAGCCUGAAGUCACAACCACUGUCACUGCUCCUGUACCGCCUCCCAGGCCACAUACUAUUGAGCAAGCAUACAACUAUGGUCAGCUGAUCACUGUCAGAUGGCCUAUUCUGGUUCCUCCACCUGCUGCUGGUCCGCAGUUUGAUUACCAUGUCGAGCACAGGCCUCAGGUCCAGAAGCCAAAGCCAAGACUGCCCAGGUUUCCAGGUACUGCCACUUCACCAGGGUCCUUUCUUUGACAGCGCCAAGAACCCCUAUUCCAAGCCAAGGAUUUCAUCUAAUCGGUUCUGGAGCUGUCAGCAGCGCAGCUACUACUCAUGUGUUCUCUAUGAUCAAGGGCACAUCUUCCCUCAUAUGCGUCUUGACUGUGAAGCCAUUGCCGGAUUGCCAUGCCUUGAAGAGCCCUUGACUGCUUCCGUGAUGCUGGAUUGCUGAAUUUUGUGACUGAUAAGGAUCAUUGGAAUGAAGAGCUUCUGCUGCAAUUCUAUGCCACCCUCCACAUUCGCGGCCACAACAGGGAUCCGAAGACAUGGGUCCUUGAGUGGAUGUGUCGGUGUACAAAAAGAGGGGUGCGUUUUUGUACCCCUUUACCUGUGCACGGGCAGUCGGAGCGGCGCCCACGGUCACGCCAAGCAGAACAGGGGAGGUAAGCCAAGGUAAGACCGAAGCCCAAGAUAAUCAGAGCAAAGCCAAGGCCAAGACCACAAAGAGCAGAGGGACGAAGCAGAUUCCCCCGGCAAGACCCUUGCCGGGGCAGCCUCAGCAGCCCCGGCAAGAUCCUUGCCGGGGCAGCUCGCCCCACACCAACAGAGCGAGCCACCCUUGAGCCCACGGUCCCCAACGCCAUCAUCCACGUGGGCCCAGGGCUCGGGAAGGCACCUCUGUGGUGGCAUGCAGAUCUUUGUGAAGACAUAUUCAAGGUCAGAUGAGGAUUAGAAGACGACGAUCCUCGGCAAGAUCCUCGCCGAGGAAGGCCACCAGAGCCCCGGCAAGGCCCUUGCCGGGGACGACAGCGCGCCACGGCAACACCCUUGCCGGGCCACACGGCAAGACCCUCGCUCGGCCACCCGGCAAGGCCCUCACCAAGGACGCCAGCGGGGCCACCGCCAGGCCCAUGCCAACCAAGCUUCCACCGCCGUUCACAUGCAGCUGCCAGCCCAACCAGCUGGGCGGGCACCUGCGUGGCGACAUGCAGCCUCCAGGCCAACUCAUCAAGCGCCUGCGUGGCGGCAUGCAGAUCUUCGUGAAGGCUCCACCACCGCGCCACCUCAGCUGCCUGCCUGCCUACAUGGCGCCGCACACAUCGCUGGCCAGGGCGCGUGUCAAAGCGAGGAGGAGCGGCGACGGAUGGGACGGGCCUCGCCCCCGUCCCCAAUAAAGCAAGGAGACACCUAAGCUACGCAUUAAUGCGUCUUGUCCUGUAAUACGAGCGAUAAGCUCAGGGCACUGUACGCCUUUCCACCUCCUGUGUGCCACUGUGGCAGCCCCUUCCGACUAUAAAAGGAGGCCCGUGGCAUACUGGAGAAGGAUUCGGCUCUUUCGAACCACGCACUCACCACAGCUAGUUCGAGAGCUCAAGAACUCUCUGAAAUACACCCUCCAAAGCAGGACUAGGGUUUUACGCAUCCUCGCGGCCCGAACCUGGGUAAACGAUCCUUGUGCUGUCUACUAGCCCUGCUCUUCUCGCAACCCCGCGCCCCGGCAACCGUAGUAGGGAUUCUUGUGAUCCCAUAGGUGUCGUUCCACACCGACAUCUUUGGCGCGCCAGGUAGGGGAGUGCAAUUGUGAGAAUCUGGUCUAGUAGUUAGCCUAGCGGUUCUUCAUCGCCAUGGCUCCCAAGAAGAAGAUGGCCACGGCGAUCGGCUCAUUGGGAGCCGAACGGCCCGUGCCGGUGCGCACGAGCAGUGGACCGGUCGUGGGCAGGACCCGGGCCGCGGUCCGCGAGCACCAGCAUCGCCCUGGCAGUCAGAACCUGGCGAGUGGCGUCGUUUGCGCCCUAGAUGACCGGCCGCACGUCGCCAGAUCCAAAGACGGAGCUGGGGCCCCCGCAGGCGGCGCGGGGCCCUCCAGGGGUGUCGUUGUGCCACCUCCGGGCGGCGCAGCGACCUCCAAGACGCCCACGCCGGCGACCACUGCGCGCUCUUCCCAUGGUGUGCGCGCCGAUCAGCGUCACCACGCUGGUGACCCUGGGCACCGCCGUGGGAAGAGCCCUGUGCGUCAUCCGCGGGAUGAAGGGGUUCAGCAUGCCCACCGAAGCGCUGGCGAAAAUGGCAUGCAGCUGCUGGGUCGUAACGGAGCUCCUUCUAACAUAGUUAGAAGUCGAAGCGCGCCGCGAUCCACGCAGCAGUCGCCGCCGCCCACGCCAGCAGAAGCUUUGGCACGCGCGCGCAGCUGCUCCUCGACUUCUGUAACGCCCACGAUGCGGCUAUAUCUCCCACGUGUCGAGGCACGACUUAGAGGCAUAACCGCAUUGUGGUUUUGUCGCAAGAAGGGUCAUCUUCACACAAUCCCAUGUAAUGAACAAGAAUGGGAUAACGAGAGUUGGCUUACAAUCGCCACUUCACACAAUACAUAAAUAUAAUUCAUACAUCAUCCAAAAUACACACAUAGACCAACUACGGUCAAGAUCCAAAUGAAAAUAAGAAAACCCCAAAUGCUAGAUCCCCGAUCGUCCCAACUGGGCUCCACUACUGAUCAUCAGGAAAAGACACAUAGUAACGACCACGUUCCUCAUCGAACUCCCACUUGAGGUCGAUCCCAUCAUCUGCACUGGCAUCGUCGGCACCUGCAACUGUUUUGGUAGAAUCUGUGAGUCACGAGGACUCAGCAAUCUCACACCCGCGAGAUCAAGCCUAUUUAAGCUUAUAGGACAGGAUGGUGUAAUGAGGUGGAGCUGCAGCAGGCACUAAGCAUAUAUGGUGGCUAACAUACGCAAAAGAGAGCGAGAAGAGAAGCAAUGGAACGGUCGUCAUCUAGUAAUGAUCAAGAAGCGAUCCUGAACUCCUACUUACGUCAAACAUAACUCAAACCGUGUUCACUUCCCGGACUCCGCCGAGAAGAGACCAUCACGGCUACACACACGGUUGAUGUAUUUUAAUUGGGUCAAGUGACAAGUUCUCUACAACCGGACAUUAACAAAUUCCCAUAUGCCUCAUAACCGCGGGCACGGCUUUCGAAAGAUAAUACCCUGCAGGGGUGUCCCAACUUAGCCCAUCAUAAGCUCUCGAAUGUGCCGACAAAUCCCGAUAGGAGCUGCACAUAUCUCGUUCUCAGGGCACAACGGAUGGGCAAGACGUCGGGUUGGCAUAGACCCUGGUUGCCCGGGGGCGCCGGACAUCGCCCAGUUUGGGCCAGCACUUGAAGGAGCACUGGUCCGGGGGUUUAAAAUAAAGAUGACCCUCGGGCUCACGAAAAACCGGGGGAAAAGGCUUAGGUGGCAAAUGGUAAAACCAAGGUUGGGCCUUGCUGGAGGAGUUUUAUUCAAGGCGAACUGUCAAGGGGGUCCCAUAAUCACCCAACCGCGUAAGGAACGCAAACUCAGGGAACAUAUCCCGGUAUGACAGAAACUAGGGCGGCAAGAGUGGAACAAAACACCAGGCAUAAGGCCGAGCCUUCCACCCUUUACCAAAAAUAUAGAUGCAUUAAUUAAAUAAGAGAUAUUAUGAUAUCCCAACAUAUCCAUGUUCCAACAUGGAACCAACUUCAACUUCACCUGCAACUAGCAACGCUAUAAGAAGGGCUGAGCAAAAGCGGUAACUUAGCCAAACAACGGUUUGCUAGGAAAGGAUGGUUAGAGGCUGUCAUGGCAAUAUGGGAGGCAUGAUGUAGCAAGUGAUAGGUAGCGCAGCAUGGCAAUAGAGCGAACAACUAGCAAAGCAAAGAUUGAAGUGAUUUCGAGGGUAUGGUCAUCUUGCCUGCAAGGUUCUCAGAGUUGUCGAAAGCUUGAUCCUCGUAAGCGUACUCAACAGGUUCCUCGUUCACGAACUCGUCUCCCGGCUCUACCCAAAACAAGAACACAAGCAAUGGAACCACAAUCAAUCACGGGAAAUGCACAAGCAACAUGAUGCAAUACAUGAAUGAUAUGCAAGAUAUGAUAUGCGAUGCAUAUGCGUGCGCCGGAAGAAAAAUGAUGAACAAGGCAGUAACUUGGCAAACCAAGUAUGCCACUGGAAAGAUGAGAUGAUUUCGGUCGAAAUCGAUAUAAAGAUCACCGGAAACGGAUGCACGGUUCGCGAAAGGCAAGCAAAACAAGAAUGACACGAAUCUGUGAUUAACAGCAUGAUAUCACUUAGAAUACAUCAAGUAACUAUGCUACAGCACUCCAACAUAGCAACAAAGCAUAUGAAAGUAAUCUAAAGGAGGUGUUUGACAAAAGAUGAACACUGAGCUACGGCUAGAUCACAACAUAACAGGCUCAAACAAGCAUGGCAAAAGUGCGAAAGAUAUCAGGUUAACAGACUUGGUGAAAUUACUGGACAUGGCUGAAACAGCAUCAGGUAGCAAUGUUCAGAGCAAGAAACACACAUGCUACAGGAACUUAAUAUAGCAAAACAAGGCAUGGAAUGAAUCUACUAAAUGCAUAGAACAAAAGUCCCUUACUGACCAUAAGCGAAAAACGACCAAAAGUUAUGAUGGCAACCAUGUGAACAUAGCAAGUUUCGUUAACAGGUUACAGACUUGGCAGAAAACAGAGCAUGGCAGAAACAAUAAUAUGAAGGCAUCUUGGUAAGCUUGAUGCACUCACCACAAAGAAAUUCAUGACAAAACAAGCAUACCUACAGCAAGAUGGCAUGUUUAUGAAGCUAUCCAUGGCAAGAGCAAGUACAUAGCAUGUAUGAAACAACUACAACAAGCUUGGCAAAUUGAAUAACACGUAAACAAUCUGCCAUAAAUAUUUUAUAGCAAAAGUAGAGCAAGAUUGAGUCAUUCUAUGGCACUCCAUAAUUGCAAACAAGGGUAGUAGUGGAUCAAUUACAACAAUAUCUACAAAACAUCCUUACUGAACAUCUCCAAAAUAUGCAUGGAUCUCUCUGUAGCAUCAAGUUUACAUGGCAACAAAAUAACAGCAGACAAAGACUUGGAGAAAUCACCAAGUCUCUGAAAUCAGAAACAUUACAGAGCCUAGUUUGCAUGCUUGUGCUAGUCACCACACAGAUCACAAAAAUACAUGGCAUACACCUCUGUAAAUAUGGCAUGGCAUACAUCAAAACACAUGUAGAGCUCCUACUCAUAAGAUGCACAUAUCAAAUGCAACAAAAAUAACAAAUCCUCAUGUUCUGAUAAGUAACAGCAGUUAACAGCAUAUAGCACGCUUGCACCAGAGAUUUGGGCAUCAAGAUCAACUCAAAUGAACAUAGUGCAAUUGAACAAAAUGUAGAGCAUCACAAGACGAACAUUUCGAUAUAUUACAUGCACGAAACGGAGCUAUAUGCAGAGAGUUAUGCCAUGAUGAACAGGGGUAUAUAAUGUGAACAUGCAAAAGACUUGGGAAUAUUUUCGGGGAGAGGAGAGGAAAGUCAACCGUGGGCUUCCUCGAUCCAGAUCUGGCCCGGGCCGGGCUUCGAGCUCGCCGGCGGUGGAUGGCGACGCCGGAGGAGAGGAGGGAGAGGCCGGAGGGAGGCGGCGCUCGGGGCCGCUGGCGGCGGAGGAGGGGGGCGCCGGCGACGGGCACGGCUCGGGCGGCGCCGACNNNNNNNNNNNNNNNNNNNNNNNNNNNNNNNNNNNNNNNNNNNNNNNNNNNNNNNNNNNNNNNNNNNNNNNNNNNNNNNNNNNNNNNNNNNNNNNNNNNNNNNNNNNNNNNNNNNNNNNNNNNNNNNNNNNNNNNNNNNNNNNNNNNNNNNNNNNNNNNNNNNNNNNNNNNNNNNNNNNNNNNNNNNNNNNNNNNNNNNNNNNNNNNNNNNNNNNNNNNNNNNNNNNNNNNNNNNNNNNNNNNNNNNNNNNNNNNNNNNNNNNNNNNNNNNNNNNNNNNNNNNNNNNNNNNNNNNNNNNNNNNNNNNNNNNNNNNNNNNNNNNNNNNNNNNNNNNNNNNNNNNNNNNNNNNNNNNNNNNNNNNNNNNNNNNNNNNNNNNNNNNNNNNNNNNNNNNNNNNNNNNNNNNNNNNNNNNNNNNNNNNNNNNNNNNNNNNNNNNNNNNNNNNNNNNNNNNNNNNNNNNNNNNNNNNNNNNNNNNNNNNNNNNNNNNNNNNNNNNNNNNNNNNNNNNNNNNNNNNNNNNNNNNNNNNNNNNNNNCGUAGCGGACGCGGAGAGGCUGCGGGCGGCGGCGCGUUUGUCCGGCGGGGUACGGACAUGUCCGGCGGCGCGGAGGGAUAGGGUUAGGGUUUGGACUGCGGAUUAUCUCGGGAGGGGUGCAAUUAUAUAGGUAGAGGGAGCUAGGAGACUCAAAACGAGGUGCGGUUUUCGCCCACACGAUCGUGAUCGAACGACCUAGAGCAUGGAAAUGACUUGGAGGGGUUUUGGGCUGUUUAGAGAGGGGGUUUUGUGGCAACACACAGAAGGCAUCUGCGGUUACCCGGUUAACCGUUGGAGUACCGAACGACCUCCAAAUGGAACGAAACUUGACCGGUGGUCUCCCGGUGGUAUACCAAGGCCACUUGACAAGCCUCGGUCCAUUCCGAGAACGUUCGACACCCGCUCACGAAAAGAAACAAGAGGGGUGCGCCGAAGGAGGUGGGAGUGCCGGAUUGCAAAACGGACAACGGGGAAAUUGCUCGGAUGCAUGAGACGAACACGUAUGCAAAUGCAAUGCACAUGAUGACAUGAUAUGAUAUGCAUGACAUGAAAAAAAUGCAAAAUGAAAGACAAAACCCGACCACGGAGGGAAUAUCAUAACACAUAGCCGAAAAUGGCAAGAGUUGGAGUUACAAAUAUGGAAAGUUACAUCCGGGGUGUUACAACACUCCACCACUACGAGAGGAUCUCGUCCCGAGAUCUAGGACUGAAAGAACUCCGGAUAUUCGGAACGAAGAUGGUCCUCGCGUUCCCAGGUGGCUUCUCGGUCGGAAUGGUGUGACCACUUCACUUUCAGGAAUUUGAUUGACUUGCUGCGAGUCUUGCGCUCAGUUUCUUCAAGAAUAGCAACGGGGUGCUCAUGUUAAGACAAAUCUACUUGGAGGUCAAUCUCUUUGAAGUUGAUAGUGCGCUCAGGCGUCUUGAAGGACUUGCGGAGCUGUGACACAUGGAACACAUCGUGCACGUUCACGAAGUUGGAAGGAAGCUCAAGUUGAUAGGCGAGGUCGCCUCUUUUGCGAAUGAUCUUGAAAGGACCCACGUAUCUAGGGGCAAGCUUCCCUUUGAUACCGAAGCGACGAGUGCCUUUCAUUGGAGAGACGCGGAGGUAGACAUGGUCUCCGAUCUCGAAAGCCAAAUCACGGUGCUUACUAUCAUAGUAACUCUUCUGGUGCGAUUGCGCGGCUUUGAGAUUAUCACUGAUGACUUUACACAUUUCUUCAGCUUCAGUGAUUAAGUCAUUGCCAAGAAGUUGGCGUUCACCAGUCUCUGACCAAUUGAGAGGAGUACGACACUUUCUGCCAUAGAGAAUCUCGAAUGGGGCCUUGCCCGAACUCGCUUGGAAGCUGUUGUUGUAGGAGAAUUCAGCAUAUGUAAGACAAUCUUCCCAUUUCAUGCCAAAGGAAAUGACACAAGCCCUGAGCAUAUCUUCAAGAAUUUGAUUGACUCGCUCGACUUGGCCACUAGUUUGAGGAUGGAAAGCUGUGCUGAAGCGAAUGUUGGUGCCCAUGGCCUUCUGGAAGGAGUCCCAGAACUUAGAGGUGAAGAUGCUUCCACGAUCAGAAGAAAUCAAUUGUGGAAUGCCGUGCAAGGAGACAAUUCUGGAGGUGUAUAGCUCUGCCAACUGAGCUGCUGUGAUAGACUCUUUCAUUGGAAGGAAAUGAGCCACUUUAGAAAGCUUGUCGAUGACAACGAAGAUAGCAUCAUUUCCGCGCUUGGACUUGGGAAAACCAGUCACGAAGUCCAUUUCGAUAUGAUCAAACUUCCACUCUGGGAUAGCAAGAGGUUGGAGGAGACCACCUGGUCGUUGGUGUUCUGCUUUCACUCUUCGACAGACAUCACAUUCAUUCACGAAUUGAGCAAUUUCUCGCUUCAUUCGAGUCCACCAAUACGACCGCUUGAGGUCAUGGUACAUCUUCAUACUUCCAGGAUGAAUGGAAAGAAGAGAAUUGUGCGCCUCGUUCAUAAUGACUUUCCUUAGAUCACCUUUAGGAACCACAAUCCGGUCCUCGAAGAACAAAGUGUCUCUGUCAUCAAUGCGAUAACACUUGUAUUUGGAAAGACCCUUGUCGACACCACGUUUCACCUUCUUCACCAUGGUAUCCAGGAGUUGUGCCUCACGAAUUUGAUCUUCCAAAGUAGGAGAGACUAUGAGGUUGGCAAGAAAGCCUUGAGGAACAACUUGGAGAUUCAGCUUGCGGAAAGCUUCACAAAGAUCCGGUUGGAAAGGCUUGAGAAUUAAGCUGUUGCAAUAAGCCUUCCUGCUUAAAGCAUCUGCAAUGACAUUGGCCUUGUCUGAGUAUAUUCAAUACUCGGAUUGUACUCUUGAAUCAUUUCGACCCAUCGAGUCUGCCUGAGGUUGAGGUUGGGCUGAGUGAAGAUGUACUUGAGACUCUUGUGAUCGGUGAAUAUGUCCACUUGUCUUCCCAACAAGAGAUGUCUCCACGUUAUUAAUGCAUGGACAACUGCCGCCAACUCAAGAUCGUGAGUGGGGUAGUUCUUUUCAUUGGGCUUCAACUGACAAGAGGUAUAGGACACAACUUUCUUCUCUUGCAUUAACACAACACCGAGACCUUGGAGAGAAGCAUCACAGAAAACUUCAAAUGGCUGGAUUCGUCAGGAGGAGUUAAGACAGGAGCUGUGACGAGUUUCUCUUUGAGAGUGUUGAAAGCAACAUCACACUCAGGAGACCAGACAUACUUCACAUGCUUUUGGAGGAGGUUGGAAAGAGGCUUUGCAAUCUUAGAGAAAUUCUCAACGAAUCUUCGGCAAUAGCUUGCAAGACCAAGAAAACUGCGGAGCUGCUUGACAUUCUGAGGAGGUUCCCAAUUCACAAUUGCGGACACCUUCUCGGGGUUAACAGCGAUGCCCUUGGCAGAGAUGAUGUGACCAAGGUAAAGAACUUCAUCAAGCCAAAACUCACAUUUGGAAAACUUCGCAUAGAAUUGAUACUCUCUGAGCUUGUCGAGCACCAAUCUCAAAUGUUUGGCAUGAUCCUUCUUAUUCUUGGAGAAGACCAAGAUAUCAUCGAGAUACACCAGGACGAAUUCAUUGGUAUAGGGGUUGAAGAUGAAAUUCAUCAUCCGAGAGAAUGUUGGAGGAGCAUUGACAAGGCCGAAAGACACGACAGUAUAUUCAUAAGAACCAAAGCUUGUUCUGAAUGCUGUCUUGGGAAUAUCUUCUUCACGAAUGCGAAUCUGAUGAUAACCCAUGCGAAGGUCAAGCUUGGAGAAUACUUUAGCACCUUUGAGUUGCUCGAAUAGCUCAUUGAUGUUGGGAAGUGGAUACUUGUUCUUGAUUGUCUUCUUGUUCAAUGGACGGUAGUCGACACAAAGUCGGUCCGUGCCAUCCUUCUUCUUUACAAAAAGAACACCACAACCCCAUGGAGAAGAACUCGGUCUGAUCAAACCCAGACGCUCUUGUUCAUCGAGCUGUUUCUUCAAUUCCUUCAGCUCCUUGGGUCCAAGCUUGUAUGGACGCUUGCAAACGGGUUCAGUUCCUGGCUCAAGAUCGAUAACGAACUCAACUGGCCGGCGAGGAGGCAUACCCGGAAGCUCUUCUGGAAAGACAUCUUGAUACUCACAAACAACUGGAAUUUGAGAGAUGGCAUUCAAUUCGCCCUUCUCAUUGAGAGAAAAUAACCGAAUGGUUUCAUCACGAGCGGCAUAGAUAAUCACAUCCUCAGAAGAGUGUGUCAAUUGAAUUUCCCUGGCAGCACAAUCAAGUUGAGCCUUGUACUUAGAAAGCCAGUCCAUCCCGAGAAUUAGAUCAAUAUCCGAGUCACCAAGAACCAUUGGAGAAGACAGAAAUUUAUAAUUGCCCAUCUUGAUAGAAACAUCCGGAGCCAUCAUUUUGGUAUUCAUGAAUAAUCCCGGAGCGGAAACCGCUAUCGGCUUAGGAAGAUCAACAGUAUGCAAAUUGUUCAUGGAUGCAAAAGGUCUUGAUAUGAAAGAAAUAGAUGCACCAGUAUCAAACAAGACUUUUGCAGGAAUAUCAUUAACAGGAAGAUUACCCAUUAUCACAUCAGUAUAUUCCUCCGCUUGAGCUGCAUUCAUCAUGUUCACCUUUGCAGACUUUGGAUUAUGCUUGACCACUGCAUUGUUGAAAGAUCUGACAGGGGGAGGAGGCGGAAGACGCCUUUGGUUGAAGCACUUGUUAGCAUAGUGACCUUUCUGCUGACACUUGUUGCAAGUCACCUCUGAGAGUGGACGGUGAUAAGGAGCAUUGGACUUUGGAGCUUGAUUCUGAGACUUGUUCUGAUAGCCAGAGUUGGAAGAGUGGGAAGAACCAUGGCCACCUUUGUUCUUCUGCUGGUAAGGCUGACGAAACGGAGGAGGAGGCAACCAGAACUUCUGUUGCUUAGCUGCCACAAGUGAGGAAGAAGAAGACUGCACUGCAUCCCUGACUCUCUUCUUAGAAGCCUCACACUUGAGCUGAGCAGCCUCUUGCUUCAGUGCCAUAUUGUAGAAUUGAUCAAACUGAGUAGGCUCAACAAGAACGAGAGCUAACUGCAGAUCCUCUCUAAGGCCACCUCUGAAGUGAUAGAUCAUGCUCUUUUCAUCAGGAACGUCUUGUUUAGCGAAGCGAGCAAGUUUCUGAAACUGGAUGUUGAAUUGAUACACAGACAUGUUGCCUUGCUUGAGAUUGCAGAACUCCUCACGCUUGCUCUCAACAACACUUUGUGGAAUGUGGUGCGCUUUGAAAUCCCGACAGAAGUCAGUCCAAGUAAUCACAGGACCUCCUCUGGAAUCUUUGUAUUGUUGAUACCAAUCAGCAACUUGGUCCUUGAGCUAAAAAGAAGCGAACUUGACAUAGUCCUCAGGCUUGACAUUGCUACAUUCAAAAUGCUUGUUGAUGUCCACGAGCCAAUCAUCGGCAUCCGUGGCCUCGGCACAGUAGCUGAAAGACUUGGGCUGAUUUGCGAGAAACUGGUUGAGGGUAGCGAAGUGAGGCUGAUUGUUGCCUUGGCCUUGAUUCCCUUGAUUGCCUUGCCCUUGGGUGCGGUCUUGCAAGAGUUGCAGAAUCAUCUGAGCAUUGGCGUUGGUGGCUGCCAUGAUAGCUUGCCAUGCCUCCGGAGGUGGAGGUGGUGGUGGAGGGUUCUCUUGACUCCCUUCAUUGCGAUCCGGAUUCUGACGCGUUGGCGGAGCCAUCCUGAAGAGGGUGACGUCCGUUAGCAUCUUGAUAGACAAAUAGACAAGUAGAAUCAACAGAUAGAAAUUGCAACAUAUAGUCUUCACAAUAAACAUUCGAACGAGGAUGAACGAAUGAAUUCCAUAGUAAAUCAUUGCACUUCCAUAAAUUGAGAAGCCACUUAGAACAAGGUAUGGAAAUCAACAUUUGACUUCGAAGCAACUCGAAUACCACAAUUCAAAACAAAACAAAGUAUUGGCUUGCAGAAUAAGCCGGAACAAACAUAUGAUAGAUAUUUCGUCCGAAGUUUUCGUGGUGGGGCCCACACGGGCUCGAUCAUACAGCACCAUCAUGUACAAGGCUGUGCACAUGACAUACGAAGCGUCCCCGAGUCGGCAUAGCCAAGGACUCUUUAAGACACUACGAGACCACUAUAAGACCAACCGUGUACAGGCGGACCACUAGACGUCGAACCCCAAUCUCAUAUCAUGCGUCUAUCGGAAAGAUAUCCUAAGAGCUACUUGAAUUCCCACUUAUAAACUCCCGAAACUUUCUGUUUAUGCAAUCUGGUGUUGGGGAUACAGGGGACACAAAAUAUAUCACCCAAACUAGCAAUCCCUAGAUCCAGCUGUAUCCAUCCGUCAACACAUAACCAAGAAACCUUCGGAAAUCGUGUACCUCAACCUUCGAAAAACAUCCGUUAUACGAGUUAUGGCAAUACUCCCGAACUCCCGCCCCAGUACUGGGUGGCGUCGAGGUGAUCUCACCAACAACUGCAUAAAAGAGAUUUCGAUGUCGGCGAAACUCAGGUAUUCCAGAACUGCAACGAUAAAAUUGUGACGACAACACCUCGGAGCUCAACUCCCCGGGACACUGCCACAACCCCUAAAUGUCAGGAGGCACCAAGAACAAUGUUCUCGUCACAAAACCAUCAGAACGAUUCUAAGAUACCCGCGUGAUCCUAAAUUUUUUUUAGUGAAAAUUGAGGAGAGAAUAGUCAAAACUUCUAUGUCAGGAGACCUCACCAGAGCGAUGAAAGGACUGAGGAGUAAAAAGAAUCCUACUCUCCGAUAUAUAUAAUCCUAAGACUCAAAACAUUUUUGCUCUAGACUCAACAACGCCAGCGAUUCGAUCAAGCAGGGGGCUCCUAAGUCGGAGAUGGCUCUGAUUACCAACUUGUAACGCCCACGAUGCGGCUAUAUCUCCCACGUGUCGAGGCACGACUUAGAGGCAUAACCGCAUUGUGGUUUUGUCGCAAGAAGGGUCAUCUUCACACAAUCCCAUGUAAUGAACAAGAAUGGGAUAACGAGAGUUGGCUUACAAUCGCCACUUCACACAAUACAUAAAUAUAAUUCAUACAUCAUCCAAAAUACACACAUAGACCAACUACGGUCAAGAUCCAAAUGAAAAUAAGACAACCCCAAAUGCUAGAUCCCCGAUCGUCCCAACUGGGCUCCACUACUGAUCAUCAGGAAAAGACACAUAGUAACGACCACGUUCCUCAUCGAACUCCCACUUGAGGUCGAUCCCAUCAUCUGCACUGGCAUCGUCGGCACCUGCAACUAUUUUGGUAGAAUCUGUGAGUCACGAGGACUCAACAAUCUCACACCCGCGAGAUCAAGACUAUUUAAGCUUAUAGGACAGGAUGGUGUAAUGAGGUGGAGCUGCAGCAGGCACUAAGCAUAUAUGGUGGCUAACAUACGCAAAAGAGAGCGAGAAGAGAAGCAACGGAACGGUCGUCAUCUAGUAAUGAUCAAGAAGUGAUCCUGAACUCCUACUUACGUCAAACAUAACUCAAACCGUGUUCACUUCCCGGACUCCGUCGAGAAGAGACCAUCACGGCUACACACACGGUUGAUGUAUUUUAAUUGGGUCAAGUGACAAGUUCUCUACAACCGGACAUUAACAAAUUCCCAUCUGCCUCAUAACCGCGGGCACGGCUUUCGAAAGAUAAUACCCUGCAGGGGUGUCCCAACUUAGCCCAUCAUAAGCUCUCACGGUCAACGAAGGAUAAACCUUCUCCCGGAAAGACCCGAUCAGUCUCGGAAUCCCGGUUUACAAGACAUUUCGACAAUGGUAAAACAAGACCAGCAAAGCCACCCGAAUGUGCCGACAAAUCCCGGUAGGAGCUGCACAUAUCUCAUUCUCAGGGCACAACGGAUGGGCAAGACGUCGGGUUGGCAUAGACCCUGGUUGCCCUGGGGGCGCCGGACAUCGCCCAGUUUGGGCCAGCACUCGAAGGAGCACUGGUCCGGGGGUUUAAAAUAAAGAUGACCCUCGGGCUCGCGAAAACCCGUGGGAAAAGGCUUAGGUGGCAAAUGGUAAAACCAAGGUUGGGCCUUGCUGGAGGAGUUUUAUUCAAGGCGAACUGUCAAGGGGGUCCCAUAAUCACCCAACCGCGUAAGGAACGCAAACUCAAGGAACAUAAUCCCGGUAUGACAGAAACUAGGGCGGCAAGAGUGGAACAAAACACCAGGCAUAAGGCCGAGCCUUCCACCCUUUACCAAAAAUAUAGAUGCAUUAAUUAAAUAAGAGAUAUUGUGAUAUCCCAACAUAUCCAUGUUCCAACAUGGAACCAACUUCAACUUCACCUGCAACUAGCAACGCUAUAAGAAGGGCUGAGCAAAAGCGGUAACUUAGCCAAACAACGGUUUGCUAGGAAAGGAUGGUUAGAGGCUGUCAUGGCAAUAUGGGAGGCAUGAUAUAGCAAGUGAUAGGUAGCGCAGCAUGGCAAUAGAGCGAACAACUAGCAAAGCAAAGAUAGAAGUGAUUUCGAGGGUAUGGUCAUCUUGCCUGCAAGGUUCUCAGAGUUGUCGAAAGCUUGAUCCUCAUAAGCGUACUCAACAGGUUCCUCGUUCACGAACUCGUCUCCCGGCACUACCCAAAACAAGAACACAAGCAACGGAACCACAAUCAAUCACGGGAAAUGCAAUAGCAACAUGAUGCAAUACAUGAAUGAUAUGCAAGAUAUGAUAUGCGAAGCAUAUGCGUGCUCCGGAAGAAAAAUGAUGAACAAGGCAGUAACUUGGCAAACCAAGUAUGCCACUGGAAAGAUGAGAUGAUUUCGGUCGAAAUCGAUAUAAAGAUCACCGGAAACGGAUGCACGGUUCGCGAAAGGCAAGCAAAACAAGAAUGACACGAAUCUGUAAUUAACAGCAUGAUAGCACUUAGAAUACAUCAAGUAACUAUGCUACAGCACUCCAACAUAGCAAAAAAGCAUAUGACAGUAAUCUACAGGAGGUGUUUGACAAAAGAUGAACACUGAGCUACAGCUAGAUCACAAGAUAACAGGCUCAAACAAGCAUGGCAAAAGUGCGAAAGAUAUCAGGUUCACAGACUUGGUGAAAUUACUGGACAUGGCUGAAACAGCAUCAGGUAGCAAUGUUCAGAGCAAGAAAAACACAUGCUACAAGAACUUAACAUCGCGAAACAAGGAUGGCAUGAAUCUACUAAAUGCAUAGAACAAAAGUCACUUACUGACCAUAAGCCAAAAAGGACCAAAAGUUAUGAUGGCAACCAUGUGAACAUAGCAAGUUUCGUUAACAGGUUACAGACUUGGCAGAAAACAGAGCAUGGCAGAAACAAUAAUAUGAAGGCAUCUUGGUAAGCUUGAUGCACUCACCACAAAGAAAUUCAUGACAAAAUAAGCAUACCUACAGCAAGAUGGCAUGUUUAUGAAGCUAUCCAUGGCAAGAGAAAGUACAUAGCAUGUAUGAAACAACUACAACAAGCUUGGCAAAAUUGAAUAACACGUAAACAAUCUGCCAGAAAUAUUUUAUAGAAAAAGUAGAGCAAGAUUGAGUCAUUCUAUGGCACUCCAUAAUUGCAAACAAGGGCAGGAAUGGAUCAAUUACAACAAUAUCUACAAAACAUCCUUACUGAACAUCUCCAAAAUAUGCAUGGAUCUCUCUAUAGCAUCAAGUUUACAUGACAACAAAAUAACAGCAGACAGACUUGGAGAAAUCACCAAGUCUCUGAAAUCAGAAACAUUAUGGAGCCUAGUUUGCAUGCUUGUGCUAGUCACCACAGAGAUCACAAAAAUACAUGGCAUACACCUCUGUAAAUAUGGCAUGGCAUACAUCAAAACACAUGUAGAGCUCCUACUCAUAAGAUGCACAUAUCAAAUGCAACAAAAAUAACAAAUCCUCAUGUUCUGUUAAGUAACAGCAGUUAACAGCAUAUAGCACUCUUGCACCAGAGAGUUUGGCAUCAAGAUGAACUCAAAUGAACAUGGUGCAAUUGAACAAAAUGUAGAGCAUCAUGAGACGAACAUUUCGAUAUAUUACAUGUACGAAACGGAGCUAUAUGCAGAGAGUUAUGCCAUGAUGAACAGGGGUAUAUAAUGUGAAAAUGCAAAAGACUUGGGAAUAUUUUCGGGGAGAGGUUUGGAAAGUCAACCGUGGGCUUCCUCGAUCCAAAUCUGGCCGGGGCCGGGCUUCGAGCUCGCCGGCGGUGGAUGGCGACGCCGGAGGAGAGGAGGGAGAGGCCGGAGGGAGGCGGCGCUCGGGGCCGCGGGCGGCGGAGGAGGGGGGCGCCGGCGACGGGCGCUGCUCGGGCGGCGCCGACGACGGGCGAGGCGGCGAGCGGCGGCGGGGCCNNNNNNNNNNNNNNNNNNNNNNNNNNNNNNNNNNNNNNNNNNNNNNNNNNNNNNNNNNNNNNNNNNNNNNNNNNNNNNNNNNNNNNNNNNNNNNNNNNNNNNNNNNNNNNNNNNNNNNNNNNNNNNNNNNNNNNNNNNNNNNNNNNNNNNNNNNNNNNNNNNNNNNNNNNNNNNNNNNNNNNNNNNNNNNNNNNNNNNNNNNNNNNNNNNNNNNNNNNNNNNNNNNNNNNNNNNNNNNNNNNNNNNNNNNNNNNNNNNNNNNNNNNNNNNNNNNNNNNNNNNNNNNNNNNNNNNNNNNNNNNNNNNNNNNNNNNNNNNNNNNNNNNNNNNNNNNNNNNNNNNNNNNNNNNNNNNNNNNNNNNNNNNNNNNNNNNNNNNNNNNNNNNNNNNNNNNNNNNNNNNNNNNNNNNNNNNNNNNNNNNNNNNNNNNNNNNNNNNNNNNNNNNNNNNNNNNNNNNNNNNNNNNNNNNNNNNNNNNNNNNNNNNNNNNNNNNNNNNNNNNNNNNNNNNNNNNNNNNNNNNNNNNNNNNNNNNNNNNNNNNNNNNNNNNNNNNNNNNNNNNNNNNNNNNNNNNNNNNNNNNNNCACGGGGCGGACGCGGAGAGGCUGCGGGCGGCGGCGCAUUAGUCCGGCGGGGUACGGACGUGUCCGACGGCGCGGAGGGAUAGGGUUAGGGUUUGGACUACGGAUUAUCUCGGGAGGGGUGCAAUUAUAUAGGUAGAGGGAGCUAGGAGACUCCAAACGAGGUGCGGUUUUCGCCCACACGAUCGUGAUCGAAAAACCUAGAGCAUGGAAAUGACUUGGAGGGGUUUUGGGAUGUUUAGAGAGGGGGUUUUGCGGCAACACACAGAAGGCAUCUGCGGUUACCCGGUUAACCGUUGGAGUACCAAACGACCUCCAAAUGGAACGAAACUUGACCGGUGGUCUCCCGGUGGUAUACCAAGGCCACUUGACAAGCCUCGGUCCAUUCCGAGAACGUUCGACACCCGCUCACGAAAAGAAACAAGAUGGGUGCGUCGGAGGAGGUGGGAGUGCCGGAUUGCAAAACGGACAACGGGGAAACUGCUCGGAUGCAUGAGACGAACAUGUAUGCAAAUGCAAUGCACAUGAUGACAUGAUAUGAUAUGCAUGACAUGAACAAAAUGCAAAACGAAAGACAAAACCCGACCACGGAGGGAAUAUCAUAACACAUAGCCGAAAAUGGCAAGAGUUGGAGUUACAAAUAUGGAAAGUUACAUCCGGGGUGUUACAACUUCCCUCCUGUUGCAGAGAAGCUCGACAAGUGGAGGGCCACCAUCCGGAGCCUCGUCGCCAUCGCCAACAAAGACGAUCCACGACCAGCGGGGCCCUCAGGUCGGCGCUCCACCGAGCCACCACGUGCUGGCGCUGGGAGGACCGGGGGAGCUGCGGCCACGGUGCACUCUCCUCCUCCUCGCCAGCCGCCGCGGGCGUCUGCCCGUCGUGACGACGCUUGUGAUAACAUCUCAAUAGCGUCGUCCGACCCACGGACCCUCCGCGACCAGCGCCAGGUCCUUCGGGAACGAGCUCACAAAGACGCUCGAACCAGCGUCGAACGCCGACGCGAAACGCGCGUCCAGUCGGACAAGCGGGCGGGACCCGCUAUGGACCACCCGGCACCGGGGGGCUCCGGCGGCCUACCUUACGAGGUGGGAUGCCCGGCCUUUACCCGUGAGCUGCGGCAGUUCCAGUGGCCGUCCCAUUGCACGUUCAAGCCCGACGUCAGCGAGAAGUACACUAGCAGGACCCAUCCGUCCGAGUUCCUCAGCAUCUACACCAUCGCGAUGCAGGCUGCUGGGGCUCGCGACGACAAGGUGCUUGCCAACUAUUUCCCGCUGGUGCUCAAGCCCAAUGUGAUGUCUUGGUUGAUGCACUUGCCGGUGGAUUCCAUUUCUUCCUGGUCGAAUCUGUGCCAUGAGUUCGUUGGCGCCUUCACAGGAGGCCACCAAGCUCAUGGCCAGGCCAGUGAUCUGCAUAUCAUUCCCCAGAAGGAAGGGGAGACCCUACGCAAGUACAUCCAGAGAUUCAGCCGGGUGCAGUACAACAUCCCUGACGUUCAUCCCGCCGCUGUGAUUAGCGCGUUCCACCAGAACAUGCGCAAUCGCAAGAUGCGCGAGGAGCUGGCGAUGACCAAGGUCAAGGAUGUGGCCGAGCUCUACGUUCUGGCCGAUAGAUGCGCCCGGGCUGAAGAGGGAAGGAAGUACCCCGGCGAAGACGCCGGCACGGAAACCGACUCUACCGAUGAGGACGCCGCUACCCCGACGAAGAAGGGCCGGCGUUGCAACAGGAAACGCAAGGGCCAGGCCGUGCUUGCCGUUGAGGGAUCUGACGACACCGGUGCCGGCAAGAAGGUCAAGGCAGGCGCUCCCGGCAAGGAGAUUCCGGGUGCGCCGCCUGCCGGGCCUUGGUGGCUACCGACAAGCCAGGGAGCUCCGGCAAGCAAUACUGCAAGAUCCACCGCACCAAGGGCCACGACCUCCAGAACUGCCGACAAGUCGAGCUGCUUGCUGAUAAGCAAAAGGCUGAGUACAAGAGGCGGGACAAGGAGAAGGACAAGGACGGUGCCGAGGGAUCCGACAAGAAGCGUGGCGGCCAAGGAGGCUGCCCCGGCAAGGACAACCAGCAAGAGAGGCCCGCCCGGGGCCGCGACAAGAAACAAGAAGAUGAUGAUCACGACGAGGAGGACGAGUCUGGUGAGCAAGGGUUCCAGAAGGCUACGGAGGCCAUGUGCGUCGAUGGCGGCGCCUCGCUGCAUACCUCUCACCGCCAGCUCAAGCAGUGGGCGCGUGAGAUUACAGCAGCAGAGUCGUUGUUCGACUCUCAGAAGCCACUGAAGUGGUCCAACACGCCCCUCAUCUUUGACGCCGAGGACCACCCUAACCGCACUACCGCGGUCGGGUGUUUGCCAUUGUUGGUCACACCAACGAUACGCAACCUCAGGGUGAACAAGAUGUUGGUUGACAGCGGGGCCGGCUUGAACCUGAUUUCGCCUGUCGUGAUCAAAAGGUUGCAAAUCCCUGAUGGAUACCUCGAGGAAACGGGCAUGUUUCAAGGGGUCAAUCCAGGGAGGAGCCAGCCGAAGGGAAAGGUCACACUGCCCGUGACAUUUGGAGGAGAGUUGAACUACAGGACAGAGAGGAUUGUCUUCGACGUGGCCGAGAUCCCCUUGCCCUAUAACGGGAUCCUCAGCCGCCCGGCACUAGCCAAGUUCAUGGCGGCAUCACACUAUGCCUACAACAUGCUAAAGAUGCCUGGGCCGUUGACCAUCAUCUUCGUCCCCUCCGGCAAGAAGGACAUGCUGAUCUGCGCCGACCAACUCUACCGGGAAGCAGUUGCAGCAGCUGCCGUCAAGGCACCUGCUCCUGCCGCUGAAGGGCUGGGAGGGAAGAAGAAGCCCGACAAGACCUCUCGCACCCACUCCGGCAAGCGCACCUCCUCGGAGUGUUGCGCUACCGUCGAGGACGUGCCAGAGAGCUCUACCGACAAGAGCAAGAGAUCCAGAGCCGAGCCGCCGCAGACCAAGAAGGUGCCCAUCAGGGAGGAUGGCGCGGGAGGGGUCUUCACCAUAGGCUUCACCCUCGACAGCAAAUAGGAAGGCGCGCUCGUCACCUUCCUGCGGGCGAAUGUCGACGUGUUUGCGUGGCAAGCAUCUGACAUCCCCGGUGUUCCCAGGGAGGUGAUUGAGGACCACCUAGCUGUCUGCCCCCACGCGCGGCCCGUCAAGCAGAAGGUCAGAAAGCAGGCUCUGGAGAGGCAGGAGUUCAUCACAGAGGAGAUCAGGAAGUUGGAAGCGGCAGGUUUGGUGAGAGGAGUGCUCCACCCGACGUGGUUGGCCAAUCCGGUAGUGGUGCGCAAGGCGAAUGGGAAGUGGAGGCUGUGUAUUGAUUACACAGAUAUCAAUAAGGCUUGUCCUAAGGACCCCUUCCCGUUGCCGCGCAUCGACCAGAUUGUUGACUCCACAGCCGGGUGUGAUCUGUUAUCAUUCCUCGACGCCUACUCAGGCUACCACCAGAUCUUCAUGACAAGAGAGGAUGAAGAGAAGACAACAUUCAUCACCCCAUGUGGUACGUAUUGCUUUUUACGGAUGCCUUUCGGGUUGAAGAGUGCUGGCUCAACGUUCGCAAGAGCAGUCCAAAUUGGUUUUGAACCUCAGCUCCAUAGAAAUAUGGAGGCCUACAUGGAUGACAUAGUGGUCAAAACCAAGGACGGGCCACCUCUUGUGCAAGAUCUGGAAGAGACAUUUGCCAACCUGCGCAAGAUCAACCUCAAGCUGAACCCUGAGAAGUGUGUCUUCGGCGUUCCAUCCGGCAAGCUUCUCGGGUUCUUUGUGUCGCAGCGCGGGAUCGAGGCAAACCCAGACAAGAUCAAGGCUAUUGGGUUGAUUGAGGCGCCCAAGCGGAUCAAAGAUGUGCGUCGGCUCACCGGCUGCGUUGCCGCCAUGAGCCGAUUCAUCUCCAAGUCUGCCGAGCGCGCCCUUCCCUUCUUCAGAAUCUUGAAAAAGGCAGGCCCAAUGGAGUGGACCCCAGAAGCCGAGGCAGCAUUGCAGGAUCUAAAGAAAUACCUUUCCUCCACGCCAAUACUGGUUGCGCCUAAACCACAAGAGCCGUUGCUGCUGUAUCUGGCGGCGACGAAUCAAGUGGUCAGCGCUGCGCGGGUGGCACAGAGGGAGGUCAACGAGGAGGCAGUGACAACGGCAGAACCAGCGGAUGGCAAGCCCAAGAUUCCCCCGGUAGGGCCUGGUGCCAGCAAGGCGAGGCCCCCGACAGAGUCUGAUGCCGCCGAGGCAGUGCCUGCGCAGUCAAGUGAGGUGGUGCAGAAGAAGAAGAUGAUGCAGCACCCGGUUUACUUUGUCAGCUCCCUCUUGCAGGGAGCUAGAUCGAGGUACUCCGGUGUGCAGAAAUUGCUCUUCGGCCUCCUGAUGGCCUCGAGGAAGCUGCGUCAUUACUUCCAAGCCCACGAGAUCACCGUCGUCACCCGCCUCCCAUUGCAACGGAUACUGUACAACCUAGAUGCGACUGGAAGGAUUGUGGAAUGGGCCUUGGAGUUGUCAAGCUUCGGUUUAAAGUUUGAAAGUACCUCGAGAAUUCAGAGCAGAGUCUUGGUGGAGUUCAUUGCAGAAUGGACCUCAACGCCCGACGAAGAAAUCCAGGAGACCACUCUCCCCGGCAAGGAAGCAGACCGCGACUGGAUCAUGUACUUUGAUGGGGCUUUCUCGCUGCAAGGCGCCGGUGCCGGUGUGCUGCUCGUCGCGCCAACCGGAGAGCACCUCAAGUACAUUAUCCAGAUGCACUUCCCCAGGGAGAUGUCCACCAACAACACUGCUGAGUACGAGGGAUUGCUCGCCGGUCUCAGGAUCGCGGCAGACCUUGGGGUUAAGAAGCUCAUCGUCAGGGGAGACUCGCAGCUUGUUGUUAGGCAUGUCAACAAGGAUUACCAGAGCCCAUUGAUGGAGGCCUACGUAGAUGAGGUGAGGAAGCUGGAGGAACGCUUUGACGGUAUCCAAGCGGAGCACGUCCCCCGAAUGGAGAACGACAUCGCCGAUUACCUGUCAAAGCGUGCUGCAUUCAAGCUACCUGUGGAACUAGGUACCUUUUUACUCCGGUUAACUCAACCAUCCGUCGAGCCAUCAACGGGGCAGAACAAGCAGAAGUAGUCAGGUCCCGGCAAGUACUUUCCUACCGAGCCCCCUGGGGCCGCCGGCAAGGGUGCUGCCGCGGACGCUGAGCCUGCCCAAGAGCAACUGGCUCCGGCAGGGCGUCAAGCCCUGGCCGUAGAGACAGCCGUUCCCAUGGCGGAAGAAAUGCCUUUGGCCCUUGCCGUCGAGCCCCAGGCUCCGGCAUGGGCGCAGCAUACCGUCCAAUUCCUCCAAACAGGGGAGCUUCCUCAGGAGCAGGAAGAAGCGGAAAAAGUAGCCCGUCGGUCCGCCCUGUACCAGUUCGUCGAUGACGUCCUGUACAGGAGAAGGCCGAACGGCGUGAAAUUGAAGUGCAUCCCCCGGGAGGAAGGACUGGUGCUGUUGGCGGAGAUACAUGGAGGCAUAUGUGGCUCCCACAUAGGGUCGAGGGCCCUUUCCAGAAAGGCGUUCCGGCAAGGUUUCUUCUGGCCCACCGCCCUCCAGGAUGCGACGGCAGUAGUAACCAAGUGUGAAGCGUGUCAGUUCCAUUCAAAGAAGCUUCAUCAACCAUCCCAAGCCCUUCAAACAAUCCCUCUCUCCUGGCCAUUCUCGGUCUGGGUCUCGACAUACUGGGCCCUUUCCCCCGCGCUGUCGGGGGCUUUGAGUACUUGUACGUUGCAAUCGACAAGUUCACAAAGUGGCCGGAGGUGGAAGCAGUGAGAAAGGUGACUGCUCAGUCACCUGUCAAGUUUUUCAAGGGACUGGUCUGCCAUUUUGGUGUGCCAAAUAGAGUCAUCACCGACAACGGCACGCAGUUCACGAGCCACACCUUCAUGCAAUACAUUCAAGACCUCGGCAGCAAGGUCUGUUUUGCUUCCGUGGCACACCCACGGAGCAACGGCCAAGCGGAGAGGGCGAAUGUUGAAGUGUUGCGAGGCCUAAGGACAAAGACUUUUGACAAGCUGCGCAAGAGCGGAAGGCGCUGGAUUGAUGAAUUGCCGGCGGUUCUUUGGUCGAUCAGAAUGACGCCAAAUCGAGCCACCAGCCAGACACCUUUUGCCCUGGUCUACGGGGCAGAAGCAGUUCUCCCCACGGAACUCAUAUACGGGUCACCUCAAGUGCUAGCUUAUGAUGAGCUUGAGUAAGAGCAGUUGCGCAAAGAUGACGCGACGCUCCUUGAGGAAGAUCGUCUUCGGGCGGCUGUGAGAGUAGCACGCUACCAGCAAGCCUUGCGCCGCUACCAUAGCCGCAAGGUUCAUGCCCGAAGCUUUGAGGAAGGCGACCUUGUUCUUCGGCGCGUUCAGUCGGCCAAGAAUGCCAACAAGUUGACGCCGAAGUGGGAAGGCCCUUAUCGGGUAAUACGAGUCACCAGGCCCGGCGCAGUCCGCCUGGAGACCGAAGAUGCCGUCCCAGUGAGCAACUCCUGGAACAUCGAGCAUCUUCGCAAGUUUUACCCAUAAGGUGCGGCUUGCCGGGCCUCCCGGCAAGCCACCUUUUGUACAAGCUUUGCCGGCAAGGCAUGUGACCCUUUGUACAAAGCCAGGCACAAACCCUGAGCAUAAAUAAAUGAAGCGCUGGCGCCCUAAGUCAUAGCAUGCAUGCUAGGUCGAGUCCCUUCCUUGGUUAGGGUUGAUAGUACUCAGCAGCGACUAACCCCUAGCUUAGAGGUCGAGUGCGCGUCUAUCUGUUUCUCUUCUGUCCUCUUUUGGUUCGCAGGGCACAUGAGCACUUCUACCGAGCUACUUGGAAGAAAGAAAACGGAACAGCGUCCUGACCCCGGCAAACCAGAGUUGCCGGGGGCUGCAAGCACAAGGAUCCAACCGCGGCAAGAUGAGAUUGCCAGGGGCUGCAGAUCUAGAUAAGUCUUUCAUCCUCUGUCAUGUAUUUCGGAACCGGACUGGGGCAUGUGAAACCUCGUUUUUAUCUCUAGGCUGCCGUGCUCCCCUUUUUCCUAUACCUAAGGAUUAUUUCCUGGGUUCGGAUUUGGUUGUAGCCGCGGUAGCAAGGAGGUAGAACGAGGAGCCUAAAGCCCACUUCAUCCCUGCCUCCGCCAAGAGCGCGAGAAGGUCGAGUGGAGUGGGGGGACGGCAAGGUCUGUUGCCGGGUGAAAAACGUUUAUCUUAAACAAUAACAAGGAUUCGCUCCUUGUCGCGGGAUUUACCCAUGAACGAAAAACCCGGCAAGCAUCCCUUUUUCAUUAAAAACAUCCCAUACAGGUACAGUUCGUACGGAAUGAAAAACUUGAGCAAGGGGAUUACAAGUUCUAAAUUUAACGAAGGCCCGCAGGCUUACAAACUAAAAAAGAGAUAAGAUGCCCGUAAUCCCUUUCUUGUCCCUGUCCUCAGGAGGCAGGUCGAGGAGGCGAGAGGGCAAAAGGGGCGCCUAGGCGAGCUACGAGCAGCAGAAAGCACCAAGAGAACACCUCGGUGGCUGCCCACGGGUGGGUCGGUGAUGACGGUGCCGGGAAAGGAGCUGGAAGAUGAGGCGGCAGGACCGGCAAUACGCGAUGAAGGCGUCGGUGCCCGCGUACUCCGAGUUGAUGGCCUUGCCACCCGCCCUCUUCCUCUUCCGCAGCCUCCCGACGCUAGCCUCCCAAGGAGACGGCCCCGAGAAGUUCAAGGAGCUGGCCCCACCCCUGGCAAACCUCUGCCGGAGGAGCGGCCAGGUGCAGAUGCUGCUGCUGCCGCACCCGCCCAGGCGCGGGGCGUCCGACGCCUAGUCGGACUCGUCCCCGUCAUCUGCCCCGCUGUCCUCCUCAUCACUUUCACUCGAGGAAGAGCUUCCAUCAUCGGAAUCUUCGUCGGAGGAGCUUUCCACGCAGCACUUCAGGCGAGUUCCAAACUCUCCGAAGACCUUGACGGAGAGCAGGCCAUCCUCCAUUAAUUUGAAGUAGAGGACGAGCCCCGCCGUCAGGCUGUGGAUGCGAGCAAACGUCUUCCAUCCACGGCGGAUGUACAUAACCCGAGGAGCCGAGAAGUCGACGUAGACCCGCGUGCCCCCGUUCCCACAGCCCCUCAUGUGCAACCUGAGGGUCUGGGGCGGGUCACGCUCCAUCACCCGAGCAAACGGGGCGGGGAGACGAAGACGAUGACACGGAGGCCGGCGCAGCCUGAUGAAGAACUCGCGGGGCUGGUCUCCGACAUGGCCUUCCAUCGGAAAAGGCAACAUUGGCGGGGGCGAAGCCGGCGCGCCGCCUCGUCCUCCUCUUCCCCGAGCACUGCGACCUCUGCCCCGGCCUCGCCCACGGCCUCGCCCCCUCCCCCUUCCCCUCGCGGCCGGCUCCACCACCGCGGGCUCAGGAGGAGAAGGGACGCGCUGUCGAGCGGCGACCCUCGCCGCCACCGUCGAAGGACCAGGAUUCCCUUUCUCCAUGGCGAGUGAAAGGAAGAAGCAGAAGCGAGAGGAGAUAGAUGACAGAAGAGUGCGAGACGCCAUCUCUCCUCCCCCUUCCUUAUAAGGGAGCGGGGUCGGGGCUCGGCUGCCCCGCUCGGCCAAUCCGGCCACCAGAGGCGCAGGGAAUCGGGACCGACCCGCUGCCCCAACCAGCGACGGCCUGGUUUCCCGCCUCCACCGCUUGCCACCCCAAGUGCAUGGAGGACGCGUGGCGAACGUGCAGAACCGAGGGGACGGGCGAAGCGACCUCUCCCCACCCCGUGAUCGUGGGGAGUGGACGCCUUGAAGACCGCACCCUGGCCCCGUUCAGUAAAUGAGCCGCGCCUCCACGCCUCCCUCUUUUUACAGGGAAGGCGCGAGCCGCCUCUUUACUGCGAUGUGACGCAUGCAUGUGGAGACCGCCCCAUGCAUGCCGCCCAUGUCACGCACACCCCUCCACGCCGCGCUGCGGGCGCGGGUCGUGGGUAGUGCAGCGCGCGAAAAGUCUUACCACGGUAAAAAACUGCCCCGCCUGCCCGCGCACCGUUUUGGGCCUGGCCUAACAACGUGUCGUGCUUAUGUGUAGCAACACGAACUUCUUCAACUCUUGGUUCUUCUUCUUGGUCAUCGGCUGAUGUGUCGGUGUACAAAAAGAGGGGUGCGUUUUUGUACCCCUUUACCUGUGCACGGGUAGUCGGAGCGGCGCCCACGGUCACGCCAAGCAGAACAGGGGAGGUAAGCCAAGGUAAGACCGAAGCCCAAGAUAAUCAGAGCAAAGCCAAGGCCAAGACCACAAAGAGCAGAGGGACAAAGCAGGUUCCCCCGGCAAGACCCUUGCCGGGGCAGCCCCGUCAAGAUCCUUGCCGGGGCAGCUCGCCCCACACCAACAGAGCGAGCCACCCUUGAGCCCACGGUCCCCAACGCCAUCAUCCACGUGGGGCCAGGGCUCGGGAAGGCACCUCUGUGGUGGCAUGCAGAUCUUUGUGAAGACAUAUUCAAGGUCAGAUGAGGAUUAGAAGACGACGAUCCUUGGCAAGACCAGACCCCCGGCAAGGCCCUUUCCGGGGACGACAGCGCGCCACGGCAAGACCCUCGCCGGGCCACCCGGCAAGGCCCUCACCAUGGACGCCAGCGGGGCCACGGCCAGGCCCACGCCAACCAAGCUUCCACCGCCGUUCACAUGCAGCUGCCAGCCCAACCAGCUGGGCAGACACCUGCGUGGCGACAUGCAGCCCCCAGGCCAACUCAUCAAGCGCCUGCGUGGCGGCAUGCAGAUCUUCGUGAAGGCUCCACCACCACGCCACCUCAGCUGCCUGCCUGCCUACAUGGCGCCGCACGCAUCGCUGGCCAGGGCGCGUGUCAAAGCGAGGAGGAGCGGCGACGGACGGGACGGGCCUCGCCCCCGUCCCCAAUAAAGCAAGGGGACACCUAAGCUACGCAUUAAAUGCGUCUUGUCCUGUAAUGCGAGCGAUAAGCUCAGGGCACUGUACGCCUUUCCACCUCGUGUGUGCCACUGUGGCAGCCCCUUCCGACUAUAAAAGGAGGCCUGUGGCAUACUGGAGAAGGAUUCGGCUCUUUCGAACCACGCACUCACCACAGCUAGUUCGAGAGCUCAAGAACUCUCUGAAAUACACCCACCAAAGCAGGACUAGGGUUUUACGCAUCCUCGCGGCCCAAACCUGGGUAAAUGAUCCUUGUGCUGUCUACUAGCCCUGCUCUUCUCGCAACCCCGUGCCCCGGCAACCGUAGUAGGGAUUCUUGUGAUCACAUAGGUGUCGUUCCACACCGACAGGAUGACAGGCAACGUACACCAUGAAGCUAAAGCUUUUGACAUUAUUGAGCUCACUGGUCCGCCCACUCCAGGUGAACUAUAUGAACCUGGUUGUCAGCUUCACCGCAAUGCUUUGGAGAGCAUCUUUUAGAAGCCAGAGCCCAACAUGAGCCAAAUGCUGAGCACGAUGAAGCCUCUGCCACAUGACGCUGAUUACCCAAAGGAAUUCUUUGUUGAAGACCUAGAGUAUCUGCCCCGCACUAUUUAUCAUAUCAUCAGGCGAACUCUAUGGCCUGUCAAAGGACAUUCUUCAGCAGCGAAACUUGAAGGAGCAAUGAAGACUUUGGUCUUUUAUAUCUUCAAUGGCAUCAACUUCAAUGCUCAAGACUUCUUUAUCAGGCAGUUGGCUGCAUCAGGCUCUGAUCUCUUUGGACCGAAGUUCUACGCUCCAUGGGUUAUGCGCCUCAUCAAGCUACAUUCAGCUGUGAACUAUCAGCCCUCUGCUCGCAACCAUCUGAUCUUUCUGCCAGAGGUUGAUAUGUCAGUUGAAGCCAUAUACCCAGAGCCUGCCAAGGAGCCUGUUUGUCUUCACAAUGCUGAUCACCAAAGCUUCACACAACCCAUUGAAGGAGUCCAGGCAGUCACUCGUGUUUAUCCUUUGGCUGGCAAUACACGCUUACCUUGCCGUGCUCAAACUGAAGCCACUGAAAGCACUAUUGCUCAAAGGCCUCGGAAGCGAUCUCGUGUUCUCAAUGACCGAGAACUUCUUGUUGCCCUGCAUCAGAAACAGGAUAAGCAUCACUUCUGGCUGAAGUGGCAGAUGCAAAGCCUCUUGGUGGACGUCAAUCGCAUUCGCAAUCUUGCCACCAAGAAUGCCUUUGUUACACAUGAAACCUGUCGGAGGUCAUGGAAGAGUUUGACAUUGCUCAGUGCUGAAGCAGAUCUUCAAGACGAUGGCUUCACUGAAAGAUUCAAGUUUGACUCCACUCCUCCAAGGAAUGCUAUCUUGUGUCGACCUCCGUCUCUUGAAGACUCUGACUAUUCCUCCUCCGCUGCAAUGGUGAAUGCCAGAGUAAUCGAUGAUCAAGAUGAUGCUACUUCACCUCCUCCAACUUCAGCGCGUAUCGACACUGCACCAAGUUCGUCUGCACCGCCAAACCCCGACGCCGACCCUGCAUCCUCUCCUACUCCUUCUGGGAAUGAGUAGAGGCUCUAUGUCUUCAAACCUUUUUGGUCCUUACUGACAAAAGGGGGAUAAGCAUAUGAGUUGAUAGUCUUCAAGCGGGUCCAUAUGGGCGGUUGCUUUAUAUUUUGCCUAGUGUUUACAACUCUCGCUUUUGAAACAUUUGGUUCUUUUGAGUUGUAACACUUAAACUUGAUGGUCGUCUGCUACCUCUUUGCUAUUCUGUGAUGCGAUGAUAAAUUCCGCAUGUGCGAUGAUAAAUCCCGCACGAAGUCAAAUUGCAGACGUCCAUUUUUCAUUAUGCAUGUCAUUAUCUUCGUUAUAUCAAAUCAUGCAUGAUGAAUUGUCUUCAUAAGUGAAGAGAAUCUCCACAAGUACAACCUGCCAUGUGCAUUUGCAUUCCAAAAGCAAAUUACUUAUAUGCACAUCUUCAGGGGGAGCCUUUUGCUACUUAUGAAGACAAUACCUAAACCCCAGUGAACAAAGUCAGAGUGACUAAAGUGAUGCUCAACCAAAAUCCUAUGUCUUCGAGCGAAGACAAUGAGAGCAAAUCUUAUCCAGAGCUGGAUGAGUCAGCUUACUUGCAGCCCAAGUCAAGCUGUCGCGUGUGUUUGAAAUCUGACCAUUGGAACACGAGUGACCCAGGGUCAUUUCAGACAGAUCAGGUCGGGUUGCCUAGUGGCUAUAAAUAGCCCACCCCCUACACCAUAAAUUGGUGGCUGCUCAGAGUUAGUGCAUGACUUCUGUCAUUUGAGAGCAACCCACCUCCGAAGCUUUUGAGAGAGAGAAAUCCUUGCGAGGACAAAGCCCAAACACCCAGAGCCAAAGAGUGUUAGGCAUCACUGAAGUCUUUUUGUCCGCGUGACCUGAAGACUUGUUACACUUGAGGACAGUGAAUCCUCCAGCCGGUUAGGCGUCGCGUUCUGAGCAUCCAAGAGUCAUUGUGGAUCGCCGGUGAACGAAGUCUGUGAAGGUUUGGAAGUCUACCUUGAAGACUUACCUACAGUUUGUCUUCGUGAAGUCAUUGCCUGCUUGCACUACUUGUUUGACUUCACUGUGUGACUACUAUCAUUGUUUGGCUUCAUACCAUCUUCCAUCCUGAUCUGUUCUACCUAGCUGCUAUUAGUCUUCGUGCUUUCACUUUAUUGCAUACUUGACUAUGGCUUGCUUAGUGUAGUCUACCUUCCGCUGCAUAUCAAUAGGUUCAUUUCUAUUUGUUUGUCUUCGAAACUCUCAUGUUUUGAAGACGUUCAUAAAAAUCGCCUAUUCACCCCCCUCUAGUCGAUAACUAGCACUUUCAAUAAUGAACCCCUUGCAACCCACGUUCCACAACCAGCCGAUCCCCGCUGGGCACUUCAAGGUUAACUUGUCCAGUGUGAAAUCGGGGCACGGGGAUUUGCCUCCUCCAGUACAGCAUGUGGGAGAGGACGACGAGACCCCGCCGCGGAUUGGAAGCUGCCAGGGUUGGGUGCUGCUAUGGCCGAAGAAUCUUAUUCACCUGGAGCCGGCCGAGAGCACACCAAUAACCACACAUCAACAAGCAUGUGCGGAGACCACCACCCCGCCUACGCAAUUACCAGCUCCUGUAGUGCCGGGUGAGAGCGGCGGACGACGUGAUGAAGGGGGUGCAAUAGUACUGGCUGCUGUAAUAGGUCCUGUAGAACAAAGAAUGGAUGAUGAGACGGAGGUCGACCCAAUGGGUUUCCUCAAUACAAACGCGUAUGACUGUGACUUAGAUAUGAUGAGUCAACCAUAUGACGAACCGGGCUAUCAGCAUGCUAAUGAGGAUAUGGAUGAUCUGCCCGGGCAGGAAGGUCGUAGCAGGGAUUGCAAAAAGUCUCUCUUCAUGAAAUCCUCACAGGACACGCCUGAAGAUGCUGCCUCAACACAGGCUCAACUAGCCGGGGGUCGUACAGUGCUUAGCCCGGGAACACCGGGGCAGGGGUUAAGGAAGGGUCUGGAAGGUGUGCCCAAGAAAAAGGAGAGGAAGAGAUCGGGGAAGAUAGCUGCCUCCAAACAAGCCAGAGCACAUAGCAGCCAGACGAUGGAUUCUGAAGAGCGUGUACCCGUGAAAUGUGCGGCCAUGUUCCAUCUCAUGGGCGAGCCGAUGCUACCGCCAAAACCGCUGGAGGCACUAUCAGGGGAUCUGAGGAGACUGCACGACCAUGUGGUGUCGACUGAGAAAAGCCUACUAGCCUCGAAGGAUCCAGGAUAUCUGACAUACGCGGCUCGUGUGCCUGAGGGGAAGUGCGACGUCGACACACGGCCCGUGGAGGUGUUCUUCCUGCGGUUUGACCAUAUCUUUGAGAUGUUUCUGACAAGGUGGCUCGAUUUUACAAUCGUUCGCCUUUUUGCGCUACAUAUGAGCUCCGUCAUGAAGAGAGAAGAAGUCUCGCAAAUCUGUGUGGCGGAUCCGUACUACAUGCACGAGUCUUUCUUGAGUCUCGUCGACUUUGAGUGUGAAACCGCUAGGGACUACCUCCAAAACUUCAUGGUACAGAAUACGGACCAGGAAAUUGUCCUCCUGCCUUAUCAUCCAAAGUAAGUCAAUUCCGGACAACCCUUUCGUACAUUUCAAUCAUUCCUUCUUGCUCAUAUGGAGAGUAAUUUGAGGUGUCUUUUCCCCGCAGCAACGGGCGCGCCGUCCUUAUCGUUCUUUACCUGCGAGUCUCCCACACCGUGUAUUUUGACCCUUCUAGAGACUACGAGAAAAAGGACUACACCCACAUAAUGAAUAUUCUAGAUGAUGCUCUCCAAGGCUUCAGCAUUAGAGGUGGCCACAUGCAGAUCAGGAAACAAAGGAACAAGAAGAUGGGUUUUGCGCAUAAAACUAACUUCUGUUGCAUCCAUGUCCCAGAACCAAGUAAGAAGGAUGGAUUCUACAUCCUCCAUCUCAUGAUUGAGUUCAGCACGGAUCACCAAAAGCUUCGCAUGACAAGCAGAAAUGAUGAUCAUAUCCACAAGUGGCUAGAAUCUCAUGGAGAAGCGGAUUAUAAACUUAGAGAUGACUUCUUUCGCAUCCAAAGGGACAUUGCGAUGAUCAUCAUGAAAGAAGUCGUCGAUGAGAAGGGGAUGUUCCACCACGGCCCUAUAUCGCGAGCUGACGUCCGAACUCGCAUAGGCAUGCAACGUCAAGACCUUAUGCCGUUUAACAAGCUAGGGUCCAUCCUCGAUGAUAUGGAAGGAUGGAACUUCUAGUGAUUUAUGAUGCCGAUGAUGAUGAUAUGUGUCGGUUGAACUUGUAUACUUUCUGUAGCGAUGAAACUUUGUGAUGUCCAUGGUCCCUGCCAAACUUGCAUAACGCUACUUUGUUAGUUUGCGUACGAUGACCUGCGUACCUCUAGUUAAUUAGUUUGCGUACUGUAUGUUGCAUCUAGUUGCUAACCCUUUCUUUUUCGUGUUGCUCUAGUAUAUUUUGUUGCAUAUGAUUGUACAUCCUCUUCAUGAAGAUGCAUCUCUAACAGGUACCUAGUUUCUUGAUGGCGAGAUGGCAGUGCUAUGUCGUGUACAAAGGGAAGGUUCCGGGGGUGUACAACGAGUGGCCUGAGUGUUAGGCGCAAGUGAAUGGGGUCUCGGGCGCCAGCCAUAAAGGCUUCAAAAGCAAACAAGAAGGAGAAGCUAGUUACUUGAGGUUCACGCUAGCGCGAGAGAGGACUCGUAACCGCCGCCUCAUGUACUGCAUAGUUCCGCUCUCACUCAUAGUGAUAGCUCUUCUCGCGUAUACCAUUGUUUAGAUGGAUGACGUUGUAGUUGCAAGUAUUCGAGACUUGCAUGUAUCGCUAUUUUUGAGAUGAUGACGAGAUACCACUUUGUGUUGGAUGAUGAUUAUGAUGAGACUAUUUGUAUGUAUAUGCUAUGAUUACAUUUCUGGUCUCGGAGCCAUUUGUAUGUGCAUCAUGAUGACAUUUGUAUCUGCUAAAGAUUCCUGUAUAAAGCCUGUUCAAAUACAAAACAAACAUGCAGAAAAAAACAAAAACUACUAAAAUUAGCAGUAGCGAGUGGAGAAAAGUUAGCAGCAGCGUCACAGUAGCAGUAGCGCGUCCUGGCAAAGCGCGCUAGAGCUAUUAGCAGUAGCAAGCUUCCACGAAGCACGCUGCUGCUACACUUGUAUAGCAGUAGCGCGGGUGUGCACGCGUUGCUGCUAUGGGUUAGCUGUAGCGCCUUAUUAGUAGCGUCGGUCCCUGCGCUACUGAUAUACCUAGAAACCGCGCUGCUGCUAGCACUACAAAAAAAAAAGACACAUCCAUGACAUUUUGGGCCGAACGAAUUUUUUUUUCUGUCAUACUUAUGACACUUCUAUGACAAUAAUUGUGACAAAACACGGUAUCAUCAUAGAUGUGGUGGGGUCCUACUUCUAUGACAAAAAAUCAUGAUAGAAAAUGGGCUUUUCGUCCUGGGCGGGCCGGAGACGCAGCUGCAUGACAUUCUUUGGGCCGUCCAUGACGGAAAAAACCGUGGUAGAAGCGAGGGCGAGGAAAAUAUCGGGGUGUUCCCGGUUAUGGUGGGUGGUCGGGGCCGAGCGAUGCGCGUUUCUCUUGUACACGCACGCGCGUGGGUGCGAGGCGUUGGGCUCUAACUGAACCCGAGCGAGGCGUUGGGCUCUAACUGAACCCGAGCGUUUGCACUGCAGGCUACACGUUACUGAACUCGAGCGAUCGAUCGAUGGCUGUUAACUAAACCCGAUCGAGCGAUUCCUUCGCUACUACUGCUAACUGAAGCCGAUCGAUGCUGCCUCUGGAUGAACAGUGAGCGUUGCUGGGGGGGGGGGUUGGAUGAACAGUUCCCAGUGAGGGUGGAUGAACAGGACCCUGUGGUGUUGCCUCUGGAUGAACNNNNNNNNNNNNNNNNNNNNNNNNNNNNNNNNNNNNNNNNNNNNNNNNNNNNNNNNNNNNNNNNNNNNNNNNNNNNNNNNNNNNNNNNNNNNNNNNNNNNNNNNNNNNNNNNNNNNNNNNNNNNNNNNNNNNNNNNNNNNNNNNNNNNNNNNNNNNNNNNNNNNNNNNNNNNNGGUUUGGAUGAAUAGUCCAGGCGGGGGUGGAUGAACAGGACCCCGUGGUGUUGCCUCUGGAUGAACAGGACCCCGAUCGAUCGAGCCGGUUGGGGCUGGAUGAACAGGACCCCAUGGAGGGCUGGAUGAACAGGACCACCCCGUGGAGGGCUGGAUGAACAGUAGACGGUGGAGGGCUGGAUGAACAGUAGCCCGUGGAGGGGUGGUUGAACAGGAGCCCGUGGAGAGGGCUGGUUGAACAGUAGCCGGUGGAGUAGCGCGCGGUGGAGGCUGGAUGAACAGGAGCCCGUGGAUGAACAGUCGCAGGUGGAGGCUGGAGGAGGUCGACGGUGGAUGAACAGUAGGCCGUGGAGGCUGGAGGGGGUCGACGAUGGAGAUGAACAGUAUCCCGUGGAGUCCCGUUUUGCGGUACGCCACACCCCUCCCGAUGAACAGGACCCCCUUUGUAGCGCUCCAACACAAGUCCGUUUCCUCCGUUUUGCGGUACGCCACACCCCUCCGAUCAACAGGACCCCCGUUUCGACCGUAGGAGGUCUGUUUCCUCCGUUUUGCGGUACGCCAGACCCCUCCUGAUGAACAAGAUCCCGUUUCGAAUGUGGCCGGGCGAACACAAGGCCGUUUCCUCCGUUCUGCGGUACGCCAGGCCUCGUUUCCAUCGGCUGUUCCGUCCAAGCCGGUUGGCUCCCACGCGUUCCGUUGCCUCCCGAUGAACACGACACAUUCCGUUGCCUCCCCAUGAACACGACGACGACGCAGUUUCUCCAUUCCGACCCAGCCAUGUACACGAGCCCUGGCCGUACGUACGCACGAGUAGGCGUUCGAGACCCCGCCCGUAUGUACGUACGUGGCCGUAUUUACUUUCUUGCACCCUGGCCGCUGUACGUACAUGUACAUGCUACGUGCGCGCCUCUACAUUGACCAGUAUGUACGUACACGUUCGCGAUCAGAAUGACAACGCUACGUAUGCUUCGACCAGGUGGGUCCCGACUGUCAGGCACUUCCUUGCGUGCGAAGAUGUAGCUGGUGGGUCCCAGCAGUCAGUGGGGCGAAUUAUUUUUUUUUGCCCGGACGCACUUCCUUGCAUGCGAAGAUGUCGCUGGUAGGUCCCAGCAGUCAGGGGGGAAACGUUUCUUUUCACGAAAUACGGUUGCCCGUUCGGUGGGUCCUUGCUGUCAGGUGGAGGAAUCAUUAUUUUCCGCGUAAUAAGGAGGCACUUCCUUGCUGCGUCCGUGGACCCAGCCGUCAGCCUCUCCACGUACAGUCCACAUCCGAUGGAAGCCGUUCCUUGACCACGUUGACCACGGGGUGCCGAGAGCACCAGGGCGGUGGACGACGGCGAGGCCUAGGAAGGGGACGACACGGAGCCGGGGAAGACGCGGCAGUGGAUGCCCACGCGUAGAGGAGUAUGAGGGUUCACUGGUUCGCUGUGGUGUGAGGCUGUUGUCGCCGCAGAAUAACAGGGGGUGUGGGUGAGUAGAGGGAUGGCCUGGCCAGCGGUGGGAGUAGUAGAUGUGGUGAGGCCUCCGCGACGUCGCAGCCGGCCACGAGAGGCAGGAGCACGAGGCACGACCGGCGCUGCUUUGGGCGGCUGGAGCAAGAAGACCAGAGGUUGAAGAAGCACUACGGCCGUUGGAUGGACAUCGUACGGUCACUGGAGCUAGAAUCAUUCAUAUUGACUAAGUUGACAAAGCACUCCGUCCCCAUCAACUUAGUAGGCCCACAAGUCAGCCUCCCACCAAGGUGGGUCCCAACUAGCAGGGGGAGUAUUCAUUUUUUGUGCGUAAUAAGGAGGCACUUCCGGUGGGUCCGAGCUGACAGCGGGGGGAAUGUUUUUUCGCGAAAUACGGUGGCCCAUCCGGUGGGUCCCAGCAAUCAGGGGGGAAACGUUUUUUCGCGAAAUACGGUUGCCCGUCCGGUGGGUCCCUGCUGUCAGGUGGAGGAAUAAUUAUUUUCCGCGUAAUAAGGAGGCACUUCCUUGCUGCGGCCGUGGACCCAGCUGUCAGCCUCUCCACGUACAGUCCACGUCCGAUGGAAGCCGUUCCUUGACCACGUUGACCACGCCGCGCCGAGAGCACCAGGGAGGUGGAUGACGGCGAGGCCUAGGAAGGGGACUACGCAGAGCUGGGGAAGACGCGGCAGUUGAAGCUCGCGCGGAGAGGAGUACGAGGGUUCACUGGUUCGGCUGCGGUGUGAGGCUGCCGUCGCCGCAGAAUAACAGGGGGUGUGGGUGAGUAGAGGGAUGGCCUAGCCAGCAGUGGGAGUAGUAGGGGGCAGUGAGGCCUCCGCGGCAUCACAGCCGGCCACGGGAGGCAGGAGCACGCGGCAUGACCGGCGCUGCUUUGGGCUGCUGGAGCAAGAAGACCAGAGGUUGAAGAAGCACUACGGCCGUUGGAUGGACAUCGUACGGUCACUUCAGCUAGAAUCGUUUAUAUUGACUAAGUUGACAAAGCCCUUGGUACGCGUCAACUUAGUAGGCCCACAGGUCAGCCUCUGAAACGGUGCACCCCAGAUGUCAGGGGGAGGAAUCAUUUUUUGGGCGGCUGAAGCAAGAAUAUCCGAGAUUGAAGAAGAAGCACGACAUCCGUUGGAUGGACAUCCAACGGCCACAGCUGCCAGAACCGUUGUUGUUGACAAAGCCUUGCAUACGCGUCAACUUAGUUUUUUUUAGGGGACGCGUCAACUUAGAAGGCCCACAAGUGUGUGGCAAAGAACAUAUAGCCCAUUUGCGAUUUGUAAGAAUGUACAGCCCAUUUUUUAAUUCUAAUGGAAUUUACUACAUCCCAUUUAUAGUUUGUUAAAAGUACAGCCCAUUUUUUAAUUGUAAUGGAAUUUACUAUAGCUCAUUUACAGUUUGUUAAAAGUACAACUCAUUUUCUAGCUAGGACAAUGAUUAAUAAUUUCAACCAACCGCUCAAAACAGAAUUAAAAAGAAAUUCCCACAUUUUUAUGGGAUCCGAAAUAUUUUUAUCCCAAAUUUCUAGUCAGACUAAAUAUAAUUUCAAAAUAAAGUUGUAUUACGUUAAAAUCCAACGAAAUAUUACACGCGCAACAAGUAAUGAAAUUAAAAUUUUCAAAUUCCAAAAAUAAUAUAUUUUUUAAACUAAUUACGUGUUUGGUGCAUUUUUUUAUAGUUACUGCCCAGUUAUUAUAAUUACAUCCCAUUUAUUAUUUCUUAAAGUCCAUUUUCCUGUUAAGCCUAAUGCAUACCUUCUAGGAAAGUUUGCAGCCCAGCGGGGCGGAGAAUAACAAGUUGACCCGGAUAUUGUGUACAACUGUCGGCCCAAUUGCAUUGCUAAUGUUGAGAAAAAAGCCUGUGUAGUACAGUACAACCUAACAUGGCUACUCAACCCACAUUCAGCGACGCCGGAAAGGCCCAAACAAGGCUUCUAUACAACUUUUUGAAGUCACUGAGCUCAAUUAAUAACUUAAGAAAAAAGUUAGAUUACAGCGGAACCUAAUUAAAAGCUGUCACGAGCAAAGAAAUAAUUCAACGGGUCCCACUUGUGCGUGUGUGCGUGUGCGUGUGUGUGUGUGUGUGUGUGAGAGAGAGAGACCCAUCGGUCGAUGCUCAUAAAUACAUCUUUCAGCCAUAUGCAUUGCUGAUGCUCAGUAAAAACUUAUAUAGUUGACACAAUCAUAUAGAACAUCAUAGCACACCGAACUUGCAUACAAAAAUUUCAUGCAGGCGGCACAAUCAGGAUGGAAGGAGUGGAUCGCUACGGGUAGGGCUAUGUUGAAACCAACGAACUCGUACAUAACGGUUCAUCGUAUUUAUCAAUGACAGGGAAAUAUCUUGACUACUGUGCAAAGAAAACAGACAGACAACACAAUAAGUUCUGCUAGCACAUUAAGUUGACGUACAUCCCUUUCUAAAAAAAGUUUAGGUACAAAAUUACAACAUGUCACAAUCAAAUGUACUGGCACAUCAGUGCUUCACACCCAUAGCUCGGAUUUAACUAGUAUCUGACAAGAUUCAGUUGUUACCUCAAAUUAGAGCACAUCCAGGCAGCCAGCCCUGCCUCUUCUCCCAAAGAAGCAGUGGCCUCCGCCGCGCGAUGGAGUAGGCCCUGUGCCAUCCAUCGUUCCGAGCAACACGGGGAAAGUCUGACGUUGACUCCUAUAAUGGACGUCGUCGACGGACCCUGGCACCAGCGGUGGCGGCAGGACUUCGAUUGAUGGAUUGACCACUUUGUCGACAUGCACGAACACUCGAUACAGGUACAUCCCUAACGUGGUCCGCGGCGGCCUUGGUGGCGACGAAUAGUACAACCCCGCUUCCUGAACCGGUAUCUCAACACCAAUCACCUUCGGUAUAGUGGACGGCUUCUUCAUCCAUGCCAUAACCAUCAGAGCCCAGCUGUUUGGAGGAACAAACAUACUUACGAGCUCACCUCCAAGGUCGUUGAUAAGCUCAUUCAUGGACUCGCUGUUCCAAGCACGUCGAGGCAUGCCGUGGAAGGUAAGCUUUGUUAAAAACUCAAGCUCAGAGGGCACCGAGCCCCAUCCUGGGUGCCACCGAUCAAAGCUCACCAGCGCGCCAUCGCAGAACAAACGCCGGGAAGAUUCAAACACACGACUGUAGUCGAAAGUUGUCCGGAACCUGACGAAGAAAUCAGCUGAUGGCGGACAGACUUCAACGAGUAAGUCACUUAUUUGGAUGCCGUGCGCAAUAACAAGAGCUUUGACAAGGUCGUCCAGCGAGACGGGAGGCCGGUCGCCGUUGAUGGUUACCAUCAGCACUUUGCCGGCAAACUGGUCAUCAAGCGCCGCCAUGCCACUGUUGAGCGACAGCAUGCAGUGACCGAAGGCAGGAUGGACCUCAGGAUCUCUGGCUCGGAGAUCCGCAUUGACCGGUGACAUGAUGGUGAGCUUGAGUACAGGGAGUACAGGAGGGGGAUUUGGGGGAACUGGAGUAGGAAUCGAGAUUCUAGAGGUGGGGGAGGGGCGGGAGAUUGGGGAUGAAAAGGUAGCUUGAAUUUCGAACACGCGCCAAUAUGCUCUCGGCGCGCAAGCGCACGAAAACACCGGUGGCACCCACAUGUCGGCCUAAGAGUCCUUAUUCUUUCUUUUUUGGAGAGCCUGGCCUUUUUUUUGAGGAUCUUUUGAGAGCCCGGCCUGAGAGUCAUAAUUGACCUGUUUGGCAUUGCGUUACUACUCGGCCCAUAUUCAACGACACCUCACUGGCCCAAACAAGUGUACAUCAUUGAAAAGACACUGAGCUCAAAUUAUAUAACUUGAAAAAAGGAGAUACACUCUGAACACUGGAGAAUGGUGAUGCCCUCAUUUAGCCCACCAGUAGUUCGAGACAAUAAAUAGUUCGAAACAACGAUAUAUACAACAUUCAAACACUAACUAGUGACUACUACUGACAUAAACAACAAGACAUGAUAGUUCAUAAGAAGUCUUGCUACACCACCAAAACGCACCCAUCUGCAGCGCUCAGACUCUCGUGAUCCAGACGAGAAUGACAUUCUAAACAGAGGUAACUAUUACAUAGUAAGAGUGACAUAGACGAGGAUGACCAAAUGACAAGGAAUAUGCAUAACAAAAGAAAGAACUACCCAUCCAGAACAAGCAGCAAAGACAACAAAGUCAUUCGAAGAGAUGAUCCAACACCAUCAUAAUCUGCAGCCCUGCUUCAGCGACCAAUGAUCCGGAGACACCAGUACUUCACCCUUCUGAUGCAACAGCGCAAUUACCUAUCAACCUGAAGGCUUGAACCACAUCACUGCCUGUCGUAAUUGAGACAUCCAAGGAUCAAAGUUAAUCCGGAUGCCUUUGUCAUUCUCACCUUCUUUUGGUUGCAGGCUGUAUCGUUGACAAUCAGGGGAGUUUGCUCCCGAACUCCUAGGGCUUGCCGUGUAGACACAAUUUUCCAUAGCAAACAGAGCCUCUCUGCCAUCAAGGUCCUUGCCAACGGUGAUCUCCUGGUUAAUCGGAUAAUUGAGUCCAAGAAAUAGAGAGUAUGAACCAAGGUUGUUUACCCGCCUCCAACUAAAAAAUCCUGAAGGCCCCAACAAGCUGGUAUCCUGCUCAUAGACGUAACAACCACUGUCCGGAUACUCACGUAUUUCAUGGUGCUUGUAUACAAUGGGGUUUUUGCAAUAUAACUUUUCUGGCUCAUGUGUCCGAAUGAUCAUUAGUCUUUUGCCAUCGUCUGAUCGAGCUAGGAACCAGUUGUGCUUCCCUAUUUUUGGCAAAGGUGGUGUGAUUACAAAGGGCAGUAACUAUAGGGACACUGCAUCAUAUAAAAAAGGACAGACAUUGUUAAUGUAAGAUUAGCAUUGUUCAGAGUAUGAGUAGGAUAAUGCAAGAAGCAACAUUGAUAUGUCCCUGUUGGAACUGGGAGGAAAAUACAGGGAAAUGUAUACUGGGUUCGAAAAUAUAGAAGUGCCAUGCAUGGUUAUACUCAUGUUAUCUCGCAAUCGAUUCUUCACAGGAAACUACCAUGUCAUGCAUGUUAUGUAAUCAUGUUCUAUCCUCACAAACAAAUUCUUCAAGGUAACUAACAGACCAUGCAUUGUUAUAUACUCGUGUUCUGUGGGCAAAUUUUUUGUGAGGAUAUUAUUCUAGCCAUUGAUUGCUGAAGGGCGAAUAUAGGUAUGUACACAUGGUAAGUGUCGUGGAAUUGUCACGGCAGAUGUCCUCGAGCUAGGACUUAGUCGUGGAGCCAUCGCAACUAGGAAGCUUAAAGGGGUUAAACGGGACAAGGAACACGGGGUUUAUACUGGUUCAGCCCCUUACGGUGAAGGUAAAAGCCUACCUCCAGUUGAGGUGGUAUUGCUUAUGGUUUCGAUGACCAGGGAGCUUAAUUGCUAUGCCUGGCUCUCGACGAGAUCUUACUUGUCCCUAAACCGCCGCCGGGUCGUCCCUUUAUAUAGAGAGGUUGACGCCCAGCGGCUCUCAGAGUCCCGGCCGGCUCAUAAGAGUGUCCGGCUCGGACUCUCAACUAUUCUUGCCUUACACUACAAGUCUUGCCAUACGGCGGUCUAUCACUACGGGCCUUAAGCCAUCUCCGGGUCUUAGGCCCAUCAUUGACCCGCUGUCUUCAAGCUCGGUACUGGGCUUCGCGUGAUGACCAUUAUGAGUAACCCGGCCCCUCCUAGCGGGUGACUCUAAUGGUUAUAUCCUCAACAUUAGGCCCCAGAUUGAUUUGAACCUGUUCAUGUCAAUGUUCAAUUCUUUUGAGAGAAAGGAUCUUCCGGCUUCUGGUCGUGCGAAGAUUAUAACCCGCCGUGACGUCAUCUUCUGGAUUCUUGGUAACCCGCCAUGACGUCAUCUUCCAUUAAGUCCAUUUUUUUAUUCCACCAUAUCCGCAACGGAUCUUAUCUUUAAUUGCCAUCCUGAAAAUUGAGGCAUUUUUGUGGUGAGAUAAUCACGCCGUGACCUCCUCGUUUCUCGUGCCCACUUAUGAGCCUCACCUUAUAAAUAGCCCGGCCCAUGAGGCUCCAGUUACUGGUCGCCUCCAUCAUCUUCCUCCUCUCGCCACUGUACUGCCGCUCGAGCUCCACCGCCGCCACCGCCGCGGGUCUCCUCGUCUUCCCCGACUCAGGCCGCUGCAUCAACCUGACUUGACCAGAGAAACGGCGGCGACCUCCGCAACUCUCCAGCACCCGUAAGCCCUUGCCACUCCAUAGAAUAGAUCUGCAUUAGGGUUCUUUUCUGUUCUUCCCGUGUUCGUCGCCGUUCAUCGCGAGCUCUUGAUAGAUUUCAUUAUUACCACCUUUUCUUGAUCUUUAGACUGCAUAGAACUGCUGCGGUAGCUGUUUCACACCCAUUCCCAAUGUACAUAGAUCCCCUUUCAUUGCAUAAAGGCUCCGUUCAAACCCUUGAACUUUUUCUGUGUCUGUUCUAGGUCUAGAAAUUUUUCCUUUUAGCCAACCGUUUGAUCCAAAAUAAUUACUGCGAUCUGUGAAACUUGUUUUCACCACACUUAGUCAAAAAUUCGAUCUGCUGAGCUAUGGAGGCUCACAUUUCCGGCUUAAAAGAAGCCACGCUCCGUAAACUUUCCGGCUCAUUUAAUGAUAAAGCUGUAGACAAUUUGAAUUACUCACGAUAUCUUCAGCGGCUUAGAUAACCCGAUGCACUUAACCAUAUGUCAUUAGGCCCCUCUCAUAAGCCGCCAUUUGAGUAUUAAACUGUAGACAUGUGCCGGCUUAUAAUUGAACCGGACUUUUUCCUUUUGUCAUAGGCUUCAUCUUUCACAAUGCCUCCCAAAGCUCCCAAGGCACCCAUCACGUGCAACUGGAUGAGAUCCAAUGUCACCGACGACACUUUAGCUGAUUUCAUAAAGACGGGUUACUUGCCCAAGAAGGAAAUCAUGUCCUAUCAUGCCCCUGACCCGUCGGAAGAGAGACCUCAACCUAGAGAUGGUGAGGUGGUGAUAUUCGCUGAUCACAUGAGCCGGGGCUUCGCACCGCCCGGCUCAAAAUUCUUUAGGGAUGUUCUGAACUUCUUCGAUCUGCGGCCGCAAGACAUAGGACCCAAUUCCGUGUCAAAUAUAUGCAACUUCCAAGUAUUCCGCGAAGUCUAUCUUGGAGAAGAGCCCAGCCUGCUGCUCUUUAGAGAGCUUUUUUAUCUGAACCGCCAGAAUGAGUGCGCCAACGGGCCGAGCCUGGAAGUUGGUGGAAUCUCCAUUCAACGCCGGAGAGAUUGCCUCUUUCCUUAUGCUGAGCCGCCAAGCCAUCCAAAGGACUGGAACCAGACGUGGUUUUAUUGUCAGGACACUUCUCCGGCUGACGAGAGCCCUCUGCUUGGCUUUCGUGCCCUGCGUCUGGAACCAAAUCACCCUUUGCCAGACAAACUCUCUCAAGCUGAGCGUCAACCUCUGAUCCCCACCAUCAACAAGAUCAAGGCUCUCCUGGGAAACGGCCUCAACGGCAUUGAUCUGGUCCGGGUUUGGAUCUCUUGGCGGGUGAUCCCCUUGAGCCGCCGCCCCGGCUUAAUGUGUGCUUACACGGGCCGGAAGGAUGACCCCCUGCGGCACAGCCCCAACGAUCUUCCUGAGGACGUUGUGGAUGACAUGACUAAGUCUCUCCUGAACGAGAGCUUAGCCGACUGUGGGAGAACCGCCCUGAACCCCUUCUGCCAAGCUAACCCGGCUCCGGCGGUAAGCCACUGACCUGAACACCUUGGUUUUCUUUUUAAUAGUUUCCAUCUAGACCUUAAGAAAUCUUUGUUGUAUGUUUCAGGCUAAUGACAAGUUCUGGAAGGUCAAAUAUGACCAUGAAGCGGCCAAAAAAGCCAAGAAGGCUAAGAAAGCCGCCAGGAGAGCCACUCCCUGCAAGAAGGGAAGCAGGCCUACUGCCUCAGAGCUGCAUCAGCUAAGUGACAUCUCCGAGUCAGAGGUAACCCCUGAAUCUGUAGGCUCUUGUUUUGUUUCUUGUUUAUUCCUAUCCACCUUACCGAUACCGAUUAUCAGCAGGAGGACACCGGAGCGAGUAUCCCGGUGACUGAAGAGGUAACUACACUUUUCUCCGACUCGGAGCCCUUGCCAAGGCUGAAAGUCCGAAGAGUAACUCGGAAAGUAAGAUUUUCACAUCCUUUAGCUUAUCAAGAUCCUCAAUUUCUUUUGAAGCGACAGAUUCAUGAGAGUCGACGGCACACCCGGACCAACAAGGAUGCAGACCUCUCCUCCGGCUUACCUGAAGCAUCAAGGAAGCGCCGGACCGAGGUUAUCUCCAACUUAUAUCCUUUUCAUCCUUUGGCGGGCGUUACUCGUCAACCGCUCAAUUCUUCUUAUUCAAAUUAUCAGGACACUUCACCUUCCUCUGGUGAUUCUAUGCAAUCGAACCUGCCGGCUUUCAAGACCGCACCCGGGUAAUGAUGAUCAUCUUAUAUUGUGCUUAUCUUUACUCAUACUUUUGUACUAACCUUUUGUCCUUUCAGUGCUCAAGCAAAGCUCAGCAAGAGAGCGAAGAAGAAUAAACCGGUCGAAGACCCGGUCUUGACUGAGCCGGAGGUUUCAGCUCAAGAGCCGCCAGCUGCCUCUGCUCCUAAAGCCACCGCUCCAACCGACGAGCCAAUCACAGAGACUUUUGCUAACCCGGAGAUCUCCAGCCCAGCUCAGCCGGCCGAUGACCCGGACGUGGUAAUCACCCGGACGGAAUUUGUCGAGCCGGGGAGACCCACUGCGCUGGCUAAGUGCUCUGCCAAGGAAGAGUUGCUAGAGCGCCGCAGGGCCAAGCUGGACAUCACCAACUACGCUAACUUGAGCAUUGGAGAUAUCAUCUCCGGCUAUGUCAAUCAGGUGCACAACAGCCGGGACCUGGAGAUCGACAUGGUGAAGCAGAUACAGCAGAAAUCUGAGGUACCACUCUCUUGCUUACUGCAUAGUCAUCUUUACCAUACUAGCCCCCAAGUCUACUACUUAUGAUAGAAUAUGUUGUAGACUUAACUUCCGGCUUACUUUCAUGAACCGGCAAUUUGUAGAUAGAACCUUUCAGCAUACAUUAGCCCCCAAGUGCCAAGUGUCUUUGCUUGGAAAGUGCUUGGGACUUUAAAGUUGUAUAAUAAUUAUUCAUACUAUAACCCGGAAAUUGUACAGGCUGCUUGCAAGAAAUUUUAGGCUGAUAUCUCUGAGCUGAAGAACCGCCUGAAGACUCAGGAAACUGAGACCCGGAAGGCCAACGCUAAAUUUGAGUCCAGUGUUGCUGCUCAAGAGAAGCUGAAGAAGAAGUUUGAAACCGAAAGGAAGACUUGGGCCGAAGAGAAGGCUGCUCUGGUCAGCCGGGCCGAACAGGCGGAGGCGGCUCUGACGGAGAGAACCGCCGAACUCUCCGGCUUAAAACGCCAUGUGUCACAGAUGGUCGCCGCAAUCUUCGGUAAGUCAUUCUACAGGCUUUAAACAAGUUUAUAGUCUUUAUGUCUCAUAAUUCCCAUCAUUGCUAGCGGCUUAUCUUACUUUGUUAAACAGGUCCCAGAAGCGCCAACCUCAACCAGAACAUGCUGACCAAGCUGAAGGCCGUGUACACUUUGGUGGAGCAACUCUACACCGGGUCACAACGCGCCUUGGCCGCUGUGGCCCUGUCCAAUGAGGUUCCAACUCACCUGGCGGACGUACUUCAGCGGCUUGCCGUUCUUCCUCAGCGUUUCCAAGAGCUGCGACGGGCCUCUGCAAGAGCCGGAGCCAUAGCUGCUCUGAGCCGGGCCAAGGCUUUCUUUCCAGAGCUAGACCCGGCUGACAUCGCACUUAGAUACCCCAGCCUGAAGGAAGACGGCACCCCCUUCGACCAAAAAGACUUUGCAGCCUGUGUGAAGAUCAUGCGCCCGGUGGCCACCCUGAUUGGGAAUGACACCGACCUUACCAAGUACCAGCCGGGCUACGACGCAGAGAAUCAGAGGGUCCCUACUCCGCGUUAUGAAGCCAUCAGCUUGGUCCCGCCGACUCGUAAGCACACCUUUGCCCCAGAAAUUGACCCGGCCGGGUUAAUUGACGAGGAGGCUCAGUUUGAAGCAUUGAGCGGCAUUGACUGGAAAUCGUCAACCUUCCAGGUCAUGGGAACAGCCGGAGGAGCGGAGAGGGAUGAGUUGGAAGCUUCAACUCAACAAGCAUCUUGACUUGUAGGCGGCUCAUGAGUACAUCUUAAAACAAUGCCUCAUCUUUUGGACUCGGGGAGUCUUGUAAUAGAGUAGGACAAAUACUUAAUUUUGUCGUGCCAUCGUGCACGUGUUGAAUGCUUAGCUCCGUUGAAACUGAUUUUUCUUAUUCCUCCGGGUUAUAAUUGAUCAGUUAUUUUCCUUAAGCUCGAAUAGCUGUAUUGAACCAUCCUGCAUAGAAAACAAGUCACAAGUCUCUAGGCGGCUUACCGCACUGAGAAUCAUAAACCUUAUAUAUAUAACCCGGAAUAUGAACGAAGUCACCAAAGACUGGCCCUCAAUUAUAUCUUUGAUGUAACUGUAACAGCAUACUUACAAACCUUCAAGCAUACUUCCGGUUCAUGUAACCCGAAUAGUAUGGUUAAAAUCUCAAUGCCGGUUCACCAGUAUCGAUAAGGCUUAUUGCGUGUUACCCAAGUUAAGCCGGCGGAGCCAAAAACCGCCCUUGCACACUGCUGAUGUGACCAAAAGAACUUGUUGUAAGUCAGAAGAUCAAAACUUAGGGGCUUCCAGUUCGAAUACGACCAGAGAACCUUCCAAAGGGGUUAAGCUAAGAUUCGAAUGCGAUCAUAUAGCCCCCAGUGGCUUUGGCAAUGCCGAUCAAGAGGGUACCGACAGCUAUGUUCUAUUUGGUUCGAAUACGACCCAUGUUUGAACAGGAAGCCCCCAAAUGACCUUAAGAGUUGUUUAAUGACGGUGAUUCGAAUACAAUCCACGUCGGUUCCCAAAGGGGGUUGAGCUAUGAUUCAAAUAUGGUCAAAGAAAACUCCCCAAUGAGCUCGGCACUUUGCCAAUCAAGUGGGUAUCGACAGCUAUGUUCUCUUUGGUUCGAAUAUGACCCAUGUUUGAACAGGAAGCCCCCAGGUGAUUAUACUGCUUACGGCUAGAUUCGAAUACGAUCAUAAGCCGGAUCCACCUCCAAGUGACCACGUGAUGUUGUAAUGGAAAUAACAUGUUUACCUUUGGAGGAGAAAAGGACAGAGGUCCUGCUUUAUUAUUUAACAUAAUAUAUACAUGGCUAUAGAGAUAUGUACAUUAUGAGAGCCGGUGGCUCAAGUGUAAUAAGGCCGAAGCUGAGCUAUGUUCCACGGCCGACGGGUUUCUUCCUCCGACUUGCGUGAAUCUUUAUGCUCCCGAACAUCAAUAAGGUAGUAUGACCUGUUGUGCAAGUUCUUGCUGACCACAAAGGGCCCUUCCCAAGGCGGGGAUAGCUUGUGUGCAUCUGUUUGAUCUUGGAUGAGCCGGAGCACCAGGUCACCCUCCUGGAAGACCCGGGACUUAACCCGGUGACAGUGAUAACGGCGCAGGGCUUGUUGGUAAAUCGCUGAACGAGCUGCUGCCACAUCACGCUGUUCGUCCAACAGGUCAAGGGCAUCUUGGCGCGCCUGUUCAUUAUCCACCUCAACAUAAGCCGCCACUCGAGGCGAGUCAUGACGGAUGUCACUGGGGAGGACUGCUUCCGCUCCAUAAACCAUGAAGAAGGGCGUGUAACCCGUAGACCUGUUAGGAGUAGUAUUGAUGCUCCAUAACACGGAGGGUAGCUCCUCCAGCCAACAACCCGGCGUCCGUUGCAAAGGGACUAAAAGCCGGGGCUUAAUGCCCUUCAAAAUCUCCUGAUUAGCUCUCUCAGCUUGACCAUUGGAUUGAGGAUGAGCCACUGAUGAAACAUCAAGUCGAAUAUGCUCCCGUUGACAAAACUCCUCCAUGGCGCCUUCAGACAGAUUGGUACCAUUAUCAGUUAUAAUGCUGUGUGGAAAGCCAAAGUGAAAUAUCACCCUUUUCAUGAACUGAACCGCCGUGGCUGCAUCACACUUGCUAACUGGCUCUGCUUCAACCCACUUUGUGAAUUUGUCAACUGCCACCAAAAGGUGGGUCUUCUUAUCCUUGGACCUUUUAAAAGGCCCAACCAUAUCAAGCCCCCAGACCACAAAUGGCCAAGUGAUUGGUAUCAUCCUCAACUCUUGAGCUGGCACAUGAGCCCGUCGCGAGAACCUCUGACAAUCGUCACAUUUACUGACCAAGUCCUCCGCAUCAGCAUGAGCCGUCAGCCAAUAAAAACCAUGACGGAAAGCCUUGGCCACGAGAGAUUUUGAGCCGGCAUGAUGGCCACAAUCCCCUUCGUGAAUCUUACGCAAAAUAUCUUGGCCUUCCUCAGGGGAAAUACAACGCUGGGAAGUUCCAGUAACACUACGACGAUGCAGCUCGCCAUUGAUGAUGACCAUUGACUUAGCCCGCCGGGUUAUUUGUCUGGCCAAAGUUUCAUCCACAUGCAAAUCUCCCCGGGUCAUGUAAGCCAAGUAUGGUACUGUCCAGUCUAGGGUGAUGUGGAGAGCCGCCACCAAAUGUGCUUCCGGGUCAGGGACAGCCAAGUCUUCCUCUGUAGGUAACUUAACAGAAGGGUUAUGCAAGAUGUCCAAGAAAGUAUUAGGCGGCAUCGGCUUUCGCUGAGAGCCCAGCCGGCUUAAAGCAUCAGCCGCCUCGUUCUUCCUGCGAUCGAUGUGCUCUACUUGGUAACCCUGGAAGUGUCCAGCAACGGCAUCAACUUCACGGCGAUAAGCCGCCAUGAGAGGGUCCUUGGAAUCCCACUUGCCUGAUACUUGUUGAGCCACUAGAUCUGAGUCGCCCAAACAUCUUACUCUGCUCAAGCUCAUCUCCUUAGCCACCCGAAGACCAUGGAGCAAAGCCUCGUACUCGGCCGCAUUGUUAGUGCAUGGAAACAUCAACCUUAGCACAUAACGGAACUUGUCACCUUUAGGGGAAGUCAACACGACUCCAGCCCCCGAGCCCUCCAAUUGCCUAGACCCAUCGAAGUGAAUAGUCUAAUAUGUAUUAUCCAGCUUUUCUUCAGGCACUUGUAGCUCUGUCCAAUCGUUGAUGAAAUCCACCAAGGCUUGAGAUUUAAUAGCAGUGCGUGGUACGUAUUUCAGACCAUGAGGCCCGAGCUCUAUAGCCCACUUAGCCACUCUUCCUGUGGCUUCUCUAUUUUGGAUGAUAUCUCCAAGGGGAGCAGAACUAACCACAGUGAUAGGGUGACCCUGGAAAUAAUGCUUAAGCUUCCGGCUUGCCAUGAACACACCAUAAACAAGCUUCUGCCAAUGUGGAUACCGCUGUUUGGACUCGAUGAGCACUUCACUGACGUAAUAAACCGGCCGCUGAACCGGAUACUCCUUACCCUCUUCCUUGCGCUCCACCACCACAGCCACACUGACGGCUCGUGUGUUAGCAGCUACAUACAGUAAUAAGGGCUCCUUGUCAACCAGAGCAGCAAGGAGUGGGGGCUCCGCCAGCUGUCUCUUCAAAUCCUCAAAAGCAGUAUUAGCAACGUCAUUCAAGACAAAGUCAUCAGUUUUCUUCAUCAACUGGUACAGUGGCAUGGCCUUUUCACCCAAACGGCUUAUAAACCGGCUCAAAGCAGCAAUGCGGCCUGCUAGACGCUGGACGUCGUUUAGACACGCCGGCUUAGCCAGAGAGGUGAUUGCCUUGAUUUUUUCCGGGUUAGCUUCAAUGCCUCUGUUAGAAACCAGGAAACCCAAGAGUUUGCCUGCAGGAACACCAAAAACACACUUGGCCGGGUUAAGCAUCAUCUUGUAAACCCGGAGAUUAUCAAAGGUUUCUCUAAGGUCAUCGACCAGAGUCUCCUUUUCCCUGGAUUUAACCACGAUAUCAUCCACAUAGGCAUGAACAUUGCGCCCAAUCUGGUUAUGAAGACAAUUCUGCACACAACGCUGGUAAGUCGCCUGUGCGCUCUUGAGUCCGAAAGGCAUAGACACAUAACAGAAGGCUCCAAAGGGAGUGAUGAACGCCGUCUUCUCUUGGUCCUUAACUGCCAUUUUAAUCUGAUGGUAUCCAGAAUAAGCAUCCAAGAAACUUAAACGCUCACAACCCGCCGUGGCAUCAAUGAUUCGAUCAAUACGGGGGAGAGCAAAAGGAUCAGCCGGGCACGCCUUAUUUAUGUCCGUGUAGUCCACACACAUCCACCAGGUGCCAUUCUUCUUGAGCACGAGCACCGGGUUAGCUAACCAUUCUGGGUGAAAGACUUCAACAAUAAACCCAGCCGCCAAGAGCCGGGCCACCUCCUCACCAAUGGCUUUCCGCCUCUCUUCAUUAAACCGCCGUAGGAAUUGCCUGACCGGCUUAAAUUUCGGAUCAACAUUGAGAGUGUGCUCAGCGAGUUCUCUAGGUACACCUGGCAUGUCAGAAGGUUUCCAUGCAAAGAUGUCCCUGUUCUCACGGAUGAACUCGAUGAGCGCGCUUUCCUAUUUCAGAUCCAAAUUGGCAUUGAUGCUAAACUGCUGAGAUGAGUCACCUGGAACGAAAUCAACAAGUUUAGUCUCAUCAGCUGACUUAAAUUUCAUCACCGGCUCAUGCUCCGUGGUCGGUUUUUUCAGGGAUGUCAUAUCUGUUGGGUCAACAUUGUCUUUAUAAAAUUUCAACUCCUCUGUUGCACAAACAGACUCUGCAUAAGCCGUGUCGCCUUCCUCACAUUCCAAGGCUAUCUUUCGGCUGCCAUGAACCGUAAUGGUCCCAUUGUGACCCGGCAUCUUGAGCUGUAAGUAUAUGUAACACGGCCGUGCCAUGAACUUGGCGUAAGCCGGCCGCCCAAAUAUGGCAUGGUACGGACUUCUUAUCUUGACCACCUCAAAGGUCAAUUUUUCCACCCUGUAGUUGUAUUCAUCUCCAAAGGCCACUUCCAGUUUGAUCUUACCAACUGGAUAAGCCGACUUACUAGGCACCACACCAUGGAAAACAAUAUUGGACUGGCUGAGGUUCUUGUCAAUCAACCCCAUGCGACGGAAGGUUUCAUAAUAGAGGAUGUUGAUGCUGCUGCCUCCAUCCAUGAGCACCUUAGUGAACUUAUAUCCUCCCACCGGAGGAGCCACCACCAGGGCCAAAUGACCCGGAUUAUCAACCCGGGGAGGGUGAUCCUCCCUACUCCACACAAUAGGCUGCUCAGACCAUCUUAAAUAGCGUGGAACCGCCGGCUCAACAGCAUUCACAGCCCUCUUAUGAAGCUUCUGAUCUCGCUUACACAGACUGGUGGUAAACACAUGGUACUGUCCACCAUUGAGCUACUUUGGAUUGGUCUGGUAUCCCCCCUGUUGCUGUUGAUGACCCUGGCCGGAUUGCUGAUUAAAGCCCCCUUGAACAUUCUGAGGAUUGGAAUUUAAGCCGCUGCCCGGGCCAUGAAAGCCGCCGGCGCCUGAGCCGCCGCCCGAGCCAUUGUUGCCAUUAAAGGCAUUGGAGUUCUUAAAGGCCUUCAUGAUUGCACAAUCUUUCCAUAGAUGAGUAGCUGGCUUCUCCCUGGAGCCAUGCCUUGGACAAGGCUCAUUCAACAACUGCUCAAGCGUUGGGCCUGAACCGCCGGCUCGGGGAGGUGGCCUCCCUUUACGUCGCUGGUUGUUACCCUGUGAGCUGGCAUUGGCCACAAACUCCAUGCUGCCAUCAGCCUUACGCUUGUUACCUCCUUGGUUUGCCGGGUUAUGCUGAGGACCCUUGCCAUUGCCGUUCUUUUUUUCCUUCCCUGUCCUUUCAUCAUCUGAAGCGGGGUCCUUUGUACUAUCAGAGUCGGCGUACUUGACGAGAGUCGCCAUCAGCGUACCCAUAUCAUUGCAGUCGCGCUUAAGCCGCCCGAGUUUCAUCUUCUGGGGCAGGAAACGACAAUUCUGCUCCAACAUUAAGACUGCAGAGCCGGCAUCCAUCUUAUCAGAUGAAUGUAUUAUCUCUUUGACCCGGCGAACCCAAUGUGUCGUAGACUCACCCUCCUGCUGUUUACAGUUAGUCAAAUCCACAAUUGACAUAGACUGCCUACAGGUAUCUUUGAAGUUUUGAAUGAACCGGGCUUUCAGCUCAGCCCAAGAUCCGAUAGAAUACGGCGGCAGCCCUUUCAACCAAGUGCGGGCAGUCCCAUCUAACAUCUUGGUGAAGUACUUGGCCAUCGCCGCUUCGCUGACCUCCAGCAAUUCCAUGGCCAUCUUGUAACUCUCGAUCCAGGCUCCGGGUUGUAAAUCAGCCGUGUAAUUAGGCACCUUCCUAGGCCGCUUAAAGUCCUUGGGUAAACGUUCAUUGCGAAGAGCCGGCACUAAACAAGGGACACCUCCAGUCCUUGUAGGGAUACCCACGUCGGCGGAAGCCGUCGGAUAAGCCGGGGGUGUUUGGUAAGCCGUCAACUGAGGCAUCUGCUCCGCCUCUUGCCGUGCUCUGUCUUGGUCUGCUGCGUGAAAGGCCCCGUUAUGAGCCGGGCCGUGGCCAGGUGGCAAGUCACGGCGUCAGACAUUACUUGAGCCGGUCGCUGAGACCAUGUGUCUGCUAUAACUCGGGCUCCGGCCUGGAUGAGGAGUUGAAUGGAUCCUGUCCCGGCUAUAAGAGUAUGCCUCUUGCUGCACCAGAGCUGUCUGAAGGAGUUCUCUGACCCGGCGGGUUUCAACAGCCAUUGGAGAGUCGCCAUCAAUUGGAAGAGCCGCCAGCCGCGCCGCCGCGGCAACCAUGUUUUCCAGCGGGUUGGCAUAAUGACCCGGUGGUAUUGGCACGUACUGAGGCGGGGCGGGGUUCACCCGGGGAGGUCCCAUCACUUGGGGCUGAAUUGGUGCCCCUGCCCCGGGCACUAUAAUCUCCGGCGGGUUACUAGACCCUGCACCCGGCGUGUUGAAGAGAUUUCGAGGAUCGUAAACCGGAGGGAGUCGAGAUUGGGCCUUUUGAUGCCUCCUUAUCAUGACCUCAUUGGAUGCGUUUUGAUCCAUCGUGAGCCGGAAGGACUGUGCCUGAAUCAGCUGAGUCUGGGCGUCGAGAGCCGCCCUCUCUGCAGCCAUCCUGAUCCCCUCCGCCGCUAGAUCCUCCUUGGCCUUUGCUAGAUCCAUCUUUAACUGUGCCACCUCCGCGUCAUGCUGAACUUGAUCCGCCGGAGCCACCGUAGCGGUCAACAGGACCGUCAACUUGUCUGUGAGAUCCAUCAGCACCUGAGCUGGUGAGGGCACCGGGCUUCCUGACCCGGAGGCGGGGUUCUGAACAGGUUGCGCGCCGGCCAUGAAGAUGCCAACCCGACUCGGCGGUUCAAAGGGGUCCGGAAUACUGUCGCCGUCGGAACAACCCCUGAGCCUGCCAUCUUGAAGUUGAUACAACGAGUUUGACUCAUCCGUGGACGACUCGCCGUCAGAGCCGGCAGCCGUCUCAUCGCCAGAUCCAGACCCUUCAGAGAGUCCUCCAUGAACACAUCCCACAAAAGCGUGCUUCAAGGCAGGUAGAGCCCGGGUGGGUCGUGCACGCUGAGCCAUCUCGAUGAGAUCGGCGCAGAGAUCCGGCUUAGGGCCCGGCUCACCAAUCUUGCCAAUGAAGACAUGAAUUCCGCCAAAGGGGACCCGGUACCCGCACUCAAUUGAGCCGGCGUCGGGGCCCCAAUUUGCAUCGUCGAUGUAGAGCUUGCCGCGACGACUCUUGGUCAUCCGGCCCACAGCGUAUCCCUUGAGCCCUUCGAAGCUGCCCUUUAAGAACUCAAAUCCACCGUGCGCUGGCCCCAUGGUGGGCGCCAACUAUCAUGGAAUUGGCACGGCAGAUGUCCUUGAGCUAGGACUUAGUCGUGGAGCCAUCGAAACUAGGAAGCUUAAAGGGGUUAAACGGGACAAGGAACACGGGGUUUAUACUUGUUCGGCCCCUUACGGUGAAGGUAAAAGCCUACGUCCAGUUGAGGUGGUAUUGCUUAUGGUUUCAAUGACCAGGGAGCUUAAUUGCUAUGCCUGGCUCUCGACGAGAUCUUACUUGUCCCUAAACCGCCGCCGGGUCGUCCCUUUAUAUAGAGAGGUUGACGCCCAGCGGCCCUCAGAGUCCCGGCCGGCUCAUAAGAGUGUCCGGCUCGGACUCUCAACUAUUCUUGCCUUACACUACAAGUCUUGCUAUACGGCGGUCUAUCACUACGGGCCUUAAGCCAUCUCCGGGUCUUAGGCCCAUCAUUGACCCGCCGUCUUCAAGCUCGGUACUGGGCUUCGCGUGAUGACCAUUAUGAGUAACCCGGCCCCUCCUGGCGGGUGACUCUAAUGGUUAUAUCCUCAACAGUAAGCAUUACAGGAUUUCACUACUUCCAAAUAUAGAGUUCUCCAUAUGCACAUUUACUUCCCUAAUGUAUGGUUAGAUGAAACCAACUGUGUGGUGCAUGUUUCUACAUCAUGAAAAUGAGGAAACUAACAUGGCCAUUGAUACGCACUUAUAUUAGUAGUAGUAUAUAGAUUACUGUAAAAUAAGGAGAAUAUCCAUAUAUUCCUAACCGUUUGAUUAUUCAGGGGUACAAAUUGGCUGUAAUGACAUGAUCACAAUCGCAUGAAUUAACUCAUCCCAAAUAUAGCUGAUUUACGGCGUCUCUAAUACAUUGCCAUAGUUCUACUCAAAUUCUGCUCAACACAGGGAUAUGCCAAUCAUCACAAAAAAGUUCAAACAGUGUCAUGGCGUCAUCAUUAACAUGAGACGGAAACAACUUACACGUGCCGUCCCAGCAAUAGGUGGUGCCAUCUGCUUUGUCGAUCGCGUAGAUGAUGCCAUUGUGUUCAAUAGCAUCACAGAAGUGUGUAUCAGCUUUGACGAUGAUCCACUGUGAGCUGAGUUGUCUCUAGCUAAAGAAGGCACCGCCGUAAAGAUAGGCGAGUCCGCGGUCGAACAAGGCAAUUAGCUUGAAGUCUGCGUAAUUCGCAUGUCGUGUGGGCACUUGGCAGAUUAUAAUCUUCUGCAAAACAAGGUCCGCCCAACUGACGUGGUAAUCUAGAUGACUAGGACCGCGAUGGCAAAACUCUAUAUAAUCCAACGGAGGAAGGAUAAUCUCAUGGGAGGUCUGGAAGUUCACGAGCACCAACUUUUUACCGUCUUCUCUGCAGGCAGCCAUCCAGUGGGAGUUCAUGCCGACCCAGUACAUACCUGCCAAGAAGUUUCGGGCGAUGGUGAUCGGAUCGAAGUCGAGGGAAAUGAUGUACGGCGACCCACUACAUACGUGCAAAGAAGUUUCGGCUAAUGGAGAUCGGAUUGAAGUCGAGGGGCAUCAUGUACGCCUUCGCAUCAUGGUGAGCCAAUAUCGCAAGACCAGAUAGCAGCAAGCAGGGUGUCUUGAAAAGCUUUGGCCUCGCUUCGAUGAUGGUCGUGUGCAUGCCCCUCAAGCAUGCAGCCAGCCGCAGGGCGCUCAACAUAUCCAUACAGGAACAAUAGAGGUCGAGGACGUCACUGGGGAGGUUGCUCCAAUCGCGUCUCAUAUGGAUCUUGCGCGGUUCGCGUUCGGCCAUGGUGGAGUUUGGAAGGUGGGGUUUUGGGGGGCUUGAUUUACGGGGGAGAAGGCUGUCGGUGCUGGAGCGGCUAGCGAGGGAAUAGUGGUAUUGGGGGAGGCGAGCGAGGCGAGGGUAUGCGGGGGCACAGUGAGAUAAUGAAGAGUGACCUCAGGAUCUCCGGCGAGACGGAGAUGGAGAUGGAGUGGUGCUAGGGGAGAGGGAGACAAGGCGAGGCAUGCUAUACAGCGGCGGUGAAAGUGACUGCACAGUGCACAAGGUGAGGCUGACUUUGGUAACCCGGACACGCCGCCUGGACUGGUGUCACCUCGGGCGCAGGGUCUUGUCACUUCACUGUGAGGACCGGAUGAAUAAUAGUAUUUUGACCAUCAAGUGUACCAUAGUUGUACUACUACUACUAGUAGUAGGAGUGGUAGGAACAUGAGUACACUCCCGUGCUAGCAUGCCUCUGGGUUCACUUCAUCCUCCAGCUAUCAUCCAUAUUGCCAGCAGAACCAAAUUCUCGUGCAUGUGGAACCGUGAAGAAGGACUUUUCUUUUUUGAGGAUAACCGCAUAUUCCUUAACCAUAGUAGGAACAUGAGUAGUACUCCCUCCGGUCCUCUUUUGUCUGCGCAUAACUUUUUUCAGUAUUUCUCUAAUUAGUCUGCGUAUAUACCCUUUUGCAUGCGCCCAUUUCCCUCCAUGCCCCGCAUUCACAGCAUUAAUUAGCAUACGCAUGAGCAGCUGCAGCCAGACUCCAGCCAAUAAACUGCAGCAUGCAAGUGGGCCAUUCUGUGCGUGUGGGAGAGAGAAAAGGCAACCGAAGAGCCCGUCCAAUCCAUUGCAUGCAGCACUCAAACCACCGCAGAUCUCCUCAUGCAUGCGCAUAACUUCUCCCAUUUACUUCUCCAUCGGGAACCGAUUUUCCUCGGCUUUUUCACUACUACUCGAUCUUCAUUUGCAUCCAAACCACACUGCAUUCACAUUGUUUUAACCUCUUCACAUCCUCCUGGAGUAAUUCCGAAGCCCCUAUAAAUAGUCAUCUUCUUCAGUUAGACUAGCCAUCUAAUCCUAAUUCUCCAAACCAUAGCCCUCCGGUCCAGCGGUUCCAAAUGGCGAAAGAGAUCGAGAUGCAGGUUUUUAGCAUCCAACAUGUCCUCGUCGUAGGCUCGUUGAGCAUAGUUGCCACAGUCACCGACCACCCAAGGGUUGUUCGGAAGUGGAUCAUUAAUGUAUCCAACUCCCUCCAAAAGGUGGAGAUGAAUGUCAUCGGUCUCGACGCAGAGUACACGGAGCGUGCCACUGGGAAGAUCCAACGCGCCGCUGUCCUUCAGCUGUGCCUCGAAGAUGAUGUUUUGGUGUACCACAUCAUACACGCGCCCUCCAUACCAGGUGAGCUUCACGAUUUCUUGUCUCGGGAGGACAUAUACUUCUGUGGGGCAGCCAUCGCAGGGGACAAACAGAAGUUGGAGCCGUACAACCUUGAUUUGAAAAGCAUCGCUGACCUACGAACCAAAAUAAAAAUUCCUGUAGAAGAUUGUGAUAAACCGACACCAUCCCUAUUCGACGUAGCAAAUUUUGUGCUAGGAACAAAUCUUUAGAAGGGUGACGCGAUGCUGGCAUUAAGUUUGUCUGGAUGGGAGAAUUAUCCCUUGACGUACGAGCGGAUAAAAUAUGCUGCCCUCGAUACCCGUGUGAGUUUCGAGAUAGCUGCAAGGUCUGGAGAGCUUGUUGCGAAGCCGUCUCCCACAGAAAAUGAGAACAAGAAGAAGAAGAAGAAGAUGCUGCACCAGCAGCAGGGCAUUAUGGAUGGAUGAACUAUUUCCUCUCUUGUAAAAAAAAAUUAUUCCCUCUCUAGGUAUAUUGAUAUAGAUGGACUAUUUCGAUGGUGUGCAUGUCUUUGGAACAAGUAGUAGCGUGGGUCCGCUUGACUAUAAGGAACUAUUUAUCCGCCUAGCUUUCUCUACUACUCCUUCCAGUGAUAGGUAUGCAAUGCAUGUGUCCAUAGACAUGACAGCUUGUCCAUGAAAGUUCAACUACGGCGACCAUCACGUUUCAUCCACUGCCACUCGUGAUUCCCACGACGCCGCUCCAACCCACGGCACCACGUCCCCCGACGUGCGCCUCACCCCUCUCGGCCGCACCGCCCAUCUGCCUUUGUGUGCAUGACAUGUGGGCCACCUUAAAUGCGACGAGCAUCAAGUUUCUACCACAGCCGCACGCGAUUCCCACGAUGCCGCACGAACCCAUGACACCACUCGUCCCCCGACCUGCGGCUCACCCCUCUCGACCCCACUGCCCCUCUAAAUUUGAAUUUGAAACUUAUAAAAUGAAAAGAUUCAAAACAAAUAAACUGGGAAAGAGGGAGUAUAUCGUAGGAUGUGUCCCAUACGAAACAAGUCCCCUGGUUUGUCACCGCAAAGAUGCGGUUAGAAAGGAGCACAGCGUCUUCGUACUCGUACGGCAACAAAUCAGCCGCAGACAGCAUGGUCCACCUUUGACCGCCAUGUGCAAGGUUCGUGCUAUCUUAUUCAAUCUCACCGUGGUUCUAUCGUACCAAUUCAUGCGGUGGCCCGUUGCAUGGCUGAUCCCAAUGCUGGACAAAGGUUCUACCGGAAUGGUGUCACCGUUGUAAAUGUUGUGCAAAUUGAUGUUGGUACCCUCCCGUACAUAUGCAAGCCAGUCUCCACUCGCACCGAGCCUAACCUGUGAAACAGUGGGCAGGGGGAGAAUUAGGAAAUGGACACGGAAGUAGUCUUUAGAAUGCAUUUACUACAUGAUCAAACUCAUCUUACCUGCUCAUCGGUGGAAAUCCGAGUGCCCCUCAAUGUCGGUAUCUCAAGGGGCGUCAACUUGCAACUACGGCCACGCCGCGCUGGAGAGACCCCCAAGGAAACAUCCUCGCGCGUUCCACGGAACAUCAAGAUGCAUUUGUAUGAGUAGUUUAUCUUGUGAGAGAAAAGGAUGAACGAGGGAAGGCCUCUAGAGAUAGAGAUAGACACUACUACUAACAAUGUGCUAGCCCGUGCGUUGCAAUGGAUCCAAAGUAGUAGAAUAAUACUUGUUCACGUGCUUGAAAUAUAAACACUCUAGUUUUGAUAUACAUGUGUCAGCAGACAUGACAGCUUGUCCAUGGAAGUUGAACCACGACGACCAUCACGUUUCUUGUUUCUACCACUGCCACACCCACACGUGAUUCCCACGACACCGCUCCAACCCUACCUGUAAGCACGACGUCCCCCGGCAAGGACAUGGAUCCUCUGAUGUGGCUAUCACUGCCUUACCCUGCCUUUCCUUCGCUGACUGGUGGGACCCACACUUGUGGGUCCCACAUGUCAGUGAUAGAAUGGUAGGAUUGUUCACGUCAGGGAAUCCUCAUCCCCCCGACGUGCGCCUCAUCCUUCUCGGCCCCACCGCUCCUCUGCCUUUGUGUGCAUGACAUGCGGGCCAGCUGAACUGCGGCGACCAUCAACUUUCUACCACAGCCACACCCGAUUGGACGCGGUUUGCCUGCUCUGCUGCUGUGCUCCGAUCCGUACUCCCGCACCAUCGAAUUUUCAUCCAGCGGCUGUGACACAUUUCGUCCCGGGCAUCAAUCCUCAGAUGGAGUACUUCUGUACUACAGGUAGUACCCGCCGGUGUGGCCAUCUACGCCUCGUAACGCCCCGACGCCCAGCUGUGGCACCCUCGCCACGGCCACGCCACCACCGGCCAGUUCAUCUCGAAUGAGUGAGUCGCGAACCACACCACCACCAUGAGAAUGACAUGUGGGCCAGCCGCAUUUAAGGUCCACAUGUCAUUGACUCAUAGGUCGGGCACUAAGCCACUGAAGUUCCGUCCCAUGGGCCCGGAGAGGGAAAUGUAACUCCUGCGGCAGGCCUUGUGGUGCUCCCGCAGUACGAGCUCGUGCCAAACCCGGAAUUUGUUUCUUACUAUCUACCAACUACUACUAGUAAGGUACACGUGCAUUGCACGCAUGAGAUUCUGGUGGUUUGAGCAUUAUGCUUCUACAUGUGGAGUCUUCUAGAUUCUACAUGUGGCAAAAUCUGGUGGAAUGUAGAUGAUAUCCAACGGCCAGUAGUGCUAGGAUUUUCCAUCUUUGUACCGUCGGAUUGGCUUCAUCCAACGACCAACUUUCAAAGUUAUGGUUUGGUUUGCAGCCUAAGGUUGCCACGCCUAAGCUUAGGCGUGCCACAAGUGUGUUUGGUUGUGUUCUCGUCUCAGCAUAGUUGUUCCCUCUUCAUGCAUGCUCAACUCAACACCCCUCUUCCUGUAUGCUCUCUUCAUGCAUGCUUCUAGUGUAUUUGUGCUAAUCUAGUGUGGACUCAUGCACCCUCCAUACACUCUACCAAACACCCAAAAGUGGGUCGAGAAGGGAACUCUUGGGAUCAUGCACCCUUCAUACACCCUACCAAACACACUAGGCAUGUGUUUGGUUCAUUGCUACACUUGUGGCUUGCCACACUUUUCUAGCUACAUGGUCCACAUGUCAUAGACUCAACUUCUUGCCAAAUCUUGCCACACUUGUGGUUGCCAUUUUGUUAGCCACAUUUUUUGUGGCAGACACACUUUGCCUAAGCUUAGUUGUGGCAAAGUUAGUCAUGAAUGAAGUUCAACCAUGGAGUCUUCUAGAUUCUACAUGUGGCAGAAUCGGGUGGAAUGUAGAUGAUAUCCAACGGCCAGUAGUGCUCGGAUUUGCCAUGUUUGUACCGUCGGAUUGGCUUCGUCCAACGACCAACUUUCAAAGUUAUUCACACACUAUAUAGGGGGUAUACAUAUAGAUGUGCCGGCCCGUUGCAAUGGAUCCAAAGUAUAUCUAUUUAGUGGAGUGCACUCUAAACACAUUAUCUAUUUAUUUUUCUCUAACCUUUCGUGGCCAUGCAACCAAGCCACAUAAGCUUCAUGGGUGCCCCCACAUCAUCUUAUUCAUACUACGUUGACUGAAAAAAAGAUAAAUCACCCAAAACAAGAUCUUCCCGUUUUUUGUUCCUACGAUGCUGUGCCGUGCACGUACCUACUAGUUGUAUAGUGGUAGUACUAGUUGUGUAGUACAAACUUGGUACUAGUAGGAGUAGAGUAGUACGGAAUGCUCCUACUCUAUCAAAGAGCCCCAUCUGACACCAAAUUUCUUGGCUUCCGUGCUACAGCUAGAUCUUCCCCUCGUUUCUGUUUUCCAACCCGGCGGCGGGCGGGGUGCGGUUUGCCAAUAGUCGGUUUGCUCAACGGCGGUCCCACAUGAAAGUGAAAGUGCUAGGCAACACGCCUUCCCUAAGCUAUGUGUCGUGCCGGACGGGCCGUGGAGUACUCCCGAUUCCCGGGCGUGUGUGGGGGAGUGCGACGCGAACGCGGCAGGCCUUUUCCUUUUACUAGCAAUGUGCCCGUGCGUUGCGACGGAUCCAAAGUAGUAGAAUAGUAGUACUUGUUCACAAACUUGAAAGAAAUCACUCUUGUUUUGAUAUACUCCUAAUAUAUUACUCCCUCUGUUCCUAAAUAUUUGUCUUUUUAGAGAUUUCAAAUGGACUAUCACAUACGGAUUAUAUAGACAUAUUUUGAAGUGUAGAUUCACUCAUUUUGCUCUGCAUGUAGUCACUUAUUGAAUUCUCUAGAAAAACAAAUAUUUAGGAACAGAGGGAGUACUUUUCACUCAAAAUAUAUUUCUCAGGCUGUUUUGAUGAGGUGAGGGAGGGAUGUGGUUGCUUUCAAAAUAAUAAGGGGUUUUCUGCAAAUUGGAGCAGAGAAGUGGGCCAUUGUUGCAAAAAUGCCACAACUUACCUCACAGCCGUUAGAUGCAGAUCUAAUGGUCAGAAACGACGGAUGGCAGACACACCACCAUCACCAACUGAGUCUUUUAUAGGAGUAGGAGUAGAGAAACAUGUAUAAAUUGUAACAUUUGGUUCUACUCCUUGGCACGAUCGAUAGAUAGAAAUAAUGAUUGGAAGGCGGGGCUAUUUCCGCCAGAUAAGCAGGGUACGUAGUAGCUAGGUUUGCGCAUCGUCGGUUUGGUCACACGCGGUCUGACAUGUUCUAGUGUUUCUAGCAAGAUGCCCGCGCGUUGCACGAAGUUGAUGGAAAAGGUAAGCACAACUUAUAAAUUGAUGGAUGGAGUACUAGUUACAGUGCUGCAUAUAAUUAAGCAAAGGGAUCGCACAUGUCGGUAUUGACUGGAACGAGAAUGCAACAACACAAUAAGAAUUAAGGCCACGAUGAUGAUGCGAUCGUAGUGGUGGUUACUGAAGGCAAGAAGAAAGAUGCAUCCAUCAAUGUACGACCUCCUCCUCCUCAACUUAGUGCGCCGGGCCACCGACCGGCGUCUAAGGAGCGGCGGCUUUUGUGGUGAGGUCGAGGUGCUUCUCAGCAAAGGCAUCCAAGGCUUCCAGCCGGUUGAGGAAGGCCAACGUCGUAGCAUCCUCACUGGCCUUGUAGACACCUAUGUACAUGAUUUGCUCAUACACGUGGAUGUGUAGGUCGACAAAUUCUUGCAGGGUGAGGUGCCUCGCGGCGAGCACGACCUCCAGGUGGACAUUCUUCGUGGCAUCGGCGGGCAGUCGCAGGGCCACCAGUGCUUGAAAGAGGUUCCGGCCAUGGACGCCGAUUAGGGUGGCAGGCAAUGAGGAGCCCGGGCGCGCGGGCUGGAGGAGUACGAUGAUGUCGUCCGCGAACUUCUUGAGGACGGUGAACUUGUUGGUGGUGGCAAUGAUCAUCUGGUCCAACUGAGAGUCAUAGUUGGCGUCGACAGCGGCCAUCCACCAGCCGGUCUCCAAUACCGUCUGGAGACGAUCCUCGGCGCCAUGCCGCAGGCCGACGUCGUGGACCAUCUGGCACAACCGCUGGCCGCUCGCGCGCAUCGCCACCAUGGGUCUGUAGUGAGCUCUUUUGCGCUUAGUGUAGGUGCUUAGGCAAAUGCUUAGGUGCGUACGAUGUGGUAGAUGCAUUGGAAUGGAGGGGCGCCUUUAUAUGAGGGCAAACUGCGUUGCAUUCACAUCGUGCAACCUCUUUUCCCGGUCCUCCUCCCAUUACUUCCCUCAUGCAUUAAUUGAAGGAGGAUGCAUUGGCCGUUCAACAUUUCGGGAACCGCUACUCCCUCCCUCGUCUGCAUUAAAGCCGUAUCGGGAACUACGCCGCCCGCUGUCAAAUUGAAUAGUACUGCGCCACCCGCUGCACGCCCGGCUGAACAUGCCUCCAUCAAACAGCUCCGUUAAACCCGCAUGCAAACCGAGAAACCUACUCUGGCCACACGUCCGUUCAUGACCGGGCCGGAAUUAAACGCAACACCGGCCGAGCUCCUCCCGUCCGCCCUCAGUUUAAACGAGGCCAGACGCCGGCCAAGCUCCUCCCGUCCGCCCUCUAUUUACACGAGGCCAAACAAACAGCGGGCAAGAAUCGCACCCCUCUGCCGCUCCCCCAUCUCCUCCUUCACCAUUUUCUCCACUCUUCCGACGGCUUCCGAGGAGCCGUUCUUCGGCAUAUUACCCGGCUGGGUGGCCCGCCGAGCGCUCCGGAUAUGGGCGAGGCCACUCGGUGCUUCACCAACCUCGCUUGCCCGAUGGAGCCAGUUGCCGCCCCAAGCAGGCGCGUGGUUCAGCAACUCACCACUCCAGUUCAGCUUGAUGAGGAGUGGCGAGUUGCUGCACGCCGGCACGGCGGUGAGCACACCGGUACAGGCGUCGUCGCUGCCGCGUCGUACCGCGCCACCAGUGUCUGCGGUGCCGCGCCUCCCGUGUCUGUGGGCGCGCCUCCCGUGCCUGCGGCAGCGCCAUGCAGGCAGAGACAGAAGCCGGGUGCAUGGAGAGCGACGAGUCGGUGGCCAGCUUCUUCGUGUCCGCUGCCAUCAUCGAGGAGAAGUAGAACACGGGAGGCCGCCGCCACUUGGGUCCCAUGAAGGCCACCGCCGAGGCGACGACUGCGCAUUCAGGUGGUUUCUUUGCUUCUUCGUCUCUUCCGAGGACCUUCGUCGACCCCGCAAAGUGUCUGCCCGGCAUGAGGAAGACAAAGGGAUCCGCGGGCGGCCAUUUCGAUUAUGUACUCCCUCUCCAGCUGGCGGGAAAUUUUUGUUCUAAGAAUGGAUAAAUUGUAUGUAUCUAUAACUAAAAUAAGUCUAGAUACAUCCAUUUCUAGGACAAGUAUUUCCAGACGGAGGGAGUAUUAAUUAUACCAAGAGAGCCGGAUUGGCACCGCUUAGUUCAUGUAAAUGUAAUGAAAUCCAUCAUGUUUAUAUGAGGAUCCGGCUUUUUUAUACGAAAUCCUUCAUGCUUAUAUGAAAUCAGUCCGUGUUUGCACGAAUUUCAUCUGGUUGGUUAGAGUUGUGAAAAUGUAUGCCGCUGGCGUUUGAUGUCGUCCUCCGCGGAAGGAAGUGGGAGGAAAUUUGCCUGCUACCGUUGGAGAUGCUCUUAUGCUGGAAAUAAUAGAGUGACAUCCAAUCCAUUUGAGUUAAUUGCGUGUAUGAUUGUCCCUCUAUAAAAAGUUAAUUGCAUGUACAGUGUACACGUGACUUGCAGGGUGGCUCCAGCUUCAUACAGAAAGUUAAAAAGAAACAAGUCCAUCCUUAAUCUUGUAUUCUAAGUACUCUGUGGGUUCCACUGUCAGUACAGUAGCGAAAGAAGUAUAUAUUAAAUAAGUAAUAUAUAAUAUAAAAAUCUAAAGUUAAAAACAGAAUUCGAACUCAUGUCAUCGCGUUGCGAGCAUCCGACGCUAACCAGUCCAGCACAUUUUUGUUGUAGACCAUGCUAGAGAUAUAUCUCCAUGUCUACUGUUAUACUCCAUCCGUUCCUAAAUAUUUGUCCUUUUCAGAUUUCAAAUGGACUACCACAUACAAAUGUGUAUGUAGACAUAUUUUAGAGUGUAGAUUCACUCAUUUUGCUCCAUAUGUAGUCACUUGUUGAAAUCUCUAAAAAGACAAAUAUUUAGGAACGGAGGGAGUAGAAAACAGAGUUGGUGAUGAUGGUGUGCGUGCCGUCCUGCAAUAUACGCCGUCGGAUUUAUAUCUAGCGGAUAGGCAGAAAACUAUGGCAAUUUUGCAAAAAUAUACCCACACCCCUCUCCACGUUCGCAAAUACGGCCUUCCCUCGUUCAUCCUUUUCUCUCACAAGAUAAACUACUCAUACAAAUGCAUCUUGAUGUUCUGUGCAAUGCACGGGCAUCUAGCUAGUUUCUUUUAAAAUAGUUACUGCGAUAAUUGGGUUGAAGUGAUAUAUUUUAUGUCUGCCCCGAAUGAUUUCAGAUCACUAGUAGUAACAAAGAAAAGGUUGCCUUGCUAAUUAACAGAAAACAGGGUGAAAACUAUCACAUGAGGCCGGUAAAAACGAGGCACACUGGGUUCAGCAUCAUCGUCACUACAGCUGUGCGCGCACGAGAAGUCUACAUAUCGAGGGGGCUACUGAGCGAGGCACAGAGACACAAUGUUUGAGAGUGAAACCAAUUGACAGAUUACAAUCAGAUCGAGUUGUCACCCUUCUACUGUCAUUGUNNNNNNNNNNNNNNNNNNNNNNNNNNNNNNNNNNNNNNNNNNNNNNNNNNNNNNNNNNNNNNNNNNNNNNNNNNNNNNNNNNNNNNNNNNNNNNNNNNNNNNNNNNNNNNNNNNNNNNNNNNNNNNNNNNNNNNNNNNNNNNNNNNNNNNNNNNNNNNNNNNNNNNNNNNNNNNNNNNNNNNNNNNNNNNNNNNNNNNNNNNNNNNNNNNNNNNNNNNNNNNNNNNNNNNNNNNNNNNNNNNNNNNNNNNNNNNNNNNNNNNNNNNNNNNNNNNNNNNNNNNNNNNNNNNNNNNNNNNNNNNNNNNNNNNNNNNNNNNNNNNNNNNNNNNNNNNNNNNNNNNNNNNNNNNNNNNNNNNNNNNNNNNNNNNNNNNNNNNNNNNNNNNNNNNNNNNNNGGUGUGGGUGUGUGUGUCGGGGGGGGGGGGGCAGUGACACUUACAUAUCCCUACUCUUAUAAAAAUAGAGUUGGUGAUGAUGGUGUUCCUGCCAUCCUGCAAUAUAGGCCAUCUGAUUUAUAUCUGACGGAUAGGAAGGAAACUGUGGCAAUUUUGCAAAAAGAUACCCACACCCCUCUCCGCAUUUGCAAAUAAGGCAUUCCCUCGUUCAUCCUUUUCUCCCACAAGAUAAACUACUCAUACAAAUGCAUCUUGAUGUUCGGUGCAACGCAUGGGAAUCUUGCUAGUAGGGAGAAGGAGUUUGUGUGACACAUAUCUAGCUAUAUUAAGGGAUAGGUAGAUAGCAUUUGUGCGAGGCAUACUUAAAGCAUCACGAAGAUAAACAAAAUUGUGUGCAUGCAAGUGCCGGAAAAAAUGAAGCGAGAAACAAUGUGUGUGUGUGCGCGCGCGUGUGUGUGUGAGAGAGAGAGGGAGAGAGAGAGAGAGCGAAAUCUCAAAACAAAAGGUGCUCUGCUGGAAUCCCAUUGUAUGUAUUCAUAUGGUUUCGGAACUCGAGUUAACCUUAGGCAUAUGUGUGAGAGACAUUAUUAUACUUUGAGACAUUAGUGGCUGUGGGUGGGCGGAAUUAAAGGGGUGGGCGUGUUCGACAGAGAGAGCAUGUGUGUUUCUGUGUGAGAGACUUGUAGGACGGGGUAGAAAGACAAAUUCUAACCUUGACGGAGGGAGAGAAAUACACGAAGUGCGCGUGUGUGAUUCCGAUGCCCACAUGGAAAUGAGAUAUGUAUGCGUGUGAGAGAGAUUGCACAAUUCAUUCACGUAUCACUAUCUAGCGAUCGUAGACGUGCAUCGCUUGAACAUAAAUCAAUAUCUACUUCAUAUCGUGGCCAAAGGUACAAUAUCGAUUCAACGCUAUAAAGAUUGGACACUCACAUAUCACAUUUUUUCUAUUUAAAUAAACCUUUUCAGUUGUGCAUGCCAAAGUUACAGUGAUGUUUCUUCAAACAACCAAUGUAGCUAUCAUGUACAUGCACCAUUGUUACUCUUGCAUUCAAAAUCAUUAGUCUAGGAUGAUUUAAGGUUCUAUUAUGAAGUAAUAUAUGUAAUAUUCAUAUAUGAACUCAACAGGUACGCAAUUUAUGAAAUGGAGGCUAUGUAAUCAUAUGAGGUAACACUUUUAAGUAGCGGACUACAAUAUCCAUUUAUUUUUGUGCACCUCUACACUAACACGUCAAUGCAUUAUGUUUAAAGUAAAUAACCAAUUGCACUAAAUUAUCUAUUUACACGAGAAAUACAUAGGCUGAGCGUUUGAUCCCUUUUUUUGUGAACGCGCCACUACACCCGUACGAUUGGCCGCGCCCGUGUGAACGUCCAAGUUAUCGGCGCAUCAUCCCGAGUUAUUGUCUUUUUUUCUUGGUUGGACUUCACACUAGUUAUUAACUGUUGACGCGUGCCCCGUGUACACAGUCUCGCAUGACCUUCCCGCUAGCACAGUCCAAAAUUAGUUGAAACUGGAUACGAACGAUCCCGCGGGCGGCAACAUCUCCCGCCUCCUUCUAAAAUUUCCGCCACCUUAGUCUUUAGCAUGCGAAAUUCCCCUUUUGUUCUUGGUGCACGGAGACCAACAGUUACAAUACCGCCCUCAUCUACAUAAUAGGUCGAGGCUGCUUUGGUAACUUCCGGUUGCCCCCACUACACAACACCCCCAUUUCCUCUCCACCUCCCGCAAAAACGACUAACUCCACAGCACCAGAGCAUCUCACAUCACGCCGCCGUACUUCAUCAGCCUUUCUCCCCCCCUCUCGAAACCCUAGACUGCUCAUCCACCGGCGUACCAGAGCCCAUUCAUUGCCAGCGGCGUCCACCUCGCCGAAUCUGCUUCUGCGGCCGCAUCUACCCCUCCCACCUCCCCUAGAAAUAUGUAGACUGCUCACCCACCACUGUACCACAGCCCAUUCAGUGCCGGCCUUGUCCACGGCGCCGGAUCUGCUUCGCCGGUACUCUCAUCAACCGCAGCGCAUCUGCAGCGGCUCAUUCGUACUCCCCACCGGAGAUGCUUCGUCCACACCCCCCCGGAGCCGCCCCACCGACUCCCCCAUCGACGGCCUUUGAUCCUCUUCGCCGACACCUUCCUCAACCCUACCAGAGCCGCUUCACCGACACCAUCGUCAACCCCACCGGAGUAGCUUCGCCUAUACCAUUUUCAACCCUACCAGAGCCGCUUUGCCAACUCAGAAGUCCACGGCCUCAGAUCCGCUUCCUCACACCCUCAUCCAACCUACCGGAGCAGCUUCUGACGCCCCGUCCACGACCACAGAUCUGCAUCAUCGACACCAUCCUUAACCCAACCACCGGAGCAGCUUCACCUACCGGAGCCACUCCACAAACACCCUACUCAACGGUUCUAGAUCCCCUUACCGGACCCCGACAGCCAGCGCAGGGUCAUCACCCUUGACGUUUCUAACCUGAUUCCCACCAUCGGGAAAGAUGCCAAGGACCCGCCACGGCCUAGGUACUUGUCACCUUUAAACCCGUUCAGCAUCACCUGCCCGAUGUACUUCAAAUAUACUAACAGGUCGCUGUUACCUGAUAUGUAGCUGGCAAAAACUACAAGGACGAUGUUUCUUCUAGAUCUAACAACUUGGCCAACCAAGAUCCUGGACCGAGGCAUUGCUAUGAUCUUGUAAGCGUGUCUCUCUCUCUUGUAUUGUUCUGUGCCUGCCAGCGUGCUUUGCUAGGAUUUUCGACCAGUAAUCCCUUUGUGCAGACAAUGAUUUCUACUACUGGCUGCUAAAUUAGAUAUGUAGACGUCAUACAUGAUACUACCUCGUACCUCCGUUCCUAAAUAUAAGUCUUUCUAGAGAUUCCACUAUAGGCUACAUACGGAGCAAAAUGAGUGAAUCUACACUCGAAAAUGCAUCUAUAUACAUCUGUAUGUGGUCCAUACUGGAAUCUCUACAUAGACAUAUAUUUAGGAACAGAGGCAGUACGUUACACAAAAUCGUAGGUGGCAUGUAGGAAUUCUAGUACACUACAUUAGGCUCCCUUAAAGUGCCUGCUAGUCCAGCACACAGAGUCAUGGCUAGUUUAUGCUACGCACACAAUCAUUAAUUGGUGGUUUAAAUAUGCGCAAGGGAUAUGCAAUGUAUUAUCAUAUAGAGAUGUCUGAAAAUUAGUCGUAUCAACUUGCAGACAGGGUUACACAAUGAAAAAGUACAAGAUGUAUGUGGCAAUUUCAUGGAACAUCGCAAAAAAAGGAGAGCCAGCGGUGAGCCUAUACAGUGUGCUAUGGUACGUUACUCCUCCAUUGCAAUCAUCAUGACAUGUUAUUUGUAUGUCAGUUCUAUUGGCCAAGUUUCUUAGGGACAGUUAUUACGAGUUAUCCUAAGAAAAUAAGCACCUGUGAAUAUAAGCUCCAUGUAAUAAGCCAACCAGUUCUUUUCAUUGCGUUUUCAGCUUAUCUUUGGUAUGAUCAGUGAAAAGUCUAGAUUGCAUUAUAUUUUUUUCAUUUUGCUGCCCAUAUGAAAAUUAAUUUGACUUGCAAACAUCACAAAUUGAACCCAGUGCAGUAAUUAAUAUGAUAGUAAAACAUACCAUCACUAUUUGCUCAAAAUGCAAAUACAAAGAUACCAUCUACUUGGCACAAUCUACUUUGGUCAAUGUUUUCCAUAGAGAUCCCAUUGCCUAAUUUAGACGAAAAAUGCAUGACCCAUAUUUAAGUGAAGAACAAUUAUUUAUUGAAAUUCGAUGGUCCAAGUGGCUGGUUAUUAUCAUAUAGCAGCACCAUCUGAAAGCAUCAUAUAGCAGUAGCAGCAGCUCAUAGCAACUCAUCAUACAGCAGCAGCAGUGUGCAAUUCAUCAUAUACCAGCAGCAGCUCAUAGCAAUUCAUCAUAUAGCAGUAGCAGGAGCAGCUCAUAGCAAUUCAUCAUAUAGCAGCAGCAGGAGCAGCUCAUAGCAAUUCAUCAUAUAGCAGCAACAGGAGCAGCUCAUAGCAAUUCAUCAUAUAGCAUCAGCAGGAGCACCUCAUAGUAAUUCAUCAUACAGCAGCAGCAGGAGCAGCUUAUAGCAACUCAUCAUAUAGAAGCAGCAGCAGCUCAUAGCAAUUCAUCAUAUAGCAGCAGCUCAUAGCAAUUCAUCAUAUAGCAGCAGCAGGAGCACCUCAUAGCAAUGCAUCAUAUAGCAGCAGCAGAAGCAGCUCAUAGCAAUUCAUCGUAUAGUGGAUCAGAAUGAAAAUUUGGCAAAAAAUCAGAGGAGAUCCUCACCUUGUUGGAUGAGCUCUUCCUUCAACAGCACCUCAAGGCCACGGCCUGGGAGGUGGGGAGGGGGAAUAAGGUGCCUUCUGCCGCAGUGUGGCAUCAACCGUAGUUGUGCAGCGCCUACUGGAGUAGUGCGUUGGACAAACCACAGUGGAGCAACUGCUGGAGACCAUGAGAAUGAGGGGCGGCACCAGAGGUAGGAGCAGCCAGGGAGAGUUGCCCCUACCCGCCGACCAUGUAGCCUAGAUGGACAAAGCAUCGUCGAGGACCAGGCUAGAUGGGACUAGUGGCGACGGCUUGCUGGAGGAACCCUAUGCUGCAGGUAGGGGAUCGAGGUAGAGGGAAAGGGGAGAGGAGAUGCAAGCGGGCAUGGCAAUGAACGCUUGCGUGUUUGUUUUUACUUGAGGGUGAGGUGUGACGCGGGCGUCACCAGUUGCAUUUUGAGUGUAAUAUAGGCAGACAACAGAGUCAUUUCACUAUUCCCCUUCCCUUCAAUUUUUAGUGAGGUUCUACCUGAAACACCCCCCUCCAAAGAGAAAUUAGUUAAGCCCAAGCCCAUAACUCAAAAAUGACUUCUUUACAUCUUUUAUGGCUUAUUUUGACAAUAAGCCCUGAAAAGGCGGAAUAGAACUAGCCCUUAACCUGCAAUUCAAUUGUGCGUGCAAUGAUGAAUCACUCCUGCCUGCUAUAGUGUACAUUUGGGCAUCAUCAUACAUGGCAUAACCUAAUACAUGUGCAUUCCAUUGUAGAAUCUUGAAUAUGCAAUGUUUAUGUUAGUUCAUAUGUUGCACAUGAUGUUUAAAUGCCCCUUAAAUCUGGUCAGUCAAGUGAUGGUCUUUAAGCCUCCUUCUUUGCUUCUUUUCUUGAUAUGUAAGAUUUGCUCACACAUCUGUUCAAUUGCUUGUUUGCAUCAGCCAACCAUACUAGGACUGUUUGCUUUGAUUACUUGUUGUUCUUGACCUAACACUCUAACAGAGCUUGUCAACGAUUUAAACACUAAGGGCUGCUGUAGUGGGGCCUUUUCUAACUCAUAGGUGACAUAAAGGUUUGGCUGUACACUAAAGUAGGCUCUCCAAGAGUACCUGGAGAUCCAGUUCGAAGGUAUGCCUAGUUUUUACAUAGUACAGACAUAGUAAAUGCUCAUUUCAUUGUGUGCAAGUGCAAGAGAUGCAGCAUGUUUCAUUAUGUGGUGUUGUUUUGUUAUAAUCUCAUCCUUUUGUGUUCACAGACUGGAAAGUAUGCAUAUUUAUCUUCCAAGGAGACGAGUAACUAGUUUGUGUCACCUUGAAGAGGGGGUGCAAUGAAGAUAAUAUUGAGGAUUUCCAAGUACAAGAUGUUAGGAAGGAGCCUUGCAAGAGAAGUAGGACCACCGCUGAGCCUCUUCAACCUGUUAAGGUAAGUCACUGUAUCCAACUCAACAGUUCAAUUCCUUGUUUGUUUCAGGCAUAGUUAAUUUGCUCUUUUCAAUUGCUUUAUUUGUCCUCAGUUAAUGAGAUGCCCAAGGAAUGAUGCCUGAUGUUGGGUACUUGUAUAACUAUUAGUUGACAUAAUUAAAUGCCUUACCAUUUAAUUACUAUGCCGAAGUGUGCCUGAAGGUUUGAAGUCUAUUAACCAACUAUUAUUGCAUGAGGCUCACAAUCUAGUUUAUACUAGGCUAAUGAUUGCAUAGUUUUGCUUGCUGUAGUAUGUUUGUAUGAAACUCUCUGCUGUUCAUUAUGCUCCCUAAGACUUUAAUUGAGCUACAGAAUGGCCAACUGCUUGCUUACUUCUACGCAACGUGCUGUCUAAAUUUGUAACUUGUCUGUGUUUUGGAUUGGGCCCCAACAUCAUGCUCCUCUAGUGAGCUAAGAGAGAUUUCUGUAUGCAGGCUGCACAGACUACCUUUUUAUAAUUUUUAAAAUAUCACCUGCUUAUGCUUCAUGACGUGUAACAUUAUUGUUAGUCCUGUUUUGCCAUGUACAAAAUAGUCUGUCUUGCUCGCUCCACAGUUGUAACUAUAUUUUUGCCCUAGUCAUGUGUACUUACAGAAACAUUUCAGGAUGAAGUGACAUCAACACAAAGAUCUGCGAGCAGUGCGGCAUGGCCAUUACCGAAUGAUUAUGGAUUGGAAUUGGAAUGUGCUGAUGUUCUCGAGCAUCAACUAGAGGUGGCAAGACAACGUGUACAUGAUUCUGAACGUACAAUCAACAAGUUGAGACUGGACAUGCAGGUAUUAGAUGCAGGAGUCAAAAAAAUGAAACAAGACACUGAGGUAACAACGAAGGAAUUGGAGAUUUUGCAGACUAAAAUUUGUGCUAUCUAAAUCCGGCCAAUCCUAUUUUCUGAAGAGAUUAUAGUUCAAAUGGUAAGUUAUGUUGAUGCGCGUCCAUGAUGUAUGAGUUGUAUUUGCCCAGUGUAUGCAAUUUGCUGUUUGUGUAUGCUUUAUUAUCAUUGGUGCCGAACCAUAAUGCCCAGUGGGUAUAAUCAGAUGUAAUUUCUUUAUUGUAUAGUGUAGGAUUAUUCUACGUUUCUAUGCCUUAGUCUCUUUAUUGUAUAGUGUAUGUUUUUUAGAGGUGAUAGUAUAGAGUAGGAUAAUUCUUUGAAUAUGCUAUAUCGUCAAACGGGGGCCAACUCGCCCAAACGUUGUAGUGACCAUGGCCCUCCACAUGCCGUACAAUCCAUGGGCCAUCUACGGGACAGACGAUCCAUGGCCUUCUAUGGCUGUCGGAUUCGUGGGCCUUCUAUCUGCUGUCGGAUCCAUGGGCCUUCUAUGGGCCAUCGGAUCCAUGGGCCUUCUAUGGGCCGUCGGAUCAAUGGGCCUUCUAUGGGCCAUCGGGUCAAUGGGCCCUCUACGUCCCGUAGGAUCCAUGGGCCUUCUACGGGCCGUCUCAUCUAUGGGCCUUGUACGGGCCGUAUAAGGGGCCAUAAACAGGCUAGAGUGGAAAUCGUACGUUUUAUGGGCUGACCAUAACGGGCCGUUAAUAGGCCGUAUUUGAUGAUGCUAUGAAAAUGGCCCAACAGAUUAACGGGCCGUAAACGGACCGACAAUAUCCACGGGCUGAAUUUGGUCCACAAGCAGAAAAGGCCAGUAACGGGCCGUAAGUAACCGAAUGCUAGAAAUGAGCCCAAGAAUAAAUGGGCCCUCAGAAGGCCGAAAGGUAACACGGGCUAGAAACGACCCAGUGGAAUAAUGGGCCGCUAAUGGGUAUAAAGCGAUACACUGUUCAUUACGGGCCGGUUUCACCACGGGCCAUUAAUGGGCCAAGAGUUACAAAGGGGCUCAUAUGGGCCAAAAUACGUCAUGGGCCAUACAUGGGCCGGAAGUUAAAACGGGCUGGAAUUAUAUUGGACGGCCCAGAUGACGCUACUGGGCCUAAUUCGGAUAGGCCGUAAAUGGGCCAUGGGUUAGCGGGCCGUAAAUGGGCUAUAUGCGAACAUGCCGUUAACAGGCUUGCCGUGGGCCGGCCCGCCACCUUUUGACCAAGUCAAACGGGCCGACCUUUUCACAGGAAUGGGCCUCUGUUGGGCCGUGCCACGUGUCGACGUAUCAUAGUCGCUUUGGGUCCAAUGAGUGGAUGACAUAUGUCCCAACGGUGAGCCGACACGUGUUUCCUCUAGCCAAUGAUGAUUUUACACGUGGAAAAUCCCCAUUGGUCGGGGCUGUUAACGUGUUAUCGGAUCCAAAACCGGACCCGAUAGCUUAACGGCGUUCCGUUACGGUGGAUGCCACAUGUCGGUCACCCUUGACGAAAGCACUUCUGUGACGCGCGAUUUAUCGUCAUGGAAGUGGACACUUCCGUGAUGAUAAUUUUGGUAAUGUCAUGGAACACUUCUACGGCAGCACAGGUAUGACUAUCUUUCAUAAAUUUGUCAUGGAUGUACAUGCAUGACAGAAAACGUGACCUACUGUGACAAACACGUAUCAUCACGGAAGUGUAUUUUUUUGUAGUGUAGGCUUUUCCCUAGUAGUGUAUAAAACCCCGAGGAGCCCUCAUGCAUACGAGCGAUCGAACACAGAGGAUCGCUCACUCACACACGCAUAGCAAGCCACACCCAAGGAGAGGGCGUAGCCUAAGCCUCGGCCUUCCUUCCUUCCUCCUCCAUAUAGCUCUAGGAGCAACUCUGUACUGAUACACAUCAACUACACUCGGCAGGACUAGGGGUGUUAUCUCUCCGGAGAGCCCCGAACCUGGGUAAGUCUUGCGUCCCGCGCUCGCUCAUGCCGACCUCGCCUCUGGAGCCCACCAGUGCCCUCGAGCCUCCUCCUAUCUUUAGCCAUCCCUUGGCAUCUGUCGUGCGCCCACCACGAUAGUUAGCGCCCACCGUGGGGCAGCUCGAGCUCCUGGCCGGGAGCAUGCUUCAGACGGGGCUCCUCUCCGACUCCGACGAGCCUGUCAUGUUGGCGGACGACGUCAUCGACGCACUCGCCGCCUCCUUCGCCGCGCUGCGCAUCUCCGAUGCGCCUGCGGCCGACGAGUACCCCAGCGAGGUACUUGACUUUUCCGAAUCCCCCCUCUCCCUCAGCGGCAGCGCUCCCGCCGGGGCAAUGGACCUUUGCGUGGAGGUUUUCAUCACCGACACCGGCACCUCUUCCUCAUCGUGCGCGGAGAGGAAGGCCGCAGCGGAUCGGGCCGGCUCGCCCAACCCACUGCGCCCCAUGAUGCAGAGCCUUCGCGUUCCCAUCAGCACCGACAUCGACGCGUCCAACGUCGCCGAGGCCCGGACUCGGCUCAAGGAGGACAACCAGCGCCUGCUGGACCUGACCGAGACGCUCGCCGCCACGCAGCGUCACGUCGACUCCGUGCAGCUGGAGCGCAACGCCGCCUACGGCUUCACGCCUACCGCGGCCGAGCCAAGCCGGGUCGCGGACGUGCGAGCCCGGGGAGGCGCGAUCGGCCGUGCUUUCGGCGCCAUCCCGCCCGUCUACGAGACUCCCAUGAAGAAAAUGCGCGCCGCGCAGGCGAGGAGCUGAAGGAUCGCCUCAAGCGGGUGAACGACCUCCUCGACGCGGCCAACGCGCAGCAGGACCGCCUCAACCAACUCGCCAAGCCGGCGGGAUCCAGCUCCGCCCGCAUCGGCGGACCCGGCGACCACCAGAACACGGCGUCUUCACCACCCGGCGAGGCGCACUCCGGCCGGACCCGGCGCAACCCUGACCCGGCAACUGCCGGCGGCUUGGGCGAUGAGCCGGUCUUGGAGGACCGAUGUCGGCUCGACCCUCUGCUCCAACCCGGUUGACGUCCGACUACGGUUGACUUGGGCCCCCGCGGCACGGUCACCGACCGGCUGGGCCCGCGCGCCAUCGAUGACACCGACGCCCGCCACCGCCCCGACCGACUCGCCCUUUCCCAGGAGCUGGAGGAGAGCGGCCCUGUCAGGUCAGCGUGCUUCAGACCACGCAUCAGGGAUGAGCCCUUUACUAAAGGGUUCUUGCUCCCCCGCGAUACCCCCAAGUACAACGACACCGUGAAGCUGGAGGACUGGCUCACCGACUACACCACCGCCAUCGGCAUCGCCGGCGGUAACCACCGUCUCGCCGUGCGCUACGCGCCGCUCAUGCUCCAAGGGUCGGCCCGCACUUGGUUGAACAGCCUGCCGGCAGGCAGCAUCAACGAGUGGGUCGACUUCGAGCAGGCCUUUGCAUACAACUUCACCGGCACCUACAAGCGACCCGGCCGCCCCAGCCAGCUCGCCAUGUGCGUGCAGGGGCCGACGGAAACCGGCCGCGAAUACCUCGCACGCCGGACCGAGCUCCAGAACAGUUGCGAGGGCGUCCACGAAGUCCAAGCGAUACGGUACUUCGUCAAUGGGUUCCGGGAUGGCACCCUCCUCAAGCACAAGCUCUUGCUCUCCGAGCCGGCCACCAUGGCCACGCUCAUGGUGACGGUGGACAAGUACGCCAACGCUGACUCCGCCAUGAAGAUCCAGGUGGCACUGGAUGAAGCCGGCGAAGCAAAGCCGGUUCCCCCUCUGAAGCCGGCCGGCAAAGGAAGCCGGCAGCAGCAUAACCAGUAGAACAACAAAUGCAAGGCCGAUCAGCCGGCCCAGCACUACGAAAACCGGCUCGUCGCGGCCGCCGCGCAGGCGCCCGCGACCGACCCGGCCGCCAAGCGCCGGCAGACCGGCAAGACGACGUGGCAACCCGCCAUGAGCUUCGAGGAGAUGCUCGAUGCUCCCUGCAAGUACCACAGCGAUGCAAGGCCGUCCAUGCACACGCUUCGGCAGUGCGCCAUCACCAGGCGCAUCAUGAGGGGCGACAUCCUACCUCCUCCGGCGCCGGCUCCGGGAGCGGGGCAGCCGCCUCCGCCUCUGCCUCCACCACCACCUCCGGCUGGCGGCACGAUGCACGACGACGUCUACCCGUCCCAGAACGUGACCUAUGUCGUCUUCACCAGCCUCGGCGACGACAAACACAGCGAGCGCCUCCUUCGGCAGGAGGUGAACACCGUCGUCCCAGCCAAGCCGGAAUAUAUGCACUGGUCGGAGCGCCCGGUCACCUGGACUCGGGAGGACCACCCGGCCGUCAUGCGGAGCCUGGGUGGUUAUGCUCUCGUCCUCAACCCCACAAUCGUCGCACCUCGGUGCACAUGCAAGUUCUCCCGGGUUCUCAUCGACGGCGGCAGCAGCAUCAACAUCCUCUACCGUGACACCAUGACCAAGCUCGGCCUCGAGGCCAAAGACCUGGAGCCGACCUGGACGAUCUUCCACGGCAUCGUUCCUGGACUCUCAUGCUCUCCAAUCGGCCGGGUCCGGCUCGACGUCCUGUUCAGCGACAACAACCACUUCCGACGCGAGCCAAUCUGGUUCGAGGUGGUGGACCUGUCCAGCGCGUACCACGCGCUGCUGAGCCAGCCCGCGCUCGCCAAGUUUAUGGCGGUCCCCCACUACGCCUACCUAAAGAUGAAGCUGCCGGGUCCGAAGGGCCUCAUCACCAUCACCGGCGACUACCGCAAGUCCCUGGAGUGCACCCGAGACGGCGCCAAAUUGGCCGAGUCGCUGGUCAUAGCCGAGGAGCGGCGCGAGCUCGACCGGAUUGUCGCCCUAGCCAAUGAGACGUCGGCCGUGCUGAUCUCGGCCGACGAGCCGGCGGACGAGGCCUUGUUCAAGCCCUCCAAGGAGACCAAGAAAGUGAAGCUGAACCCGGAAGACCCCAGCUGUAGCAAGUACGUUGUCAUGGGCACCCACCUCGACAGAAAAUAGGAAGGCGAGCUCGUCGACUUCCUCCAUGAGAAUCGGGAUAUUUUUGCAUGGACCCCAAAGGACAUGCCGGGUAUCCCGAGGAAAUAAGCCGAGCACAAACUCCACGUCCGCAAGGAUGCCAAGCCUGUCUGCCAACCCCUACGGCGUUUCUCUGAAGAGAAGAGAAGAACCAUCGGUGAAGAGGUCGCCAAGCUUUUGGCGGCCGGCUUCAUCCUGGAAGUGUUUCACCCCGAGUGGCUGGCCAACCCAGUCCUCGUCCUGAAGAAGAACAAGACCUGGCGCAUGUGUAUCAACUACACCAGCCUGAACAAGGCCUGCCCCAAGGAUCCGUUCGACCUCCUGUAGAUCGACCAAGUCAUCGACUCCACUGCCGGGUGCGAGCUCCUGUCCUUACUAUAUGCUUACUCCGGCUAUCACCAGAUCAAGCUGGACCCGGCCGACGCCCUGAAUACGUCCUUCAUCACGCCCUUUGGGGCGUAUUGCUACAUCACCAUGUUGUUCAGCCUGAAGAACGCCGGUGACACCUUCCAGCGCUGCAUGUAGAAAUGCCUGCUGCCGCAACUCGGCCGCAACAUCCACGUCUAUGUGAACGACAUCGUGGUGAAGACCAAGCAGCACCUCACGCUCCUCGACGACCUGAAGGAAACCUUCGCUAACCUGCGUGAAUACAAGGUCAAGCUCAACCCAAAGAAGUGCGUUUUCGGUGUCCCGGACGGAAAGCUACUCGGCUUCCUCAUCUCGGAGCGCAGCAUUGAGGCAAACCCGGAGAAGAUCAAGGCCAUCGAGCGCAUGCGCAAGCCGGCUCGGCUGCGCGAUGUCCAGAAGUUCACCGGCUGCUUGGCCUUGGUCAGCCGGUUUCUCAGCCGGCUGGGCGAGAGGGCCUUGCCCCUGUAUCAGCUGAUGAAGAAGAUGACACCGUUCGAAUGGAACGACCUGGCGGACAAGGCUUCCCGGGACCUCAAGCGCAUGCUCUCCACCGCACCCGUCCUGGCCGCACUGGCCAAGAAGGAGCCGCUGUUGCUCUACAUCGCCACAACCUCGCGGUCGGUCAGGACGGUGAUGGUGGUUGAGCGACCAGAGAAGGGCAAGAUCCAAGCCGUCCAACGUCCCGACUACUACCUGAGCGAGGUGCUCUCCGCCUCCAAGCAGAACUACCCACAGUACCAGAAGAUGUGUUACGGCGUGUACUUCACCGUCAAGAAAUUGAAGAAGUACUUCCAAGAGCACGUUGUUACCGUGGUCAGCACGGCCCCUCUCGGCGAAAUCAUCGGGUGCCGGGAUGCCUCUGCCCGGGUCGCCAAGUGGGCGCUCGAGCUAGCCGGCCACACCAUCCUCUACGAGCCCGACACUACGAUCAAGUCCCAAGCUUUGGCCCACUUCCUCGUCGACUGGAUUGAGACCCACUACCUGCCGCCGCCGCCGGACUCGACACACUGGCGCAUGCACUUCGACGGCUUGAAGAUGCGUCUCAGCCUAGGGGCCGGCAUUGUGCUGUCCUCCCUGAAGGGCGACCGGCUCAAAUACGCGCUCCAGAUCCACUUCACCGCCUCCAACAACGUCGCCGAGUACGAAGCCCUUGUGCAUGGCCUCUGGCUUGCCAAGGAACUCGGCAUCCGGCACAUCCUGUGCUAUGGCGACUCGGACCUGGUGGUGCAGCAGUGCUCCGGCGAGUGGGACGCCCGCGACACCCACAUGGCGAGCUACCGCUUCCUCAUCCAGAAGCUGUCCGGAUUCUUCGCGGGCUGCGAGUUCCUCCACGUCCCGCGUGUUCGGAAAAUGAGGCAGCCGACAUGCUCGCCAAGAUUGCCUCGUCCCGGCAGUCCAUCCCGUCCAGCGUCUCCCUUGAGCACCUGCACAAGCUGCCUGUCAAGCCGUCUCCGGACUCUGAGUCCAUCUACGUCUCGGACGACCCGGCCGCACCUCAACCCGUCCCGGGGACUGCCAAACCCGGCCCGAGGACUGCUGAACCCGGCCCGGGGACUGCCGAACCUGGUCUGGGGACCGCUUAACCCGGCCCGGGGGCCGCAGCCAUCAAUCUGACCGCUGCUGUUGCCGACCCGGGGGCUGCCGCCCCAGAACCCGCCAUGGUGGUCGUCUUCGCCAUGGUGAUGGCACCAUCAUGGGUCCUGCCCAUCUCAGAGUUUCUGGAGAACGGGGUCCUCCCCAUGGACGAGACCGAAGCCCGGCAAGUGCAGCGCCGGGUGUCCGCCUACAACAUCAUCAACAACGAGCUCAUCAAACGCAGCUCCAUCGGCGUGUUCCAGCGCUGCGUCGAGCAGGACAAGGGCAUUGAGAUCCUCCUCGACAUACACCAAGGCGAGUGCGGGCACCACGCCGCCUCGCGAUACCUGGUGGCCAAGGCCUUCCGCCAUGGUUUCUACUGGCCCACGGUCCUCGAAGACGCCGAGUCACUCAUCCUCAAGUGCGAGGGAUGCCAGCGGUUCAGCAAGCGCAGUCACCAGCCGACGUCAGCACUCCGGACCAUCCCGAUCGCCUGGCCCUUCACGGCCUGGGGACUCGACAUGGUGGGGCCCUUCAAGACCGCUCGAGGCGGCAUGACGCAUUUGCUGGUGGCGGUGGACAAGUUCACCAAAUGGAUCAAAGCAAGGUCAAUCAAGAAACUGGACGGGCCAACGGUCGUCCGAUUCAGCAAGGACAUCGCGGUGCGCUACGGCAUGCCGAACAGCAUCAUCAUGGACAACGACACCAACUUCGCCAAGGGUGCACUCGCGUAGUACUGCUCCGUCUCUGAUACGUCUCCGUCAUAUCUACUUUUCCAAACACUUUUGCCCUUGUUUUGGACUCUAACUUGCAUGAUUUGAAUGGAACUAACCCGGACUGACGCUGUUUUCAGCAGAAUUGCCAUGGUGUUAUUUAUGUGCAGAAACUAAAGUUCCCGGAAUGACCUGAAACUCCACGGAACUUAUUUUUGGAAAAUAUAAAAAAUAUUGGUGAAAGAAUCAAGGCCAGGGGGCCCACCACCUGUCCACGAGGGUGGGAGGCGCGCCUGCCCCCUGGGCGCGCCCCCCUGCCUCGUGGGCCCCCUGGAGCUCCACCGACCUCAACUCCAACUCCAUAUAUUCGUGUUCGGGGAGAAAAAAAAUCAGAGAGAAGGAUUCAUCGCGUUUUACGAUACGGGGCCACCGCCAAGCCCUAAAACCUCUCGGGAGGGCUGAUUUGGAGUCCGUUCGGGGCUCCGGAGAGGGGAAUCCGUCGCCGUCGUCAUCAUCAACCAUCCUCCAUCACCAAUUUCAUGAUGCUCACCGCCGUGCGUGAGUAAUUCCAUCGUAGGCUUGCUGGACGGUGAUGGGUUGGAUGAGAUUUAUCAUGUAAUCGAGUUAGUUUUGUUAGGGUUUGAUCCCUAGUAUCCACUAUGUUCUGAGAUUGAUGUUGCUAUGACUUUGCUAUGCUUAAUGCUUGUCACUAGGGCCCGAGUGCCAUUAUUUCAGAUCUGAACCUAUUAUGUUUUCAUGCUAGUUUAUUUUCCCUUUUCUUGCUUUCUUCUUGUGAGUUCAAUUAACCUUAAGAAAACAAAAAAAAUUAGUGUAGCUUUUAGUUAGUUUUCUUUUCUUGCUGUAGUAGUAAUAAUUAAAAGAAAACCCAAAAAGAUUUCCCGUUCUUCUUUUGUUUGUUGGGAGCUUUCCCGUGUAAAUAGUUUUAUUUCUGUUCUUUUCUUUGGGGGUCGAUAGGAGAAGACCAUGAUUAAAUUGUUGAAGUAGCUCUUAUAUGCAUUAUUGUUGAUUUAACCAAGAGCCCAUAUUGCCUUGUCUUCUCCUGUUUAUUGAAUGCUCGCAGAUUCCAGCUUAGUCCAAUGCACGUGCACUCUUAUUAUUAUUCACAUCGUUCGGUCGUGCAAGUGAAAGGCAAUAAUGACGAUAUAUGAUGGACUGACUGAGAUGAGAGAAGCUGGUAUGAACUCGACCCCUCUUGUUUUUGUAAAUAUGAUUAGUUCAUCGUUCCUGAUUCAGGCUAUUAUGAAUAAACAUGUUUGCAAUGACAAUUAGAGAUUAUAGUUGCUCGUGCCAUUCUUGAUUAGCUAUGAGUUAUAAUGGUUUACCUUGCGUGCCAACAUGCUAUUAAAAUGGUUGUGAUGUGGUAUAGUGGGGUGGUAUCCUCCUUUGAAUGAUUCAAGUGACUUGACUUGGCACAUGUUCACGCAUGUAGUUGAAACAAAAUCAACAUAGCCUUCACGAUAUUUAUGUUCAUGGUGGAUUAUAUCCUACUCAUGCUUCUACUCAAUGUUUAUUAAUUUUAAUGCAUGUUCAUGACUGUUGUCGCUCUCUAGUUGGUCGCUUCCCAGUCUUUUGCUAGCCUUCACUUGUACUAAGCGGGAAUACUGCUUGUGCAUCCAAUCCCUUAAACCCCAAAGUUAUUCCAUAUGAGUCCACUAUACCUUCCUAUAUGCGGUAUCUUCCUGCCGUUCCAAGUAAAUUUGUAUGUGCCAAACUCUAAACCUUCAAAUGAAAUUCUAUUUUGUAUGCUCGAAUAGCUCAUGUAUCAACUAGGGCUGUCCGUGUCUUCCAUGCUAGGCGGGUUAUUCUCAAGAGGAGUGGACUCCGCUCCUCACUCACGAGAAAAUGGCUGGUCACCGGGAUGCCCAGUCCCAUGCUUUAUGCAAACUAAAUCCAAAUAAUUGCAAACAAAACUCCCCCUGGGACUGUUGUUAGUUGGAGGCACUCGUUGUUUCGAACAAGCAAUGGAUUGAUGCUUGUUGGUGGAGGGGGAGUAUAAACUUUACCAUUCUGUUUGGGAACCGCCUAUAAUGUGUGUAGCAUGGAAGAUAUCGCCAUCUCUUGGUUGUUAUGUUGACAAUGAAAGUAUGCUGCUCAAAAUAUUAUUUAUCUCUGCUUUAAAAUCGACCUCUGGCACCUCUACGAAUCCCUGUUUCCCUCUGCGAAGGGCAUAUCUAUUUACUUUUUAUAUGUUGAGUCAUCACCUUCUUAUCAUAAGCACCAGCUGGAGAGCACGGCUGUCAUUUGCAUCCAUUACUAUUAGUUUAUAUUGGGUAUGACUAUGACUGGAUCUCUUUUACCAUGAAUUACAAUGUCUAGUCAGUCCUUGAUCUUUAAAGGUGCUCUGCAUUUAUGUUUUGCGGCCCCAGAAAGGGCUAGCGAGAUACCAUCUUGUUAUAUUAUAUCAUGAUUGUUUUGAGAAAGUGUUGUCAUCCAAGAUUUAUUAUUAUUGCUCGCUAGUUGAUUAUGCCAUUGAUAUGAGUAAACAUGAGACCUAAGAGUUAUUGUGAAUGUGGCUAGUCAUAAUCUUUGCUGAAAACUUGAAUGCUGGCUUUACAUAUUUACAACAACAAGAGCAAACAGAGUUUGUAAAAGUUUUUCUUUAUCACUUUCAGUUUAUCAACUGAAUUGCUUGCGGACAAGCAAAGGUUUAAGCUUGGGGGAGUUGAUACGUCUCCGUCGUAUCUAAUUUUCCAAACACUUUUGCCCUUGUUUUGGACUCUAACUUGCAUGAUUUGAAUGGAACUAACCCGGACUGACGCUGUUUUCAGCAGAAUUGCCAUGGUGUUAUUUAUGUGCAGAAACAAAAGUUCUCGGAAUGACCUGAAACUCCACGGAACUUAUUUUUGGAAAAUAUUAAAAAUAUUGGCGAAAGAAUCAAGGCUAGGGGCCCACCACCUAUCCACAAGGGUGGGGGGCGCGCCUGCCCCCUGGGCAUGCCCCCUACCUCGUGGGCCCCCUGGAGCUCCACCGACCUCAACUCCAACUCCAUAUAUUCGUGUUCGGGGAGAAAAAAAUCAGAGAGAAGGAUUCAUCACGUCAAGCCCUAAAACCUCUCGGGAGGGCUGAUCUGGAGUCCUAAAACCUCUCGGGAGGGCUGGAGUCUGUUCGGGGCUCCGGAGAGGGGAAUCCGUCGCCGUCGUCAUCAUCAACCAUCCUCCAUCACCGAUUUCAUGAUGCUCACCGCCGUGCGUGAGUAAUUCCAUCAUAGGAUUGCUGGACGGUGAUGGGUUGGAUGAGAUUUAUCAUGUAAUCGAGUUAGUUUUGUUAGGGUUUGAUCCCUAGUAUCCAGUAUGUUCUGAGAUUGAUGUUGCUAUGACUUUGCUAUGCUUAAUGCUUGUCACUAGGGCCCGAGUGCCAUGAUUUCAGAUCUGAACCUAUUAUGUUUUCAUGAAUAUAUGUGAGUUCUUGAUCCUAUCUUGCAAGUCUAUAGUCACCUACUAUGUGUUAUGAUCCGGCAACCCCGAAGUGACAAUAAUGUAACACCCCGGAUGUAACUUUCCAUAUUUGUAACUCCAACUCUUGCCAUUUUCGGCCAUGUGUUAUGAUAUUCCCUUCGUGGUCGGGUUUUGUUUUUCGUUUUGCAUUUUGUUCAUGUCAUGCAUAUCAUAUCAUGUCAUCAUGUGCAUUGCAUUUGCAUACGUGUUCGUCUCUUGCAUCCGUGCAUUUUCCCCGUUGUCCGUUUUGCAAUCCGGCACUCCCACCUCCUCCGGCGCACCCCUCUUGUUUUCUUUUCGCGAGCGGGUGUUAAACAUUCUCGGAAUGGACCGAGGUUUGCCAAGUGGCCUUGGCAUACCACCGGUAGACCACCUGUCAAGUUUCGUUCCAUUUGGAGGUCGUUUGACGCUCCAACGGUUAACCGGGUAACCGCAAAGUCCUUUUGUGUGUUGCAGCAAAACCCCCCUCUAAACAACCCAAAACCCCUCCAAGUCACUUCCAUGCUCUAGGUCGUUCGAUCACGAUCGUGUGGGCGAAAACCGCACUCUAUUUGGAGCCUCCUAGCUCCCUCUACCUAUAAAUAUGUGUCUCUCCCGGAUUUCUCACGCAGAUGAAACCCUAGCCCGCUCCCCUUGCGCCGCCGGACACGUCCGGCCCGAGCCGGACGAACNNNNNNNNNNNNNNNNNNNNNNNNNNNNNNNNNNNNNNNNNNNNNNNNNNNNNNNNNNNNNNNNNNNNNNNNNNNNNNNNNNNNNNNNNNNNNNNNNNNNNNNNNNNNNNNNNNNNNNNNNNNNNNNNNNNNNNNNNNNNNNNNNNNNNNNNNNNNNNNNNNNNNNNNNNNNNNNNNNNNNNNNNNNNNNNNCGACCGCCGCCGCUCCUCCCGCGCGCCGCCCGCGCCCGCCGGUCGCCGUCCCCUCGCCGUCCGGGACCGCGCCUCCCCGAGUCCUCCUCUCCUCCGCCGCGCCUCCUCCUGCCGGCGAGCUCGAGCUCCGAGCCGGCCCGAUCCAGAUCCACCGGAGAUGGUUGACUUCUCCCCUCCCCCGAAAUAUUCUAAGUCCCAAAUUUUUGCAAUAUAUGCUCCCGUUCAUCGCAUCAUAACUCUCUGCAUAUAGCUCCGUUUCGUGCGUGUAAUAUAUCGAAAUGUUCGUCUCAAGAUUCUAUUCAUUUUGUUCCAUUAUGCAUGUUCAUUUGAGUCCAUCUUGAUGCCCAAAUCUCUGGUGCAAGAGUACUAGUUGCUGUUAACUGCUGUUACUUAUCAGAACUUGAGGAUUUGUUAUUUUUGUUUCAGUUAAUCUGUGCAUCUUAUAAGUAUGAGCUCUACAUGUGUUUUGAUCUAUGCCAUGCCAUCUUUCAGAGGUAUAUGCCAUGUAUUUUUGCGAUCUCUGUGGUGACUAGCACAAGCAUGCAAACUAGGCUUCGUGAUGUUUCUGAAUUCAGGGACUUGGUAAAUUUACUAAGUAUGUGACUGCUGUUAUUUUGUUGCUGUGUAUCCAUGUGUCUACAGAGAGAUCCAUGCUUAUUUUGGUGAUGUUAAGUAAGGAUGUUUUGUAGAUAUUGUUGUAAUUGUUCCAUCCAUGCCCUUGUUUGCAAUUAUGGAGUGCCAUUGCAUGACUCAAUCUUGCUCUACUUUUGCUAUAAAAUAUUCCUGGCAGAUUGUUUACGUGAUAUUCAAUUUUGCCAAGCUUGUUGUAGUUGAUCCUUUCAUCCUAUGUAUUUGCUCUUGCCUGGGAUAGCUUCAUAAACAUUCCAUCUUGCUGUAGGUAUGCUUGUUUGGUCAUGCAUUGCCUUUUGUUGAGUGAAUCAAGCUCACCAAGAUGCCUUCAUAUUACUGUUUCUGUCAUGCUCUGUUUUCUGCCAAGUCUGAAACCUGUCAACAAAACUUGCUAUGUUUACAUGGUUACCAUCAUAUCUUCUGGUUCCUUUUGGCUUAUGGUCAGUAAGGGACUUCUGUCAUAUGCAUUUAGUAGAUUCAUGCCAUGCCUUGUUUAGCUAUGUUAAGUUCCUGUAGCAUGUUGAUUUCUUGCUCUGAACAUUACUACCUGAUACUGUUUAUGCCAUGUCCAGUAAUUUCACCAAGUCUGUGAACCUGAUAUCUUUUGCACUUUUGCCAUGCUUGUUUGAACCUGUUAUGUUGUGAUCUAGCCGUAGCUCAGUCUUCAUCUUUUGUCAAACAUCUCCUGUAGGUUACUGCCAUAUGAUUUGUUGCUAUGUUGGAGUGCUGUAGCAUAGUUUCUUGAUGUAUUCUAAGUGCUAUCAUGCUGUUAAUCACAGAUUCGUGUCAUUCUUGUUUUGCUUGCCAUUUGCAAACCGUGCAUACGUUUCCGGUGAUCUUUAUAUCGAUUUCGACCGAAACCAUCUCAUCUUUCCAGUGGCAUGCUUCGUUUGCCAAGUUACUGCCUUGUUCAUCAAUUUUCCUCCGGAGCACGCAUACGCAUCGCAUAUCUCGCAUAUCAUACAUGUUUUGCAUCAUGUUGCUUGUGCAUUUCCCAUGAUUGAUUGUGGUUCCGUUGCUUGUGUUCUUGUUUUGGGUAGAGCCGGGAGACGAGUUCGUGAACGAGGAACCUGUUGAGCACGCUUACGAGGAUCAAGCUUUCGACAACUCUGAGAAUCUUGCAGGCAAGAUGACCAUACCCUCGAAAUCACUUCUAUCUUUGCUUGCUAGUUGUUCGCUCUAUUGCUAUGCUGCGCUACCUAUUCACUUGCUCUUCAAGCCUCCCAAAUUGCCAUGAACCUCUAACCUUUGUCACCCUUCCUAGCAAACCGUUGUUUGGCUAUGUUACCGCUUUUGCUUAGCCCCUCUUAUAGCGUUGCUAGCUGCAGGUGAGAUGAAGAUUGCUCCAUGUUGGAUUAUGUUUAUGUUGGGAUAACACAAUAUCUCUUAUAUUAUUAAUGCACCUAUAUAUUUGGUAAAGGGUGGAAGGCUCGGCCUUAUGCCUGGUGUUUUGUUCCACUCUUGCCGCCCUAGUUUCCGUCAUACCGGUGUUAUGUUCCUUGAUUUUGCGUCCCUUACGCGGUUGGGUGAUUUAUGGGACCCCCUUGACAGUUCGUUUUGAAUAAAACUCCUGCAGCAAGGCCCAACCUUGGUUUUACAUUUGCCUCACCUAGCCUUUUUCCCUUGGGAGUCGCGCUCCCGAGGGUCAUCUUAUUUUACCCCCCGGGCCAGUGCUCCUCGGAGUGUUGGUCCAAACUAGAGCACCGUGCGGGACCAUCCCUUGGCAACUUGGGUUACAUCGGUACCUGUACGCUUCGCUUAUCCGGUGUGUCCUGAGAACGAGAUACGUGCGACUCCUAUCGGGAUUGUCGACACAUCGGGCGGCUUUGCUGGACUUGUUUUACCAUGGUCGAAAUGUCUUGUAACCGGGAUUCCGAGACUGAUCGGCUCUUCCCGGGAGAAGGAAUAUCCUUCAUUGACCGUGAGAGCUUAUAAUGGGCUAAGUUGGGACACCCCUGCAGGGUAUUAUCUUUUGAAAGCCGUGCCUGCGGUUAUGUGGCAGAUGGGAAUUUGAUAAUAUCCGGUUGUAGAGAACUUGACACUUGACUUAAUUAAAACGCAUCAACCGCGUGUGUAUCCGUGAUGGUCUCUUCUCGGCGGAGUCCGGGAAGUGAACACGGUUUCUGGGUUAUGUUUGACGUAAGUAGGAUUUCAGGAUCACUUCUUGAUCAUUGCUAGCUUCACGACCGUUCCGUUGCUUCUCUUCUCGCUCUUAUUUGCGUAUGUUAGCCACCAUAUAUGCUUAGUCGCUGCUGCAACCUCACCACCUUACCCUUUCCUACCCAUAAGCUUAAAUAGUCUUGAUCUCGUGGGUGUGAGAUUGCUGAGUCCUCGUGACUCACAGAUACUUCCAAAACAGUUGCGGGUGCCGAUGAGACCAGUGCAGGCGAUGCCACCGAGCUCAAGUGGGAGUUCGAUGAAGACCUUGUUCGUUACUAUGUUUCGUUUCUAGAUGAUCAGUAGUGGAGCCCAGUUGGGACGAUCGGGGAUCUAGCAGUUGGGUUGUCUUCUUUUCUUUUGGUUCCGUAGUUGGACCUAUGUGUGUACUCUGAUUGAUGUAUAAUUAAUUUAUGUAUUGUGUGAAGUGGCGAUUGUAAGCCAACUCUCGUUAUCCCAUUCUUGUUCAUUACAUGGGAUUGUGUUAAGAUGACCCUUCUUGCGACAAAACCACAAUGCGGUUAUGCCUCUAAGUCGUGCCUCGACACGUGGGAGAUAUAGCCGCAUCGUGGGCGUUACAAAUUAUCGGGACCACUCCCGGUGAUGACCGUAGUUUGAGGAGUUCAUGUAUUCACUAUGUGUUAAUGCUUUGGUCCGAUACUCUAUUAAAAGGAGGCCUUAAUAUCCCUUAGUUUCCGCUAGGACCCCGCUGCCACGGGAGGAUAGGACAAAAGAUGUCAUGCAAGUUCUUUUCCAUAAGCACGUAUGACUAUAUUCGGAAUACAUGCCUACAUUACAUUGAUGAAUUGGAGCUAGUUCUGUGUCACCCUAUGUUAUGACUGUUACAUGAUGAACCGCAUCCGGCAUAAUUCUCCAUCACCGAUCCAAUGCCUACGAGCUUUUCACAUAUUGUUCUUCGCUUAUUUACUUUUCCGUUGCUACUGUUACAAUCACUAGAAAACCCAAAAAUACUACUUUUGCUACCGUUACAGUUAUUUCCAUACUACUUUGCUACUAAAUACUUUGUUGCAGAUAUUAAGUUAUCCAGGUGUGGCUGAAUUGACAACUCAGUUGCUAAUACUUGACAAUAUUCUUUGGCUCUCCAUGUGUCGAAUCAAUAAAUUUGGGUUGAAUACUCUACCCUCGAAAACUGUUGCGAUCCCCUAUACUUGUGGGUUAUCAGUCUCCGGCAUCCGCCUUGACCUGGCUUCCGUUGCACACCCGCAGUCCAACGGCCAGGUUGAGCGGGCCAACGGCCUCAUCCUAUCCGGCAUCAAGCUACGGCUCAUCGAGCUGCUCAUCCGUUCACCCGACAGCUGGCUCGAUGAGCUGCCAGCCGUCCUCUGGAGUCUCCGAACGACACCGAACCGGUCGACCGGGUUCACCCCAUACUUCCUCAUCUAUGGAGCGGAAGCCGUCAUCCCGACCGACGUCGAGUUCGACUCGCCGCGCGUCGUGAUGUACACUGAAGCCGAAGCCAAAGAAGCCCGCAAGGACGGCGUCGACCUACUCAAAGAAGCACGUCUCCUAGCGCAUAGCCACUCAACCAUCUACCAGCAAGGCCUGAGGCACUACCACAGCAAGAAGAUCAAGCCCCUCACUUUUCGGGAGGGAGACCUCGUCCUCCAACUCGUCCAAGAGCAGAACGGCCAACACAAGCUGUCCCCCCAUGGGAGGGCCCGUUCAUCGUCAGCAAGGCCUUGCGCGAUCGCAACGCCUACUACCUCAUCGACGCCCGCAAGUCAAACAAGCGCAAGAGAGACACCGCCGACGAAGAAACAACACGGCCGUGGAACGCGGAACUCCUCCGCCCGUUUUACAGUUAGCCGUAUGCACGUAUGUAUCGCUGCCCUUUGUAAUCAUCUGAAAACUAUGGAGUCCACGAACGACGCUCGGGGGCUGCCCUUUACGACCAAGCUAUUGUGUCUCCCGUAUUUAUGCAUUAUUUACCUCUUCAUCAAACCCGGCCACCGGUCCGACUCGCUCGACCCGGGGGCUGGCCAGCUUGGUCACCACCCACCGCCUUACUCAGCGAUUCCUGACGCGCUGGGACUGCCGCGGCCUCCUGCUUUGCCCUAAGCCACAGAACUGGCUUCGGCUGUUGGCCGGCAAGCGCGCAAGUCCAGAGCACCAGCACGCCAUGAACACUAAGUCAAGGACCGCCGGGUCACCCAACCGAGCCACACCACUUUAAGUUGCCGCACGACCGGCUGCUCGCCAACCGGCUUCGCCGGAUUGCCGCUAGCCGGCCCAGUGGGUGUUUCGCUCACGCUCAACGUUUCGAACGCCUAAGUACUGCGCGCUCCUCNNNNNNNNNNNNNNNNNNNNNNNNNNNNNNNNNNNNNNNNNNNNNNNNNNNNNNNNNNNNNNNNNNNNNNNNNNNNNNNNNNNNNNNNNNNNNNNNNNNNNNNNNNNNNNNNNNNNNNNNNNNNNNNNNNNNNNNNNNNNNNNNNNNNNNNNNNNNNNNNNNNNNNNNNNNNNNNNNNNNNNNNNNNNNNNNNNNNNNNNNNNNNNNNNNNNNNNNNNNNNNNNNNNNNNNNNNNNNNNNNNNNNNNUCAACAGAAGAAAAGCAAAGGCGCAGGCACCCGCGAAAUUCAUACAUACCGCCGGGUCGAUCGCCCGGCCCCGUCACUUGUAACACUGCCGCACGACCGGCUGCGCGCCAACCGGCUUCGCCGGAUCGCCGCCAGCCGGCCCAGUGGGUGUUUCGCUCACGCUCAACGUUUCGACGGCUUAAGUACUGCGCGCUCCUCUCAAAGGCUGAACUCCUUGUCACGGACCGGAGCCUCGGCCGUCAGACUCGCGGGGGGGAAGCCCGAGAGGGGAAAAGCGCAAGAAAACGGCUCAAAAGACGAAAAGCAAGAGCGCAAACAUCCACGAAAUUUAUACUUCACCAGUUCAAAUUUAAACAGGCCCAAGGCCAGAAUUCAUCUCACCCGGAUACCCCCAGUGGGUGGGUGGACCUGCUACCUAACCGAAAUUUUUACUAAGUUAAAAACAGGCAGCCUCAUGCAUCUCCCUCGGUGGCCUCCGGGUUCGCUGAGGUGCCGCUGUCCCCCCCCCCCCUUGCUGUCUGCAUGGAGGUAGACGUCCGUCUCCUCGGAGCUGCCCUCCGGGUCGUCUAGGAGCAGGCCGUAGUCGUCGGCAGGCAUGACUCCGUCAUCCUCCGACCGCUCUUGCCGGAACUCGUUGUGGAAGGCGAACCCAGCGAUGUAGCUGGCCCGAGCAGCAAUCCGGCCAGCCUCCGCCUGCAGCUGGCUCUCCGAGCCGGCUCGCUGGCCCAUCAACGUGUCCAGCGACAGGUCCGGAUGCCAAGACAUCGCGAACCUGAGCGCCAUCUUGGUGCCAACACGAGCGGCGGAACCCCGCCAGUCGUGGAGCCGAUCCGGCCCCGCCUCCAACCACCGCGCCAGACGCGUGAAGCUAUUCGGCGUGACGGAACCCGGCCAGAGGGCCGUCGUCAUCGCCGCGCCGGCCUUAGAGAGCCGCCCCAUCUGCUCGCUCAAGACUCGUAGACGAGCCUCGACGGCGGUCACGAUCUCCGGGAAGGUCCAGGCCACCCGCGGGUCAGUCCCGGAGCCGAUGAUCCCCUGCGGGUCGUGCUGAAAGCGGACGGCCUCCUCCGCUAGCUGGCACGUCUCCGGGAAGGCCCUUGUCAAGAAGAAAAGCAAGUCAGAAGAAAGUCACCAAGGACAAGAAGCCGGGGUCCUAGCCCGGCAAAACCCAAGGAAAGAACUUACUGGAGAAGGACUCUUCCAGGUGCUGUGCUUCAAGCAAUGUACCGCGCCGCUCAAGGGCAAGGGUGCGGUCGUGCUCCUGCAAUGACUUCUCCAGCUCGGCGACCUUGGCAAGGGUCGCCUUCAGCUCGGCGUCCUUGGCCUCGGCCGCCUUCUCUGCCUCCUCGCGGCGAUGGGUUUCCCCCUGACGGGUCUCCUCCGCCGCGGCCACCAGCGCCUUCAGGCGCUCCACCUCGGCCUGGAGCUGACCCUUGUCGUUGGCCAGCUUGCCGCGUUGCUGGUCCACCUCGACGAGGGCCCGCUGUGCCUCCACAACCUUGGCGGCUUCCUCCUUCAGGCGUUCCACCUCGGCCUCUAGACGACCCUUGUCGCCUUCCAGCUGCUCCCGUAGCCGGCUGGCUUCAUCGAGUGCCCGCUGGGCCCCCGUUGCCUCCGCCCACGCCCUCGCCACCUCGGCCCCAAGCCGGUCUGCGUCAGCAACGAGCCGGUCGUAGUGGAAGUCGGCUCGCAUCAGCCAGGUCCUCCAGGACAUCACCUUGGCUGCAGAAGAAAGAUUUAGAAACAAAGUACUAUUUUAAGAUUCGGCCCAACUGCUACACAGUUGGCCCGAAUCUUGGGGGCUACACCCAGUGGGUGCGCUAGCGCGCCCCCACUAAAAAAGUGCACGCAAGAAAUGUACCCGCGGCGACGUGGAGCUCCUCCUCCUUGGCAGCGAGCUGCUCCUUGAGCCGCCGGUGCAUCUCCAGGAGCCGGUUGAAGACGCCGACCCAGUAGGAGUGCAGUUGCUGCAAGAAGCAACGAUCAACACAAGACAACGGUUUAAGAUUCGACCAAACUGCUACGCAGUUGGCCCAAAUCUUGGGAGCUACACCUAGUGGGUGCGCUAGCGCGCCCCCACGAAGAAGAAGCAACAGAAAAAUAAAGGCAGAAAGCAAGGAAAACUUAUGAACACGGCGCGCUCCAGCUCCCGUGUCUGCUCCACCUCGGCCUGGGCGCAGGCGCUGGGUCAUGGCGUCCAUCGCCGCGUCCUCCUAGGUCAGAGGCCCGAAGAAGCCCUCGCUUGUCCCGCUCCGCACCGGCUGCGGCCCGAUGGCCCGGCGCUCCCCUGGCCUGGGCACCAGGGCGUGCUAUCCGCUGGCCGCCUCCCUGGCGGCCGGCACCUUCUUUGGCACCAUCACCGGUUCAGUGGCCGGAGUGGCCUGCGGCUCCACCACCAGCGGUGCCUCGCUCAUCAACGCCUGAGGCGCCCCAUCCGGCGUCGUCCGCGACGUCUCCUCGAAGACGGCGUCACCGCCGCCUCCGUCGGCCCCCGUCCGCUCGACCACGUCGGUCCGCGGCGGGGUGUCGUCCCCGAUGACCACGACCUCCCGGUCGAGGUCCAUCACAUCCACACGACCGCCUUGGCCACGCUCCCCCUCCAGCGACGGCACGAAGACCGUCACCGCUGCCACCGUCCCUGCCAGCAUCUCUGGCCACGCCGGCUCCUCGCCGGCUCGCGCCCACGUCGCUGCGGCGUUAACCCAGGCCUGGGUCGACGCCGCCUCCAACUCUGCCUCGGCCCGGUUCCAGUCCCGCCAGGCCAGGGCUUCGGCGUCGGCCGGGUCUAGGCCAAGAUCCAGAUCCACCCGCUCCUCCUCCUCGAACUGGUCGACGGUGCCGGAGCGGCUCCUCCGGAACGCGGCGCCCUCUUUGGACGCGGCGUCCGCCGCCGCCAGCGCCAACGAGAUCGCGACCUGAAACACAAGACAAAAUAAAUACGCAAGAACCAAGCAGAGCCGCUCAGCCACUCGGUUCAGGCAAGAAGAGAACUCACCACGGCACCACCGGAAUGGCAGGCCUCGCCGCCCUCUCCUGCGGAGCGCCACGCCUCCUCUUGGCGGGAGGCUUCGCGCCCCCGGCCGGGUUCGCUGUGCGCUUCACGGCCGGGGCCCGCGGCGCGACGUUGUCCUUCCCGUGCGGUCGGCUCACCGCCGGCGCCCCCCGAGAUGACCCGGCUCCGGCCGCGCCGCCGCCUCCUCCACCUGGCGCCACUACGACAGCAACUCGCAUUAGCACCCCAAGACCGUCCCGCGACCGAUGACCCAAGAAGUGAAGACAAACUUACCCGCUCUGCGCCCUGUGCCCGCGUCGGCGGUCGUCCCCUCCCCUCCGCCGUGGGCCUCAGGCUCCUUCGAGGCAACGCGCACCACCUUCAUCCGUGCCCGGUCGUAAGGAUGCCCGGGCGAAUGAGAAGAUGGGCGGCAACAAAGUACGAAGACCAAGGAUCUCAUCAUCGGUGUCGGGUUCGCAUGGCUGUACGGGGGCUUCCCGAACUCCCAGUCGUCCCGCAGGUUGGCCUUGGAGAUGUUGUUGACCCGGCACGCGACCUGGUCCGCCCCCAGCCGCAGGUUCGCCAUGCGGUUGGGGUCCUGAAGGCCGGUCAUCUGACCGAUGAGGUGGUUGCGCUACUGCAACGGCAGGACUCGAUGGACAAUGAAAGCGGUGAUGAGGUCAGUGCCGGUGAGCCCUUCCCGCUCCUUCAUCACCGACACCCGCUUGCACAGGUUGAGCACCCCCUGUGACGGAUGCUUGGGGUAGUAACCCCAAUUCCGUUUCUCCCUCGGCAGCGAGUUGAUGAAGGGCGGCAAGUUGAUGCGGUCCGCGCCGAGGUUGCGGACGUAGAAGAAGGAAUUCUUCCAUUUCUUGGCAGAAUCCUCCAACGGCAUCUUGGGGCAGUCAGCGCCUGACCGCUUGGAGAUGACGGUGGCCUUGCACUCGGACAUCUCCCUAGCCCUCGGCCCCUGCUGCUUCAAUGAGAAGAAGCGCACCCAGAGGUCGAUCGAAGGCUCAACCCCCAGGUACCCCUCGCAGAGGGUGACGAAGCCCAAAAGCUGCACGAUGGCGCCGGCGCCAAGAUGAUGGGGCUGGAGCCCGAAGAACUCCAGGAAGUUGCAUAAGAAGGUGCUCGCGGGAAGCCCGAACCCGCGCUUGAAGUGCGGGAAGAAGGCCACGUCCUCCGUGCCCUCGGGCCGCGGCUCCCGCUCGCCCUGCGGCAGCCUCCGUCACCCCCGGCAGGCGCCUGGUGGUGCGAAGAUAGGCGAUGUCAUCGAGAGUGACAGUCGAGCCCAUCCACGAGCCCGACGGCAGCGCCAUCGACAAAGGUGCAGAAGAAAGAAGGAAGAAGAUGACGAAGAAGCUCUGCUCGAAGCAACGGGCAUCGCGAUGCGCGGCGGGUGCAAGAAGCAGAGGAAGGAAGAAGAAGGCAGGGGGCGCGAGCGAGAAUGAUUUCUGCUGCCCCCUGCUCGCCCCAAUCUAUAAGCCACAGUUUGAAACAUGGGGGAUUGGGAUCAUUUGCGUUCGCGUUUCCCACUUCCCCGCAAUAACUGCGCACGUACGUGCGCAAUAACUGCCUUGAGAAUGGCAACCGACUUGCGGACGCCGCAAUAAAUCCGUGCACGUGGGCCGAGGGCGCGCGGCCGCGGGCCCCAGCACGUCGCCCUAUCCUGUCGCGCGCGUGGCCUGCCAGGCCCCUCCGGCUUCCGGGCGCCCCAUGGCGCUCGCACGAAGUCCAAAAGAUUGCCUCAAGAUUCGACGGAUUCUUCGGUUUCCCGCCCCUACUGAGGUACCGCGAUCCGGCUUCCGGAAGCCGGCACACAGUGGGUGUUGCUGGACCCGGCGGUCACAAAAUUCGCCUCCUCAAAGGGGGAAACGGCGAAGGCCCUCCCAUCCGAAGACGGCGGACCUUCAAAGCUUCGGGGACUACUGUCGGGGGGAUGAAUCCCGGGAAGGCAACGGAACCCGGAUCCUUUUCAAAAAUGAUGGGGCCAACAUCGCCCCUCAAGCCGGCACGUGCUUGGCUGGGUCGCCCAACCCGGCCAAGCCCCUCGACCCGGCCAAACUCUCCAACCCGGCCAGACUCCUCAACUCGGCCCCAACAACCAGCUCAAGACAGACGAACCCGGCACACCAAGACUUCUCCAACAAGCCAGCUCCACCCUUGGCGCGUUCAUCAACCCGGCCACGGGUCAGCUCCCAUCCCAUCCCAGCCAUAUGAUGGGACGAGUCUCCACCUACCGAUGACCGAGGCAACAGUGCCCCGCCCAUGCCUCUGGCCAGGCGGGGCGUGGCAACAGUGCCCCACCUACCCGCUGACCAGGGCCGGCGUGGCAAUAGUGCAACCAUCGCUACCAAUGACGCUAGCAAGCGGCGACCUGACGGAGCGCCACUGUAGCCGACUCAACCUGGCCACUCCCUGACAAUCGACAAGACGGCCAACAGUGCCCCCGUACCUGGCGGGCCCCGCGUUCGGAGAACCCGGCGAGCCCUGACGGGUUCCAGCGCCGGCUUCCCGGACAAUGACAAUCCGGCCCCACGGCCUUGUAACAUUAUCCUUGUACCCCUGGGGGUUGGCCUAUAAAACCCCUAGGAGCCCUCAUGCAUACGGGCGAUCGAACACAAAGGAUCACUCACUCACACACGCAUAGCAAGCCACACCCAAGGAGAGGGAGCAGCCUAAGCCUCGGCGUGCCUUCCUUGCUCCUCCAUACAGCUCUCAGAGCAACUCUGUACUGAUACACAUCAACUACACUCGGCAGGACUAGGGGUGUUAUCUCUCCGGAGAGCCCCGAACCUGGGUAUGUCUUGCGUCCCGCGCUCGCUCAUGCCGACCUCGCCUCUGGAGCCCACUAGUGCCCUGGAGCCUCCUCCUAUCUUUAGCCAUCCCUUGGAAUCUGCCGUGCGCCCACCAUGACACCAACCUAGACUGUAGUCCUAAAACGCGGACACGGCUAUUCGAAUAUAUAUAACUCUGCAGAGGGUGUACUCUUUACCCGCAAGUAAAGGAUUUCUUUGGUCAAUGCCGAGACGUUGAAUAAUUCCGAUUACGGUCUUUGGGAUGAAAACACACCUGACCCGCACAUACCAGCUUUAAUCCAUCAAGCCAUGGAAUGGAUUGAGCAGAAACGCGCCCAAGGCGUGGUAGAGCCGCGAGGCGCUACUGGGCCAAGCCCAAUCGCUCGACUGCGCGGGAGGGCUGCGACCUCGAAGGCGUGCUCGCUAGAAUAUGCUUUCCUCACGGGAAAGCAACUUCAACGGAACCCGUCUCCACUUAAGACGAGCUGGCGCGACACUGGGUCACUGACAGUGGGCCUGCCUGGCCCACUGGUCAGGUUUGACCAGUCCACGCGCGCGCCAUCUCCUCCGGCCGAACAGAGGCGGCGCUCCGACGAUGCUCGCCGGCGAAUGGCGGCACCCCUCGGGGAUCUGAGCACAUGGGUGUGUUCAGGAGGUCUAGGCGAACCUGUGGGUACCCUCCUUGGUCGCUAGAGUGGAAGGAGUCGCCGACGGUGAGCUCCCCGAUGGAGGGCGGUGUCGGGUGAGACGGGGCUUUCGCCUAUGGUGGUCGCCGAGCUAAAUUGAUGACGGGGAUGGAUCAGUGGGUGCUCAAGGAGGUCGGUGGUGAAGAAAUAUGUGAGGGGGAGGCACUGGCUGCGUCGGAACCGACUGGAACAAGGCGGCGGCCGAAGCUGCCGGAGAUGGGGGANNNNNNNNNNNNNNNNNNNNNNNNNNNNNNNNNNNNNNNNNNNNNNNNNNNNNNNNNNNNNNNNNNNNNNNNNNNNNNNNNNNNNNNNNNNNNNNNNNNNNNNNNNNNNNNNNNNNNNNNNNNNNNNNNNNNNNNNNNNNNNNNNNNNNNNNNNNNNNNNNNNNNNNNNNNNNNNNNNNNNNNNNNNNNNNNNNNNNNNNNNNNNNNNNNNNNNNNNNNNNNNNNNNNNNNNNNNNNNNNNNNNNNNNNNNNNNNNNNNNNNNNNNNNNNNNNNNNNNNNNNNNNNNNNNNNNNNNNNNGAGGAGUGUGGUGAGGAUCAUAGAGAGCCCGGAGUGAGCUUUUAUAUCCCGUCGGGGCCGGUUCCGGCGGUGUCCAGAGGAUAAGCACGACGGCGGCGAUCAUUACAGCGGUAGGCGUGGCCGAUGGAGGUAGGCGAGGGCGAUAGCGGCCUCAAUUACUCCUGGGGGUGCUGGGUGGCUCGGGGUGAGGCACGCGUCGGGGGCGGAGACGUGGCCGUGGGGGACUCAUCGGGCGAUGGUCCUGGUCGUCGUGGACGGCGGUGGACGACGCUAGGGGCCAAGCGGGGGUGUCGGCGAGCUUCUAGGUGGUCGUGCCGAUCUAGAGAAGGAUCAGGAUGAGAGGGGGAGGCAGCAGAGACACGGCAGGAGCUCGGUGCCGACGCGUGCAAAACGCAUGCUCUGGCCGUGCCCGGAGCACGUACACAGAGUGCUCGACAAAAUGCCAGGGCCACCUAAGGGUCUCUGAUGGCAGUGAAAAUUGAUAGGAUUGUGAAACUGGUUAUGAGAGAGCUAAUGGACAUCCUGGUUUGGCCAAAUGACCAAGUGUCCAGUGCAGUUUAGGAAGUGGCAACAUUUCUGUCAUGCACAUGAAGUGUUCGACAGAAUGCUAGAGCAAGCUAGAGGAUACUGUUGAUGAUGAAAUUUGGCAGGAUGAGGUCUCUUUAGAUGAUAGAGAUGGCGGUGGAGUAAUUUUGGCAAGAUGAGAAACUUGCUAGUGCAAGUUUUACCAGAAUUCAGUUCUGGACAGACACUUCAGUGGCAUGUGUGGUGAACUUAAAAGAUGCAAAUAGAGCUGAUCUCCUGGGGUUAAGGUUUUGGUUGGAAGGACUACAAUAUGGCAAAGCUUCGGAAUUAUUGGAGCUAGAAAAAAGAGGGUUGCAGUUGUAACUCAAAAAUGGGACAUAAUUGAAAAGAGGAUGUUUCACUCAAAAUUUUCAAAAGACAUAGUUAGGUUUUUAAUCAAAAGUGAUUUAUAGGCAUCACCUGACCUCUCAUAAUUUUUGUGGGAUUUUAAACAUUUAUUUAAAAUAAUCGUAGUGCAACAGAAGUGUUUCAAGCAUUCAAAAUGCUAGUAAAAGAAUUGUUUGUGGCAUAUUUUAUUAUGAAAAUAUGCCCUACUGUUAUUUGUGAUAUACUCCCUCGGUUCCUAAAUAUUUGUCUUUUUAUAGAUUUCAACAAGUGACUACAUACAGAGCAAAAUGAAUGAAUCUACAUUCUAAAAUAUGUCUAUAUACAUCCGUAUGUGGUAGUCUAUUUGAAAUCUCUAAAAAGACAAAUAUUUAGGAACGAAGGGAGUAAAUGACAAGAUUUAUAAAACAACCACAGACCACAAUAUUUCACAAAAAUAAUCUUCUAUGGAGGGAAGAAUUUUGGAAAACAGAAAAUAGAAAAGGCUGUGAGAUUAAUAAAUGACCUAGUAUAAUUCAAAGUUUUAUUUCUGGCCAAGUUUUACUUAAUAAAAUUUGAUUAAAUUUUUGGGGUGUUAUAGUUAGCUUUAUUAAUACUCAAAUCACUGUUACAUCAUCCGUUAAGAACCCCGAAAAAAUCCGUUAAGAAAUUAACGGUAAAAUCCGGGGGUGACUCAAACCAAAUAGAGGGCUGGUUUUCACACACCCAUUUAGGUAGCACAUGCGCUACUACAUCUGACUCCCUAUUAUAAUAAUCAAUACAAGCCUUCCCGAACUCACAUAACUCGCGACGACAAUCAUCCAAUAUAGGGGCUGCCACCAUAGAAUAACCUCCAUCCUGAUUAAAAGGCUGAACCACUGUGGUAUUGUCCAUUAGAACUAAAAUAAUGUUGCAACCCAUCCGAGUAGCAAACUUCAACCCUUCAUACAAAGUAGUGGCCAUGGCCAAAGUGACGUGAGGAACAUGAGAUAAUUUUUUAGUUGAUGCUGCUAAGUAGGCCCCCGGAUGAUCAUGAAUCACCGGGCCACAAGAUCAUGAAAAAUCUGUAUCUGAAAAGGAAGCAUCGACAUUGACGAUUGUCUGUCCGACUAGGCCUUUCCUCCACUGAUUUGGUGAGGGGUGGAUGAGGCAAACCGGCCGCAUGAACAAAGUUCAGUGACAACGCCUGAAUUGUUGGGGCCGUUCUCAACGAAGAAAGAACAUACUCCGAUCGGACUAUGUAGUGCCCCUGUCACCAUAGAUACCAGCAGGUGCUCGCUACGAUAUCUGAAAAUUGUACCUGUUCCAUUUAUGGACUUUGGACUACUAGGUCACAUAGGAGGUAUUCAAUAAUAGUAGCACCUGAUCUAUCAAUAUUAGUAGACUCAUCGAUAGGCUUCCUAAGAACAAGACCUUCCCAGACCGAUCUUGCCCUCUCACACUUGAAUAAUGCAUGCGCAAUAUCUUUUGCUCCACUUUUACAGAUCAUACAUUGAGAUGUAUUACCAAUAUGGCGAUUUUCUAAAACACAUAAGCAAGGAAUCGCGUUGUGCAAGAAACAUCAUAAGAAAAAUUUCACCUUGCCAGGAAGCCGCACUCUCCAAGCCUUCUACCAAACAGGGUGCGGUGAAGAGCCUUCUCCCGUAGAGUUUUGAUCUUUGUCAAAUAACAAUCUUCCCAUUGCUUGUAAUAAGCCAACCUGACACUAAAAAUACCGUUAUUAGUGAGGUUCCAAGCCAUAUAAUCCUCAGUAUAUUGAUGAUGGAUGAGAAUUUGGAGUAUACAGUCAGCAUCAUCGAGGAGAAGUUGUCUCUAAUUAAAGUCUCAUCCCACUCUCUGUGGCCAAAUCAAUGAGCUCAUUGACCGUCGUCAACACUCUAUUACCUCUGGCGGUGAUGAUCCUCCUUGAAGAGCCAUUUGGUAUCCAACAAUCAUUCCAAAUAUGAAUUUUUGUCCCAUCACCCACUCUCCAUAUACAUCCCUUCUUAUAAGUUUGGACACCAAGCCCAAAUACUUUGCCAAACAUAGGAUGACCCCUUCUUCAAUUCAUAAUUUAAUAUAUCUCAUGAGGGGUAAUACUUAGCUCUCAAUACUCUUGCACAUAAUGAUCCAUGGUUUUCAAUAAGUCUCCAGCAUUGUCUUGCCAACAUAGCUAAACUAAAACCGUGUAUAUCUCAUAAUCCUGUACCGCCUUUCUCCUUAGGCACACACAUUUUCCACCACACAAACCAAUGCAUCUUGUGUUGGUUCUCACCAUCACCCCACCAGUAAUGUGAAACUGUGUCAGUGAUUCCCUUACAUAUUUUUUGGGAGUUUUAACACACUCAUCGCAUACGUCGGGAUAGCCUGAGACACCGCCUUUAUGAGAGCUUCUUUUCCACCAAAGGACAAUGUCCCGUCCUUCCUCCAACAUUCACAAUUUGCAUGAUCUUUCAAUAAGGUUGUUGCCGCGUGUGUGCAGAACACACGCGAGACACUGUGGACUGUGGACGUCCUUUGCUGAAUUGGCGGUAGGGUGCAAGGUGAGGAUCUAUCACCAUAGAAAAUGCCGAAAUGACAUGGUGAUUUACCCAGGUUCAUGUUGCAUGGUUGCGUAAUACCCUACUCCUGCUUUUAUGUGUGGUUUUCUUUAGUUGAGCUACAUGUCCUUCCCGUGAAUGGGGAAGAGUAGUGUGCUCCUACUGGUGUUCUACAAACACUACAAAAAAAGACAACCCAUGACAUUAUGGGCCGAACAAAAAAAUAUGUCAUGCUUAUGACACUUCUACGACGAUAAUUGUGACAAAACCACGUACCAUCAUAGAUGUGGUGGGCUCCGACUUCUAUGACAGAAAAUGGGCUUUUCGUCCUGGGCGGGCCCGGGACGCAGCUGCAUGACAUUCUUUGGGCUGUCCAUGACGGAAAAAAUCGUGGUAGAAGCGAGGGCGAGGAAAAUUUUGGGGAGUUCCCGGUUACGGUGGGUGGUCGGGGCCGAGCGAUGCGCGGAGGUUUUGCGCUUUUCUCUCGUACACGUACGCGCGUGUGUGCGAGGCAUUGGGUGAUACGUCUCGAAUGUAUUUAUAAUUUUUAUUGUUCCAUGCUAUUAUAUUAUCUAUUUUGGAUGUUUUAUAUGCAUUAAUAUGCUAUUUUAUAUGAUUUUUGGGACUAACCUAUUAACCUAGAGCCCAGUGCCAGUUUCUGUUUUUUCCUUGUUUUAGAGUUUCGCAGAAAAGGAAUACCGAACGGAGUCCAAACGGAAUGAAAAUUUCGCGAUGAUUUUUCUUGGACCAGAAGACAUCCAGAGGGCUUGGACUACACGUCAGGAAAGCCACGAGGCGGACACAAGGUCGGAGGGCGCGCCCCCACCCUUGUGGGCCCCUCGUGACUCCACCAACCUAUUUCUUCCGCCUAUAUAUUCUCAAAUACCCCAAAACCUUCCAAGGGAGCCACGAAACCACUUUUCCACCGCCGCAACCUUCUGUACGCGUGAGAUCCCAUCUAGGGGCCUUUUCCAGCGUCCUGUCGGAGGGGGAUUCGAUCACGGAGGGCUUGUACAUCAACACCCACUACAAAAAAAAGACAUCCAUGACAUUUUGGGCCGAACGAAUUUUUUUCCUGUCAUACUUAUGACACUUCUAUGACUAUAAUUGUGACAAAACCCGGUAUCAUCAUAGAUGUGGUGGGCUCCUACUUCUAUGACAAAAAAUCAUGAAAGAAAAUGGGCUUUUCGUCCUGGACGCGCCGGAGACACAGCUGCAUGACAUUCUUUGGGCCGUCCAUGACGGAAAAAACCGUGGUAGAAGCGAGGGCUAGGAAAAUAUCGGGGUGUUCCCGGUUAUGGUGGGUGGUCGGGGCUGAGCGAUGCACGGAGGUUUGCGCGUUUCUCUCGUCCACGCACGCGCGUGGGUGUGAUGCGUUGUGCUCUAACUGAACCCGAGCGAGGCGUUGGGCUCUAACUGAACCCGAGCGAUUGCACUGCAGGCUACGCGUUACUGAACCCGAUCGAUCGAUCGAUGGCUGUUAACUGAACCCGAUCGAUCGAUGGCUGUUAACUGAACCCGAUCGAGCGAUUUCUUCGCUACUGCUGCUAGCUGAAGUCGAUCGAUGCUGCCUCUGGAUGAACAGUGAGUGUUGCUGGGGGGGUUGGAUGAACAGUUCCCAGUGGGGGUGGAUGAACAGGACCCCGUGGUGUUGCCUCUGGAUGAACAGGACCCCUAUCAAUCGAGCCGGUUGGGGCUGGAUGAACAGGACCCCGUGGAGGGCUGGAUGAAUAGGACCACCCCGUGGAGGGCUGGAUGAACAGUAGACGGUGGAGGGCUGGAUGAACAGUAGCCCGUGGAGGGGUGGUUGAACAGGAGCCCGUGGAGAGGGCUGGUUGAACAGUAGCCGGUGGAGUAGCGCGCAGUGGAGGUUGGAUGAACAGGAGGCCGUGGAUGAACAGUCGCAGGUGGAGGCUGGAGGAGGUCGACGGUGGUUGAACAGUAGCCCGUGGCGGCUGGAGGGGUCGACAGUGGAGAUGAACAGUAUCCCGUGGAGUCCCGUUUUGCAGUACGCCACACCCCUCCCGAUGAACAGGACCCCCGUUUCGACCGUAGCGCUCCAACACAAGUCCAUAUCCUCCGUUUUGCGGUACGCCACACCCCUCCUGAUCAACAGGACCCCCGUUUUGACCGUAGGAGGUCCAUUUCCUCCAUUUUGCGGUACGCCAGACCCCUCCCGAUGAAUAGGAUCCUGUUUUGAACGUGGCCGGUUGAACACAAGGCCGUUUCCUCCGUUCUGCGGUACGCCAGGCAUCGUUUCCAUCGGCUGUUCCGUCCAAGCCCUCCCGAUGAUCACGACGACACAUUCCAUUCCGACCCAGCCGGUUGGCUCCCCAUGAACACGACGGCGAUGAUGUUUCUGCAUUCCGACCCAGCCAUGUACACGAGCCCUUGCCGUACGUAUGCGCGAGUAGGCAUUCGAGACCCCGCCCGUAUGUACGUAUGUGGCCAUAUUUUCUUUCUUGCACACUGGCCGCUGUACGUAUGUGUACAUGCUACGUGCGCGCCUCUACAUCGACCAGUAUGUACGUACACAUUCGCGACCAGAAUGACAACGCUAUGUAUGCUUUGACCAGGUGGGUCCUGACUGUCAGGCACUUCCUUGCGUGCGAAGAUGUAGCUGGUGGGUCCCAGCAGUCAGGGGGAAACGUUUUUUUCACGAAAUACGGUGGCCCGUCCGGUGGGUCCCCGCUGUCAGUUGGAGGAAUAAUUAUUUUGCGCGUAAUAAGGAGGCACUUCCUUGCUGUGGCCGUGGACCCAGCUGUCAGCCUCUCCACGUACAGUCCACGUCCGAUGGAAGCUGUUCCUUGACCACGUUGACCACGCCACGCCGAGAGCACCAGGGUUGUGGACAACGGCGAGAGGCCUAGGAAGGGGACGACGUGGAGCCGGGGAAGACGCGACAGUGGAAGCCCGCGCGGAGAGGAGUACGAGGGUUCACUGGUUCGGCUACUGUGUGAGGCUGCCGUCGCCGCAGAAUAAUAGGGGGUGUGGGUGAGUGGAGGGUUGGCCUGGCUAGCGGUGGGAGUAGUAGGCGGUAGUGAGGCCUCCGCGGCAGCACAGCCGGCCACGGGAGGCAGGAGCAGGCGGCACGACCGGCGCUGCUUUGGGAGGCUGGAGCAAGAAGACCAGAGGUUGAAGAAGCACUACGGCCGUUGGAUGGACAUCGUACGGUCACUGGAGCUAGAAUCGUGCAUAUUGACUAAGUUGACAAAGCCCUCCGUCCCUGUCAACUUAGUAGGCCCACAAGUCAGCCUGCCACUAUACUGGGUCCCAGCUAGCAGGGGGAGUAUUCAUUUUUUUGUGCAUAAUAAGGAGGCACUUCCUUGCGUGCGAAGAUAUAGCUGGUGGGUCCGAGCUGUCAGCGGCGGUAACAUUUUUUUCGCGAAAUACAGAGGCCCUUUCGGUGGGUCCCAGAUGUCAGGUGGAGGAUUCAUUAUUUUGCGCGAAAUAAUGAGGCAUUUCCUUGCGUGCGGCUGUGGACCCAGCUGCAGCUUCUCCACGUACAGUCCACUUCAGAUGCAUGUCGGUUGUUGACCACGUUGACCAGGCCGCGCCGAGAGUCACUGCUUGUGCGUCAACCUUUUUUUAGGAAAGCCUCAAAUCUGUGGAAAAUAGCAUACAACCCAUCUGCCAUUAUUUCUAAUAAUUUACAGCCCAUUUGCUAAUUCUUAAGGUUUUUUUGGAGCCCAUAUUCUUUUUGUUAGCAUUACAGCCCAUAGUGUGGCCACAGUUAAAAAAUUAUAUGAAUUUUUGCAUAUUUCAGUGCGGUCCGAACUAUUUUUAAUCCCGAAAUUUUGAGUCACAUUCAAACUGAUUUUAAAAAUAAAUGUAUAUCAAUAUAAAAUCAAACAAAUUGUCCACGCAUAAAAAUCAAUGCAAUUUAAAAUCUCGAAAUGAAAAAAAGAAAUUUGAAACUAAUUGCCGGUUUGAUGUGUUUAAAAAUGUACAGCCCAUUUCUCAUUACUGAUAGGCCAUUUUGUCGGCCAGCCGAAUGAAGCUCUCCUCGCCUUGAAAGAUUUGCAGCCCAACAGGCCUGACAAAGCGACUUACUUGGCAAAUCACAAACAAACUGGGUUGUGGCCGUGGACCCAGCUGUCAGCCUCUCCACGUACGGUACUCUUCCGAUGGAAGUCGGUCGUUGACCACAUUGACCACGCCACGCCAGAGCACCAAGGCGGUGGAUGAUGGCAAGGACUGGGAAAGGGACGACGCGGAGCCGGGGAAGACGCGGUAGUGGAUGCCCAUGCGGAGAGGAGUACGAGGGUUCACUGGUUCGGCUGCGGUGUGAGGCUGCCGUCGCCGCAGGGCCUGGCUAGCGGUGGGAGUAGUAGGGGGUGGUGAGGCUUCAACGGCAGCACAGCCGGCCACUGGAGGCAGGAGCAGGCGGUCUCGCCAGCGCUGGUUUGGGCGGCUGGUGCAAGAAGAGCAGCGAUUGAAGAAGCAGUAGGACCGUUCGAUUCAAAUCCAACGGUUACUGCUGCUAGAAUCGUUUGUUGAUAAGUUGAGAAGCCCUGUGUACGCGUCAACUUAGUAGGCCCACAGGUCAGCCUCCAACCGGUGCGCCCCAGAUGUCAGUGGGAGGAAUCAUUUUUUCGCGUAAUAAGGAGGCAGUUGAUUGCGUGCGGCCAGGCCAGCGGAGGGAGUAGGGUGGGCCGGGGAAGCCUGCGCGGCAUCACAGCGGGCCACAAGAGGAGGGAGCAGGCAGUCCCACCGGCGCUAGUUUAGGCGGCUAGAGAAGGAAGAUCAGAGAUUGAAGAAGCACGUCGGCCGUUGGGUGGACAUCCAACAGUCACUGCUGCUAGAAUCGUGUGUUGACUGACAAAGCCUUGCGUAAACAAGUCAGCCUCGAAAUCGGUGGCGUGUACAACUCAUUUGCUAUUAUUUUUAUAAUUUUUACUCAUUUUUUAAUUCAUAUGGAAUUUAUUGCAGCCCAUUUUCCAUUUUUAGAAUUGCUGCCCAUUUUCUAGUCAGUACAAGGGUUAAAAAAUUAACUGAAUAUGUGGGAAAUUUUGAAAAUUUGCAAAUUUUUGCUAGGGAACAAAAUAUUCUUAAUCCAAAAAUUAGUAGCCAUACUAAAACAAAUUUAAAAAUAAAUUAGUACUAUUUCAUGUUAAAUCCAAUGAAAUACUCCCUCCGUCCCAAAAUUCUUGUCUUAGAUUUGUCUAAAUACGGAUGUAUCAAGUCAGGUUUUGGUAUUAGAUACAUCCGUAUCUAGACUAAUCUAAGACAAGAAUUUUGGGAUGGAGGGAGUAUAAGAUAUCAGUGAAGAACAAAAACAAAAAAAGAAACUAAUAUCUCAUUUUCUAUAAUAUUUUUGGAAUUUUCAACCCCUUUUGAUAUUACUUUUAACAGACACUGACCAUACUCUUUGAACAGGCCGGAAUGCAUCCCUCCUCGUCUUGAAAGAUUUGCAGCCCAGUAAGUCGGAGAAAACAAAUAGGCCUAGCUUGGGUAUUCUUCAAAAAGAAAUACUGGGCUACCUAUUUUCCCAAAGAAAAAACCGCUGGGCUGGUCAUGUUACUAGACGGGCCAUAGAGACCGCACAACCCAGUUUAUAGCCUGCUCCUCCGAAUUACUACUAAAAAAAGUUGUGCAAUUCUUUCGUAAUGGACUAUACGUUGAAAAUGAUGUGGGUCCCAGAUAUCAGCAGGGUGGAUUAGAUUAAAAAACGAAGGGUUCAUCUGAGUAGUAAAAGAGGUGCUUGCUUGUGUUCGGGAGUGGACCUGGUGGGUCCGUACUUUCAUACUCACAACUACAGUCCUCUCCCGAUUCACUAUGUUGACAGGGACCGUUUAAAAAAACUAUGUUGACAGGGCCGGACGGCGGCGCCGUGGCGAGCGCACCAAGGGGGAGGAUAAAGUGCUGUCGCCAAUGUGCUGGGCUGGGUUGGACAUUCUUAUUGAAAAAUAAAAAUGGACAGGAACUAUUUACGACAUUGACUACGAUUUGCAUGGGUCCACUGGUUGCAGGAAGAAAAUGUUGGGAGAAAGAAGACUGGUCGCUAUCUUUGCCUAAGAAUAAUAUCGACUGAAUGUAACGACACUAUCAUAGGAAAUAAUAUCCUCCUGUUAAAUCGUGAAUUUAAAGAACUGGUGCAUGAGCAUUUAGCUUUAUUUAUUUAUUUACUUAUUUAUGUUUAGGGGACCAUGACCAUGUACCCGGGCCGGAUUCAUGUGAGAGCCUCCCUUCCAGUUAAUUAUGGGCUUCUCUAUUGGGCCUUCAUCAGUGGGCUAUAUGUUAUCAACAAGUGGAAAAUGUGUUCCGUACGAAAAAUAGUAUGCGCUACGUACGGUACGGGGCACUAAAGGAUCGAACCGUGCAACGACUUCCAAAACAUUGUGUUUGUCGUUCUAACAACACAUUUAUUCAACCAACAGACGAAAUAUACUACUGAUUGUACAUUGAAAACAGCAGCAACAGCAACCAGGGCUGGGGGUGCAACAGAAGCAGUAAGCAUGCCAGAAGAGUGAAGACGCAGCUCUCUCUUCCAAACCAAACAUCAGCCAUCAUUACAAAAGGGCUACCAAAAAAGAACAAGUGUAUGCAUCAAACUAAAUAAAGAUCCUACUACACCAAGUGUACGCAUCUAACUAACUGGCUCAGUUAGACGUUACUAUUUAUUAACCUAUGGAGAUUGGCUGACGGCUUGAACCAGAUGGGUGCCUGAUGGGGGAAACUCCAGCCAGCAGGUCGAAGUCUGAUACUUGCGACCCUCUGUCACGACCGGUUUUUCAAUAAAAUAAUUAUUGAGAAACCAAUCCCUGUUACGGACCAGCGAGGAAGAAUUCCUUCUCACUGAUAGACAAUACAUUGGUCACAGAAGAAAAAUACCAGGAGUACUAAAUAUAAUACAAAGUUGAGCAGAGACUGCCCAACAAUUUAUUACAUGCACGCCGAUAAAACAAUACGGAGGAUAGGGUGGCAAACUUCUAACUCACGAUAAAAACGGUGGUGGAAAUAUCAUCGCGAAGCGAGUGACAUGAUUCCAGAAUACUACAACUCUUCGAGCGUCGGAGUGAGGCUCGAGAAGACUUAUUGCGGGUGGCGGAAGCGUAAACGAUACAAGUGACCAAAAUCCGGGAUCGCGCAGGACUGACUGGGACUCCUCUAGGCAUCAGACGCGCUAUCAAACUCCUCAUCCAAGAGAUCGCCUUCGUCAACAUCUGGCCAAAUCAACAAGCCAGGUGAGUACUAUGAAAGUACUCGCAAGACAGUUCGGACAUAAGGUAUAACAAAUGCAAACAUGAAGCACAUGAAUAAGUUAACCAGUGCGAUCAGACACAGAGAUAAUAAAUACUGGGUGCCAAGCGAGGGUCUGAAUGACGCCUCGAGCGGAAACUGCAGAAUAGCAAUACUGGUGCCAAACGAGUGUCUGAAAGACUCCUCGAGAGGAAAAUGCGGAAUAAUAAUACAGGUGCCAAACGAGUGUCUGAAAGACUCCUCGAGCGGAAAAUGCAGAAAUAAUAAUACGGGUGCCAAACGAGUGUCUGAAUGACUCCUCGAGCGGAAAAUGCAGAAUAAUAAUGCCACAGUCGGGCGUCGGGGCGACACCACAUAAAGGGCUUAUAUCGAAAGUGAGAAACGAGUACACGCCACAGUCGGACGUCUGCGCGACGUCACAUAAAGGGCUUAUAUCACAACUCAUUAAUACAAUAGCUCGGAGACAUAAAUUAUCACAAGCAUGAGACACAAAAAAAUAAAGUUAGUCCAUCAACUGGAAUAACAAUAAAUCUGAGAUUUUUACCGCUUGAGCUUGUUCACCGGGGGCAAGAUUUUCACACGGAUAGAUUUGGAUGUAAAGUCUACAUUACUGAUCAUGGAUACGAUGAUUUGGAAAGGAUUGACUCUGCAGAGUUUGUACUUAACCACAGCCAACGGAUUUCAGUAGUCACGGGGACUAGUUCCUUCUACGGUGUUCUGGAAGGAACACGUCUAACCAGUACACACCCAAUUUAACCAUCCGAAGCCAGGGAUCACCCUCGGAAACAUUCAGGAAAAACCCUGAGUCGGGGAGGCUACAACCUCGCGUAGCAUGGGAUCAAAUUUCUAUACGCGCGCUAUAAGGGGGUGCCCCCCCCCUCUCGGUCCCAACCGGAAACACCCAUGCCCCCUGACCGAAUGACUGGCUUUAAUCCUGGGCCAAGGUACCAUCAUCCCGGCCUCUCUGUUUGGUGUGUACACGGAAAGAGGUUACCAACUUACUAAACCGUAUCCUGGCAAUGAGACAUGUGGUAGCACGGAAAGGGGAAGGGACGAUAACACGGCUCCAACCAUGUUAACGUCGGGAAAGUCGGAUGACACAAGGCUGGCAUGCUACAACAGUACCACCUUGCUGCCCUUCAUGUCACCACAUGAUUAGGCCACCUCUCAUCAGAGGUCAUCGCAACUUUGGAACAUGCGGGAAAAGAUCGAUAACGUGGCUCCAACCACGUUAACGUCGAAGAAAGUCGGAUGGUGCAAGGCUGGCAUGCUACAACAGUACCACCUUGCUGCCCUUCAUGUCACUACAUGAUUAGGCCACCUCUCAUCAGAGGUCAUCGCAACUUCGGAACAACCGGGUCGUUGCCUUACAAGCAACGAGGUACUUAUCGACACUCACAUGCCACGCACAAACUUUCACAUGAACAUGCAAAACAUCUUCCAUAUCAAAUGUUCAAACAUGCUUGCCUGGUUCGGAGAAGUCGGAGUCUAGCUCGGCGAAGUUCGCGGCUCCGUCCCCUCUCCCGGAACCUACGGCAAUCACGAAACGGGUUACUAACGUGAAAACCAACACAUGCACAGAAACUUUGCCAAAUAUUUUUCAAAUAAAUCCCAUAAAAAACUAGACAAAAUUUGGAGAUUGACAGAAAAAGAAUCACUCAAAAAUACCUUUUCAUUAAAAAGUUAUAAAGGUUUCUGUCCAGGGACCUUUCUGUAAUGAAACAGAAAAGUUCCAGGGUUUUAACUGAGAAAACAGAAAACGCUUCGGCUGGGAAUGCGCAAGCACAAGGGGAAAACGUAUUUAGCCCGAAGGCGCCAACAGAAAACGGUUCGGGGAAAUAAAACAGAGGCUGACACGCGGGGCCCGCAUGUCAGGUUUGAAAGCUCGCCGGCGCCCGAAGACGGCGGUGGACGCCGGCGUCGAACCACGGCGAGUUAGGAGAAACGGAGGGUACCAAGAGCUUCAGUGUCUUCUUCCGCGUCGGUGGGUGGUGGACUCGUCCAACGGGGAGCACCACGUCGACGACGACACUAUCUCCGGCGGACGGCGGUUCGGGUGAGGUUGGGGAACUCCGGUGGAGGGCUGCAAAGUGCGAAUUGAGGCGCGGGUCAGAACGGGUGAUGCAAGGAGAAGCUACUUGCAAGAGAAUGGGGGCUGCGGAGCACACACGGGGGCGAAUCGGGCUGGAUCCCGUGGCGGAUCGCGGCGGCCGGAGUCGAGGAAGGAGACCCCCUCGCGGCUCUUCCAGUGGCUGGGCGUGCUCUAGGGGAAGUGUAGGGCUGGUGGGUGCUCGAGUUGAAGCUUGGGGCCCCUAUUUAUAGGUAGAUCGACGGGGUGGCCGUGAACGGAGAAUCUCCGGCGAGCGAUUAUGGCGGAGCAGUGGAUUGGAAGGUGGUUUGAGCGGUCGGGCAGCAUCAGUGGAGAUUACUGGAGUUGUUCCACUGCUAAACGGAGCUGGCCCUGGCGUAAUGGCAUCUGCCCACGGUGAGGUGACCGCACGGGCUCAACGGCGGCAGAGAGCGCGCUCCGCGCCCUGGGGUUCACGACGAGAGCGCCAGCGCAUUCGGGGGAGUGGACGGCCACGCGGCGGGCUCCGGUGGUUUGGGCGGCGCUGGGUGGAGUCGGCGGCGCCGUGUCUCCCGCUGGCGUCCGCAAAGCCGCCGCCGGCGUCGGUCACGGGGCGGCGCACCUUCUGCUGCUCGUCGCCGACGCCCGCAAGUUGCCAGGCACUCGUGCGGUGCAGGAACGAGAGGGCGAGGACGAGGAGCAAGGCGACGCGAGGGUACUGGCGAGAUCGACGCCCGUUUCUGAAGAAAACGACAGCAGCCACUUAACUGAACUCUGAACUUACUGAAUCUUGACAGUGACCAAGCAUUGCAGGUGUUCGACAGUAGGUUUUGGUAAAGAGAUAAAUUUUUCUGGAGCUGUAACUUGGUGAGAUGAUCACUCAAAGCACCCAGGGGCUGCAUGAAUUUACUUGGAAUUUUUGGAGAAAGUUUUGAAUGAAUUUCACCAAAUUUGGCAAAUCUGGUCCAAACUUGCAGCUGAUGUAGUUUGAAAUUUUUGAACUGGAGACCAGUGGAUCUUCAUGGUUCCAGGUUGAGGGUUCAAAGGACUAGGAGGGGAAAAAGGUUUGGUGGCAAAAAUCAAAACAGAAAAAGGAGUUCCUUUGUAAAUCUCCAAGUGCUAUAAGAGAAGACAGAAAUUUAUUUGAAUAGAAUUUGAAUGGAAAUGAUCACAUGAGGAGGUUCAACUUGCUGGAUUUGAUGCAAAUCAUGAUCCAAAGGUGAGGGAAGGGUUAGGAGAGAGGAUUUGCACUAAUGCCAUGGCAAGAAGGAAUAGUUGAAAGUGGCAAAGGACUUUCCAAAAGCCAUAGUGCAUUCUCAAAAAGGAUUUUCAAAGGUUAUUCUCUCAAAUGAAAAAAAACAUUUUGUCUUGAGCCCAAAUGAAAAGCAAGAACCCCCAAGGUCAAAGGCAGAUCUUGGGUGAAUCCAAAUAAAAUUUUUGCCAUAAAGAAAAAUAUUUGAGAGUGAGAGUUCUCUUGAAGAAUUUUUUUUUUAAAAAUCACUCCCUUCAAGUCAAAUAAAAUCUUUUGAAAAAUCCAAAUAAAAACUUGGGUGUCACAACACCUACCCCCUUAGGAAAAAUCUCGUCCUCGAGAUUUCUGCUGAUCCUCAAAUAGAUAUGGAUACUCUGCUCGGAGGAAAUCUUCCCUUUCCCAUGUGGCUUCAUCCUUGGUGUGGUUGCUCCACUGGACCCUGAAAAACUUUGUCGUUUUCUGACGGGUCCUCCGUUCAGACUCUUCUAAAAUCUUUACUGGCCUUUCUCUGUAGGUGAGAUCUGGUUGCAUAUCAAUGUCCUCAUGAGGUAUAUGUUUCUCCGGGUUACUCACACAUUUCCUCAACUGCGAGACGUGGAAUACGUCAUGGACGUCUGAUAGCUCCUUGGGUAGGUCUAGCUGGUAGGCUACCGUGCCUCUUCGUGCCUUCACACAAAAUGGUCCAAUAAAUCUUGGGGCUAGUUUCCCCUUUAUUUUGAACCGUUGCAGACCCCUCAUAGGAGAUACUCGGAGGUAUACGGAAUCACCAGGUUCAAAGCUGACCUCACGAUGCUUCUGAUCAUAGUAGCUCUUUUGUCGGCUCUGUGCUGUCUUGAGUCUGUCCCUGAUUUGUUUAACUUUUUCCUCGGCCUCCUUAAGCAUAUCUGGGCCGAAGAUACGGCUGUCACCUGUUUCUGACCAAUUCAAUGGGGUACGACACCUCCGUCCGUACAAUGCUUCAAAGGGUGCCAUUUGCAAGCUGGCUUGGUAACUGUUGUUGUACGCAAAUUCGGCAUACGGCAAACUCUCUUCCCAACUGGUUCCAUAGGUGAGCACACAGGCUCUUAGCAUAUCCUCCAGGAUUUGGUUUACACGUUCUGUUUGUCCAUCUGUUUGAGGGUGGUAUGCUGUACUGAAAGCUAGUUGCGUGCCCAGAGCUUGUUGUAGGUGAUCCCAAAAUUUGGAGACGAAUUGGGUGCCUCGGUCUGAUAUUAUAGUCUUCGGGACUCCAUGCAAGCAAACUAUACGAGAUAGAUAGAGCUUUGCCAGUCUUUGAGUGGAGUAGGUAGUCUUCACGGGAAUGAAAUGAGCAACCUUGGUUAGUCGGUCUGUGAUGACCCAUAUGGCAUCAUUUCCGCGUUGUGAUCGGGGUAAUCCGACAAUGAAGUCCAUUCCUAUUUCAUCCCAUUUCCACUCCGGUAUUUGGUUUGGCUGGAGUAGCCCUGCUGGCUUUUGAUGCUCGGCCUUGAUACGCUAGCAUGAAUCGCAACAAGCAACAAAUGUGGCUAUAUCUCUUUUCAUACCGUGCCACCAAAAUCUUUCCUGGAUGUCCUUGUACAUUUUGGUUCCUCCAGGAUGGAUCGAAUAUGGAGCGGUGUGGCUUUCCGUCAAGAUCUGUUGCUUGAGUUCCUCAAUGUUAGGUACGCAAAGUCUGUUUCGGUACCACAAUGUUCCUUCACUGUCUGUGACGAACUCUGAAGUCUUACUAGUAUUCAUUUUCUUCUUUAUGCCUUCGAUGCUGGGAUGUCCCUGUUGGGCCUUCUUAAUUCGUUCCAUCAAGGUGCGUUGUAUCUCCAGGUUUGAUACGGUGCCCUCGGGGACUAACAUUAUGUUGAGCCUAGCGAACUCUCGCUGAAACUCAGGCCUCAAGUUUUGCUGACCGUCACUGUCUGGGCUGGGGUUUCGACUAAGGGCAUCGGCCACUACAUUUGCUUUUCCUGGGUGGUAGUGGAUGCCGACGUCGUAGUCUUUGACCAGUUCCAACCAGCGUCGUUGGCGUAAAUUCAGCUCUGGCUGUGUGAAGAUAUAUUUGAGGCUCUUAUGGUCCGUAUAUAUUUCACAACGAUUUCCCAACAGAAAGUGCCUCCACUCCUUGAGUGCAUGUAGGACCGCUGCUAGCUCCAAGUCAUGUGUUGGGUAAUUUUCCUCAUGCUUUCGCAGUUGCCUGGAGGCAUAUGCAACAACUUUGCCAUCCUGCAUUAGUACACAUCCGAGACCUUUUCGGGACGCGUCACAAUAUACUUCAAAACUCUUGUGUAUGUCUGGCACAGUUAAGACUGGUGCGGUUGUCAGUUUUUUCUUGAGUUCUUGGAAGCUCUGCUCACAUGCUUCCGUCCAUACGAAUCUCUUGUCCUUCUUGAGCAGUUGGGUCAUAGGUUUUGCCACAGUGGAGAAUCCUUCAAUAAAUCUCCUGUAAUAUCCGGCCAUUCCUAGGAAACUCCGCACAUCUGUGACGUUGGCGGGCGGUUUCCAGUCCAGUAUGGCCUUGACCUUUUCUGGGUCUACGGCUACGCCUUCUUGGUUCAGUAUAUGGCCUAAGAAACCAACUUGUCUUAGCCAAAAUUCGCAUUUGCUAAACUUGGCGUACAACUGAUGCUUCCUCAAUUCUCCCAAAACCACUCUGAGGUGCUCAGCAUGCUCUUCGGGUGUCCUUGAGUAAACCAGAAUAUCAUCAAUGAAUACCACCACAAAUUUGUCCAUGAAUUUCAUGAACACUUUGUUCAUGAGGUGGACGAAAAAUGCGGGGGUGUUUGUUAGACCAAAAGGCAUCACUGUGAACUCGUAUAAUCCAUAUCUGGAAGUGAAUGCUGUCUUGGGGAUAUCCUCUGUUCGUACCUUCAGUUGAUGGUAUCCUGAUCUCAAAUCAAUCUUUGAAAAUACUUUAGCUUGUGCGAGCUGGUCAAACAAAUCAUUUAUCCGUGGCAUCGGGUAUUUGUUUUUGAUGGUGACCAUAUUGAGGGCUCGAUAGUCUAUGCAUAGUCUCAGUGUCCCAUCCUUCUUCUUGGCGAACAAUACGGGCGAACCCCAUGGUGAGGAGCUGGCUCGUAUAAACCCCUUGUCCAGUAAUUCCUUUAUCUGCUUCUUCAACUCCACCAAUUCUGAGGGUGCCAUUCUAUACGGCUUCUUAUAAAAGGGAGCGGUGCCAGGUGCUAAUUCAAUGCUGAAUUCGAUCUCUCGGUCUGGUGGCAUACCUGGUAGUUCUUCCGGGAACACAUCAGGGAACUCGCAUACCACUGACACUUUUCUUAAUUCUGCGAUGUCCAUCUUGUUCAGUUUUGGUUUCUGUGAUCGUGGCCUUUCUUGAGCGGAAACUCUUAUUGUCUUGCCGUGAUGGUGAGUGAGAAUCACUGUCCGAUUGAAACAGUCGAUGAAUCCUUUGUUGGUGGUUAACCAGUCCAUUCCUAAAAUGACAUCCAGUCCUUUACUUUCCAACACGAUGAGAUUUGCGUGGAAUGGUAGUCCUUCGAACUCAAUGACCACUCCUUGGCAGUAACCCUGAGCAAUUUGCUUGUUUCCGGGGGACUUGAUGAUCAUAGAUUUUUCCAAGGGGAGUAUCGGAAAACCGUGUUGUGAAACAAAACUCUUCGAAACAACCGAAUGGGAAGCUCCAGAAUCAAACAAAACCAUGGCAGGUACUGUGUUGACAGGGAACGUACCGAGCACGAUGUCUGGGGCAUUCUGCGCUUCUUCCCUGGUCACAUGGUUCAGGUGACCCUUCCUGUGGUUGUUGUUGGGAUUGAAGUUGUUGCGCUUGGGAGCUGGAUUGUUUUCACCAUUGUUCGGCUUGGGUGCCGAGUCUCUUGGUUUCGGGCACUGUUUAGCAUAAUGCCCUUGCUGACCGCAAGCAUAGCAGGUGACCCCUGGACGGUAUGUGAACUCCUUGUCUCUGGCAUGAAAUUGUCCAACGGGUCUUGGCUCAGUAGUCGUGGAUCUCCUCGUGUCUGUCCUUGGGACCUCAGUCUUGCCUCGGUUGCUGCGGGUAAGAGUCGUCUUGUCCCUCUUCCGCUUGCGGAUAUCUUCCAGACUACGGCGCUCAUUCUCCAGGGUGAUGGCCUUGUCCACCAGCGUCUUAAAAUCCGGAAAGGUGUGUACAAUCAGCUGGCAUCUUAGUGCUGGUGCCAGGCCGUCCAGGAAUUUUUCCAUCUUCUUGUUUUCUGUCAUGUGCUCGUCGUAGGCAUAACGAGACAGUUGGGUAAACUGGCCGUUGUAUUCUGUGACGAACAUGCCUCUUUGCUUCAGGUCAUUAAACUCUCUCUUCUUGAUCUUUAGGAUGCUCCUGGGAAUGUGUGCCCCACGGAAGCCUUCCUUGAAUUCUUCCCAGGUGAUGUUGUGUUCCCUGGGGUGCAUGUGUAGGAAGUUUUCCCACCAUGCUGCGGCUGCUCCAGUAAGGUAGUGUGGCGCAUAAAGCACCUUCUCAUGAUCUAAGCAUUGAGCGAUAAUCAGUUUCCUUUCAAUCUCGCGAAGCCAAUCAUCAGCUUCCAGUGGCCUAUCGGUGUGAGCAAAAGUUGAGGGGCGAGUCUUCUGUAACUCAGAUAACUUGGAAUGUGGUUGAUAGGGUUCACGGUGGUUUCCCAUAUUGAUGACAUGGUUCAUCAUCUCCUGGUGCUGUUGCUGGCUUUGCUCGAAGAGACGGCAUACUUGAGAUAGUGCCGCUUCGCUGUCCUGUUGGCUGGACUGACCCUGAGUGAAAUUGUUGCUGGUCUGUGUUCCAUAAACCUCUUCUGCAUUUUUCCAGUCUGGGGUAUCAUUUGCAAAACCCUUGAGAAAAACUGUGUAGCGCAGGAAAACUCUUGCAAAGGCAACACAAAUGAUUUUUCAUGGAGGAGAAGUGCUUAACAUAAAACUUUCAUGCGAAAAGCAAACACACGAUACAACACUCAGGAUGCGCGUACACAAUCCUGACAUGCUAUUAAAACUAGCGUACUACUCCGGAAGGCAGCAAACACACCAAUACAAACUAGCGUACAGAUAAAACAGCACAUCAUACAAGCAGACAUAACACGCGGCUACUCGGUGCUCUCAGUCGGAGAUGGUGAAGAUCUCCUUCCCCUUGCCGAUGGCAAGGCUCAGCGGUCCAGGAGAGUCAACCUCCUCCUCUCUAGCUGGUUCCUGGCGUGCGACGCUGCGCUGCGGUGAUGGUGCGGGGGCGAUUGGUGGUAGAGCGCGUGCGGCAGGCGGUGCGGCUCUGACUGGAGUGGGAGCGAUGACUCGGUCGAACUCCUCAGUGGUAGGCAGACGGCGAGCAGUGGCCAAAACGGCCGGUGCAUACGAGGCUGAAGACGAGACGAAUGUCAGAGGCGGCGCCGUGUGGAGAAGCUCCUUCCUGCUGGCAGGACCGCCCCGGACUAAGUCCAUGCGGGCAGCCACAAGAUCAUCUACGAGGUUGUCGAAAGAUUCCUCCAGAGCCUUGAGAUACUCCACAACCAUCUCGAUGGCUUCGUCUCUUUCUCCCCGAUGGCAGGAAAACGCAUAGUGGCUGGUGUAUGGCACAUGGCAUGGGAGGUAGCGGUAGCGACGAGUCUUCAUCGUAGGAAGGAUGUCCCGAAGGCGAGCUAUCGCCUCACGGGCAGCCAUCUGCAUGGCAUGCCUCUCCGUAGGCAUGGCCCUUCCCACAAAACGGAAGUGGCGUGCAGCUGAACGUCCUCCCUUGAACUGCACCACAGCCUGGUGCAUAGACACGUCGUCACUGAGCUUGUGCUGAUAGAGGGUGAACUCCGGGCGAGCUGCUGGCCCGAUCGCGAGCUUGGUGAUGGAGACGAGGAGCUUGACAAACCCCUCGGGCACGUUGGUGAACACUCGAUUCUCACAGCCGCUGCCAGCCAUCUACAAAAGUAGGCAAAAAUUCUGAGUAGUCAUGUCAUAAAUUUUAUGAUGACCAACAGAAGAUAGCUACAAUUGCAAAAUGCUGAAGAAGCACUAAAGACGCUAAUAACCGAUUAGCGAUCGCACCUAGUGGCUUCCUAUAGUCAGCCUGGCUCUGAUACCAAGCUUGUCACGCCCGGUUUUUCAAUAAAAUAAUUAUUGAGAAACCAAUCCCUGUUACGGACCAGCGAGGAAGAAUUCCUUCUCACUGAUAGACAAUACAUUGGUCACAGAAGAAAAAUACCAGGAGUACUAAAUAUAAUACAAAGUUGAGCAGAGACUGCCCAACAAUUUAUUACAUGCACGCCGAUAAAACAAUACGGCGGAUAGGGUGGCAAACUUCUAACUCACGAUAAAAACGGUGGUGGAAAUAUCAUCGCGAAGCGAGUGACAUGAUUCCAGAAUACUACAACUCUUCGAGCGUCGGAGUGAGGCUCGAGAAGACUUAUUGCGGGUGGCGGAAGCGUAAACGAUACAAGUGACCAAAAUCCGGGAUCUCGCAGGACUGACUGGGACUCCUCUAGGCAUCGGACGUGCUAUCAAACUCCUCAUCCAAGAGAUCGCCUUCGUCAACAUCUGGCCAAAUCAACAAGCCAGGUGAGUACUAUGAAAGUACUCGCAAGACAGUUCGGACAUAAGGUAUAACAAAUGCAAACAUGAAGCACAUGAAUAAGUUAACCAGUGCAAUCAGACACAGAGAUAAUAAAUACUGGGUGCCAAGCGAGGGUCUGAAUGACGCCUCGAGCGGAAACUGCAGAAUAGCAAUACUGGUGCCAAACGAGUGUCUGAAAGACUCCUCGAGAGGAAAAUGCGGAAUAAUAAUACAGGUGCCAAACGAGUGUCUGAAAGACUCCUCGAGCGGAAAUGCAGAAAUAAUAAUACGGGUGCCAAAUGAGUGUCUGAAUGACUCCUCGAGCGGAAAAUGCAGAAUAAUAAUGCCACAGUCGGGCGUCGGGGCGACACCACAUAAAGGGCUUAUAUCGAAAGUGAGAAACGAGUACACGCCACAGUCGGACGUCUGCGCGACGUCACAUAAAGGGCUUAUAUCACAACUCAUUAAUACAAUAGCUCGGAGACAUAAAUUAUCACAAGCAUGAGACACACAAAAAUAAAGUUAGUCCAUCAACUGGAAUAACAAUAAAUCUGAGAUUUUUACCGCUUGAGCUUGUUCACCGGGGGCAAGAUUUUCACACGGAUAGAUUUGGAUGUAAAGUCUACAUUACUGAUCAUGGAUACGAUGAUUUGGAAAGGAUUGACUCUGCAGAGUUUGUACUUAACCACAGCCAACGGAUUUCAGUAGUCACGGGGACGAGUUCCGUCUACGGUGUUCUGGAAGGAACACGUCUAACCAGUACACACCCAAUUUAACCAUCCGAAGCCAGGGAUCACCCUCGGCAAAGUUCAGGAAAAACCCUGAGUCGGGGAGGCUACAACCUCGCGUAGCAUGGGAUCAAAUUUCUAUACGCGCGCUAUAAGGGGGUGCCCCCCCUCUCGGUCCCAACCGGAAACACCCAUGCCCCCUGACCGAAUGACUGGCUUUAAUCCUGGGCCAAGGUACCAUCAUCCCGGCCUCUCUGUUUGGUGUGUACACGGAAAGAGGUUACCAACUUACUAAACCGUAUCCUGGCAAUGAGACAUGUGGUAGCACGGAAAGGGGAAGGGACGAUAACACGGCUCCAACCAUGUUAACGUCGGGAAAGUCGGAUGACACAAGGCUGGCAUGCUACAACAGUACCACCUUGCUGCCCUUCAUGUCACCACAUGAUUAGGCCACCUCUCAUCAGAGGUCAUCGCAACUUUGGAACAUGCGGGAAAAGAUCGAUAACGUGGCUCCAACCACGUUAACAUCGAAGAAAGUCGGAUGGCGCAAGGCUGGCAUGCUACAACAGUACCACCUUGCUGCCCUUCAUGUCACUACAUGAUUAGGCCACCUCUCAUCAGAGGUCAUCGCAACUUCGGAACAACCGGGUCGUUGCCUUACAAGCAACGAGGUACUUAUCGACACUCACAUGCCACGCACAAAGUUUCACAUGAACAUGCAAAACAUCUGCCGUAUCAAAUGGUCAAACAUGCUUGCCUGGUUCGGAGAAGUCGGAGUCUAGCUCGGCGAAGUUCGCGGCUCCGUCCCCUCUCCCGGAACCUACGGCAAUCACGAAACGGGGUACUAACGUGAAAACCAACACAUGCACAGAAACUUUGCCAAAUAUUUUUCAAAUAAAUCCCAUAAAAAACUAGACAAAAUUUGGAGAUUGACAGAAAAAGAAUCACUCAAAAAUACCUUUUCAUUAAAACGUUAUAAAGGUUUCUGUCCAGGGACAUUUCUGUAAUGAAACAGAAAAGUUCCAGGGUUUUAACUGAGAAAACAGAAAACGCUUCGGCUGGAAUGCGCAAGCGCAAGGGGAAAACGUAUUUUGCCCGAAGGCGCCAACAGAAAACGGUUCGGGGAAAUAAAACAGAGGCUGACACGCGGGGCCCGCAUGUCAGGUUUGAAAGCUCGCCGGCGCCCGAAGACGGCGGUGGACGCCGGCGUCGAACCACGGCGAGUUAGGAGAAACGGAGGGUACCAAGAGCUUCAGUGUCUUCUUCCGCGUCGGUGGGUGGUGGACUCGUCCAACGGGGAGCACCACGUCGACGACGACACUAUCUCCGGUGGACGGCGGUUCGGGUGAGGUUGGGGAACUCCGGUGGAGGGCUGCAAAGUGCGAAUUGAGGCGCGGGUCAGAACGGGUGAUGCAAGGAGAAGCUACUGGCAAGAGAAUGGGGGCUGCGGAGCACACACGGGGGCGAAUCGGGCUGGAUCCCGUGGCGGAUCGUGGCGGCCGGAGUCGAGGAAGGAGACCCCCUCGCGGCUCUUCCAGUGGCUGGGCGUGCUCUAGGGGAAGUGUAGGGCUGGUGGGUGCUCGAGUUGAAGCUCGGGCCCCUAUUUAUAGGCAGAUCGACGGGGUGGCCGUGAACGGAGAAUCUCCGGCGAGCGAUUACGGCGGAGCAGUGGAUUGGAAGGUGGUUUGAGAGGUCGGGCAGCAUCAGUGGAGAUUACUGGAGUUGUUCCACUGCUAAACGGAGCUGGCCCUGGCGUAAUGGUGUCUGCCCACGGUGAGGUGACCGCACGGGCUCAACGGCGGCAGAGAGCGCGCUCCGCGCCCUGGGGUUCACGACGAGAGCGGCAGCGCAUUCGGGGGAGUGGACGGCCACGCGGCGGGCUCCGGUGGUUUGGGCGGCGCUGGGUGGAGUCGGCGGCGCCGUGUCUCCCGCUGGUGUCCGCAAAGCCGCCGCCGGCGUCGGUCACGGGGCGGCGCACCUUCUGCUGCUCGUCGCCGACGCCCGCAAGUUGCCAGGCACUCGUGCGGUGCAGGAACGAGAGGGCGAGGACGAGGAGCAAGGCGACGCGAGGGUACUGGCGAGAUCGACGCCCGUUUCUGAAGAAAACGACAGCAGCCACUUGACUGAACUCUGAACUUACUGAAUCUUGACAGUGACCAAGCAUUGCAGGUGUUCGACAGUAGGUUUUGGUAAAGAGAUAAAUUUUUCUGGAGCUGUAACUUGGUGAGAUGAUCACUCAAAGCACCCAGGGGCUGCAUGAAUUUACUUGGAAUUUUUGGAGAAAGUUUUGAAUGAAUUUCACCAAAUUUGGCAAAUCUGGUCCAAACUUGCAGCUGAUGUAGUUUGAAAUUUUUGAACUGGAGACCAGUGGAUCUUCAUGGUUCCAGGUUGAGGGUUCAAAGGACUAGGAGGGGAAAAAGGUUUGGUGGCAAAAAUCAAAACAGAAAAAGGAGUUCCUUUGUAAAUCUCCAAGUGCUAUAAGAGAAGACAGAAAUUUAUUUGAAUAGAAUUUGAAUGGAAAUGAUCACAUGAGGAGGUUCAACUUGCUGGAUUUGAUGCAAAUCAUGAUCCAAAGGUGAGGGAAGGGUUAGGAGAGAGGAUUUGCACUAAUGCCAUGGCAAGAAGGAAUAGUUGAAAGUGGCAAAGGACUUUCCAAAAGCCAUAGUGCAUUCUCAAAAAGGAUUUUCAAAGCUUAUUCUCUCAAAUGAAAAAAAACAUUUUGUCUUGAGCCCAAAUGAAAAGCAAGAACCCCCAAGGUUAAAGGCAGAUCUUGGGUGAAUCCAAAUAAAAUUUUUGCCAUAAAGAAAAAUAUUUGAGAGUGAGAGUUCUCUUGAAGAAUUUUUUUUUAAAUCACUCCCUUCAAGUCAAAUAAAAUCUUUUGAAAAAUCCAAAUAAAAACUUGGGUGUCACACCCUCUCUCCUACUUUGGGCUGCAGAGCGUGGCGGCACAUAUCAGGGUAUGGUGCAUGCAGAGACGCAUGGUACGCUAUGUACACACAGUUUUGCCUGAUGAACGAAACCGCGCUGCCAUCAUGAUCCUUGCCGUCGGUUAUCUCCUGGUUAAUCGGAUAAUUCAGUCCAACAAACAGAGAGCGUGUACCAAGGCUACUUACCAACCUCCAGUCAAAAAUUCCUGAAGGCCCAGAGAAGUUGGGAUCCUGCUCAAAGACCUUGAAGUGAUUGUGAUUGUAUUCCGCGAAACAACACGUCUGGUACGUGCGAACGAUCAUCAAUCGUUCGCCGUCGUCUGAUCGAGCCAGGAAGCACCUGCAACUGCCAUGCCGCUUUUCUUUGAAAGGUUCUGGGAUUAGGAAGGGUACGAACAUGAGGCGACUUACAACAUCAUAUCAAGUUGGAGACAAAUAACCCUCAAAAAAAGUUGGAGUCAAAUAAAAAAGGGCUCUUGAUUGUAUGACAUGGCUAGCCAAGAUGGAUUUAAUCCCGAUAUUCACUUUAUCAAAAGGCUCUAAUGGGUUGGUUCUGAAUCUUGCAAGCUGGGAAUCAAUGAGAUGUGUAGGCAUCUUUGUUGUACUUAUUAUUUGAAUCUUAUUUGUUGGUUCUGAAUCUUGCAAGCUGGGAAUCAAUGAGAUGUGUAGGCAUCUUUGUUGUACUUAUUAUUUGGAUCUUAUUUGUUGGUUCUGAAUCUUGCAAGCUGGGAAUCAAUGGGAUGUGUAGGCAUCUUUGUUGUACUUAUUAUUUGGAUCUUAUUUGUUGGUUCUGAAUCUUGCAAGCUCGGAAACAUGGCAUGAUGAUGCAGAGGACAACAACCAUAACAAACAGUUCAAACUUGGUAGUAUUAUCUUUGUGAAAGUGCGACAAAUGUGCUGAUCGUGUGCGUCCUGAGAAUAAUAAUUCUAAUUGUUGUGCAUGUUGAUCCCGUGGCACUGAUAGAAUGAGCCAAUGCAUUGCUUGUUUUAAGUAUAAAUUUCUAUUAAAGCUAAUUAAAUUUAAGUAAAGUGACCACUAACUCCUGUUAUUACAGGACCAAUACAGACCCGCUCAUGAACCGACGUGUGGCCGGAGUAGGUUUCUUAAUGGAGGCGUUUGAAUGCGCUGAGGGUGCAUCUUCUGCCGGGUGUGCAGAACUGCUGCCGCCGCCUACACACUCGUUCACUUGAAGAGACUCCAAUGGCGAUCCGAGGGGUGAGCCUGCUGGAUAUGGACUUCAGCAAGGAGUUCCCCUUUGAGUUCGCCAUUCAGUCCUAUGGCUGCACCAAGUUGAAUGUGAUGUACACCAACGAUCCAGACUCGGUGAAGCUCUGCCUCGCCGAGUUCAAGCAGUACCUACAGGACGAGAAAGCACAAGGUUGCAGGACUAGACCUUGUGCCCAUCCAUUCUUCUCCUGACAGGGACCAGCAGAUAGCCGUUGCCUAGGAAUGUGUGCGGGACGAGGUUCUCAUCUACCACUUCUGUAGGGCCAUCAGAGGUUCUGGAGCAUUCGCCUGUUUCAUCGGCAGCGCUGACUGCACCUUCGCUACGGUGGAGAGAAGGAAGAACGCGAUGAUUCGGCCAUCUGGUGCAACAAGCUUGUCGACAUCCAGAAGCAAUACAAGAUCAUCAGCAACGAGCAGGAGAAGGACUCCGUGGUUGACCUCGCCGAGACCAUCAUCGACCCCUGAUACGCCAACAUGAAAGAAGACAACGAUAACAAAGACCUGAACACGUGGGAGGUACCUCUGAAUCUAGCCUACAUAACCUACACGGCCAAGGAUGCAUACGCAUGCUACGACAUGUACAGGUAGAUCUUGGACAUGAGGGCGUGUCUGCAUCCCGUAACCGACGAGUACACGGACAGCCGCAGCGUCAUGAUCAAGCAUGCCAGGAAGGUCUAGAUGUUGUACUUUAUCUGUUUAUAAGCGCCUUUAUCAUCUGAGUGUUUCAUGCAUUAUCCUAAGUGUUGUAAUUAUCUGUUUUGUCCGAAAUUUUUCUUUUAAGAACCCAUUAACCUGUUUGGUUUUUUUAGUGGCUAUUUGCUUAUGUAUGUAACUAGUUCACUUGUCCGUUAAAAAAAACUAGUUCACUCGGCUGCCGUGCUUUGAAUCUCCUUCCUCCCAACAUAUUCCCCUCCUCAGGUGGACCCAGCAGGUCUCGUACACAGACAUAUGGGACCAACCACCUAUCCAUUUGUAUUUCUUUAUUUUGUUCAAUCUUUCGUCCUCUUCCUAUACAGCUCAGUUCUAUUUUUCCUUUUCAUUAAUCCUAUAUCUGAAUUUUCUCCCACUUUCUUUUUCGAUGUAAACUGAGUUUUCUCCCAGUACUUUUCCCUAGAACCAACAACUGUCCCACGUCUAGCCUAAAAAAUAAUAAUACCCCACGUACUAUUAACUCAUCAAAUUUAAAUGAUAUUUUAUUUUGUAAGUUGAAAGUUUUUACAAAAUAAUAAUAAUUCUUAUUUAUAUGUAACUUGGCAAGUUAACCCCUAGUGAUUGCGUACAUAAGCUUGCAAAGAUUUUACUGACCAAUGCAGUAAUAGACGUGCAAUCAUGUGUUUAUGUUUUUAUAACAUUUCUCCGUCUAGCCCAACAUGAUAUUUUCACCCAGCCCAGCAAGUCCGCGGAUUUCGAGAAAAAUGCAAAUGGGCUUUAAAUUCUAGCAUACAUAUAAACGGGCUGCAUAGAUGCUACAUCAUUGUUUCACCCAGCCCACCAAAUGGACUAAAAAACAAAUGGACUGGCUGACAUGUGGGCCAGUAGGUCGAAGCCUAAGAAGGCGUUGGAUUUACAUCCAACGGCCGGCAUUCUUCUUCAAUCUCUCGUCUUCUUUCCCCAGCGCUGCCAGGACCGCCUGCUCCAGCCUUCGGCGUCCAGCGGCAUUGUUUUGCACUCCUCAGCGAAACGCUACCCCACCGACGGCCAGGCCAUCCCUCCACUCCGCACCUCCUGUUAUUCUCUGCCGAGUGUAGGCCCACCCCGCACCCGAACCAGUCAAGUUUCCCACUCCUCUCCGUCUGCGACUCCACUGCCGCGUCUUCCCCAUCUCCGGGUCGUUCCAGUCUGGGGCCUCGCCGUCGUCCACCGCCUCGGUGCGCUCGGCGCGGCGUGGUCAACAUAGGAGAGUCAUCGGAAGAGGACUGUACGUGAAGAGCCUGACGGCUGGGACCCACGAGGUCGAUGGUCGCAUGCAAGGAAAGUUCCUCCUUAUUACGCACUGUACGUGGACUGUACGUGGGAAGGGCUUCUGUAUUUCACGAAAAAAUGUUCCCCCCGCUGACAGGUCGGACCCACCACCUAUAUCUUCGCACGCAAGGAAGUGCCUCCUUAUUACGCACAAAAAAUGAAUACCCCCUGCUAGCUGGGACCCACCAUAGUGGGUGGCUGACUUGUGGGCCUACUAAGUUGACGGGGACAGAGGGCUUUGUCAACUUAGUCAAUAUGAUCAAUUCUAGCUCCAGUGACCGUACGAUGUCCAUCCAACGGCCAUAGUGCUUCUUCAACCUCUAGUCUUCUUGCUCCAGCCGCCCAAAGCACAAAGCAGCGCUGGUCGGGCCGCAGCGGCCUCACCACCCCCUACUACUCCCACCGCUCGCCAGGGCAUCCCUCUACUCACCCACACCCCCUAUUAUUCUGCGGCUACGGCAGCCUCACGCUGUAGCCGAACCAGUGAACCCUCGUACUCCUCUCCGCGUGGGCAUCCACUGUCGCGUCUUCCCCGGCUCUUCGUCAUCCCCUUCCUAGGCCUCGCCGUCGUCCACCGCCUUGGUGCUCUCGGCGCGGCGUGGUCAAUGUGGUCAACGACCGACUUCCAUCGGAAGAGUACUGUACGUGGAGAGGCUGACAGCUGGGUCCAUGGCCGCAGCUGGGUCCACGACCACAGCCCAGUUUUUUGUGAUUUGUCAAGUAAUUCGCUUUGUCAAGCCUGUUUGGCUGCAAAUCUUUCAAGACGAGGAGAGCUUCAUUCGGCUGGCCGAGAAAAUGGCCUAUCAGUAAUGACAAAUGGGUUGUACAUUUUUAAAACACAUCAAAUCGGCAAUUAGUUUCAAAUUUCUUUUUUUCAUUUCGAGAUUUUAAAUUGCAUUGAUUUUUAUGCGUGGACAAUUUGUUGGAUUUUAUAUUGAUAUACAUUUAUUUUUAAAAUCAGUUUGAAUGUGACUCGAAAUUUCGGGAUUAAAAACAGUUCGGACCGCACCGAAAUAUGCAAAAUUUUGUAUAAUUUUUUAACCGUGGCCACAAUAUGGGCUGUAAUGCUAACAAAAAGAAUAUGGGCUCCAAAAAAACCUUAAGAAUUAGCAAAUGGGCUGUGAAUUAUUAGAAAUAAUGGCAGAUGGGCUGUAUGCUAUUUUCCACAGAUUUGAGGCUUUCCUAAAAAAAGGUUGACGCACAAGCAAUGACUAUUGGAUUUCCAUCCAACGGUCGUCGUGCUUCUUCAAUCUCUGCUGUUCCUGCUCCAGCCGCUCAAACAAGCGCCGGCGGGACUGCCUGCUCCCUCCUCCCCGCGGCCGGCUGUGCUGCCACGCAGGCCUCACCGCCCCACCGUACUCCCAUCGCUGGCCUAGCUACACCUCUACUCACCCACACCUGUUGUUAUUCUCCGGCGAUGGCAGACGAACCAGUAAACCCUUGUACAGUCGUACUUCCCUCCGCGUGGGAAACAACUGCCGAGUCUUCCCUGCCUUCGGGUCAUUCCCAUCCUAGGCCUCGCCGUCGUCCACCGCCCUGGUGCUCUCGGCGCGGCCUGGUCAACGUGGUCAACGACCGACAUGCAUCUGAAGUGGACUAUACCUGGAGAGGCUGACAGCUGGGUCCACGGCCGCACGCAAGGAAAUGCCUCCUUAUUACGCGCAAAAUAAUGAUUCCUCCACCUGACAUCUGGGACCCACCGAAAGGGCCUCUGUAUUUCGCGAAAAAAAAGUACCGCCGCUGACAGCUUGGACCCACCAGCUAUAUCUUCGCACGCAAGGAAGUGCCUCCUUAUUACAAAAAAAAUGAAUACUCCCCCUGCUAGCUGGGACCCAGUAUAGUGGCAGGCUGACUUGUGGGCCUACUAAGUUGACGGGGACGGAGGGCUUUGUCAACUUAGUCAAUAUGCAUGAUUCUAGCUCCAGUGACCGUACGAUGUCCGUCCAACGGCCAUAGUGCUUCUUCAACCUCUGGUGUUCUUGCUCCAGCCGCCCAAACCAGCGCCGGUCGUGCCUCGUGCUCCUGCCUCCCGUGGCCGGCUGCGAUGCGGUGGAGGCCUCACCACCCCUUACUACUCCUACCGUUGGCCAGGCCAUCCCUCUACUCACCCACAGCCCCUGUUAUUCUGCGGCGACGGCAGCCUCACACCGCAGCGAACCAGUGAACCCUCAUACUCCUCUACGCGUGGGCAUCCACUGCCGCGUCUUCCCCGGCUCUGCGUCGUCCCCUUCCUAGGCCUCGCCGUUGUCCACCGCCCUGGUGCUCUCGACGCGGCGUGGUCAACGUGGUCAAGGAACGGCUUCCAUCGGACGUGGACUGUACGUGGAGAGGCUGACAGCUGGGUCCACGGCCGCAGCAAGGAAGUGCCUCCUUAUUACGCGCAAAAUAAUUAUUCCUCCACCUGACAGCGGGGACCCACCGGACGGGCCACCGUAUUUCACGAGAAAAAACGUUUCCCCCUGACUGCUGGGACCCACCAGCUACAUCUUCGCACGCAAGGAAGUGCGUCCGGGCAUAAAAAAUGAUUCGCCCCCCUGACUGCUGGGACCCACCAGCUACAUCUUCGCAGGCAAGGAAGUGCCUAACAGUCGGGACCCACCUGGUCGAAGUGUAUGUAGCGUUGUCAUUCUGGUCGCGAACAUGUACGUACAUACUGGUCGUUGUAGAGGCGCGCACGUAGCAUGUACACGUACGUACAGCGGCCAGGGUGCAAGAAAGAAAAUACGGCCACGUACGUACAUACGGGCAGGGUCUCGAACGCCUACUCGCGCAUAUGUACGGCCAGGUCUCGUGUACAUGGCUGGGUCAAAACGGAGAAACUGCGACGUCGUCGUGUUCAUGAGGAGCCAACCGGCUGGGUCGGAACGGAAUGCGUCAUCGUGUUCAUCCGGAGGGCUUGGACGGAACAGCCGAUGGAAACGAGGCUUGGCGUACCGCGGAACAGAGGAAAUGGCCUUGUGUUCGACCGGCCAUGUUCGAAAUGGGAUCCUGUUCAUCGGGAGGGGCUGGAGUACCGCAAAACGGAGGAAACGGACCUCCUACGGUCGAAACGGGGGUCCUGUUGAUCGGGAGGGGUGUGGCGUACCGCAAAACAGAGGAAACGGACUUGUGUUGGAGCGCUACGGUCGAAAUGGGGGUCCUGUUCAUCGGGAGGGGUGUGGCGUACCGCAAAACGGGACUCCACGGGAUACUGUUCAUCUCCACCGUCGACCCCCUCCAGCCUCCACGGGCUACUGUUCAUCCACCGUCGACCUCCUCCAGCCUCCACCUGCGACUGUUCAUCCACGGGCUCCUGUUCAUCCAGCCUCCACCGCGCGCUACUCCACCGGCUACUGUUCAACCAGCCCUCUCCACGGGCUCCUGUUCAACCACCCCUCCACCAGCUAUUGUUCAACCAGCACUCUCCACGGGCUCCUGUUCAACCACCCCUCCAUCCGGCUACUGUUCAGUCACAAUGAAUAUAAGAAUGCGCACAUCAGAAGAAUAUUGUGGAACAGUUCAAUGGGUAACAAACUUGGCAUCAAGGGAUUGAGGUCCAUUGUGGAUGCAAUGAAACCCACAUGCUCCCGACCUAUAGAUUCGUAUUCGGAAUAUGAUCCUAAUGACUAUUCUAAGCUCAAGGAGUCAAAGGCAGAUGGCCUAUCCUGUUCACCCAAUAAGGUGCCUGUUCUAAUUUGGCAAGGUUUUAUUGGUUGCACAUAUCUUGCAUAAGGUGUCUUGCAUUUCUUUUGCUUCGUUGCACCGCCAUCUGCUUAGUUUACUCAUGAUAUAUGUGAAGAUGCCAUGCCCAUCCAUUAUCAACACCUAUUCCAUUUGUCGUCAUACCAUGUUUUUUCAUUCAAAUGUUGUUCUUGUGUUUCAGACAUCCAAAAGGAAGAGGGUGAUUGCAGAACCUGAAGGAGUACAAGCAAAGUCCUUGAAAAAGGUGGUGCUACCAGAGAAAUCACCUAGCACCCGACGUAUAUUGGCGAUAGAACCAGUACCGCAAAACCUAGGAUGUCGCAACCAUGCUGGUCGAUGCUUUGCUCUUCUGAGUACAUAUUGUCCUAUCGCUGUCCUUACAUUCAUACCUGGUGGAUUAUGUGACAUCAUUGUGCAAUAUAGCUUUCUUAUCCACUGUUCACUCCAAAUUAUCAGAUCUAUAUUAAUGCUUAAAUUAAUGUAGAAGAAACCAAUGCCUAUGAAGAAAGUUAGUUCUGCAUUGUUCUUGUAAGUAUCUGUUGUCCUUCAUCACUGUACUUAUAUUUGUCAGCUAGUUCUUCAUGUACACUUUGCAGCUUAUUUUACCUUGUCCUCCAUUUUUCUACACAUCAAAUCUACAUUUACUCUUGCCAAAAUAUUGAAUAAAACCAAUGUUACUGAAGAAGUUUAGCUCCGCAUUGCUCGUCAGUGCCUUCUGCCUAUAUGCUGUAUUUACAUUUGUACUCUGCAUCUUAAGUUAAAUAAUCGCCAUUUGUUCCUAUAUUUUCACAUCUAUAUUACUCUUAACAAAAUGUAGAAUAAAGGCAAUACUCUUGAAGAAGAGUGUGCGGUAAAGUUCUUGAAUUGCCCCCCCCCCCAUCAAUAUGGACAAGGCCUUUAUAGAGCAUGUCUUCACUACUAAUGUAAGUUUGUCCUCCUCGAGCCUUCAAACAAUGUUGUGUAUAUUUGGAUAGCUAUGACUGAAAAUGCUGUUUAUUUUUAUCGUCUGCAUCAAAUUUCUUGUUCAAAGUUUAUAAAGUAGAAGUACAUAAACAUAAGUUUGUCCUUCUCAAUUUCAGUCUUUUAGUUGUACAAUCUAGUUCCUUAUUCGUACCAUGUAAAUUAAACUAAACAUAGAAAGUUAUCUUCUUUAGCACUAUGUGUAUGCUUGUGUUCUUGAUCUAUAAUCGAGUGGUGUGGUGAGACUACCAACAACAGCACAAUGUCAUAUCCUGCUAUGUCUCAACUAUGAACAAUGCCUUAUUAUAUUAAUGUUAUUUAAAUCGUGUCUCUUUAUUUACCAAUCUGAAAUGGUAUAAAUUGACAGUACACUCACCAUUCAUGCUUAUACGUUGUUUAGAACUACAUCUAUGCUUGUGUUCUUGAUCUGUAAUCCAGUGGUCUGGUGAAUCUGGCCGCUCCUACACAAUGCCAUUUCCUGCCGUCUUAACUAUGAACAAUACCUAUUAUGUUAAUGUUAUUUUAAAUAGUGUCUCUUUAUUUCUGACAAAGAAAUGAGAUGAAUUGACAGCGCUGAUGCUUAUACGUGCAAAACCUGUUAUCUACCUACUUGUUUCUCUUUCAGGGUGACAACACUGCUGCUAGGAAGAACUGCCACAAUGAUAGUGAGACGACCCCAUUGUUUGUCCCUCUAAAACAUAUUCCACAGGAGAAGGCAACACAUAUUGAGGGUAGGGAUACAACCACGAAGUCACAUCUUGAUGUAGUGUCAAAACUUACUCAGUGCAAGCUCGAUGAAGUAGUCGCCUGAAUCUAUUUGACUUCUUCAGUCUGAAAUUCAUGAGAAAUACAUAAUUCCGCUCAAAUACGAUUGGAACUCCAAUCUGUAUGCAAGAUUAACCUUAAGUACAUGACGUUUAUUGAUGCUGUGCAGCUUAAGUUGGUGGAUAUGAGCACCAAAGAAGCGCAGUCUCAUCAGGUUGCUAAGCUGCUUGCGCUGUAGCACCUGGGCCGAGCUAACCUUUCUUGAACUGUGUUGAAGUGAUGUCGGUUUUGUCUAUUAUUUUGUCCGCCUGUUAACUUCCACUGGUGGCGACCUGCCCAGUUUAUGUAAUCUGCUGUCUGGUUGCCCUUUAUUAUCAUUUGCGGUGAACUUUGAUGCUGAGGGGAUGUAAUAUGCUGUAAUUUCUUUGUUGUAUAGUCUAGGUUUAUUCUUGGUCGGUAUGCUGUAAUUUAGGACGGAAGGUUCAGUGGAUCUCAGUGUUGUCGGUCUUCAGGCCGGCCCGUUACUCAUAUGGACCAAAACGUGGGCCUAUAAUCAUCUUGGGCCAUUAGCGGGUCUAAACCUAUAGUAGUUUCCUUCCUUUAACAGGCCGAGUAAAGUUCUGGCCAGCUGGGCCAGAGAAUACCAUGGGCUUUUAACAGGCUAAAACCUAGAUUGGGCUGGCGUUGAGCCGAAAAUUUCACAGGCCAAAACUUCCUAAGGCCCAUGUUGGGCCCAAAUAGGAUGAGCAGUUAACAGGCCAAAAUAUAUCUCGGUCUUGUUUGGCCAAAUAAAAUUAUCAGCUUUAAGCAGGCCGGUAUCCACGCGGGCCAUAGACCCAAAAGUGUCACGGGCCAUUAUCAGAUGGGCUGUAAGCAGGCCGGAUUCAACGCGGGCUGUAAUUAGGCCCAACUGUUUCACAGGCCAUUAACAGGCCGAUAGGCCAGUUGGGCUGAAAUUUGUCCACGAAGACUACGGGCCGUUAAGAGGCCUAAAGUUUCUUCGGACAAGAAAUAGCCCAGUUUCUGCAUGGGCCGUUAAAUGGCCUAAAGUUAAACCAGGCCGACAACGUCCCAGAUACACCACGGGCCUCUAACAGGCGAAACUAUUAUCGGGCCGAACUGGUAAACGGGCAUUUAACAGGCUGAAAUAAAACAUGUCUUAGAAUGGGCCCAAAAGAACAGUGGCCUGUUAACGGGCAUGAUCCGAUAUGUGCCAUAAUUUGGCCCAAAACACAGCAGGCUGUGAACGGGCCUGAUCUGGUAUGGGCUUCAAUUUGACCCAAAACAUGGUAGGUUGUUAACGGGCCACGCACUAUUGUCUGAAAAAACAUGGUGGGCCUUUAGCUGGGCCGGCCUUUUCAUCGGACUGGGCCUCGGUUGGGUCGUGCCACAUGUCGACGUAUCAUAGUCACCUCCUGUCCCAACGGUGAGCCAACACGUGUUUCCUCAGGCCAAUGAGAAUUUUACAUGUGGAAAAUCCCCAUUGGUCUGGGCUGUUAACGGGUUAUCGGAUCCAAAACCGGACCCGAUAGCUUAACGGCGACCCGUUCCAGUCGAUGCCACAUGUCGGGCACCCUUGACGAAAGCACUUCUAUGAUGCACGAUUUAUCGUCAUGGAAGUGGACACUUCCGUGAUGAUAAUUUUGGUAAUGUCAUGGAACACUUCUACGAUAGCACAGGUAUGACUAUCUUGAUUCUGUCAUAAAAUUGUCAUGGAUGUACAUGCAUGACAGAAAACGUGACCUACUGUGACAAACACGUAUCAUCAUGGAAGUGUAUUUUUUUUGUAGUGUAUGCCAUGACUUGUUAGAAUAGCUCUCUAUGCUUCACUUAAAUUUUUAUGAGCUAUGGAAUUGCUCAAGUGCUUCACUUAUAUCUUUUUGAGCACGGUGUGCUUUGUUAUUUUUGAAGAAAUGCUCUCUUGCUUCACUUAGAUUUGUUUGAGAGUUAGUAAAUUUUUUGAAGAAAUUCUCUCUUGCUUCACUUAAAUUAAUUUGAGAGAAAGAAAUAUUAUGCUCAUGAUCUUCACCUAUAUCUGUUUGAGCUUAUCAAAAGCAACAUGAAAAUUAGUUCCAAAGUGAUAGAAAUCCAAGAAGGAUAUAAUAAAAAAAUCAUGAAGAUCAUUAGACAAAAUAAACUUGAUUCCUUGUAAUAGUCUUGAGAUAUGAUGAUGUGAUAUGUGAGUCAUGUUGAUGAGUAAUUGUGCUUUAGUAAGAAUAUUGGUGUUAAAGUUUGUGAUUCCCUAUGCAAGCACGAAAGUCAAUAGUCAUGCAAUGAAAUUACAUCUUACUUGUGGUGCAUUAUUCGGUGUUAAUUAUGUUUAAUGCUCGCUUAUGAGAUUAUUCGUUUCUUGGUUGGUUGCUUCUCAAUCUUUUGCUAGCCUUCAUUUUGCACUAAGUAUGAUCACUACUUGUGCAUCCAAAAUCCUUUAAACCAGUCUUGCCACAUGAGUCCACUAUACCUACCUAUAUGCGGUGUUCUUUUUCCGUUCUAAGCAAAUUUGUAUGUCCCAUCUCUAAUUUUCAAAAUAAAUUUCUCUUUUGUGUGCUCGUACCGCUCGUGAGGCGGUGAGGGGUGGCAAAUAUUUUCCAUGCUAGAUGUGUUAUUCUCACGACGAAUGUUUAUUCACUUGUCAUUGCACGAUAGUAAGGCAAAGGUAUUAGGGAUGCCCAGUCCCGAAAUGAAAAAUGAAUUUACUUUAUGUUGUCAAAUAAUAAAUUCCUUGGAAAGUGUUGGUAUGGAAGGCAACCGUGGAUUCGGCUAGCCAUGGAAAGUGAAAGUAUGGUGGAAAAAGGAAUAAACUUUAUUUUCUGUUUGGGAACCGCCUAUGAUAUAUCUAGCAUGGAAAGUGUUGGGAGCUCUAAGUCGUUUUCAUUGGUGGGAAAAGCAUGCCUCUCAAAAUGUUUUUAUCUCUGUAGGAUCAAAAGUAUGUCUAGAGGGGGGUGAUUAGACUACUUGACCAAAUAAAAAUCUAGCCUUUUCCCAAUUUUAGUUCUUGGCUGAUUUUAGCAACUUAGCACAAGUCAAGCAAUCAACCUACACAUGCAAUUCGAAGAGUAUAGCAGCGGAAUGUAAAACAAUUGCAUAUGAAGGUAAAGGGAGGAGUUUGAGGGAGCAAACGCAAUGUUGACACGGAGAUUUUUUAUCCGUGGUUCCGAUAGGUGGUGCUAUCGUACAUCCACGUUGAUGGAGACUUCAACCCACGAAGGGUAACGGUUGUGCGAGUCCACGGAGGGCUCCACCCACGAAGGGUCCACGAAGAAGCAACCUUGUCUAUCCCACCAUGGCCGUCGCCCACGAAGGACUUGCCUCACUAGGGUAGAUCUUCACGAAGUAGGCGAUCUCCUUGCCCUUACAAACUCCUUGGUUCAACUCCACAAUCUUGAUGGAGGCUACCAAGUGACACCUAGCCAAUCUAGGAGACACCACUCUCCAAGAAGUAACAAAUGGUGUGUUGAUGAUGAACUCCUUGAUCUUGUGCUUCAAAUGAUAGUCUCCCCAACACUCAACUCUCUCUCAUAGGAUUGGAUUUGGAAGAAAGAGGAUUUGAGUGAAAAGCAACUUGGGGAAGGCUAGAGAUCAAGAUUUAUGUGGUUGGAAUGGAAUAUCUUGACCUCAACACAAGUGUAGGUGGUUCUCUCUCAGAAAAUAUGUAUUGGAAGUGUAGGCAUGUUUUGAUGGCUCUCUCCACGAAUGAAGAGUGGGUGGAGGGGUAUAUAUAGCCUCCACACAAAAUCUAACCGUUACACACAAUUCACCAAACUCGGUGGGACCGAUUCAGAGAACUCGGUCAGACCGAUUUGGUUCAUAAUGUGACCGUUAGGCAUUUCGGUGGGACCGACAUGUCAACUCGGUGGGACCGAUAUCAUUAGGGUUAGGGCAUAACAUAAUCUCGGUGAGACCGAUUACACAAACUCGGUGAGACCGAUUUUGGUAAUAGACAAAUAGAGAGUUGGCCAGGCAAACUCGGUGGGACCGAUUCGCUCAUCUCGGUUGGACCGAAACGUUAUGAAAGGGAAACAGAGAUCUUGCAUUGCAAUCUCGGUGGGACCGAUCGCUCAUCUCGGUUUGACCGAAACGUUACGAAGGGAAACAGAGAGAUUACAAUCCCAUCUCGGUGAGACCGAGAUCCCUAUCGGUGAGACCGAAAAGACUAGGGUUUCUGGCAAUGGCUAUGUCAACUGAACUCGGUGGCUCCGGAUAGAAAGAAUCGGUGGGGCCAAGUUGGACUUAUGGUUUGGGACAUAUGUUUAUAUGAGAAAGUAGUGGAGGGUUUUGGAGCAUAUCACUAAGCAUUUUGAGCAAGAACCUCAUUAAGCAACACCUCAUCCCUUCUUAAUAGUAUUGGCUUUUCCUAUAGACUCAAUGUGAUCUUGGAUCACUAAAAUAGAAAAUGUAGAGUCUUGUGCUUUGAGCUUGAGCCAAUCUUUUGUCCUUAGCAUUUUGAAGGGUCUACUUUCUAAUCCAUGCCAUGCCAAUCAUUGAGCUUUCCUGAAAUAUUUAUCUUGGAAUAGCAUUAGCUCAGUGAACUAUAUGUUGUUAGGAAUUACCAAAACCACCCAGGGAUAGUUGCACUUUCAAUCUCCCCCUUUUUGGUAAUUGAUGACAACAUAUAGAUCAAAGCUUCGACAAAUGAUAAGUAAGAUUGAAAAACAUCGUCACUUUGAGAGGUAUGUGAUAAGCAAGAGCUCCCCCUAAAUUUGUGCAUUAUUUAAAAUUUGCUUUUGAAUGCAAAUGCACAAUCGAUUAGGAUCAUGGGUUAUUCUUCCAUGUCACAUACAUCUUGGUGGAGCGCUCAAAAUGAUAGAAGUUAAAGCAUGCACUCAUCACCAAAACAAGUGAAUGAUCGUCUAGGAUAUAAGAGAUAAUAUCAUCUAACAAGCAUUAAGGGUAGCAUAUGAUCAAACAAGUAUCUCACAAGUAGCUCACACAAGCACACAAUAAAGUUUCAAACCAAACCAAAAAUAAGUGCAAAGAGAGAUAAAAACCAACACACUCUCUCUCUCUCGAAGCCUAUGAUCUAUACAUUUUUCUCCCCCUUUGGCAACAAGUUACCAAAAAGUUCAAAAAAGCAUAGUGCUAAAUGUCUCUCAGGCUUGAUCUUCGGGAGGUGGUGUUGAGAGAACUCCAAGAACGAAGGCUUCAGAUGAAGUAGGUGGAGCUGGUGGAGUAGCUGCUGGAGGUGGAACUGGAGCUGUAGCUGAUGGUGCUGAUGUUGUAGCUCUAGUGUCUGUCACUGGCACUGCAGCAGAUCUCUGUCCUCUGGGCACUCUGGCAAAAGCAUCUGUGGUAGACUUGCCCUUCUUCUCCUCUGCUUCCUCCUGAAGUUGCUCAACUGCAGUUUGGAUCUCUGUUACCUUGACAUCAAGGUCAUAGAAUUUCUGCUCAAUGAUCCUCUCCAUACUCUCCUGGUUCUUGGUCAGGGUGGCCAAGCCCUUCUCAAUCCUCAGGAUGGAUUGGAUUAGAUAUCCAAGCUGGUCUUGCUUGCUCUUCAAGAAUACCUGAGAUGUCUCUUCCACUGUUGGCAUCUUUGCAGCCUUCUCAGCUUUAGCCUUCUCUCUCUUCUCAUGUGCUUGAGCUGAAGAUGGUUCAUUCUCAUUCAUCACUACAGUGUUAUCUUCAAAUUCAGGAUAGAUGGGCAGGUGCUCCUUGUCCAAAAGAUAUGUGAGGGAGACCUGGCUUAGGGGGUCCUCGGACGGCCGGACUAUAUAGUUUAGCCGGACUGUUGGACUAUGAAGAUACAAGAUUGAAGACUUCGUCCCGUGUCCGGAUGGGACUCUCCUUGGCGUGGAAGGCAAGCUUGGCAAUACGGAUAUGUAGAUCUCCUCCCUUGUAACCGAAUCUGUGUAACCCUAGCCCCCUCCGGUGUCUCUAUAAAUCGGAGGGUUUAGUCCGUAGGACAAGAACAAUCAUACCAUAGGCUAGCUUCUAGGGUUUUAGCCUCUACGAUCUCGUGGUAGAUCAACUCUUGUAAUACUCAUAUCAUCAAGAUCAAUCAAGCAGGAAGUAGGGUAUUACCUCCAUCGAGAGGGCCCGAACCUCGAUAAACAUCAUGUCCCCCGCCUCCUAUUACCAUCCGCCUUAGACGCACAGUUCGGGACCCCCUACCCGAGAUCCGCCAGUUUUGACACCGACAUUGGUGCUUUCAUUUAGAGUUCCACCGUGCCGUCACCGUAAGGCUUGAUGGCUCCUUCGAUCAUUGGCAACGAUGCGAUCCAGGGUGAGGUUUUCCUCCCCGGACAGAUCUUCGUGUUUCGCGGCUUCGUACUGCGGGCUAACUCGCUUGGCCAUCUGGAGCAGAUCGAUAGCUACGCCCCUGGCCAUCAGGUCAGGUUUGGAAACUUGAACUAUAUUGCCGACAUCCGCGGAGACUUGAUCUUCGACGGAUUUGAGCCCAUGUCAGGUGCGCCGCACAAUCCCGACGAGCAUGAUUUAGCUCUGCCGUCGGACCGUGUUCGGGAGAUCACACCUGCAACUACUCCGGCCCUCAAUCCAGAACAAAUUGCGCCAUCCGAGGAUGGGUGGAUAGACCCCGCCAUGGAGGCCGCACUCUCAGUGGCGAUAGAGCCGAAUACUGACUUCACCCCUUACGAGAGCCGUGUUGCCGAACCAUUGGAUUCGUCCCCGGCCACGGGCUCUGAGCCGCUUGCGUCCGUGCCUAUCGAAUCCGAUUGGGCACCGAUCAUGGAGUUUACCUCCGCGGAUAUCUUUCAGCACUCGCCUUUUGGCGACAUACUAAACUCGUUGAAGUCUCUCUCCCUGUCGGGAGACCCUUGGCCGAACUAUGUCCGGCUAGAAUGGGAUGUGGACGACGAAGAAAUUCGCGGCCCACCCACCACCCACUUAGUAGCCACUGUCGACGAUUUAACCGACAUGCUCGACUUCGGCUCCGAAGACAUCGACGAUAUGGAUGACGAUGCAGGAGACGAACAAGAACCACCGCUCAUAGGGCGCUGGACGGCCACCUCAUCGUGUGACAUAUACAUGGUGGACACCCCUAAAGAAGGGGAUGGCGACAAGACAAUGGAGGAUAAUCCCUCCAAGAAGCAACCCAAGCACCGACGUCAGCGGCACCGCUCUAAGUCUCACCAUAGCAAAAGCAGCGAUACUGGCACAAGAGACAAUAACGCUCCGGAUAGUGCCGAAGACGACGACAAUCCCCUCCAGCCAGACCUCGAGCGGGAGGAUGAACAAGCUAGCCCUCCGGAACAGGCAGCAAACGGAGAAUCAGAGGAUGACAAUUACAUGCCUCUCUCCGAAGACGAAGUGAGCCUCGGCGACGAAGAAUUUGUCGUGCCUGAGGAUCCCGUCGAGCAGGAACGCUUCAAGCGUCGGCUUAUAGCCACAGCAAACAGCCUAAAGAAAAAGCAACAACAGCUUUGAGCUGAUCAAGAUCUGCUAGCGGAUAGAUGGACCGAAGUCCUGGCAGCCGAGGAAUACGAACUCGAGCGCCCAACCAAGAGUUAUCCAAAGCGCAGGUUGCUACCUCAACUCGAGGAGGAAGCAGUGAAACCUACAUCACCAGCGUAUGAUGUGGCUAAUCGGCCACCUCGUGGCCGAGACAGAGAGGCAUUUCAGCCCGAAGUCCAGCCCGCGCCCCCCCGCCAAUCAAACAAAAAUACCAAGGCCUGGGGCAACACGCAGGACCUGCGAGACGUAUUGGAAAGCAAGGCAAAACAUGCAAGAUCGAUCUACGGAUCACGGGGUCGCGCCCCAACGUGAGACGAUGAUUGUCACGCCGGAUAUACCAAAAGAAAAUCCGGUCGGGCCGAAUACAGCAGACAAGACUCGUAUGAACUGCGUCGUGAUAUAGCCUAGCACAGAGGCGCCACACACCCCCUAUGCUUCACUGAUGAAGUAAUGGAUCACGAAUUCCCAGAGGGUUUUAAACCCGUAAAUAUUGAAUCAUAUGACGGUACAACAGAUCCCGCGGUAUGUAUUGAGGAUUUCCUCCUCCACAUCCACAUGGCUCGCGGUGAUGAUCUACAUGCCAUCAAGUACCUCCCACUAAAACUCAAAGGACCAGCCCAGCAUUGGCUGAAUAGCUUGCCAGCAGACUCCGUUGGCAGUUGGGAGGAUUUGGAAGAUGCAUUCCUUGACAACUUCCAGGGCACUUAUGUGCGACCACCGGAUGCUGAUGACUUGAGCCAUAUAACUCAGCAGCCAGGGGAAUCGGCCAGGCAAUUCUGGACCCGGUUCUUAACUAAGAAAAACCAAAUUGUCGACUGUCCGGAUGCAGAGGCCUUAGCGGCAUUCAAGCAUAACAUCCGUGAUGAGUGGCUCGCCCGGCACCUCGGCCAGGAGAAGCCGAAGUCUAUGGCAGCCCUCACGACACUCAUGACCCGCUUUUGCGUGGGCGAGGAUAGCUGGCUGGCUCGCAGCAACAACACAUCAAGGAAUCCGGGCACUUCAGAUACCAAAGAUAAUAACGGCAGACCAUGUCGUAACAGACAUAAGCGCCGCAACAACGGUGAUAACACCGAAGAUACGGCAGUCAAUGCCGGAUUUAGUGGCUCUAAACCCGGUCAACGGAAAAAAGCCAUUCAAAAGAAGUACUCCGGGCCCGUCCAGUUUGGACCGCAUACUCGAUCGCUCGUGUCAAAUCCACGGCACCCCCGAUAAGCCAGCCAAUCACACCAACAGAGAAUGCUGGGUGUUCAAGCAGGCCGACAAGUUGAAUGCCGAAAACAAGGACAAGGGGCUGCAUAGCGAUGACGAGGAGGAGCCCCGGCCGCCAAACACAGGAGGACAGAAGAGGUUCCCUCUACAAGUGAAAACGGUGAACAUGAUAUACGCAACCCACAUUCCCAAGAGGGAAAGGAAACGUGCACUAAGGGACAUCCAUGCGAUGGAGCCAGUCGCCACAAAGUUCAACCCAUGGUCCUCUUGUCCGAUCACCUUCGAUCGAAGGGACCACCCCACUAGUAUUCGUCAUGGCGGAUCUGCCGCAUUGGUCCUUGACCCCAUCAUCGACGGAUUUCACCUCACCCGAGUCCUUAUGGACGGCGACAGCAACCUGAACCUGCUCUAUCAAGAUACAGUGCGCAAAAUGGGUAUAGACCCCUCGAGGAUCAAACCCACUAAACCCACCUUUAAAGGUGUCAUCCCAGGUGUAGAGGCCCAUUGCACGGGAUCAAUCACACUAGAAGUAGUCUUCGGAUCUCCGGACAACUUCCGAAGCGAGGAGUUAAUCUUUGAUAUCAUCCCAGGUGUAGAGGCCCAUUGCACAGCUGAGGCACAAAGCAGCCUUCCAAGGCAAACCGCCAAUUCAGCGAUAAAACCGCCGGACACCUUCAAGCGAGUCCGGAGCAACCUGCAACAGGACCGCCUGGCACGUUCAGAGCUUGCCUAGCAAUUCGGCCCCCGUCCUAGUCUCAGUCAAGCGACGGAAUAUGUGCCGCGUGUACAUAAUUACGCACUAAAAAUACCAUGGGCAUAGGCGGGGGCACGACCAGGGCACGUCCCACAAUGCGGCUCAACCACCCCAGGGGUUGUAUACCUUUAUCAUUUCUUCUCUUUCAGGACAUUACUCUCUGGAAGCCCUUUCCAGCAGUCCGAUUGCUGGACACAUUAUGGGAAGGAACACCCAAGGAGGCAAGAAGCUAAGAUGUACAAGGGAAUCCUCAGGUGGUCUCUGAUAACAAUCGAAGUACCCAUUUUUAAUACCCAUACGCAGCUUACCCAUGGACAGGACAUGUCAAAUAGUCCUAUUUUUUGCUUAUUGCACUACUUGUAUCAGUACGCUUCAACGUAUUAUUUAAAUAACAAUGCAUAGCAUUAGUCUAUUAUUGCAUUACCCUUCCUUUUUCUUGUCUAUUUUAUUUACGACAACUUGCACCUGUACAUUCUGGUACGACCAGUACGCCAGGGGCUUCAGUAUACCCCAUAAUACGGCGUAAGAAGUCCGAACACUUUCGACAGUGCGGCACCCCGAACUUAUAGCAUUAUAUGCAUCAGCUCCGAAUCAUGUCUUGGGUCAAUAGUUGGGUUUGCCCGGCUCCCAUGUUUUGGUACCUUACGUUCCGCAAUAUCGGCUAAGGUAGCGCUGGGAGAACUACUGCGAUUGUGUCCCGGUUCUUCCGGACAAGCACCUCAGUAGAGAAAGCCGAAAACUGACUGUCAUGAUAAGGCGAGAGCUGGUCGCUGUUCGAGAGGUCUCAAGUCCUUAAAGACUUUUUCCGCUUCGGGCGAGGAGUCGGCCUUGCCCGACUUAGGCGUAUAUAGCGCACCAAAUUCGGCCUUCCGAAUACUAGGGGCUUCGCCAAAAUUUAAAAUUGUAGACUUCUAUGGCUAAGUGAGAGUGAUAAAGCCUUAUAGUCCGAUUGCCUGGUUCGUUGUGCUGAACACCUCCCUCGAAGGACCCAAAAUUGGGAUAAAGAGUGCUCAGGUUUAUCCCGAACACCUCAGUACUAGUUACAUGGGGGCAGAAGGCGACGAAUGGCCAAUUCUCAGAUUUUAUAAACGGCCGCACAAAAGGUAAUAUUUUAAAUUAACAAGCGUUGCAUAGCGCAAAUGAACUCGUUUCACAUUACCGGAUCACAUGAGUACGUUCAUUCAAAUAUUACAUGUUUAGCACAUUCCUCCGCCACAAGGCGGGAACUCUUCAGGACACUGUCAUUUCGGGGUGGCGAUGCUCCUUGCCUUCCGGCGACCCCUCCUUCACCAGCUUUACAGCGUCCAGCUUCGCCCAGUGCACCUUCGCCCGGGCAAAGGCCCUGCAUGCACCCUCGAUGCAGACGGACCGCUUUAUGACUUCAAGCCAUGGGCAGGCAUUCACAAGCCGCCUCACCAGACCGAAGUAGCUGUCAGGCAGGGGAUCGCCAGGCCACAUCCGGACUAUAAGACCCUUCAUGGCCUGUUCGGCCGCCUUGUGGAGCUCGACCAGUUGCUUCAGCUGGUCGCUCAAGGGCAUUGGGUGUUCGGUCCCAGUAUACUGAGACCAGAACAACUUCUCCGUCGAGCUUCGCUCCUCAGCCCGGUAAAACUCCGCGGCAUCCAACACACUGCGGGGAAGAUCUGCGAAUACUCCUGGAGAGCUCCGAACUCGGGUAAGUAAAAGGAAAGUUUCCUUCACAUGCUUGCUUUGCAUAAUGAAUUCUUUACCCGCUGCUAUCUUCUUAACCGCCUCGAUCUCCUGGAGGGCCUUGUGGGCUUCCGCCUUGGCGUUUUGUGCGCUUUCGAGGGCCUUCGCAAGCUCGGACUCUCGUGUCUUAGAGUCAAGCUCCAAGGACUCGUGUUUUCUGGCGAGAGCCUCGAGCUCUUGCUGUACCUCGCCUACCCGAGCUUCUUGCUUUUCUUGCUCGAUGCGCUCCUUGGCCGCUUUGUCUUCGGCCUCGGACAGCGCCUUCUUCAGGGUCGCCACUUCGGUCGUGGCCUCUGGCAAAUUCAUGAUGAUCCUAUUAUUUUACAACUAAAUUUCUUUUUAAUAUAUAGACAUGGUAUCGCUUACCUUUGUUCUCUUCGAACUGCCUCUUGGUAAGGCCGAGCUCUUCCUUGGACCGCUCAAGGUCCUGCUUCAGUGCAGCGACCUCCGCAGUACGUGUGGCAGCGGCCCGCAGUGAAGCCUGCAUAUGCACAUAGACAUAUUCUGAUUAGACUCCUGAGUCAUUAUUUGAUCCUCUAUUCGGCCUUUCUUCACGAACGCCAAACAGAGCAUCAGGGGCUACUGUCUAUCCAGUAAUAUUUUCCUAUAAUUUAGUUACUUACCUGAAAACCUGUUAGGAGGCUGGCACAAGCUUCAGUUAGUCUGCUUUUGGUGGACUGAACCUUCUCGAUAACCGUACUCAUGAUAGUGCGGUGCUCUUCAUCGAUUGAAGCACCGCGAAGCGCUUCCAGCAAGUUGUCCGGUGUCUCUGGAUGGACAGAGGCCACCGGCACGGGCGGCUUGCCCCUCUUAACGGGGGGUCGCCUGACAGAGUCCGGAACCACUGGAGGUUCCAGCGCAGUGUUCGGCUGGAGGCCGAAUUCGGAGCCCAUGGGAGUCUUUCUCCCUUUGCGCCCAGGGUCCGGAAUGUCGCCUCGCGGCGCCUCCAGGACUACCUCCCCUCGGCUCGGUGCCCUUUGAGACAACACCUCGGCGUUGUCCGUAGGGAGAGGGGUGGAGGUGGUCGGAAGUGAAUCGCUAUUCAUAUCCGACGGGUCCAAAGAACCAUCUGACGAAGAUACGUCGAUAUGGGCUCGGGAGGACUGCAUAAUCAUGUUCGGCGUGAUGAGAAGCAGUACAAUAAAACAUACCAUGAAUUGCUAUGGUAUCCGGAUACUUACGACUUCGCUAGGGGCUUGUCCCUGGGCAACCACUCGUCGUCGCUGUAAGAGGCCGUCGUGGAGCAGUCCGGAAGGAGGGUCCUUCCCUUCUUGGACCCUUCGGCCUCCCCGGUUGGGGCGGCUUUCCUUUUCUUGUCUCCCCCGGCUGGGGGGGGAGAACUUUCCUCUUCCUCCUCCUCGUUUUCAUGGGAGGAGUGCGCCUCAGAGUUUUCGGACGAUGAGUCCGAUAUAACCUUGCGCCAGAGACCCUUUCGGGUCCCCGUGGCCUUCUUCUUGGCCUUCUUCACCGGCACCUUGUAAGGCGCCGGAAUUAGCAUCUCCGUUAGGAGAGCAUCUGCAGGAUCUUCAGGCAGGGGGGCUGGGCAAUCGAUCUGCUCCGCUAUCUCUACCCAGUCCUGUUAGAUGGCACGGAGGCUUAGACCCCGCACAUGAUUAAACUGGGGAAAAUAAACAUCCUGUGAGAUAUAAAAAAGUUACCGGAUUGGCAUGGCGCUUUGCGCUGAGUCCGCGGUCCUCGGUAAGGGGAGGAGGUACCUCGUCACCCUUGAAAAGCACCUUCCAGACAUCCUUGUGCGUCGUGUCGAAGAGCUCUCGCAGCGUCUGGUGCUUGGCCGGGUCAAACUCCCACAAACUGAAUGCCCGUCGUUGACACCGGAGGAUCCGGCGGAAGAGCAUGACCUGGACCACGUUGACAAGCUUGAUUUUCUUGCUCAUCAUGUUUCUGAUGCAUUUCUGGAGUCCAGUCAGCUCCACCAAUGAACCCCAGGACAGGCCCUUCUCUUUCCAGGAGGUGAGCCACGUGGGGAUUCCGGAUUGGAAUUCGGGGGCCGCCACCCAGUUGGUGUUGCGCGGCUCGGUGAUGUAGAACCACCCCGAUUGCCACCCCUUUAUGGUCUCCACAUAGGAGCCUUUGCGCCAGGUGACAUUAGGCAUUUUGCCCACCAUGGCGCCUCCACACUCCGCUUGCUGGCCGACCACCACCUUCGGUUUAACAUUGAAGGUCUUCAGCCACAGGCCGAAGUGGGGCCUGAUGCGGAGGAAGGCCUCGCACACGACGAUAAACGCCGAGAUGUUGAGGAUGAAAUUGGGGGCCAGAUCGUGAAAAUCCAGCCCGUAGUAGAACAUGAGCCCGCGGACAAAUGGGUGGAAGGAAAAUCCCAGUCCGCGGACAAAGUGGGUAAGGAAAACCACACUCUCAUGGGGUUCGGGAGUAGGGAUGAUCUGCCCCGCAUCUGGCAGCCGGUGUGCGAUGUCCGCGGACAAAUAUCCGGCUCCCCGUAGCUUUGUGAUGUUCUCCUCCGUGACGGAGGAGACCAUCCACUUGCCUCCCACUCCAGACAUGCUUGGAGUGGCUUGAGGGGAAAAACGCGAACUUGGGUGCUGGAGCUCGAGUGCGCAAGAAUGGAUGAGCAAGGACGAAGAAGGCGUGGGUAAAAAGAGGAAUCCUUGUCCCUUUAUAGGGGCGGAGGAAACUAUAUGCCUCCCCACCUGCCCAGUAAAACUCGCUUAUUCCCCAAGCGCCGUAAUUGAUGGCGCGGUUGGAUUACCCACAUCCGUAUUGAUGAGAAUCCCGUGAUAAGGGGACACGAUCUCUGCUUCGACAAGACGUGCCAAGAAAACCGCCUCGCAAUACGUGCAGUAGCUGCUUGAGAAAAACGGUUCGAAUAAUGACCGGGCCAUGGUAUGAUGUCAUGCUACCAAACGUGUUAGUAGAUUAGAUUUGUGGAAAUAUUAUUCUCUCUACGGUGGUAUGUGGAACUUGUUCAAGAUCUUCUAUGGAGUAUUCGGAGGAAGAACCCGCCUUGCAAUUCUGAAGACAAAUCUGCGUGCCGCACUCAUCGUCAUUGAAGCCUGGUCCAGGGGCUACUGAGGGAGUCCUGGAUUAGGGGGUCCUCGGAUGGCCGGACUAUAUACUUUAGUCGGGCUGUUGGACUAUGAAAAUACAAGAUUGAAGACUUCGUCCCGUGUCCGGAUGGGACUCUCCUUAGCGUGGAAGGCAAGCUUGGCAAUACGGAUAUGUAGAUCUCCUCCCUUGUAACCGACUCUGUGUAACCCUAGCCCCCUCCGGUGUCUAUAUAAACCGGAGGGUUUAGUCCAUAGGACAAGAACAAUCAUACCAUAGGCUAGCUUCUAGGGUUUUAGCCUCUACGAUCUCGUGGUAGAUCAACUCUUGUAAUACUCGUAUCAUCAAGAUCAAUCAAGCAGGAAGUAGGGUAUUACCUCCAUCGAGAGGGCCCGAACCUGGAUAAACAUCGUGUCCCCCGCCUCCUGUUACCAUCCGCCUUAGACGCAUAGUUCGGGACCCCCUACCCGAGAUCCACCGGUUUUGACACCGACAAUAUGUGCCUGUGCCCAUCUUUGAGUUGAUGAGCUCCUGAAUGUGCGGGGCAUACCCACAACUUCUCUUCUGGUCAGCAGCAGUCCUCUUGAUUGUCUCAACAAUCAGGCUCAUAACUUUGAACUUCUGUGGGACAUCAAAUAUAUGCAGCAAGUUGAUGGCAUGUCCUCUGAUCAUCUUGUGAUCACCUGACUUGGGUAGCAGUGUGUGCCUUAAGAUCCAGUUUAUGGUUGGCAGACCAGACAACAAGUAAUGGACAGAUCCAAACCUAUGUGUAUCCAAGGCAGCAUCUGGGAUCUCUUUGUACAUGUUGGCCAUAGUGUUGUGGUCUUUCUUCUUCUCUGCAUAAAUAUCCAAGUCAUCCUCAUGUUCCUUAGGAGCAUUUAUAAGCUUGGCCCAUUCCUCAACUGUAGACUGGUACCUAGUACCCUCAGACAUCCAUACUAUCCUUCCAUCUAGAUAGAAGUGUGAAGUGGAGUAAAACUGCAUGAUGAGCUCAUCAUUCCACUUGGUGAGCUUCUAGGCAAAAAAAGUGUCCACUCCACAUGCCUUGAAGCUAUCAAGCACACCAGGGAAGUGAUCCUCAUUUUCCUUGAUGAAUUCCCAGUCAACCCAUCUCAUAUCACACACAAUGGGCUUCUUGUCAAGCAGAAUAGUCUCAGAAGUCCUGCUGUUCCUUAGUGUGAAAUCUGUAGUCCACAGCAGGCCUUCUCCUGAUAGCAUAUGGAUCAGACUGUCUCCAUAGUCUCAAUCAUGCAUCCUUCCUGAUCUUCAUGUUCUCUGCAAUUGGGUGUGCAUCAGUGUGGUCAGGGAUCUUGGGUUUCAGCUUCCUCAAUACAACAGAAUCAUCUUCUUCUUCUUCAGCAGCUUGAGGCAUUGGGGCCUUGUUCUUCUCUUCUGCAGGGAUGUUCCUAGUGCUUCUCUUGGUUUUUGGCUUUGGAGCUGGAGCAGCAGCCUUGGGAGCAGCUUUGGGCUUAGAUGGAGCAGCCCCUGAUUUGAUUGCAUCUCCCAUGAGCUUCUGAGCUUUGGGUGCUAGUGCAGCAUCCUCUUCCUCUUCUUCUUCAGAAGGUUCUUGCAUCAUGGAGGGCUUUCCAAUGACUCUGGCCAUGGUUUUCUUAACCCUCUCCUUUCUCUUCUUCCCUUUUUCAGCUUCUUCAGCAGCUGAUUUUGAAGCUUCAGUAGUUGAUGAUCUGACUUUUGACAUGGGCUGUCUUCUUGCUGGCAUCUUUGUUUUCAUUCCUGGCUUAGUUGCAGCAGCUGAGCCAUAUUCUUUCUUAAGCACCUUCUUCUUUGAAGUGGCUUCAUCAUCAACAGCCACAUAAUCUUCAUCCUCAGAGUCAGAAGUUCUCUUCUUCCUUAUCCUGGUAGCAACCUUUGGCAGAUUGCUUGGAGUGCUCCUGCUGCCUUCAUCAUAGCUACUAGAGGGAUCUGAGCCCUCACUCAUCUGCACCUGUUGCUCAGACCUGUUCUGACUAUCACUCUGGUCAGACAUCUCUGCAAAUACUCUGAUAGCAGACCCUGUGAAUAGGUUAUAGAUGAGGUAGAGUAGAUGAGCAUCACAAAGUACAGGAGUUUUGCAAAAAGGAUGACUUAAAAACUUAGUUUUAGUUCUUCACAGAAAGCAUUUCGGAGCUACCGAUUUGUAAACUCGGUGAUACCGAAGCAGCUUUUGGAACCUAUACUAGUGAACUCGGUUAGACCGAGUCACAGUUCGGUGGUACCGAGACUGCUACGGUUUCACAGAGAAUCAAACUCGGUCACACCGAUUUGCAAUUUUCGGUCAGACCGAAAACGCAUGUGCUCUGGCCUAAGCCAAAAUCGGUGAGACCGAUUUCUACAAAUCGGUCGGUCUGAGAUGAAUUCGGCGGAGACCUAACCCUAAAUUUUCAAAUCAAAACUAAUCUACGGGAUGUUUUCGCUGGACAGGAUGAUCUCAAUCGUGGCAAGAAUCAUGGCAAAGCAAUGUGCUAAGAAUCGGAGAUAAGGAUUAGCACAAAGUUCAAGUCCGUACCCUAGUUCGGCGACGAACCUGCUACGGCGGCAAUGGCGGUGAAGAUUGCCGUUGACGGCGGCGGAGACCAGUGGCGGGAGGUCGCUAGCGACAAGAGGACGAUCCGGACACCCAAGGAGGCAGAGCAGGUUACGCGCGGGCUAGGAGGUUCGGAAAAAUUUCCAAAAUUUGGCCCGUCGGUAUAUAUAACCUGACCCUGUCGGUGUGACUGAGUGGAACGUCUCGGUGGCACCGAGAUGCAAAACUGCAAGCAGUUACUGCAACUCAGUGUGACCGAAAGGUUCUAAUCGGUUGCACCGAGAUUGAAAACCCUAGAUCAACUUAGUGACUCGAUAGGACCAAAGGGGAUGAAUCGGUCAGACCGAGAUGCACAAAGAGGUUUUGGAGAUUUAAGUCUAUGACGAAUCGGGAACUCUGAGUGCUCCUCACACAGAGUGGUUCGAAUCUGACUUGAUCAAACUUUGUGAUGUAGCAUGAAUAGAGUUUGAGACGAGAAAAGCAUAGAUAGCUAGAGGGAGUUCUUAGGCAUUCUUGUCCAUCCAUUUGGCAAAAGAUAAAGAGCCAAACAAUCAAAACAACAAAUGGAUGUCCUCGAAUGAGUAAAAUAUGCAUUCAACAUGCUCACACAAUAAAAUGGCAAAUGAAAUAUGUGACAAAGCAUGCGCAAACACUCUAGCAUCUAUCAAGCAAUUAGGCGAUGACUAGGUCAUCUAUAUAUGAGUAUAUUUACUUAGGAGUCAAAUGAGAACAUUUGAUCAUAGGUCAUACUUAUCGUUUAAGCACAAGUGGGGUUACCACUUUUACAUAAAGCAUUGUUGUGUUCACACCAUUAGAGUUGCUUUAGCUCAAUUUAUUAGAGUAAAGCUCCCCCUAGAUGUGAUAUCCCCCCCUAAGAGGGAUGAACUAACCUUGGGUUUUGUCGAUGAUGACUUCAUGUAGGUGUUGAAGAUGUAGAUGCUCAAUGUUGAUGUAGAUCAUUCGGAGCAAUCCUUUGGAGUGAGUUGAACUUUCAAUACCUGCACGGGUUAGUCCCACAAGGAACAAACAAGAAUAUCCAUAGACAUAGAGUGAUGCAUACACAAGAUGAUGUCCAUGAAAGCAUUAGGUUUCCUUGUCCCUUGUCUCACCAACAAGAGGGUUUGUGACUCCUUGAACUAGUGCAAGAUACGGAAGUUGUUUGCACUUGUCCUCGCCAAAAUGAUAAGAGUGAAGUAUGUUGGCGGAGUCACCCUCAAGAACUCUCUAGUCCUUCUUCUUCUGGAUCCACACCAUCUUGAUGGGAAUCCUUGGAGUUGUAGUUGUACUUGAUGAAGUAGAACUUGAUGUAGUCUUGGGAACCCACUUGACCAAGGCCUUAGGUGCUUCUUCAAAUGCAUCAAUUUCCUCUUGAAGCUUGUCCUUGCCUUUUUGCUUGUGGUCUUGUGCUGGAAGAUCAUCUUGAGCUUGUGUCCCUUUGAAAGAAGUAGGAUCAUACUUCUCGUGUUGAGGAACAAACUUUGUCUUGGGGUAUUGAUCUUCUUCCCACUCAACUCCAUUGGCAUUGAACUUUCGUUCAAAACCAACACCUUGAUUCUUCCGGUGUCUUCCUUGCUUGCGCACAAUUUCCUCAAAUUUCUUACUUCCGGCAAGGCUCUUGUAAACACCUUUCUCUAUAAUUCCCUUCAAUAAGCUAUUUUCUUGCUCAAGUGUAACUUGGCUAACAACAUUGGAUUUAGCAUGAUUGUUGUUACUACUAGAUGAAGCAUCUUUCUUGUUCUUGUUGCUAGAUUUAACUUGUGGCAUGUAAGUAGACAAGAGUAAACGCUUGGCAAUGUAAGAAGAACUUUUCUUGCGAAGAUCAUCAUUGAGUGCCUUUAAAAACUCAUGCUCUUGCUCAAGGUUGAGCUUUUCAAAGCGUAGCUUAUCAUGAGUCUUUAAAAGUUCUCGAUGAUUUUCCAAGGUAGUUUCAUGAGCUAACUUAAGAGUGUUUAGUUCUUUAGUUAGUUGCUCAAUCUCCUUCUUAUCAUCGUCAUUCGUUUUAUCUUGAUUAGCAUGAUCAAUUGACGUUUCAUCAUAGUCUUCAUCACUAGAGCUGUCAACAAGGAAAUCAUCAUCACCUAGCAAAUCAUCUUCAUCACUAUUGAAAUCAACAUACUCGGGAUGUGUUACCUUUGGACCUUUGGCCAUGAAGCAUCUUCCAAUUCCUUCAUUUGGUGAGUCAAAUAUGUCAUAGGAGUUGGUUGACACAAGUGUUAGACCGGCAACACCUUCAUCUUGAGUAUAUUCGGAGUCGGAGUGAUAACUUCUUUCGGAGUGAUGGUUGGAGUCGGAGCCGGAUACCCAUUCACCAACAUGAGCUUGAUGUCUUCUUUUUGUGUAGCUCCUUGAUGACUUUUCCUUCCUUUCUGAAUCCUUGCUUCUCCGAGAGGGUCUACUCCUCCUUUCUCUUGGUGGUGAUUCUUCUCUUCUACUUCUUCUUUUGGGAGAAUCUUCCCUUCUUUUGUAGGGGGUCGUACACUCAUUGGAGUAGUGUCCGGGUCUUCCACAAUUGUAGCAAUUUCGCUCACGACUAGAAGAUCUUUUGUCAUUGUAGGACCUUGACUUGGAACUUCUUUCUUUGCUUCUACUCUUGUAGAACUUGUUGAAGUUCUUUACCAUUAGGCUCAAUUCUUCAUUUAAGGUCUGUUUCUCACUUGAUGAUGUGGGAGCAUCACACGAGGCUUUGUAAGCACCACUAGACUUGUUGUGAAGCUCUUCCUUAUCCUUGAGUGACAUCUCAUGAGCAACAAUUCUUCCAAUGACUUCCGUUCGCUUGAGAUCUUUGUAAUUGGGCAUCAUUUGGAUCAAUGUGCACACGGUAUCAUAUUUUCCAUCCAAGGCUCUUAGGAUCUUCUUGAUGAUGAAUUUGUUGGUCAUCUCUUCACUUCCUAAGCCGGCAAUCUCAUUUGUGAUGAGAGCAAGCCUAGAGUACAUUUCAGCGGCACCUUCACCAUCCUUCAUUUUGAACUUGUCAAGUUGACUUUGAAGCACAUCCAAUUUGGAUUCCUUGACGGAGUCGGUACCUUCGUGCAUAUCAAUCAAUGUAUCCCAAAUUUCCUUUGCAUUCUCAAGAUGGCUGAUUUUUUUGAAUUCUUCGGGGCCCAAUCCGUUGAAGAGAAUAUCACAAGCUUGAGCAUUGUAUUGUAGCAUCUUCAACUCUUCUGCGGUAGCUUCACGGUUAGGUUCUUUCCCAUCAAAUAAUUCACCUUGCAAGCCAAUACACACAAUAGCCCAAACGGCAGGGUUAUGUCAAAGAAUAUGCAUUUUCAUCUUAUGCUUCCAACUAGCAAAAUUUGUACCAUCAAAGUAAGGACCUCUAUGGUGGUAAUUUCCCUCGCUAGACGCCAUACUCUCCUAGGUUGUGAAACCAAGGCUAUGACCACCAAAAGCUAUGGAAAUCAAAGCAAAUGGAGACCAAUGCUCUGAUACCACUUGUAGGAUCGAAAGUAUGUCUAGAGGGGGGUGAUUAGACUACUUGACCAAAUAAAAAUCUAGCCUUUUCCCAAUUUUAGUUCUUGGCUGAUUUUAGCAACUUAGCACAAGUCAAGCAAUCAACCUACACAUGCAAUUCUAAGAGUAUAGCAGCGGAAUGUAAAACAAUUGCAUAUGAAGGUAAAGGGAAGAGUUUGAGGGAGCAAACGCAAUGUUGACACGGAGAUUUUUUAUCCGUGGUUCCGAUAGGUGGUGCUAUCGUACAUCCACGUUGAUGGAGACUUCAACCCACGAAGGGUAACGGUUGCGCGAGUCCACGGAGGGCUCCACCCACGAAGGGUCCACGAAGAAGCAACCUUGUCUAUCCCACCAUGGUCGUCGCCCACGAAGGACUUGCCUCACUAGGGUAGAUCUUCACGAAGUAGGCGAUCUCCUUGCCCUUACAAACUCCUUGGUUCAACUCCACAAUCUUGACGGAGGCUACCAAGUGACACCUAGCCAAUCUAGGAGACACCACUCUCCAAGAAGUAACAAAUGGUGUGUUGAUGAUGAACUCCUUGCUCUUGUGCUUCAAAUGAUAGUCUCCCCAACACUGAACUCUCUCUCAUAGGAUUGGAUUUGGAAGAAAGAAGAUUUGAGUGAAAAGCAACUUGGGGAAGGCUAGAGAUCAAGAUUUAUGUGGUUGGAAUGGAAUAUCUUGACCUCAACACAAGUGUAGGUGGUUCUCUCUCAGAAAAUAUGUAUUGGAAGUGUAGGCAUGUUCUGAUGGCUCUCUCCACGAAUGAAGAGUGGGUGGAGGGGUAUAUAUAGCCUCCACACAAAAUCUAACCGUUACACAUAAAUCACCAAACUCGGUGAGACCGAUUCAAAGAACUCGGUCAGACCGAUUUGGUUCAUAAUGUGACCGUUAGGCAUUUCGGUGGGACCGACAUGUCAACUCGAUGGGACCGAUAUCAUUAGUGUUAGGGCAUAACAUAAUCUCGGUGAGACCAAUUACACAAACUCGUUGAGACCGAUUUUGGUAAUAGACAAACAGAGAGUUGGUCAGGCAAACUCGGUGGUACCGCGCUCAUCUCGGUUGGACCAAAACGUUACGAAAGGGAAACAGAGAGCUUGCAUUGCAAUCUCAGUGGGACCGAUUGCUCAUUUCGGUUUGACCGAAACGUUACGAAGGGAAACAGAGAGAUUACAAUCCCAUCUCGGUUAGACCGAGAUCCCUAUCGGGAGACCGAAAAGACUAGGGUUUCUGGCAGUGGCUAUGUCAACUGAACUCGGUGCCUCCGGAUAGAAAGAAUCGGUGGGGCCGAGUUGGACUUAUGGUUUGGGACAUAUGUUGAUAUGAGAAAGUAGUGGAGGGUUUUGGAGCAUAUCACUAAGCAUUUUGAGCAAGAACCUCAUUAAGCAACACCUCAUCCCUUCUUAAUAGUAUUGGCUUUUCCUAUAGACUCAAUGUGAUCUUGGAUCAUUAAAAUAGAAAAUGUAGAGUCUUGUGCUUUGAGCUUGAGCCAAUCUUUUGUCCUUAGCAUUUUGAAGGGUCCACUUUCUAAUCCAUGCCAUGCCAAUCAUUGAGCUUUCCUGGAAUAUUUAUCUUGGAAUAGCAUUAGCUCAAUGAGCUAUAUGUUGUUAGGAAUUACCAAAACCACCCAGGGAUAGUUGCACUUUCAAUCUCUCAAAUUUUUCUUUGAGCUCUGGCACCUCUACAAAUCCCUACUUCCCUCUGCGUAGGGCCUUUCUUUUACUUUAUGCAAUUUUUAUUUUCAAUUUGAGUCUCCAUCUUCUCUUAUAUAGCACCAACUAGGAGGCACUAUGGUCGUACUUGAGCAUUCGGUGUAGCUAAUAUGGGAGUGUGUUUCAUGAAUGGAUCGAUGAUUGAGCAUGAUGGGCUAGGGAUAACUUAUUUUAGCAUUGAUAUUUUGAAAGACAUGGUUGCUUGUUGAUAUGCUUGAGUAUUUAAGUCUCAUGUCAAAACUAGACUAUUGCUUUGAACCAUAUAAAAGUCCAAAUGUCCAUGCUAUAAAGAAAAGAAUAUGAUAUGACAUGUUAGGCAGCAUUCCACAUCAAAAAUUCCGUUUUUAUCAUUUACCUACUCGAGGACGAGCAUGAAUUAAGCUUGGGGAUGCUGAUACGUCUCCAACGUAUCUAUAAUUUUUUAUUGUUCCAUGCUGUUAUAUUAUCAUUCUUGGAUGUUUUACAAUCAUUUUAUAGUCAUUUUAUAUCAUUUUUUGGUACUAACCUAUUGACCUAGUGCCAAGUGCUAGUUGUUGUUUUCUGCAUGUUUUUUACAUCACAGGAAAUCAAUACCAACGGAGUCCAAACGCAGUGAAACUUUUUGUGGAUUUUUUGGACCAGAAGACAUCCAGUGGGCCGGAGAAGCACGUGGGGGGUUCUCCGAGGGGAGCACAACCCACCAUGGCGCCCCUAGGGACCCAGGCGCGCCCAGGUGGGUUGUGCCCCCCUCGGGUGCCCCCUGAACCGCCUCUUUGCUCUAUAAAUACCCCAAUAUUCCAGAAACCCUAGGGGAGUCGACGAAAAUCAAUUCCAGCCGCCGCAGAGUACAGAACCACCAGAUCCAAUCUAGACACCAUCACGGAGGGGUGCAUCAUGUCCAUUGGUGCCUCUCCGGUGAUGCGUGAGUAGUUCUUUGUAGACCUACGGGUCCGUAGUUAGUAGCUAGAUGGCUUCCUCUCUCUCGUUAGAUUCUCAAUAUAAUGGUCUCUUGGAGAUCCAUAUGAUGUAACUCUUUUUGCGGUGUGUUUGUUGGGAUCCGAUGAACUUUGAGUUUAUGAUUAGAUCUAUCUUUUUAUCCAUGAAAGUUAUUUGAGUCUUCUUUGAUCUCUUAUAUACAUGAUUGCUUAUAGCCUCAUAUUUCUUCUCCGAUAUUUGGGUUUUGUUUGGCCAACUUGAUCUAUUUAUCUUGCAAUGGCAAGAGGUGCUUUGUAGUGGGUUCGAUCUUACGGUGCUUGAUCCCAGUGACAGAAGGGGAACCGACACGUAUGUAUCGUUGCUACUAAGGAUAAAAUGAUGGGGUAUAUUUCUACAUAAAUAGAUCUUGUCUACAUCAUGUCAUCGUUCUUAUUGCAUUACUCCAUUUUUCCAUGAACUUAAUACACUAGAUGCAUGUUGGAUAGCGGUUGAUGUGUGGAGUAAUAGUAGUAGAUGCAGGCAGGAGUCGGUCUACUAAUCUUGGACGUGAUGCCUAUAUAAUGAUCAUUGCUUGGAUAUCGUCAUGAUUAUUUGAAGUUCUAUCAAUUUCCCAACAGUAAUUUGUUCACCCACCGUUUGCUAUUUUCUCGAGAGAAGCCACUAGUGAAAUCUACGGCCCCCGAGUCUCUUCUUUAUUAUAUUUGCCUUUGUGAUCUAUUUUCUUUUGCUUUUAUUUUCAGAUCUAUUAAACCAAAAAUACAAAAAUACCUUGCUGCACUUUAUUUUAUUUGGUGUUCGAUCUAUCAAUGUUUACAACUCUCUCACGUCCGUUUGCCUAUCUUUGGCGCCGUUGCUCGAAAGGGAUUGACAACCCCUUUAACACGUCGGGUUGCGAGUAUUUGUUAUUUGUGUGCAAGUGUCAUUGACGUAGUGUUGCAUGAUUCUCCUACUGGUUCGAUAAGCUUGGUCUCAUCACUGAGGGAAAUACCUACCGUUGUUGUGCUGCAUCAUCAAUUCCUCUUUGGGGAAAUACCGACGUAGUUCAAGCCAACAUCAAGGACACACCAAAGCUUCCAGGGUUUCCUGUCCAGACACGGAGUCACCUUAUAGCUCGGCCUUGCAGUAGUCGUACAGCAUCCCACCUGUCUGGCCCAUAAGAGAAAGGCCGGCUGCCCGAGGACCCCCUAGUCCAGGACUCCCUCAGGCGCCGCACCGAAGCCAGAGGAGGUGGCUUUCCCGGCCUUCUUCCUCUUCUCCGCCUUGGCCGUGGAAUCUCUCGCAAAAAACAUCGCUGCGGGUGCUCUGAACGCUCGAGCCUGGAGAGGAAUGGAGAGGCCGAGGCAGAUAGAAGGGGAUAUAGGGUCCCGACCUCAGCCCCUAAACCUUUUAUAUCACGGAGCAAAUCAUAUGCCAGAUCUUGUCCAUAGAUCCCCGGAUCGACAGCGCGCGGCAAGGCAUCGCGCAGAACAGACGCUGCACGUGGCAGAUUUUGUGCACGAAAAUCAAGGAGCCGUGCCCCCACUUUCCCCACUAAUGCACGUCGUUACCACUUCUGCGCGCGCACACACAAAUUCAAAUCCCAAGAUUUUCGGGCGAAUCAAUCCGAUUGAUUACCCCCGGUUCCUUUCCUAAACGAUGCAUGUCAGUCCAACUGACCACCCUCCAAGGGGAUUCGUGCACUCGGCCAUGCUAAACACCUGAUUGAAGUAAACUUUAGGAUUGCUAUAAGACGAGCUCGACGCCCCUCCGCGGGUUGACUUGGCCCUUCAACAGGCUCCAAGGCGCAUGACUCGUAAACCUGGACUCGUAGAAGGCCAGCGCUGGCGUUCCCCUGGGAUAAGGAGUGGCAUCUCUCCAGAGAAUCAGGCCUCGCGCCAGCGUCGCCGCUCGAGUUGUUAUGGCAUGCUCUCACUCGGGCCUCAAGUCUAUCUCCCCCGGGAGACAAAUGAAUGCCACCAGGUUUUUCUCGGCGAUCGACAACACCCGGUUAUCUGGGAAAACUUGUAGUCCAGAAUCCAUUGUGUUUUCAUCCAAGGAGCAGCGAACCACGACUCGAAAACAUAUUCCGAGUGCCCUAGAAGCACUCAGACUUAAACAAAGGAUCGGUUCGUUUACCCUAUGAAACCUGAACCGACUCGGGGGCUAAUGAUGAGGUCACCUAUUACAGGUAGGGUCAAGGACCCAUCAUAUGGGACCCACAUGGGGCCCAUCACCACCAUUGGUAGGUCCUAGGACCAUGCCGGCAUUCAGAUGCACAUAUCAGGGAGUCCACUCGGACAGCUCGACAGCACUCGGACAACCACCCGUCACUCGGCUGGACAACCACCACUCAGACUAAAGAGGUGAAGGGACGGCGUGGGAGCUGCAACGGUCGAGGAAUCCUAAGUCGCCCUUGAAGCAGAGUCAAGACUACUGUUACCUAUAACUGAUGUAGUAGAAGCUCAUAAUACCUGUAACUGAUGCAUUCAAUGUCACUUAAUUCCCCGGCGACUGAUGUCUACUAUGCAACUUUAUUCUUGUAGACUCGUGUUGGGCCUCCAAGCACAGAGUUUUGUAGGACAGUAGCAAUUUUCCCUCAAGUGGAUGACCUAAGGUUUAUCAAUCCGUGGGAGGCGUAGGAUGAAGAUGGUCUCGCUCAAGCGACCCUGCAACCAAAUACAAGAAAUCUCUUGUGUCCCCAACACACCCAAUACAAUGGCAAAUUGUAUAGGUGCACUAGUUCGGCGAAGAGAUGGUGAUAAAAGUGUAAUAUGGAUGGUAGAAAUAUAUUUUUACAAUCUGAAUAAAUAAAAACAGCAAGGUAGCAAAUAGUAAACGGGCACAAAAAUGGUAUUGCAAUGCUUAGAAACAAGGCCUAGGGUCCAUACUUUUGCUAGUGCAAUCUCUCAACAAUGCUAAUAUAAUUGGAUCAUAUAACCAUCCCUCAAAGUGCGAUGAAGAAUCAUUCCAAAGUUCCUAUCUAGCGGAGAACAUAAGAAUAAAUUUUUUGUAGGGUACGGAACCACCUCAAAGCUAUUCUUUCCGUUCGAUCUAUUCAAGAGUUCGUACUAACAUAACACAAAGCUAUUCUUUCCAUUCGAUCUAUCCUAGAGUUCGUACUAAUAUAACACCAAAGCAAAUUCAGAUUCAUAAUACUCAAUCCAACAUAAAGAACCUCAAAGAGUGCCCCAAGAUUUCUACCGGAGAAACAAAGACAAGAACGUGCAUCAACCCCUAUGUGUAGAUUACCCCAAUGUCACCUCGGGAAUCCGCGAGUUGAGUGCCAAAACAUAUAUCAAGUGAAUCAAUAUGAUACCCCAUUGUCACCACGAGUAUUCAUAUGCAAGACAUAUAUCAAGUGCUCUCAAAUCCAUAAAAGUAUUCAAUCCGAUAACAACGAAAUCUCAAAGGGAAAAACUCAAUUCAUCACAACAAGAUAGAGAGGGGAAAACACCAUAUGAUCCAACUACAUUAACAAAGCCCACGAUACAUCAAGAUCAUGCCAUAUCAAGAACACGAGAGAGAGAGAGAGAGAGAGAGAGAUUAAACACAUAGCUACUGGUACAAACCCUCAGCCCCGAGGGUGGACUACUCCCUCCUCAUCAUGGUGGCCGCCGGGAUGAUGAAGAUGGCCACCGGUGAUGAUCCCCCCUCCGGCAGGGAGCCGGAAUAGGGUCUAGAUUGGUUUCUCGUGGCUAUAGAGCCUUGCAGCGGUGGAACUUCUCAUCUAGGAUUACCCGAAGGGUUUUGGAAUAUUUGGGAAUUUAUAGGGCGAAGAGGGGGUAUGGGAGGCCACUGAGGUGGGCACAACCCACCCGGGCGCGCCUGGGCCCCCANNNNNNNNNNNNNNNNNNNNNNNNNNNNNNNNNNNNNNNNNNNNNNNNNNNNNNNNNNNNNNNNNNNNNNNNNNNNNNNNNNNNNNNNNNNNNNNNNNNNNNNNNNNNNNNNNNNNNNNNNNNNNNNNNNNNNNNNNNNNNNNNNNNNNNNNNNNNNNNNNNNNNNNNNNNNNNNNNNNNNNNNNNNNNNNNNNNNNNNNNNNNNNNNNNNNNNNNNNNNNCCAUAAAAAUCCACAAAAAGUUUUGCGGUGUUUGGACUCCGUUUGAUAUUGAUUUCCUGCGAUGUAGAAACAAGCAAAAAACAGCAACUAGCACUAGGCACUGGGUCAAUAGGUUAGUCCCAAAAAAUGAUAUAAAGUUGCUAUAAAAUGAUUGUAAAACAUCCAAGAAUGAUAAAAUAACAGCAUGAAUACUUCAUAAAUUAUAGAUACGUUGGAGACGUAUCAGCGACGUGGAGGACAUGGGGCUGCGGUGUACUCUAUAUAAGUUGCCGCCCACCUCCUUAGUGGGGGUCAAGAAAUAUUUGUAACCAUACCCAUCAAAUCAAAACCAAGCCUCAGGGCACGAGACGUAGGGAUGUUUCCUCCUCCAAGAGGGGCUUGAACUCGUUAAACACCGAGUGUUACACCUGCGCCAUAGCUAGGUUCUGCCCCUUAUUCGUACCCCUAGAACUCAUUGUCAGGAUCGUAACCCCGACACCCCCCCCCCCCCGGGUACGCCCGCCGAGCUUGUCGCCAGCUCGUGGCCCUUCUGACCUCCUCCCGAAGCUUCCAGGGUGUCUUGUGGUCCAAUAAAAAUCAUCGUCCAAGAAAAAUCAUCAAAAAGUUUCUUUCCAUUUGGACUCCGUUUGCUAUUGAUUUUCUGUAAAGACAAAAACAAGGAAAAAACAGCAACUAGCACUGGGCACUAGGAUAAUAGGUUAGUCCCAAAAAUGAUAAAAUAGCAUAAUAAUGCAUAUCAAACAUCCAAGAUUGAUAAUAUAAUAGCAUGUAACAAUCAAAAAUUAUAGAUACGUUGGAGACAUUGAAGAAUCCCCCAGCUUAAUUCCUGCUCGUCCUCGAGUAGGUAAAUGAUAAAAACAAAAAAAUUGAUGUGGAAUGCUACCUAACAUGUUUAUCAUGUAAUCUUUUUUUAUGUGGUAUGAAUAUUCAGAUCCAUAUAAGAAUCAAAACAAAAGUUUAAUAUUGACAUAAAAAUAAUAAUACUUCAAGCAUACUAAAAAGCAAUCAUGUCUUUUCGAAAUAUCAUGGCCAAAGAAAGUUAUCCCUACAAAAUCAUAUAGUCUCGUAAUGCUCCAUCUUCUUAACACAAAGUAUUUAUCAUGCACAACCCUGAUGACAAGCCAAGCAAUUGGUUCAUACUUUUAACACGCUUCAACUUUUUCAACUCUCACGCAAUACAUGAGUGUGAGCCAUGGAUAUAGCACUAUGGGGGGAAUAGAGUAUGAUGUUGGAGGUUGUGUGGAGAAGACAAAAAAGAAGAAAGUCUCACAUUGACAAGGCUAAUCAACGGGCUAUGGAGAUGCCCAUCAAUUGAUAUCAAUGCAAGGAGUAGGGAUUGCCAUGCAAUGGAUGCACUAGAGCUAUAAGUGUAUGAAAGCUCAAAAGAAAACUAAGUGAGUGUGCAUCCAACUUGCUUGCUCAUGAAGACCUCGGGCAUUUGAGGAAGCCCAUCAUUGGAAUAUACAAGCCAAAUUCUAUAAUGAAAAAUUCCCAAUAGUAAUAUAUGGAAGUGACAAAAUAGGAGACUCUCUAUCAUGAAGAACAUGGUGCUACUUUGAAGCACAACCACAGAAAAAGAUAGUAACAUUGUCCCUUCUCUCUUUUUCUCUCAUUUUUUCGUUCUUUUUCUGUUUUUUUAUUUUGUUGGGCACUUUGGCCUCUUUUUUUCUUGGGCUCGUUUGGCCUCUUUUUCAUUUUUUAUAUUCCUCACAUAGGACAAUGCUCUAAUAAUGAGUAUGAUCAUCACACUUCUAUUUACUUACAACUCAAGAAUCACAAAUCAAUACUAGAACAAAAAUAUGACUCUAUAUGAAUGCCUCCCGCGGUGUACCGGGAUGUGCAAUGAUCUAGCGUGACAUAUAUAAAAAAUAUGAACGGUGGCGGAGCCACAAAUACUAUGCAAACUAUAUGAUCAUGCAAAGCAAUAUGACAAUGAUGAUAUGUGUCAUAAUAAAAUGGAACGGUGGAAGUUGCAUGGCAAUAUAUCUCAGAAUGGCUAUGGAAAUGCCAUAAUAGGUAGGUAUGGUGGCUGUUUUGAGUCAGAUAUAAGGAGGCUUAUGUGUGAUAGAGUGUAUCAUAUCACGGGGUUUGGAUGUACCGACGAAGUUUGCACCACAACUCGAGGUGAGGGGCAAUGCACGGUACCGAAGAGGCUAGCAAAAUGCAGAAAGGUAAGAGUGCGUAUAAUCCAUGGACUCAACAUUAGUCAUAAAGAACUAACAUACUUAUUGCAAAAGUUUAUUAGCCCUCGAAGCAAAGUGCUACUAUGCAUGCUCCUAGGGGGAUAGAUUGGUAGGAAAAGACCAUCGCUCGUCCCUGAUUGCCACUCAUAAGGAAGACAAUCAAUAAUAAACCAUGCUCCAAUUUCAUAGCAUAACGAGAGACCAUACGUGCAUGCUACGGGAAUCACAAACCUUAACACAAAAUAUUCUUACUAAACCACAAUUACUCACUAGCAUGACUCUAAUAUCACCAUCUUUAUAUCUCAAAACAAAUGCAAUGAAUCAAACUUCUCAUAUAUUCAACGAUCUUGAUGAAAGUUUUUAUUAUAUCCCUCUUGAAUACCCAUCAUAUUAGGACUAAAUUCAUAACCCAAGCAAAUUGCCAUACUAUUUAUAAGACUCUCAAAAUAAUAUAAAUGAGGCACGAGAGUUCAUCAUUUCUUUAAAAUAUAACCACCGCCGUGCUCUAAAAGAUAUAAGUGAAGCACUAGAGCAACUACCUAGCUCAAAAGAUAUAUGUGAAGCUCAAAGAGUAUUCUAAUAAAUUCAGGAAUAAUGUGUGUCCCUCUCAAAAAGGUGUGUCCAGCAAGGAUUAUUGUGGAAAACUAAAAGGCAAAUAAAUCAAAGACUCAUAUAAUACACGACGCUCCAAGCAAAAUUCAUAUCAUGUGGUGAAUAAAAAUAUAGCCCCAAGUAAUUUACCGAUGGAUUGUAGACAAAAGAGGGGAUGCCAUCCGGGGCAUCCCCAAGCUUAGACGCUUGGUUGUCCUUGAAUAUUACCUUGGGGUGCCUUGGGCACCCCCAAGCUUAGGCUCUUGCCACUCCUUAUUCCUUAGCCCAUCAAAACUUCACUCAAAACUUGAAAACUUCACAACACAAAACUCAACAGAAAACUCAUGAGAUCCAUUAGGAUAAUAAAACAAAUCACCACUUUUGAUACUGUUGUAAACUCAUUCAAAUUUCAUAUUAGCAUUAUAUCUACUGUAUUCUAACUUCACCAUGGUUCGUGCCCCCCGAUAUUACCCAUAGAUUCAUCAAAACAAGAGAACAACUCAAUGAAAACAGAAUCGGUCAAAAACAGAAUAGUCUAUAAUAACCUAAAUAUUGCUCACUACUGUAACUCUAAAAAUUCUGAAAAAUUAGGACAACGUGGGCAAUUUGUGUAUCAAUCUUGUGUAAAACAUUCAAAGUAAAAACACGUUUUUGUGAAUUUACAAAAUUCCAGAACUGGACGCAGAAGUUUCUCUUUUUCACAGAAUCAAAUCAACUAACUUCCAAAUCAUCCCAAAGGUCUUACUUGGCACAAACACUAAUUAAAAUACUAAAACACAAUCAUAACAGUAGCAUAAUUGCAUAAACUCAUAAAACAGAAAAGAGAGAUAUUGGGUUGUCUCCCAACAAGCGCUUUUCUUUAAAGCCCUUUUAGCUAGGCAUUGAUAAUUUUAAUGAUGCUCACAUGAAAGAUAAGAAUUGAAGCACAAAGAGAGCAUCAUAUAGCAUGUUAAAAUUAGAUUUAGUUCUAACAUACUUCCUAUGCAUAGGCAUUUUAUAAGAAAAUGAAUUAUCAAAACAAGCAAAAACUAGCAUAAGCAAGGAAGAAGAAUAAACAUUGACAAUCUCAACAUGAAGAGAGGUAAUUUAGUAACAUGAAAAUUUCUACAACCAUAUUUCCCUCUCUCAUAAUAAUUACAUGUGGGAUCAUAUUCAAAUUCAACAAUAUAGCUAUCACAUAACAUAUUCUCUACAUGAUCCACAUGCAUGCAAAGUUGACACUCUUCCACUAUAGUGGGAUUAUCGUCAGAUAAAGUCAUGACCUCUCCAAGCCCACUUUUAUCAAAAAAUUCAUAAGAUUGAUCAUUCUCCAAAGUAGUAGGAUCAUUAUUACCUAGAGUUGACACUCUUCCGAACCCACUUACACUAUUAUCGCAAACAUAUUCAUCAUGAGGCUUAAAUAAAUUUUCAAGAUCAUAAGUAGAAUCACCCCAAUCAUGAUCAUUGCAAUAAGUAGUGGACAUAUCAAAAUUAGCAUCCCCAAGAUUGGGGUUUUGCAUAUUAUUAGCACAAUUGACAUUAAUAGAAUUUGUAAUAACACCAUUGCAAUCAUGCUUUUCAUUCAAGGACUAUCGUUAAUCACUUCAUAAAUUUCCUCUUUUAGCACUUCAUCACAAUUUUCAAAUUCACGAAUUUCAAGCAAAACUUCAUAAAGAUAAUCUAGUGCACUCAACUCACUAGCAAUUGGUUCAUCAUAGUUGGAUCUCUUAAAAAUAUUAGCAAGUGGAUGAGGAUCCAUAAAUUUUUUGCUUCUGAUUUGGAAUAAACAUACAAUUAUGCCAAGCGAACAAGCAAACAAACCAAGUAAGACAUAAAGGCAAAUGGAAAGAAGGCAAAUAAAAAGGCAAAUAUUUUUGUAUUCUCUGAAAAAUGUUUUAGAAGUGGGUGACAGGAAAACGAGAGGCAAAUGGAUAAUAAUGUAAAUGCAAGAGAUGAGAGUUUAUGAUAGGUACUUGGUAGGCUUGAUGUAGAUCCUCCCCGGCAACGGCGCCAGAAGUUCUUCCUGCUACUUCUUGAGCUUGCGUUGGUUUUUCCCUUGAAGAGGAAAGGGUGAUGCAGCAAAGUACAGAUAAGUAUUUCCCUCAGUUAAGAACCAAUGUAUCAAUCAAGUAGGAGGAACACAAGUCUCCAAUGAUAGCACCUACACAAACAAACAAAUACUUGCACCCAACGCGAUAAAGGGGUUGUCAAUCCCUUCAUGGUUACGCAAGGAUGAGAUCUGAUAGUGAUAGAUAUAAAAGAUAGGUAAAAGUGCAAAAUAAAAUAAAAGUAAAUAAAUUGCAGCAAGGUAUUUUUGGGUUUUUGACUUUGUAGAUCUGAAAAUAAUAUGAUAAAAGAUAAACCCCGGGCCAUAGUUUUCACUAGAGGCUGCUCUCUUGAAAGAAAGCAUACGGUGGGUAAACAAAUUACUGUUGAGCAAUUGAUAGAAAAGGGGAUAAUUAUGAAGAUAUCUAAGGCAAUGAUCAUAUAUAUAGGCAUCACGUCCGAGACAAGUAGACCGACUCAUGUCUGCAUCUACUACUAUUACUCCACACAUCGACCGUUAUCUAGCAUGCAUCUAGUGUAUUAAGUUAACAAGAACGGAGUCACUACAAAAAAAGACACAUCCAUGAUAUUUUGGGCCGAAUGAACUUUUUUUCUGUCAUGCUUAUGACACUUCUAUGACGAUAAUUGUGACAAAACCCGGUAUCAUCAUAGAUGUGGUGGGCUCCUACUUCUAUGACAAAAAAUCAUGACAGAAAAUGGGCUUUUCGUCCUGGGCGGGCCGGACAUGCAGCUGCAUGACAUUCUUUGGGCCAUCCAUGACGGAAAAAAACCAUGGUAGAAGCGAGGGCGAGGAAAAUAUCGGGGAGUUCCCGGUUACGGUGGGUGGUUGGGGGUCGAGCGAUGCGCGUUUCUCUCGUACACAUACGAGCGUGGGUGCGAGGCGUUUGGCUCUAACUGAACCCGAGCGAGGCGUUCGCCUACUGAACCCGAGCGAUUGCACUAUAGGCUACGCGUUAUUGAACCCGAGCAAUCAAUCGAUGGCUGUUAACUGAACCCGAUCGAGCGAUUCCUUCACUACUGCUGCUAACUGAAGUCGAUCGAACCCUGCUGCCUCCUUCCCUUGAUGAACAGUGAGUGUUGUUGGGGGGUUGGAUGAACAGUUCCCGGUGUGGGGUUGGAUGAACAGGACCCCGUGGUGUUGCCGCUGGAUGAACAGGACCCCGAUCGAUCGAGCCGGUUAGGCGUGGAUGAACAGGACCCCGUGGAGGGCUGGAUGAACAGGACCCCGUGGAGGGAUGGUUGAACAGUAGCCGGUGGAGGGCUGGUUGAACAGUAGCAGGUGGAGGGCUAGAUGAACAGUAGCCCGUGGAGGGGUGGUUGAACAGGACCCCGUGGAGAGGGCUGGUUGAAUAGUAGCUGGUGGAGGAGCGGUGGAGGCUGGAUGAAUAGGAGCCCGUGGAUGAACAGUCGCAGGUGGAGGCUGGAGGAGGUCGACGGUGGAUGAACAGUAGCCCAUGGAGGCAGUUGACGGUGGAGAUGAAUAGUAUCCCGUGGAGUCCCGUUUUGCGGUACGCCACACCCCUCCCGAUGAACAGGACCCCGUUUCGACCGUAGGAGGCCCAAGAGAAGUCCGUUUCCUCCAUUUUGCGGUACGCCAGACCCCUCCCGAUGAACAGGAUCCCGUUUUGACCGUGGCCGGUCGAACACAAGGCCAUUUCCUCCGUUCUGCGGUACGCCAGGCUUCGUUUCAAUCGGCUGUUCCGUCCAAGCCGGUUGGCUCCCGAUGAACACGACGUAUUCCGUUGCCUACCGAUGAACACGACGCAUUCCGUUGCCACCCGAUGAACACGAAGACGACGUAGUUUCUCCAUUCCGACCCAGCCAUGUGUGCGAGCCCUGGCCGUACAUAUGCACGAGUAGGCGUUUGAGACCCCGCCCGUAUGUACGUACGUGGCCGUAUUUUUUGGCGUGGGGUUGUAUGUACGUGUACACAGUUUAGACGGGGCAACCUGAACUGCUACGUGGGGGGCUCUACUAUGACAUGUGCCGCUACUUACUCGGCCAUGGUUCAUCGUUACAGAGCGACCGAUCGACCAGUAUGUACGUACACAUUCCGGCAAGACAGAAAACGGUACGUACGCUUCGACCGCGUGGGUCCCAGCUCUCAGGGAGGAUAAGGACGCACUUCCUUGCGUGCGAAGAUAUAGCUGCUAGGUCCCAGCUGUCAGGGGGUUUUUUUCCGUAAUAAGGACGCACUUCCUUGCGUGCGAAGAUGUAGCUGGUGGGUCCCAGCAGUCAGGGGGAGAAAAUAUUAUUUUUCAGGGUAAAAAGGAUGCAGUUGCAUGCAUGCAUCCAUGGGCGUGGUGUGUCCCCACUGUUAGCCUCUCACGUACAGUCAUCUUCCGAUGACUCUUGUUUGUUGACCAUGUUGACCACACCGUGCCGGGCGCACCAAGGCCGGUGGACGACGGCGAGGCCCUAGACUGGAACGACCCAGAGAUGGGGAAGACGCGGCAGUGGAGUCGCAGAUGCAGAGGAGUGGGAAACUUGACUGGUUCGGGUGCGCGGCAGCACUGCCGCCCAAGGGCGAUAGGAGCAAGAACAGAGGUUGAAGAAGGAGCACGGCUAUUGGAUUAACAUCCAACGGUCAGCUGCUAGAAUCAUUUGUUGAUUAAGUAGACAAAGCCCUGCGUACAAGUCCGCUUAGUAGGCCCACAAGUCAGACACCAAAUCUGACGAGUCCCAGCUGUCAACGGGAGGAAUGGUUUUUUUUUUUUGCAUAACAAGGAGGCACUUCCUUCCGUGCGAAGAUACAGCCGGUGGGUCCCAGCUGUCAGGGGGAGGAAACAUUUUUUUCAGCUUAAUAAGGAGGAACUUUCCUUGCAUGAGACCAUGGACCUCGUGGGUCCCAGCCGUCAGGCUCUCCACGUACAGUCCUCUUCCGAUGACUCUUGUUUGUUGACCACGCCGCGCCGAGCGCAGCGAGGUGGUGGACAACAGCGAGGCCCCGUACGGGAACGACCCGGAGAUAGGAAGACGCGGAAGUGGAGUCGCAGAUUGAGAGGAGUAGAAGGGUUAUAACUAGUUCUGGUGCCGCGUGGGGCUGCAGUCGGUGGAGAAUAACAGGAGGUGUGGAGGGGCGGAGGGAUAGCCCGGCCGGCGGUGGGGUAGCGCUUCGCAACAAUGCGUGCUAAGCAAAGCCGCUAGCCGCCGGAGGCCAGACCAGGCGGUCCCGGCGAUGCUGGAGGAAGAAGACGAGAGAUUGAUGGUGCAUGCCGGCCGUUGGAUAUAAAUCCAAUGGAUGUGGAUGUCAUAAUCAUUUUUUGACCAAGUUGACAACGCCCUGCGUAGGCUUCGACCUAUUGGCCCACAUGUCAGCAUGCAAAAAUGUGGCAUAUAUUUAACCCAUGUUUUCUAGAAUGUACAAUCCAUUUGCUGGGCUGGGUGAACAAAUAAUUUCGCGUCAAUGCGGUCCAUUUAAUAUUUUCUAAGAAAUCCCAGCCCAUUUGCACUUUCUUGAAAUACAUGAAUUAGCUGGGCUCAUUCUAUAUGUAAUGUUAGGUUAGAAGGUGCAAUUAAUAUCAAAAAAUAAACAGAAGCGGCACAUUUUUUAUAUAUAAUAUUAACAAAUUAGCGAGUUAUUGCUCAAAAUAAAAAUGAGCGCGUUAUUAUUACAUUGGUCCUUAAAAAUCUUCGCAAGCUUUUGUACGCAAUCACCAGGAUUUUCCUUGCCUGUGAGUCAAAAACAACCAGGAUUUAUCUUGCCAACAUCUGUUAAACAUUUACUUUUAUAAGUUAAUAACAUGUGGGAUGUUUUUAUAAUGUAUAUAUAAGUCUCUAUAAAAUAUACGAUAAUCGUAAUAGUAUAAAUAUAUAUAAUGUGGUUAGAAGGCAAAACAUAAAUUGGACACAGCAUUAUUAUUCUUAUAUAUAAAUAAAUAGAACAAAGAUUUGUGUUUUAUUGAUAAAAAACAUUGGGCUGCCAAUCUUUAAGAAAAAGUAAAACCUACGCUGGGAGGCCUAUAGGCCGGUAUGGACCUCAAAAAAUAAGUUGAAACCACUGUCUCCGUAUGUCGUGGGCUACGCAUGUUAAAAAACAAAACCUAGGCCUAGCUGAUACUUGUUCGCCCUCUACAAAAAAAUGAUACCAGCUAGAUCCCCGAGCGAACUGGAUUAAAGAGGGGGCCGGCGGCGCGACUAAAGAAGCACAUCAGACGCGAUUGUUUUUCUUCGGUGGAUGGCUCUCGAUGGCUUUUUUUACUUGCCUCUUCACCAUACAACUUGUAUUUUUAGCCUCCCAGUCCGUGGUGGACCAGCAACCCAUUUGCUGGGCGGGCCAACCUACAGAAACCAGCACUCAAUUUUUCAUCAAGCCCCAAAAACAGUGCAGUACUAUGUUUGUUUUGAGGCCGAAAACAUUACGGCAGGAGUUGAGCGGGGGAGGGGGGAAGAUAGAGCAAAAAGAUUAAAAAGAGCUGAUGCGCCGUUGCUACCCUAACAAAGCAGGUGCAAUUCUUCUCGGGAAGAAGGUGUGCCGUUGACACCCACACGUCACAAAUCCCAUAGUAGACAUACUAACAAGUUCACACACAAGUACAACAGAAAAGGUAAACAUUCAUAUCAAACUCAGGUUCACAGGACACGUUCAUAUUCAUAGCCAACAUUCACAAUCAACAACUCAAAAGAUUCAUAUAUACACAAGUUCAGCAUGUCUAUGCAUCCAAAUGAUUAAUAAAUCACACGACAAUAUUCAUAGAUAAUUCACAAAAAGAUUCAGAUAUACACAUGUUCAGUAUGUUUAUGCAUCCAAAUGAUUAAGAUCAUAGCCAAUAUCAUCCAUGGACGAACUUUAAUUACCUAGGGUACAGACUGGUAAAUGGUGUUCAGUCGGAGGUACUUCUUGCUAAAAUUAAUGCUUGUACGAGUAAACUUUUGAGUACAUAAGAGGCAGCACAGACAAUCUGAACUUUGCUUGUAGGUUUAUCCUCAAAUAGUGGCCUUGUGCCGAGGGAGGUUUGAGCAACUUGCCCACUACUUUCAUCCAACUAGUUUACUAGCUCAUCUUGGUCCUGUAGCUCGCCAAAAUUCUACAUUGCAGACAAGAAAGGAGGCGGUUGAGAAAAUGAACCACCCAAAUUUGUUGUGCAAUUCAACUGAAAUGGAGCAUCCCUGGCGUGCACCCUGAUUAAGUGUCAGAUGAAUAUACGCGUCAACCAACUUGUUUGGAAUCUUUAGACUCCAUGCCAUACAGUUCGCUACCAUAUGUGCCGAUAACCAAAAGGCACAAGUUGGGACCAAAGACUGGACUGCGUUUUUCUGGGCUAUGCGCCAAGCAAUAUUUGUGGCGGGUUAAUGCCGGUUGAUACUCGAAUGAAUAUAGGCACUUCUUCUUGUGAACAUCGAUGCUUGUCUGAGUGAACUUUGGAGUACAUAGCAGCAGCAUAAGUAUCUGUCCAUCUGAUCUUUUUGUGCAGUUCUACUGAAAUCGCCCAAUGUAAUGAUUUGCCUGCGAGUUCAGGCUCCAAGUUACUCCUUUAUGAAAUCGGCAAACAGUAGCACAAUACCAAAUUACCAAUACAUAUGACAAGCACAAUAAUCAGGAUAAAGACUAGUACCAACCUGUGUGAGGUAGCAUAUCAAUUACUAUUUCCUUUGACUGGAAGCCGAGAUAAAUGAAGCGACUGACAGUAAAGGAAGGAAGGAAGCCGAGAUAAGCGACUGACAGGAAAGGAAGGAAGCUGUCGAGGCAAUGAAGCGCCCAAAGUUUUUGUGCAGUUCCACCAAAAUCGAGCAUCCCUGUUGGCACAUAUAUUGAGAGAGUGAGAUUACUGUAAUAGUGGGACUAGUUGAUGAAACAUACACUAACAAAUAGAAGCACCCUCAUUAUCUUAAUGGGUAAAGUUAGCAACAUAGUAGUCUUGCUUGAAGAGAGGUAUUAGUUUAUUUAAUCAGUGCCAAUUAGCUCAACACUCAAAGCAUUGCCAUGUAUCAUAGGUUGCAAAACUUUAACGUGCAAGGAUAAAGGAGUUUCUCAUGACUAUUGCACAAUACAAAUAGAGAUGAUAGCAAACUAAUAUGGAUGAAGGCCUUAGGCCGGUACCAACCUGAGCAAAAAAACUUAUUCAUGUAGUCCCAGAAGAUAUGAUAAAGCACUCACUGGAAUCACUCGAUAGUAUAUAUUUUUGUGCACUUCAAAUGUAUGGUUGAAAUCACUCUUGUUUACCAGUGCUGAGAUUAUAUCGAAAGAUUAUCAAGAACUUUCAGCAGAGUUAAAGCACUGGCUGGGAUACAGUUCAUUGUAUUGUCUUGUGUAGUUCCACUAAAAUGUAUGAUUGGCACAACAUGAUCCCUGUUUGCACAAGUAGGAACAAGGUGAAACCUUCAUUAGCUUAGUGAGAAAGGAUAGAAAGACAUUAGCAUAUUACUCUAAUAGUAGCAUCAAAUUCAUGAUAGACAAUACGCAAAACAUUGCCUCAUUGAACCAAUGGCAAUAAAUUGACAUGCAAAACAAUAGCACUAUUAUUUCAUGACACUACGCAGAUUCCCUCCCUGCUCCACCACAUGAUUCACCUCCACAGACACACAUACACACGUACAUGAUUCAGCAUAGGGUGCUACUAAAGAUUUGUUUAACUCUGACAGGAAAAUUAGGUAGCAAUAAAUUAGUGGUGCUUAAGUACUCCUAAUUAAUUAAGUGACCUUGCAGGAGAGACAACAGAAGUGGAAGGGCUCCCUGGAGGAUCGUCUCACAUGUAAGGUAGACAUUGCUGGAGCCCUUGAAUGGCCUCGACUGAGCCCUCGGGCUUCAGCAAGAUCACCUUGGCACUGUUGAUCGUGUAGAGCUGGGUCACAUAUGCAUCCAGAAUCCAGUUAAUUAGUAUGAUGUGUCGUCAACCCAAGUACUACUCUGCUGCAUUUCUCCAUCUAUCUCUACUCUACUCUACUUUACUUCUCUUAUAAAAAAAUAGAGUUGGUGAUGAUGGUGUGCCUGCCAUCCUACAAUAUAUGCCGUCUGAUUUAUAUCUGACGGAUAGGAAGGAAACUAUGGCAAUUUUGCAAAAAGGUACCCACAGCCCUCUCCACAUUUGCAAAUAAGGCCUUCCCUCGUUCAUCCUUUUCUCUCACAAGAUAAACUACUCAUACAAAUGCAUCUUGAUGUUAUGUGCAACGCACGGGCAUCUUGCUAGUCUUCCAAGUAAAUUAACACUAGUAGCAACACAGAAAUACAAUACCACUAGCAAAAUGUCAGGAUAACAUAGGACGGUACCAUCGUGUGAUCUCCAUUUCCUCUUUAUUCUUCUUCUUCCUCCUCUUCAUGCUCUGUUUCUCUUUCUCCUCAACAGUUGGUGAAACCAAGUACAUGAUUGGCCUUCUAUUUCAAAUUGGUUUUGUCAGUGAGGGAGUACAAGUGUACUAGUAAACAAUAGCAUUAUUUUCUCAUGGCAGUCGCAAAAUAGAGAUGAACACAUGCAUUAAAUAUCAUUCUUACCUAAAGGAAAGUUAUGGUGCCAAUAUGGAUGAUGAGGAUUGGAACACAGAUCUCCCUUUGUGCAGUUCCACCGAAAUGAACCAACUGUUCCAUUCUGACAUUCCAGUUAAACAGCACAAAAGUCACUUCUUUUAAGAAGUGUUUUGUGCAGUGCACCAAAAGGUCACAACAGCAACCAGGUGAAAUGGAUAUCCCUGUUUGCACAAAAAACUACAGAGGAAACAGUCAGAGUCUCAAACAAUUACAGGCAAAAACAUUUGGGUAAACUUGUCAUCGCUUAUAACAGUGGCAUGGCUUCAUUUUACCAGGGGCAUUAGAUUAAGAAUAGCUAAAUAUUUGGUAUAAGGGAAUGGGACAGUGGGCGCACCAGCAGCCCAGCACCAUGUACCUAAACUGGGGCAUAAACUGGUGAUUCAGAGUUUGUUGCCCCGAGAAACAAACAUCCAAGAAACAUAUCUGGGUUGGUCCCAUUUUUGUUCACUCUAGCCACCUACUCCUAUGUGUGGAUAGCAAAUCUAGUCCUGUUCAUACCACUGUGUACAGCAUUUCCCCUAUAUUUCCCUUUUCGACCAAGAGACCGGUUGGAUGACUAGUCUGUACUACUUUCACCCCCUUUCCUUCAUGUUUGUACCAAGUCCGAUGUACAUACUAAAUUCCCCCACCCCCACUUUAUUUCUUGUUUGAACCAAGUACAAGAUUUGACUCCAUGAAGUAGCUUUACCUCUAACAAUAGAGAAAAAAAUAGGUGACGUUGGACCAUCCGAUCGAGAGGGGCUGAGAGGUAGAAAAUGAUGCACAUGCAGCGACGUAGCAAGCUGGGGAAGUAGAGCUAGGGCGGUUUCGAAGGAAGAUAUACCUGAAGGUCAUCGGGAUGUGGAUAGGUGGGUGGCAGGAGGCCGGAUCCGCCCACACUAGGGCAACGACGAAGGGAUCGGAGGACCUCCCGCAUCGGCGCUCGGCUAGAGAUAACGGUGCGGCCGACAGUGGGUCUCCUCCCUCGCUGUCGACGACGGCCUAAAUGCUGCCCCUCCUCCCCUUCACCGGCGGAGGGGGAUACGUCCGAAUCUGUAACCAACGGUGAGGAUAGAAAGACAAUGUUACCACCGCUAUCUUGUUUAGAUCUGGAGAGGAUGAGAGUGUGUGAAUAGAGCAACCCUAGCAAGCAAGCGCGGAUGCUCCGGGCUAUAUAUGCACGUAGUGGGGUAGUUUUCCUUUUUCACUCCAUCAAAACAAUCGUUUAAAAUUGUGUGCGUGCCAGGUCACCGUUUUUUCUUGAGUUGUUGAUUGUUUUUUGAGAUAGCUACCCGCUUAUUCCAAGUGGUGUUACGGUGUGCCAGCUCGCACUUUGUAUCGUUCAAGUCUGGUACAAGACCCUCCAUUAAAUGAACAACCACCGCCUCAUAAAAUUUGGGAACAAGCCCACGGCUAAAAUUAUCAAAAACGUGGGCUGCCCCAACAUGCAUUAUUAUUUAUAUUUUCUAUGUCGGAGUAUCCUCAAAACAAAAUGUGAGAGUACAAUAUUUAUUGGGCCCCUUUGUAAUUGGUGCUAAAUUUUGACCAAAGAUUUAACUGACAAAAUGUUAGUGCAUAUUAACAAAAAUUAUAUCGUUUGAAUCGUAUUUCAACAUAUUUUUCAAUGAUGUAAUUUUUUGUGAUAUGCAUGAACAUUUGGUUAGUUAAAUUUAUAGUCAAAAUUUGGCAAGGUGCAUUAAAUCAACACAUGCAAGUAUCAAAAGGAAAGUAACGCCAUGCAUGCAUGCGUUGUAAUUAAUGCAUCGGUAAACGCAAAUUAUUGAAAUAUAUCGAGUGCAGUGCUUUGAUGUGUCGCGUCAACUCAUACAACAACGAGAAGUUUGAUUACUACAACGCCCUCUGCCUCGCGGACUGAGCUCCGGUGCCUUAACUGCACCUGCCUUUGGCUGUAUGACAAGUGGACCACCCACCUGUUGGGCCCACCUGUGAUACACGCAAAGGCAAGAGCAGUAAGUCAAUGAAGCUGUGUCCCUCCCUCGCCCAUGAGCAUGGUGGCUGGCAGGACUAGGAGAAGCUUUUGCUACACGCUCUCCCUCCCGCACGCGGUGGACAUGCAGCUGUUCAUUCGGUGUCAGAUGACCAGAAGUAUAAUGUAGUACUCCUCCACUGCAGUAGCACUCCAUCAUUGUUCGACUUCCCGAAGAGGCGAAGAGCCAAGCGCAGCCCGGACGCUCAUGUGGCAGUUUCAUGUGUAGAGUAGUCUAGGAUAGCGUGUACCAUGCCUGUAAGCUUAAAAUUGUUGGGGUCGGCUCCAUGCUAUGAGGCCGUCUCGAAGCAUUUUUUGGUUGAUUAAAAUAAUCUUUUGGACCUACCUGUCAUCCUAGUGAUUGUAGUUUGCACGCUCAUCUGGUCAAGACAGGAAUAUAUAUUUUAAUUUGUAGUGGGGUAAAUGUUAGAGGUUGCAGCAAACAUAUUGUACAUUGCGGGUCUUUCAGCCAAGUUUAGAGGCAAGCAUGUGGGGCCAGUGCUAUGAUGUGUCGCGUCAACUUGUACAACGAGGAGAAGCAUGAUUUUACUACUACACGCCUUCUCCCUCGCCCAUGCGCGCGGUGGCUCGCAGACGAGGAUGGGCUUUAAAUUAUACUACAACAAGCUAUCCCUCCCGCACACGGUGGACGGACAUGCGUCAGGGGAUUCGAUACUGUAGAAGUAGUAGUAACAUCAUUGUUCAUCUUCUCGAAGAGGCGAAGAGCCAAGCGAAACCCGAACGUGGUAGUUGCGAACGCUUGCCUGGCAGUCUUUGUGUACGGGUGGGGCGUGGUGCGGAGCCUUGGAGUACGCAUAUAGCCAGGCUCUUGCAUGAGAAAAAAUUGCUAUUUGAGCCCACUAUUUUAGUACACUACUUGCUAGUAUAGCCCUGUAAACUGGAAAGGAGUAUUUGCCUUUCUAGAGAUCUCAAUAAGUGACUAGACUACACCCUAAACGAGUAGUACAUAUGGAGCAAAAUGAGUGAAUCUACACCGUAAAUAAAUACGUAGUUCUCUCGUUUUCCUCUCCGCCUUGGUCGCGGUGCACAAUAUUGAGUACUCCUAUAUGACUAGUCGCUCUAUCUACAUGCGCGACAUCAAAGCAUCCGGGCCUGCGUGCCAUCCACCAAAUCACAGCGAGGUGCUACAGUCGAGACUCACCAGUCACCCCGGUGUGGCCGUCAUGACCCGUCAUAUCACAAAACCCACACCUUUACCAGCAGUGGUAAAGUGGCCUCAAAGUUGGACUGGAUGAAGCAACCAUCAUUUCCCUGUAACGCUCGUUGAAGCCCUUUCUCCCCUUUCUUGAAGAAAACCUCACUCCAGGCUACUCACUUCUGCCAUUUUUCUUCUGUACCGACAAAGGAAAGGUGGGCGAAUCAGUGAUGCUACUAUAUUUUCAUUCCAAGAAUCUUCUUUUCGGGAAGCACCGACCGAUUCUCAUAGCCUAUUCUUUUCCCGUUUUCAUUGCGAUUGUGCUUUCCUUUCGAUUGCUUUUUGUUUGUCAGUUCAUUCCUGAUGGAUCCUGGAGCACUAGGCAAAGAUUUGCCGGCAGACAACCCACUGGAGACAGCGAUCUCCAGGAAGCGAGCACCAACCAACGAGUUGACCAUGUUGGUGGGCCAACCCAUGGAGACGAAGAACUCCAAGAAACAAGCACUGGACAAAGAGUUUAUGACAUUGGCCGAUGAACUCCUCAAAGAAAGCUGGAAGAACAGCAAGGGCCCCACCGUGCCUACCCCAGAAACUCUAAUGGCCACCUAUGCGAGGCUCAAGGCCGAGUUUGAGGAGAUAGUCUCCGUUGAGAAGCAGUAUUCCCCUGGCAAGGUGAUGGCCCCAUCGAGGACGAGGAGAUGGCCUCCGGAGGGAUGGGAUCCCCCGGUGAGCUACACAAGGUAAAAAAAUAAUGGCUUACCAUAGUUGUGGUUUUUGAUUAUUUGCAAUGUGCUUGCUAAUAUGUUAGGGUUGUGCAGGUGCCGGUGGACGUCCUUGAUGAUUCCGAUGUCGUGGCCCGUCCUGUGGACAACGCCCCAGAGAUCGUUUUCGAUGUCGCGGUCCGUUCUGUUGACAUCGCCCCAAAGAAUGAUUCCGAUGCCGCUUUCCAUCCUAUGGACAUUGCCCAGAGAUCAAUUCCGAUGUCACAGUCCGUCCUGUGUACAUCGCCCCAGAGAUCGAUUCCCAUGCCGUUGUCUGUGUUGUGUUCAUUGCCCGAGAGAUCGAUGACAAGAAAUAGUUGGUCAUGCUAAUCCUUCAAGGUAGUUUGCAUUGUGUUUAAUUACCAAAACAAUGUGUGUUAUCAAACCAUCUUAGGGCUAGUGCAUUGUCUUGUGUGGGCGGUACUUGCUACUUUUGUUUGAUAGUGAAUCAUGUGAACCCUCUCCGAGUUAUGGAAACAGAUGUAUCCUCACCAGCUUUUGAUGUAAUAUAUGGCAUGCUUAGAUGUAAGUUUGAACUGUUUAUCAUAUCAGCAGGGCUUGUUUGAUGAUUCUUGGUGUUAGUAGGCUAGCUACUGUGCGAGCUAUAGUACUUGCAAAACACUCACCGAAGAGAAAUGUUGGGGCUGAUGAGCUCCUGGUAUGCUUAUACUGAUCCCUCGUCGAUCGGCCAAUAGCCCAAGCUCCUAAAAUUGUAGGCUUAGCGAUCGAUCAGACAAUAGUCGACACGGAUACAUUCAGGCCUCAUUUGGUUCAUAAGGUAGGAAAAUCGUAGCAAAAGUACAGAGACGUACAACACAAAAUCAUAGCAGUAUAGAGACGUACUCCCUCCGUUCCAAAAUAGAUGACUCAACUUUGUACUACUAACUUUGAAAUGGAGGGAGUACAAAUCCUAGGCGGGCUAGUUUGGCCUAGUGGAUUUCAGUGAUAUGACGUGGUACAGUGUCGUCCAGUCUUCGCGUGUGGUAGCAGUAUUGUGGGUAAAGUAAGUUUUCUUGAAGAAGCGGAAUUCAACGAAGUCAUGAUGGUUCCUUUGUCCGACCAACUUACAGUGGGAAAGGUUGGGCCUGCGCUACGACUGGGGUGGACCAGGAUAAUUUUGUGCAUGGUAGGUGGACCAGGAUGGUCGACGUCCCACAUGUCGGCGAAUGAAAGUAUUCUUUCCGAUAUAGAGGACGAGCAACGAGUAUUCAUUGUUUAUUUUUUAUGAAAGCUAUUGUCUCCAUUGUUACGUCGGAGGAGUGUGAAACACGGCAGCCCAGUGAACUUGGCAUGUGCACCACUCCCUCCUUCCUCAUGUAAUACUACCAUAGUGUUGACUAUAAGGUUGGCUAUAAGGUUACAACUUUUCUCACUUUCUCUCUAUCUAUUUCCUCUCAAAUGUUUUUUACCUUUCUUUUUUUUAGACACAAUUGUUUUUUAUGCCUCUUUUUUUAGAAUUAGUUUUUUUAUACCUAGGAGCACGUGUAGAGACGGGCUCUUGCAGAGCCCACUCCUUGAGUUUGUCAAUGCCUCUCUCUCCUCCACAUAAGCGGGCUUAUAGCCUAGUAUUUUACUGGUACUACUUGCUAUGAAUGCGAGCAGCUGGCGUCUGAGGGGGGAGCGCGCGCGGGGAGGUGGGGGGUUCUGGUGGGCCAAGGUGGUCAGAAGCGGGCUUGGAAGCGGUCCGGACUCCCGCAUGGCCCACCUCACAUUAUCACCAUAUAUUUCUUGGAGUCCGUGCAUGGCAGGCGGGCGAUCUCUUCUCCCUCCCCCGUCUCUCUCUUCUCAGCCGACUCCCGCCGAGCGAUUAGAUUUCGGCUAUCGAUGGUUUAUUCAAUUGCUGUCCCACAUGUCAGUGAAAAUGCAAGACAACGUGUGUCCCCUCUGGUGAGCGGCGUGCGAGCCGGACUGUCAAGGGUGCGAUGCGAACGCGACGCGUAUGAGUCGUAAGUGUGCCGCCUUUUCCUUUUGAACUUGCAAAGCAUAACAUUUUCGUGCGAUCGAUCGAUAGAAAUCCAGAACAAAAUGACGAGGGCAUUGCUUUCCCGCGCGUUAGGCGGGCUAGUUUGUGAUAUGACGUGCUACAGUGCCGUCCACUUGCUCUUUUUAUGUAAGCAAGAGUCUACACUCUUAAGUGGGAGGAGUGCGAAACACGGCGGAUCUGAUUUUGAUCGAGGGAUAACUGUUCCCUGCGAAAUAAUGGAGCGCUGUUAGCGAUUAUAGCAUGAUAGUUAGGGCAUCUCCAGCGCUGGCUCACAAAUUUACACCGGCAUCUGUCCGAGGACACUGAUGGAUGUCAUCCAAUGCUGCCCGCAUACCUUUCGACAACAGUAUGAACUAACCGGACGAAAUUCGUGCAAACAAAGCAAAUUUCAAAUUACAUUUCGAAAACUUAUCCUAUAAACUGGACGAAAUUCAUUACAUAUUUUGCACAAACCGUACUAAAACCUACUGUAAACCUAAUCUAAACGAUCGCCGGCGCCCGACCACCAUGUACGGCCAUGAACCCGAGAAAGCCGGCCAUUGCCUUUGCCUCCUCCUCAUCUGCCUCGAUAACCUCAUCCUCUGGAGCACAAGGUUCUGAAGAUUUCCGCCUCCACGUCGCCGUCAAGAGGCUAAUCGGCCGCCGAUGUUUAUCCCACCAAGCUUGGCGUCGACUGAGUGGAGGAGCGAUGGCCUUCCUGGGACCAGAGCGGCGGCGACCUACCAUGUACUACUCUUCCUCGCUACCGGCUGCGCCCGCGCACGCGCGCCGGCUUCGUGGUCGUGGCGGCAGAGGGCGGCCGGGGGGGAGCCGGCGAUCUCCUUCAUCUGCUCCUACGACAGUACGUCCAAGAGAGCUUUGGAGCGCGCCCGGAGCGGAGCCGCCGAUGUCCUUCGUCUGCUCCUGCGACAGUACAUCCAAGAGAGCUUUGGAGCGCCAGGAGGCCAUGGUUGGAGUGGUGCCGACAGAAGGAAGGGACCGGAGGAGAAUAGGUGUGGGUCUUUGGCUAUGGCUGGGAGCUGGGGCUCAAGUUAAUAUAGCGGGCGAAUGGCAAUGAACCGCGGUAGACGGAUGGACGACUGGCGCUGGAGUAGGUUCGCCAGCAGCCGCGUGUCAUUAAUGUGGGCGGUGAAUGGAAGUAUGGUCGCGGUGUCGUUAAAGCAGAGUAGUCACUUGCACCGGGAUGCCGCGCGGGUGGCGCUCUCUCGGCCGUCGCGCUGCUGCAAUGUCGGCGCCAGUGAGCAGUCGCGUCGGGCGUGAAUACGGAUGCUGCUUCAGUGACUUAACUGCAUGUGCGUUGGGUCACUGACAUGUGGGCCCGACGGGCAUCUGGCCCGCAUGUCAGUGACACACCAACUGCACCUGCAGUUAAGUCUGGUGAAUGCGGCAUUGACAUUCUGGAGAGACGGUGACCAUUUCAGGAGGGAAGCGCGUGCUAGCGAUGGAAGGGGUUUCGGUAGACCAGGGCGGUCAGACGCCGGCGUGGUGGUAAAAUGUGAACUCAUGGAUGACGAGCCUUUGAAGCGUAUGCGGCACGUAUUGACAACCAGGCAUCCAUGCAACCGCUCUUGCCGCCACCUAGCCUUCGAAGACCACCAUUAGACACCACACAACCAUGCAUAACUUACGAAUAAUGGACAAAUCGAUCAGACACACACUCGUGUGCAGUGGCACUAUGAUCGGUCGCUCACGAUAGUACAUACUACGUACCAUAGUACCCUCUCUAGCUAGGCUGUUUUAUAGAUUGUCGUUGUGAUGGACGAUAUACAUGAGCAAGGCGCUGAGUCACGAGUAUGACCGUUGGUGUUGAGCCAGGUGAAUACAUGCUCGGUGUUCACGGAGGCCUCCAGCGAACGUCUAAACAGUAAUGUCAGGCACUGCCGGGGCGCGCAGGCGACGGGAUCGCUGUCGGUGUCGAAACCGGCAGAUCUCGGGUAGGGGGUCCCAAACUGUGCGUCUAGGAUCGAUGGUAACAGGAGACGGGGGACACGAUGUUUACCCAGGUUCGGGCCCUCUCUAUGGAGGUAAUACCCUACUUCUUGCUUGAUUGAUCUUGAUGAAUAUGAGUGUUACACGAGUUGAUCUACCAUGAGAUCGUAAUGGCUAAACCCUAGAAGUCUAGCCUAUGUGAAUAUGGUAGUGAAUAUAUGCCUUCCGGACUAACCCCUCCGGUUUAUAUAGAUACCGGGGGGAUCUAGGGUUUACAUGGAGUUGGUUACAUAAGAAGGAAUCUUCAUAGUUGGUCGCCAAGCUUGCCCUCCACGCCAAGGAAAGUCCAAUCCGGACACGGGUAUAGUCUUCGGCCUUCGUAUCUUCAAAGCCCAUCAGUCCGGCCCAAUGAACAACAGGCCGGACGCCCGAGGACCCCUUAGUCCAGGACUCCCUCAGUAGCCCCUGAACCUGGCUUCAAUGACGAGGAGUCCGGCGCGCAGAUUGUCUUCGGCAUUGCAAGGCGGGUUCCCCUUUUUCCGAACUCCAAGAUAGUCUUCGGACGUGAUAAUCGUAUCCGGACCUGUUAUACACCAUACAUAGCUGCAGAGAGAACAUAAUAUUUGCACAAAUCUAAUCUGUUGACAGCUUCUUUUCAACACGACAUCGCGUCUGUCCGGUCAUAAUUUCGAACCGUUUUUCCUCUGCCAUCCCACGUCUCGAGACACGGUUGCUAUUGGCACGUCUUGUCGAAACAGAGAUUGUGUCCCCUUAUCGUGGGAUUCUCAUCAAUGCGGGCAUGGGUAACUCAACCGUGCCGUUUAUACAGCCCUUGGGAACAGGAGAAUCCUAAGGCGAGUGAGGAGGCGUUUAAUAUUUGUUGCCUUUAUAAGGAGAUAAGUGUUGGGAUUCGUAGCAUAAUUUUAAAAUUUUCCUACGCUCACCAAGAUGCAUCUAUGGAGUCUACUAGCAACUAGGGGAAGGAGUGGAUCUACAUACCCUUGUAGAUUGCGAGCGGAAGCGUUCCAAUGAACGUGGAUGACGGAGUCGUACUCGCCGUGAUCCAAAUCACCGAUGACCGAGUGCCGAACGUACGGCACCUCCGCGUUCAACACACGUACGAUGCAGCGAUGUCUCCUCCUUCUUGAUCCAGCAAGGGGGAAGGAGAGGUUGAUGGAGAUCCAACAGUACGACGGCGUGGUGGUGGAUGUAGCGGGUCUCCGGCAGGGCUUCGCCGAGCUUCUGCGAGAGAGAGAGAGAGAGAGAGAGAGAGAGAGAGNNNNNNNNNNNNNNNNNNNNNNNNNNNNNNNNNNNNNNNNNNNNNNNNNNNNNNNNNNNNNNNNNNNNNNNNNNNNNNNNNNNNNNNNNNNNNNNNNNNNNNNNNNNNNNNNNNNNNNNNNNNNNNNNNNNNNNNNNNNNNNNNNNNNNNNNNNNNNNNNNNNNNNNNNNNNNNNNNNNNNNNNNNNNNNNNNNNNNNNNNNNNNNNNNNNNNNNNNNNNNNNNNNNNNNNNNNNNNNNNNNNNNNNNNNNNNNNNNNNNNNNNNNNNNNNNNNNNNNNNNNNNNNNNNNNNNNNNNNNNNNNNNNNNNNNNNNNNNNNNNNNNNNNNNNNNNNNCCCUUUAUAUAGGCCCCUGGGGGGUGCGCCAGCCCCAAGAGAUGGGAUCUCAAGGGGGGCGGCGGCCAAGUGGGGGGGAAGGGGUGCCUUGCCCCCCAAGGCAAGGGGGAAGCUCCCCCCCUAGGGUUUCCAACCCUAGGCGCAUGGGGGGAGGCCCAAGGGGGGCGCCCCAGCCCACUAGGGGCUGGUUCCCUUCCACUUUCAUCCCAUGGGGCCCUCCGGGACAGGUGGCCCCACCCGGUGGACCCCCGGGACCCUUCCGGUGGUCCCGGUACAAUACCCGUAACCCCCGAAACUUUCCCGGUGGCCGAAACUUGACUUCCUAUAUAUAAUUCUUCACCUCCGGACCAUUCCGGAACCUCUCGUGACGUCCGGGAUCUCAUCCGGUACUCCGAACAACUUUUGGGUUUCCGCAUACAUAUAUCUCUACAACCCUAGCGUCACCGGACCUUAAGUGUGUAGACCCUACGGGUUCGGGAGACAUGCAGACAUGACCGAGACGCCUCUCCGGUCAAUAACCAACAGCGGGAUCUGGAUACCCAUGUUGGCUCCCACAUGCUCCACGAUGAUCUCAUCGGAUGAACCACGGUGUCGAGGAUUCAAUCAAUCCGUAUGCAAUUCCCUUUGUCAAUCGGUAUGUUACUUGCCCGAGAUUCGAUCGUCGGUAUCCCAAUACCUUGUUCAAUCUCGUUACCGGCAAGUCUCUUUACUCGUACCGCAAUGCAUGAUCCCGUGACUAACGCCUUAGUCACAUUGAGCUCAUUAUGAUGAUGCAUUACCGAGUGGGCCCAGAGAUACCUCUCCGUCACACGGAGUGACAAAUCCCAGUCUCGAUCCGUGCCAACCCAACAGACACUUUCGGAGAUACCCGUAAUGCACCUUUAUAGUCACCCAGUUACGUUGUGACGUUUGGCACACCCAAAGCACUCCUACGGUAUCCGGGCGAUCUCAUGGUCUAAGGAAAAGAUACUUGACGUUGGAAAAGCUCUAGCAAACGAAACUACACGAUCUUUUAUGCUAUGCUUAAGUUGGGUCUUGUCCAUCAUAUCAUUCUCCUAAUGAUGUGAUCCCGUUAUCAAUGACAUCCAAUGUCCAUAGUCAGGAAACCAUGACUAUCUGUUGAUCAACGAGCUAGUCAACUAGAGGCUUACUAGGGACAGUUGUGGUCUAUGUAUUCACACAUGUAUUACGAUUUCCGGACAAUACAAUUAUAGCAUGAAUAAUAGACAACUAUCAUGAACAAAGAAAUAUAAUAAUAACCUUUUAUUAUUGCCUCUAGGGCAUAUUUCCAACAGUCUCCCACUUGCACUAGAAUGAAUAAUCUAGUUACAUUGUGAUGAAUCGAACACCCAUUGCGUCCUUGUUGGGUGGUUGGUGCGACAUAUACCAAGGGAUGGCUUAUCAUUGUGGGAGCCAAUAAAACAUCGCCGGUGCCUGGAAACGGGAUGAGGCGAAGACAUGCACGCCGGCGAAUCUUACCCAGGUUCGGGGCUCUCCGAGGAGAUAACACCCCUAGUCCUGCUCUGCGGGGUCUCCGCAUGAUCACUAGAUCGAUAAAGGGUAGCUACAAUCGCUCCUAGAGCUGUUGGGAUCAAGGGAGAAGAAGAACAAGGCUAGCUCUUGCUUCUCUCUAUCUAUGUGUGUGCGUGUGCUAUGCUUGAAGGCCAAACAUGCAGAAGUGCGAACCAGAAGCGAACCCUUUGCAUGGGUGCUCCGGGGGGUUUAUAUAGGCCUACCCCCAGGGGGUACAAUGGUAAUCCGACUGGGAGCGGGUCCCAGCCGUCAGUGUCUAUGCUUGCCGGCUUCUCCACCGGCUGCUGGGUCCCGCCGGCGGCCGGCUACUUGGUCGACAGGCCGGCCCCACCGCCUAGGGCUUUGUCGGCGGCUGCUUACUGUAGCCGCGCCUCUGAUGAUGAGGGCUUUGUCGAGGUGAGCGUGGCUACAGUGGGCCGCCUCGGAGGCUAUCACUGUAGCCUCACCUCGUCUUGUCUCCUUAAUGGGGCUCCUGCUUCGAGGAAGGGCAUAGCCGGCUUCUGGAGGCCGGCUAUGCUCCCGGCCGACUAGGAAAAUCCGGGCCGCCUUCACGCCUCUCUCUGGCUGAAGGGGCCCGCAGUCCUUGGGUCGUACAGGAAUGGGUCGUGGAUGACGUCGAGGCUAACGUGGCUACAGUGCUGGGCCGCACGGGAGACCUCCCUCCCGUACGGCCUCCUGUAGCCAUGCCCGCCUCGGGCUUCGGGGGUCGUGGGCCGCACUGUGGCCAUGCCCCGUCAGGUCGUCGUUAUGUAGGAGUGGUUGUGGUCGUGGCCGGUUUCUAGGAGUCGGCGUCCUUCUUGGCCGGCUCCUUGGAGUCGGCGAGGCUGGGUCGCCUUCCGGGAGUCGGCUUUAGUGGUGACCGGCCGGGGAAGGCGGCCCAAAUGCUUGGAGUGCUUGAAGGCCCAAAGGCCUGAUAAAUUUUCUGAAGAGCCAGGGGUAGUCGGUUAGGCUACCCGUGGCCACUUACUCCGACAGUAGUCCCCGAAGCUGAUCGGCCUUCGAGGUGGAGUAGGGUUUUAGAAGCUCGAACAGCUUCCUAUCAUGACAAGCCGGCAGCUGGGAGCUGGCCUUGGUCAGGCACGCCGCCUGAGCCGAAAUCUUCUGGAGUCGGAGGGCGGGAACCCACUGGUACGUGCGCCGGGCCGCGGGCCGGCCACGGGCCGACGGCGCGCCACGUAGCCGGAAAGCCUGCCAGCCCACGCGCGUGACGGGAUGUUGCCGCAGCGAGGGGGCCCGCCACGUCCGUGCCCCGGCCCAGGCGCGGAUCUUUUGUAUCCCGAAACUGCCCGCACGUUCCGUGCGGCAGUUUCGGCUCGCACUUAUGCGUAAUAAACGCGAGGCGUGGGGGGAGUGGGCGCAGUUAAUCCCAUGUCUCCCCCCACGUCCGGGGUCUUCAGCCGCGUGAGGCUAUAAGUAGGGGGAGGCGGAGGGCGGCAGACCCUCGCACGCUCCUCCUACUCCCUUUGUCUUCUCGUCUUGCUCGUUCUUGCGACAGCGCCUCGCCGCCGCGCUCUUCCCCCGCACGCUCCUCCGCCGCCGUGCUAGCUUCCGCUAUGCCUCCUCACGUCGAGCAGCUUGGCGGGGAUUGGGAUGGCUCCAUCGUCCACAACGACCACAUCGACUUCCUCCGCGACACCCGGCGCCUGCCCAGCACGGACAAAGUGGAGGUCCGCCUUGCGCCGGAGAAGGAGGUCAGGCCGGCGCCGCGGGAUGGCGAGCGGGUGAUCUUCCGCUCGCACUUCCUGCGUGGCUUCGGACUGCCAGUGAGCGCCUUCUUCCGCUCCUGGCUGGACUUCUAUCAGCUCCAGCCGCACCACCUCACCCCCAACGCGGUGGUGCUGCUGUCGGCCUUCGUCACCCUGUGCGAGGGCCAUCUCGGCGUCCUCCCCACCCUCGAGCUCUGGGGGGAGUUCUUCCAGUCGAAGCUGGGUACGCGCGUGCGGGGCGUGCCGGCUCAGACCGGCGCCUUCAUCGCGUCACGGAGAUCAGGCGCCGACAACCCCUUCCCCAUCAUCACGCUGAUCCAAUCGGUGAAGAAGUGGCAGAAGUCAUACUUCUACGUGCGGAACAUGGUGAACUACCUCGUCAACUGCCAGCUUCCCGACGACUGGCAAUUCGGCAAGGAGCCAUACAACCGCGCCAAUCCUCCACCUACGGUACGCUCCCCUUCUCUUUUUCUCUUUUUCUCUCUCAGCUCUGUCGCCGAGUUCCUCUGGGCCGACUCUAACUCAGUCGGCUCACUCUUUUGACAGAAUCCUCUGCUUCGGCCGGCCGGCGGAGCGGACGUGGAACGCCGCUUCGUCCCCGACCGGACCGAGCACGACCAGGAGGACCCCGAUCUGGGGGCGGUCCAUAUGGAGGACGCCGCCAAGCCGGCUGGUGGCCAAGCCGGCGGCGAAGCAGGCGGCGCCGGGUUCUCCGCGACCUUCGACGACUGGCCGGACGAGGACGAAGCCGAAGCCGUCCCGCCCCGCUAGCCGGCCUUCGGACGCGGCGCGGGCUCCUCCGGCGCGCAGCCUGCUCGAGGUAGAGGCCAGAAACGUCGCGCCACCCAGGGCAUGUUCGGCAGCCGGACGAAGAAGCCGAGGGGUGGAGCGGCAGCCACUAGGCGGGAAGAAGCGGCCGCGAAGGCGGCUCGUUUCCGCAAAGUGGUGAAGCAGCCGCAGGCUGUGUCAGCGUAAGCUUUCUCUCUUUCUGUGUAUUCUCCUUCUUUCUUUUCUUGGGUGGUUUUCUGAACCUUUGUCUUCUUUUCCUUGAUCAGAGCUCCACUGUCACUCGAGCGGGCGGCUGCCUGCUCCGUUGUCGAGUCGCCAGGGGGCUCUGGGAGCACCACCCGCCGCGUAGAUCCCCGUGCCGCCCUCCUGGAGGCGACGGAAAGGAACGCGCGGGAGGUGCGGGAGGAGCAGGAAGCGCGGGAGGCGGUGGCACGGAGGGCAGCCGCCGCCCAGGCAGCUCGGGAGGAGGAGGCGGCGAAGGCGCUCGCCGAGGCUGCAGCCAAGGCCCAGGAAGAGGCUGAGGCCGAAGCGGUGGCAGGGGAGGCCUUGAUGGUCACCCCCCUGCGCGCCAUGGCGCCCGGGGACGCGGAUCCCUCGCCAGGGGGAGCCAGCGGUUCCCAGCCGGGUCUGGGCAGGAGCGGCGACGACGUUAUCCUCUUGAGGGAGGCGCCGGGGCCGACUCCUCCGACUAGGGCGGCCCAAGGCGGCCAGACUGAGCCUGCGCCCGCACAGUCGGCGGAAGGCGAGCCGGUCGCGGGAGCUGAGGUGGCGGUCCGGGUUCCGCCAAGCCGGCGCGCAGGGAAGGCCGCGUCGGAGCCGCAGAAGGCGGCGUCGGAGCCACGGCCGGCCGUGGGCUCCAGCUCGUCGGCCCGAGACGCGGAGGCGGCCAGCGCUACCUCCGGGUGGACGCCAGGCGGAGGGACAGCCGUGGUGAACAUCGCUGCACAAGACGUCCGGACCCGGCUCCAGGGCCAAGCCGCGGCGCUGAGGCAGUUCACCGACGAAUUCCUCGCGACGCGGGCAGCCAUCCGGGUUAGUAUUCUCAUUUUGUUCUUGAUUUUUCUCGUGGGGGCGCGUCAGCGCACCCACUGGGUGUAGUCCCCGAGUUCCGAGUCGGCUGCUGAGCAGGCGGCUUGGAACUUCUUGGAGAUUUUGUUUUUGCUGCUUUGUUCUUACUUCGGUCUUCUGUCCAUCUUGCAGGACUACCACAACCUCCGAGCAGCCGCCUUCAACUCCCAGGCUCGGGAGCUGACGCAGAAGACCGCCGAUCUCACUGAAAGCCGAGGUAUGUGACUUGAUCUCUAUCUCAUGUGGGGGCGCGUCAGCGCACCCACUGGGUGUAGUCCCCGAGAUUCGGGCCGACUGCUGAGCAGUCGGCUCGGAUCUUCCUUGAUGGUUUCUCAUUGUUCUUCUUCUCUAUCUCUGCAGCGGCCAACGCCAGUCUGAGGGCACAGCUGGGGGAGUCCCAGACUGCUCUUCGUGCCAAGGACGCGGAGCUCGCCGCCUUGGUGCAGGAGCGCGACCGCCUGGUCAAGAAGCUGGCCGACCAGGAGGAAGGCCACAAGGCUGCGCUAAAGGCUGUGCAGGAUCGUGAAGCCACCCUCCAGGCCGAGUUCGAGACGGAGGCGGCCGGCUGGGACGAGGCCAGGCAGACUCUGGUCUCCGGCUAUGGCCAGAUUGAGGACCUGGUUGACGGUAAGUCGUCUACUCCUUCAUCCUUUCUUGCCAACAGCCACUUCGGCUCGUUUUCCUGAUUUGGGGUUCUUCUUUUCUUUUCUUCUUUGCGCAGAGUACUUCCCCGGCUAUUCCACUGCCGCCAACCAGGCCAUCGAAGCUCGUCGCCAGGCGAAGAGGCAAGCCGGCUUCGAGAUCUCGCCGACCGCCGGCCGCUCGUUGGAGGAGCAGCUCCUGGCGAUCCAGGCUCGCAUCCAGCCGGCUCACAGGCUGCUCCGCCGGCUUCAGAGUGCCGGGUCACAGGUCCUGGCCGCCCUCUGGCCCGGCCAAGUGAUCCCGCGCACUCCCAGUCGGACCGCCGACUGGCUGGAGGUGGCCGUCGGCCGCUUCGAGGCUUGGAAGGCGUCAGCGGCUCGCUCCGGAGCCGGGCGGGCGCUGGAGUUCGUCAAGGCCUGGUACCCAGGCCUGAAUUUGGACCAGCUGGCCACCUGGCGGCAGCAAGCUGACACGGAGCUGGAGCCGGCGCGGCCGGCCAUCAUUCGGCGGGCUUCGGCGAUCGCCGACUACACCGACACCAACGUCUUCGCCCCCGAGGUGGACGACAAUGGAGUCGCCCAGCCGGAAGAUUGGUUCGGGCUGGACCCGGCGUGCGGCGAGGACUCGGCGGAGGAGAUCGACUCCAGCAACGAGGGCGAAGAGGAGGAGGAGGAGGGUGAAGACGUCGAGCCGGCUGGCGGAGUAGCCGGCCAGCCUGACCGUGCCUCCAGCACUACGUCGCGUGCGAGCGUGUCUCCUGCCGCAGGAGGUGGUCAAGCCGGGACUAGCUAGGCGGCCACUCCUUCAGCCGGCGAGCUACCUUCACCGACCCACUCGGCCUCCAAGUCGCACCUUAGUCUUCUUUCCUUUAUUUCCCUGUCUUGUUACUUUGAACAAUAUUUGGUUAAGUCUGCACAAUUCCACCCACUGGGUGUAUUCAAACUUAAGUCUGUUGCCAGCCUGUGGGCGGCUUUAUGUAUAUAAGUUAUGCAAUCGGUCUUUCCUUGUACUUUCGCUUUUUGUCCUUUUGCAUUUUUCCUUUGCCGCCCUCCUUUAGAUGCCGCCUCCCUAGUCAAACAGCUGCUCUGCAAACUGUAGCCGGGGAGUGCCUGGCCGAUUGGGGAGGGGGAAGUACUUUUAGCUCUGUCGGACUUAAGCUAAGUUUUUUAGAAAGCCGGCUAGCCGGCUGCUGUGACAGCCGGUAGGCAUAUACGGAGGCCGUCUUUUUGCUAUAUAGAUUAGUUGUUCCUUAGCCGUUUUUCGUGUGGGCGUCCUGUCUGUCUUCUCUCUUGCUAGUCGGACAGUCAGUUCUUUGAGCUGCGACUUUCAACAAGAGAGGACUUGGGAGCCGGCGCACUACUUUGCUGACUUCGGGAAGAACUUAGAAUAUAGCUCAAGGCGGCCAGUCCCCGGGCCGACUAGUCGGACCCGGUGCCGGACAAGAAUUCGAAAAUGUAAUAAUACAUUCAUGGAUAUGACACUCGUCAUUCAUAGAUAAAUAAAAGGCAGUCCCCGAGUACUGUUCGGGGGGGCUGUUGGUUUGUAACGUAAUACAAAAAGGGGGUAGCGUGAUACAUACUGCUUUUCAGCUGUAAAAUCGUCUUAGGAGGUUUGCGUUCCAUGGUCGCUCCGACUCCUUGCCGGAGUCGUCUCUCUUGCGUGCUCUUGGCUUUUGCGCGUCGAUCAAGUAGUAGGAGUCGUUGCUGAGUGCCUUGCUGACGACGAAGGGGCCUUCCCAAGGGGCCGAGAGCUUGUGCUGGCCGGCUAUUCGCUGGAUCAGCCGGAGCACAAGGUCGCCCUCUUGGAAGGAUCUUGGCUUGACCUUGCGGUUGUAGUAGCGGCGCAGGCCUUGCUGGUAGAUGGCGGACCGGCUGAGGGCUAACAGCCGGCCUUCUUCCAGUAGGUCGACGUCGUCUUCUCUUGCUUCUUUGGCUUCCUCCUCCGUGUACAUGGUGAUCCAAGGCAAGUCGAACUCGAUGUCUGUUGGGAUGACAGCCUCGGAACCGUACACAAGGAAGAAUGGAGUGAAGCCGGUUGACUUGUUGGGUGUAGUGCGCAGACUCCAGAGGACAGCCGGCAGCUCUUCGAGCCAGCAACCGGCCGAUCGCUCCAGUGGUACAACCAGUCGGGGCUUGAUGCCGGAGAGGAUAAGUCCAUUUGCUCGCUCGACCUGGCCGUUUGACUGUGGGUGGGCGACGGACGCUAAGUCCAGGCGGAUGCCCUGUGUCGCGCAGAAACGCGCCAGUGCGCCUUUGGCGAAGUUCGUGCUGUUGUCGGUGAUGAUGCUGUGCGGCAUGCCGUACCGAGUAGUGAUGUCGGUGAUGAACGUCACGGCAGUCGGCCCGUUCAGCUUCUUGAUGGGCUUGGCUUCGAUCCACUUUGUGAACUUGUCCACAGCAACGAGUAGGUGCGUCAUGCCACCGCGGGCUGUCUUGAAAGGGCCCACCAUGUCCAAUCCCCAGACGGCAAAAGGCCAGGUGAGGGGGAUGUUCUUGAGGGCAGAAGCCGGCAGGUGUUGUUUGGAACUGAAGACUUGACACCCUCUGCAGCUCCUCACUAUUUCUUUAGCAUCCUCCAAGGCAGUCGGCCAGAAGAACCCAUGGUGGAAAGCCUUGGCCACGAGGGAUCUUGAGGCGGCGUGGUGGCCGCAUUCGCCUUGGUGGAUGUCUUUGAGGAUUGCCACUCCUUUUUCUGGCUCGACGCAAUGCUGGAAGACUCCAGUGACGCUGCGCUUCACAAGCUCCCUAUUGAUUAUUGUGUAUGCUGCGGCUCGUCGUUGCACUAGUCUUGCUGCGAUCUCAUCAGUCGGCAGUGGUUGACUAGGAACUUGAGGAUGGGCUGGGCCCAUGAGGGAGCUGUGACUUCUUCUGCUGUUAAUGUGGCCACCAUGACUCGGGUGGGUGGGUUGGGUGUUGUAUUGGAGUCGACCGCCGCUUCUUGUGUCGUUGCAGUCCCCGGGCCGGGUUCUGAAGUCCCUGGGCCGGGUGCGACUACGUCAGUCCCCGGGGCAGUCGUCGAAGUCCCCGUGCCGCCUGCCGAAUUUCUUGAGCCGGAUCCGGCUGUUUCUGGCGCAGGCGGUAUGAAGGUGGAGUCCGACUCUGGAGACGACUUGAUGGACGGCUUGAGGAGGCGCUGGAGGGAGACGCCAGUCGGUAUGGCUUGUCGGGUGGAGCCGAUCCAUGCUAGGGCAUCUGCUUGGUCGUUGUCGGCCCUUGGCACAUGAAGGAACUCGCACCCUUCGAAGUAUCCGCUCAUCUGCUGGACGAGGAAGCGGUAGCUCGCCAUGUUCGCGUCCUUGGCGUCCCAGUCGCCAGAUGAUUGCUGGACCACUAAGUCGGAGUCGCCGUAGCACAGGAUCCGGCGUAUGCCGAGUUCUUUGGCUAGCCGGAGCCCAUGUACGAGCGCCUCAUACUCGGCCACGUUGUUGGAGGCGGCGAAGUGGAUCUGCAACGUGUACUUGAGCUUGUCGCCUUUGGGAGAGGUGAGGACGAUGCCGGCUCCCAAGCUGGUGCGCAUCUUGGACCUGUCAAAGUGCAUCCGCCAAUGGGUAGAGUCGGGAGCCGGCGGUAAGUACUGGGUCUCGGCCCAGUCGACGAGGAAGUCGGCCAAUGCUUGCGACUUGAUGGCGGUGCGGGGUUGAUAGAAAAUCGUGUAGGGCGCCAAGGCAAUGGCCCAUUAGGCCACCCGGCCGGAUGCAUCCCGGCUGCCUAUGAUCUCGGCGAGCGGGGCAGUGCACACGACCGUGAUGGGGUGCUCUUGGAAGUAGGGCUUCAAUUUCUUGGCAGCGAAGUACACCCCAUAGCACAUCUUUUGGUAGUGCGGGUAGUUUUGCUUUGAGCUGGACAGUACUUCGCUGAGAUAGUAGACCGACCUCUGGACCAGCUGAGCUCGGCCUUCCUCCGGGCGCUGGACCACAACAACAGUGCUGAUGACUCGGCUUGUCGCGGCGAUGUAGAGGAGCAUGGGCUCCUUCUCAGUCGGCGCAGCCAGGACAGGCGGAGUAGUCAACAUUUUCUUCAACUCAUGGAAGGCUUGGUCGGCUUGAUCAUUCCACUCAAAGUGAGUGGACUUCUUCAUGAGUCGGUACAGGGGGAGAGCCUUCUCUCCUAGUCGGCUGAUAAAACGGUUCAGGGAGGCUAAGCAGCCAGUGAACUUCUGCACAUCUCGCAGUUUGGUGGGAAUCUCCAUCCUCUCGAUGGCUUUGAUCUUGACAGGGUUGCACUCAAUGCCGCGUUCGGAGACCAGGAAGCCUAGCAGCUGGCCGGCUGGCACUCCGAACACGCACUUCUCGGGGUUGAGCUUGAUCUGGAAUCGGCGCAAGUUGGCAAAUGUUUCCUUCAGGUCUUCCAGCAAGGUACCACGCUUCUCUGUCUUCACCACAAUGUCGUCUACGUAGACGUGGGCAUUUCUGCCGAGUUGUUUCAAGAGACAUUUCUGCAUGCAACGCUGAAAAGUGGCACCGGCGUUUCUCAAGCCGAAUGUCAUUGUCAGGUAGCAGAAAGCUCCAAAGGGUGUGAUGAAGGCAGUCUUCAGGGGGUCGGCCGGGUCCAACUUGAUCUGAUGAUACCCUGAGUAUGCAUCCAAGAAACUUAACAGCUCGCAUCCGGCUGUGGAGUCUAUCACUUGGUCAAUCCGUGGCAAAGCAAACGGAUCCUUUGGGCAGGCCUUGUUCAGACUUGUGUAUUCUAUACACAUGCGCCACUUGUUAUUCUUCUUCAAAACCAGAACUGGAUUGGCAAGCCAUUCUGGAAAGAACACUUCCAUGAUGAAGCCGGCUGCAAGGAGCCGGGCUAUCUCUUCUCCCACGAUUCUUCGCUUCUCUUCUGAUAGUCGGCGGAGGGGUUGCUUGACCGGCUUCGCAUCAGCUCGGACAUGUAAUUUGUGCUCGGCGAAAUCCUUCGGGACACCCGGCAUGUCCUUUGGGGACCAUGCAAAGAUGUCUCGAUUCUCACGGAGGAAGUCGGCGAGCUCGCCUUCCUAUUUACUGUCCAAGUUCGCCCCAAUCACGGCGAACCUCUCCGGGUGCUCCGGGUCUAGAGGUAUCUUCUUCGUCUCUUUUGCAGGCUGGAAGGAGCCCUGCGCAUCACAGUCCUUGGGGUUGGGGGACAAGGCCGGCUGCUUGCCGGCCAUGGCCACAACCCGUUCCAACAUCUUCUUCUCUUCUGCCACCACGAGGGACUCGGCCAGCCGGCUGCUGGCCAUGGCACACUCGAUGGACUUCUUGUAGUCGCCGGCUAUCGUGAUGAUCCCUUUCGAGCUCGGCAUCUUCAUCUUCAGGUAGGCAUAGUGGGGCACAGCCAUGAACUUGGCCAAAGCAGGUCGGCCAAGCAGUGCAUGAUAGGGGCUCUCCAAAUCCACCACCUCGAACCAUAUUGCUUCCCGGCGAAAAUGAUCUUUGUCUCCGAAGAGAACAUCCAUCUUGAUCUUGCCGAUUGGAGAGCAAGAUAGGCCGGGUACGAUACCAUGGAAGACUGUGCGGCUCGGCAUGAGCUGCUUUGCUUUGAUGUUCAGCUUGUCCAUGGUAUCGCGGUACAGUAUGUUGAUACUGCUUCCGCCGUCUAUCAGGACGCGAGAAAAUCUGGCAGCUCGCCUCUCCGUCGCAAGGGUGAUGUCCAAGACCAUAGCAUAGGAGCCAGGCGAAGGCAUCACCUCUGGGUGGUCGGCCUGGCUCCAGCUGAUGGGCUUUUCCGACCAGUGCAUGAACUCGGCGGUGCUAGAGGCGACUGCGUUUACUUCUUGGUGCUGCCGGCGUCGGCUGCGCUUGUCGUCGACUUGACUUGUGAAGACGACGUAGGCGUCGUGCGCUUCGGGGAACUCGUCUUGGAUGGCGCCGACUGCCGGCCGGGCCGCCGGCUGCGGGGGAGCUGGAGGCGGCGGGCCGGGAGGCGGAGGCGGCACCAUCCCUUCGCCCUUGGUGGUGCGGGUGAGACAGUGGCAUUUCCGUGUUGUAUGGUUGGACGGCUUCGCGCCGCUGUGGAACUUGCAGGGAGCAUCGAGUGCUUGUUUGUAGGAGAAGGACGGCUGCCAAGGCGGCCGGCCUCCCUUCUUCUUGGGAGCACGCCGCUCUUCGGGCUGCUCGUCUUCAAUGGUGGCCACCUGCCGACUGGAGGAAGUCGGCAUGGGGCCCUUGCGCUUGUGGUCGUUCUGGUAGGGGCGCCGGUUGGGGUUGCCAGCCGGCUGCUUGGGAGCCGGGGCAACCACUUUCCCCGAGGCGUCCACUCGGAGCUCGGUCUUCAUGGAGGAAUCGGCAGUAGCGUAUUUGUCGGCGAUGACGAGUAGCUCGUCGAGGGUAGCCGGCUCGUCGCAGAGGAGUCGGUGCUUGAGGAGGGUGCCCUCUCGGCACCCGGCAGUGAAGUACUCGAUGGCCUGGACCUCGUGCACUCCCUCGCAGGAGUUGCGGAGCUCGGCCCAUCGCGUGAGGUAGUCGCGGGUCGACUCGUUGGGCCCCUGGACGCAGAGGGAGAGCUGGCGAGGCUUGGGAGGCCGCUUGUAGGUGCUGGUGAAGUUGCGGACGAAAACUUCGGUGAAGUCCAGCCAACUGUUGAUGCUGUAGGGCUUGAGGCUAUUGAGCCAUGUGCGCGCCGUGCCCUGCAGCAUCAGGGGGACGUACUUCACGGCAACGCGCCGGUUGCCGUUGGUGAUGCUGACGGCUGUGGAGUAGUCGAUGAGCCAAUCUUCCGGCUUCACCGAGCCGUUGUACUUGGGCGUGUCUCUGGGGAGCGAGAACCCUUUGGGAAAGGGCUCGUCGCAGAUGCGGGGGCCGAAGCAUGGCGGGCCGACAUCGUCUUCUUCUUCUAACACCAAGGAUCGAGCUAGGCGAUCGAUCCUGUGGCGGGCGUCGUUCUCGCCGACUCCUUCUCGGCGGCCGAGUCGGUCGCCAAGAGUCGGAUGCGUGACAGGCGGUGGAGUGAGGCGUCUUUCUCUUCGAGGCGGGGGAGGAGGCAGGUUUCCUUGGUGUUCAACCGCCCGAGGGCGACCAUCCGCGUCGCGCUCGAUAGUGACGCGAGUCCGGCUGCGGCUGGCAGCCGGCUCCUUGUCUUUCUUCUGACGCACACCGCUCGCAGUCGGCGAGCGGGACGUCGCGGCGUGCUCCCGGCGCGGGGGAUGGCUAUCAGCUCGGGCGCCGGCUUCGUGUCGUUCUGCAUCCGCGUCGAUCAGCUGCUGGAUCCGUCUCGUCAUGUAGGGGAGCUCAUCGACUCCCAUCCCACUGAGCUCCUCUGCAGCCGCCUGAGCGGCUCGCAGAUUCUCGAGCGGGGUGGCGUAGACGGGGCGAUCUGCGCCCAGCAUGCUGGCAACGGCUGCGCCGCGCUUCUGGACGAAGCCGGCUCGGCUCGGGCCGCUAGGCGGCGGCGUCCCGAAGGCGGCGCGGUCAACUUCGCGCUGGUGGGCCUCGGUGAGACGUCUCAUCGAGGCUAUCUUCUUGCCCUCCGCGAUGAGGGCACGGCGGCGUGCCUCCAGGGUCUCGGCGUCGGCGUCGGCCGGGAUGGGGACGGAGAGGUCGUGCAUCGCCGCUCGCUGAGCGUCGCGGGCGUUCUCGCCCGAGUCGGAGACGUGGCUGAUGACCAUCACUUCGGUGACAGCGCUGUUGCCGCUGUCAGCUCGAGGGAGUGGGUCGUCGAAGACCACCACGUUGGAGGGGUAAGCGUCGAGCGACGCGGUGUUGGAGUCGAUGAGCAUCGGGUCGGUGGAGCCGACAGACUCCAUGUCCGCGGCAGGCUCGCUGGAGACGUGAAGUUGGUCGAGGAGGCUGACAAGGCGGCUCUCGGGGUAGUCGGUGCCUGCGUCGGACGCAGGCUCGUCGGAGAUGCGAGUCUCGCCGAGCAGAUCGGCGAGGCGGCUCGCUGCGCAGGCGUCCUCGACGCCUUGCAGCGCGUCGGGGCAAGCGCCAUCGGGCGCAGCAGGCUGGCUGCGCUCGCGGGGAAGGAAGAGGGUUCCCGUCCAGAACAGGUCUCCGGACGACGGUGCACCUGGCCCCACGGUGGGCGCCAAAUGUCGGGUGGUUGGUGCGACAUAUGCCAAGGGAUGGCUUAUCAUUGUGGGAGCCAAUAAAACGUCGUCGGUGCCUGGAAACAGGAUGAGGCGAAGACAUGCACGCCGGCGAAUCUUACCCAGGUUCGGGGCUCUCCGAGGAGAUAACACCCCUAGUCCUGCUCUGCGGGGUCUCCGCAUGAUCACUAGAUCGAUAAAGGGUAGCUACAAUCGCUCCUAGAGCUGUUGGGAUCAAGGGAGAAGAAGAACAAGGCUAGCUCUUGCUUCUCUCUAUCUAUGUUUGUGCGUGUGCUAUGCUUGAAGGCCAAACAUGCAGAAGUGCGAACCAGAAGCGAACCCUUUGCAUGGGUGCUCCGGGGGGUUUAUAUAGGCCUACCCCCCGGGGGUACAAUGGUAAUCCGACUGGGAGCGGGUCCCAGCCGUCAGUGUCUAUGCUUGCCGGCUUCUCCGCCGGCUGCUGGGUCCCGCCGGCUGCUGGGUCCCGCCGGCGGCCGGCUACUUGGUCGACAGGCCGGCCCCACCGCCUAGGGCUUUGUCGGCGGCUGCUUACUGUAGCCGCGCCUCUGAUGAUGAGGGCUUUGUCGAGGUGAGCGUGGCUACAGUGGGCCGCCUCGGAGGCUAUCACUGUAGCCUCACCUCGUCUUGUCUCCUUAAUGGGGCUCCUGCUUCGAGGAAGGGCAUAGCCGGCUUCUGGAGGCCGGCUAUGCUCCCGGCCGACUAGGAAAAGCCAGGCCGCCUUCACGCCUCUCUCUGGCUGAAGGGGCCCGCAGUCCUUGGGUCAUACAGGAAUGGGUCGUGGAUGACGUCGAGGCUAACGUGGCUACAGUGCCGGGCCGCACGGGAGACCUCCCUCCCGUACGGCCUCCUGUAGCCAUGCCCGCCUCGGGCUUCGGGGGUCGUGGGCUGCACUGUGGCCAUGCCCCGUCAGGUCGUCGUUAUGUAGGAGUGGUUGUCGUGGCCGGUUUCUAGGAGUCGGCGUCCUUCUUGGCCGGCUCCUUGGAGUCGGCGAGGCUGGGUCGCCUUCCGGGAGUCGGCUUUAGUGGUGAUCGGCCGGGGAAGGCGUCCCAAAUGCUUGGAGUGCUUGAAGGCCCAAAGGCCUGAUAAAUUUUCUGAAGAGCCAGGGGUAGUCGGUUAGGCUACCCGUGGCCACUUACUCCGACAGUCCUGGUGUUGAUCAUGUUUUGCCCUAGGGAGAGGUUUAGUCAACGGAUCUGCUACAUUCAGGUCCGUGUGUACUUUACAAAUUUCUAUGUCUCCAUUUUGAACACUUUCACGAAUGGAGUUGAAGCGACGCUUGAUAUGCCUGGUCUUCCUGUGAAACCUGGGCUCCUUCGCAAGGGCAAUAGCUCCAGUGUUGUCACAGAAGAGAGUCAUUGGACCCGACGCAUUGGGAAUCACCCCUAGGUCGGUAAUGAACUCCUUCAUCCAGACUGCUUCCUGUGCUGCCUCCGAGGCUGCCAUGUAUUCCGCUUCACAUGUAGAUCCCGCCAUGACGCUUUGCUUGCAACUACACCAGCUUACUGCUCCUCCAUUCAAAAUAUACACGUAUCCGGUCUGUGACUUCGAGUCAUCCAGAUCUGUGUCGAAGCUAGCGUCGACGUAACCCUUUACGACGAGCUCUUCGUCACCUCCAUAAACGAGAAACAUAUCCUUAGUCCUCUUCAGGUACUUCAGGAUAUUCUUGACCGUUGUCCAGUGUUCCUUGCCGGGAUUACUUUGGUACCUUCCUACCAAACUUACGGCAAGGUUUACAUCAGGUCUGGUACACAGCAUGGCAUACAUAAUAGACCCUAUGGCCGAGGCAUAGGGGAUGACACUCAUCUCUUCUAUAUCUUCUGCCGUGGUCGGGCAUUGAGCCGUGCUCAAUUGCACACCUUGCAAUACAGGCAAGAACCCCUUCUUGGACUGAUCCAUACUGAACUUCUUCAAUAUCUUGUCAAGGUAUGUACUCUGUGAAAGACCAAUGAGGCGCCUUGAUCUAUCUCUAUAGAUCUUGAUGCCUAAUAUAUAAGCAGCUUCUCCAAGGUCCUUCAUUGAAAAACACUUAUUCAAAUAGGCCUUUAUACUUUCCAAGAAUUCUAUAUCAUUUCCCAUCAAUAGUAUGUCAUCCACAUAUAAUAUGAGAAAUGCUACGGAGCUCCCACUCACUUUCUUGUAAACACAGGCUUCUCCAUAAGUCUGUGUAAACCCAAACGCUUUGAUCAUCUCAUCAAAGCGAAUGUUCCAACUCCGAGAUGCUUGCACCAGCCCAUAGAUUGAGCGCUGGAGCUUGCAUACUUUGUUAGCAUUCUUAGGAUCGACAAAACCUUCCGGCUGCAUCAUAUACAACUCUUCCUUAAGGAAGCCGUUAAGGAAUGCCGUUUUGACGUCCAUCUGCCAUAUCUCAUAAUCAUAGUAUGCGGCAAUUGCUAACAUGAUUCGGACGGACUUCAGCUUCGCUAUGGGUGAGAAAGUCUCAUCGUAGUCAACCCCUUGAACUUGUCGAUAACCCUUAGCGACAAGUCGAGCUUUGUAGAUGGUCGAAUUACCAUCUGCGUCCGUCUUCUUCUUAAAGAUCCAUUUGUUUUCUAUGGCUCGCCGCUCAUCGGGCAAGUCAGUCAAAGUCCAUACUUUGUUUUCAUACAUGGAUUCUAUCUCGGAUUUCAUGGCUUCUAGCCAUUUGUCGGAAUCCGGGCCCGCCAUCGCUUCUUCAUAGUUCGAAGGUUCACCGUUGUCUAACAACAUGAUUUCUAGGACAGGGUUGCCGUACCACUCUGGUGCGGAACGUGUCCUUAUGGACCUACGAAGUUCAGUGACUUGAUCUGUAGCUUCAUGAUCAUCAUCAUUAACUUCCUCUCCAGUCGGUGUAGGCACCAUAGGAACAUUUUCCCGCGCUGCGCUACUUUCCGGCUCGGAAGGGGUGACUAUCACCUCAUCAAGUUCCACUUUCCUCCUACUCAAUUCUUUCGAGAGAAACUCCUUCUCCAGAAAGGACCCGUUCCUGGCAACGAAGAUUUUGCCUUCGGAUCUGAGGUAGAAGGUAUACCCAAUAGUUUCCUUAGGGUAUCCUAUGAAGACGCAUUUUUCCGACUUGGGUUCGAGCUUUUUAGGUUGAAGUUUCUUGACAUAAGCAUCGCAUCCCCAAACUUUUAGAAACGACAGCUUAGGUUUCUUCCCAAACCAUAAUUCAUACGGUGUCGUCUCAACGGAUUUCGACGGAGCCCUAUUUAAAGUGAAUGCGGCAGUCUCUAAAGCAUAACCCCAAAAUGAGAGCGGUAAAUCGGUAAGAGACAUCAUAGAUCGCACCAUAUCCAAUAGAGUGCGAUUACGACGUUCGGACACACCAUUUCUCUGAGGUGUUCCAGGCGGCGUGAGUUGUGAAACUAUUCCACAUUUCCUUAAGUGUGCACCAAACUCGUGACUUAAAUAUUCUCCACCACGAUCUGAUCGUAGGAAUUUUAUUCUCCUGUCACGUUGAUUCUCAACCUCACUCUGAAAUUCUUUGAACUUUUCAAAGGUUUCAGACUUGUGUUUCAUUAGGUAGACAUAUCCAUAUCUACUUAAAUCAUCAGUGAGAGUGAGAACAUAACGAUAUCCUCCACAAGCCUCAACACUCAUUGGACCACACACAUCGGUAUGUAUGAUUUCCAAUAAGUUGGUUGCUCGCUACAUUGUUCCGGAGAACGGAGUCUUGGUCAUCUUACCCAUGAGGCAUGGUUCACACGUGUCAAAUGAUUCGUAAUCAAGAGACUCCAAAAGUCCAUCUGCAUGGAGCUUCUUCAUGCGCUUGACACCAAUGUGACCAAGGCGGCAGUGCCACAAGUAUGUGGGACUAUCGUUAUCAACUUUACAUCUUUUGGUAUUCACACUAUGAACAUGUGUAACAUCACGUUCGAGAUUCAUCAAAAAUAAACCAUUGACCAGCGGGGCAUGACCAUUAAACAUAUCUCUCAAAUAAAUAGAACAACCAUUAUUCUCGGAUUUAAAUGAGUAGCCAUCUCGAAUUAAACGAGAUCCAGAUACAAUGUUCAUGCUCAAAGCUGGCACUAAAUAACAAUUAUUGAGGUUUAAAACUAAUCCCGUGGGUAGAUGCAGAGGCAGCGUGCCGACGGCGAUCACAUCGACCUUGGAACCAUUCCCGACGUGCAUCGUCACCUCGUCCUUUGCCAGUCUCCGUUUAUUUCGUAGUUCCUGUUUUGAGUUACAAAUAUGAGCAACCGCACCGGUAUCAAAUACCCAGGAGCUACUACGAGUACUGGUAAGGUACACAUCAAUUACUUGUAUAUCACAUAUACCUUGGGUGUUGCCGGCCUUCUUCUUGUCCGCUAAAUAUUUGGGGCAGUUCCGCUUCCAGUGACCACUUCCCUUGCAAUAAAAGCACUCAGUCCCGGGCUUGGGUCCAUUCUUUGACUUCUUCCCAGUAACUGGUUUACCGGGCGCGGCAACUCCCUUGCCGUCCUUCUUGAAGUUCUUCUUACCCUUGCCCUUCUUGAACUUGGUGGUUUUAUUCACCAUCAACACUUGAUGUUCUUUUCUGAUCUCCCCUUCCGCUGAUUUCAGCAUUGAAUAUACCUCGGAAAUGGUCUUUUCCAUCCCCUGCAUAUUGUAGUUCAUCACAAAGCUCUUGUAGCUUGGUGGAAGCGACUGGAGGAUUCUGUCAAUGACUGCGUCAUCCGGGAGAUUAACUCCCAGCUGAGACAAGCGGUUGUGCAACCCAGACAUUCUGAGUAUGUGCUCACUAACAGAACUGUUCUCCUCCAUUUUACAGCUGAAGAAUUUGUCGGAGACAUCAUAUCUCUCGACCCGGACAUGAGCUUGAAAAACAAGUUUCAGCUCCUCGAACAUCUCAUAUGCUCCAUGUUUCUCAAAACGCUUUUGGAGACCCGGUUCUAAGCUGUAAAGCAUGCCGCACUGAACAAGGGAGUAAUCAUCAGCACGUGAUUGCCAAGCGUUCAUAACGUCUUGGUUCUGUGGGAUUGGUGCAUCACCUAGCGGUGCUUCUAAGACAUAAUCUUUCUUGGCUACUAUGAGGAUGACCCUCAAGUUCCGGACCCAGUCCGUAUAGUUGCUGCCAUCAUCUUUCAGCUUGGUUUUCUCUAGGAACGCGUUGAAAUUGAGGACAACGUUGGCCAUUUGAUCUACAAGACAUAGUGUAAAGAUUUUAGACUAAGUUCAUGAUAAUUGAGUUCAUCUAAUCAAAUUAUUUAAUGAACUCCCACUCAGAUAGACAUCCCUCUAGUCAUCUAAGUGAAACAUGAUCCGAGUUCAACUAGGCCGUGUCCGAUCAUCACGUGAGACGGGCUAGUCAAGAUCGGUGAACAUCUCCAUGUUGAUCGUAUCUUCUAUACGACUCAUGCUCGACCUUUCGGUCCUCCGUGUUCCGAGGCCAUGUCUGUACAUGCUAGGCUCGUCAAGUCAACCUAAGUGUAUUGCGUGUGUUCCGAGGCCAUGUCUGUACAUGCUAGGCUCGUCAACACCCGUUGUAUUCGAACGUAAGAAUCUAUCACACCCGAUCAUCACGUGGUGCUUCGAAACGACGAACCUUCGCAACGGUGCACAGUUAGGGUGAACACUUUCUUGAAAUUAUUAUAAGGGAUCAUCCUACUUGCUACCGUCGUUCUAAGCAAAUAAGAUGCAAAAACAUGAUAAACAUCACAUGCAAUCAAAUAGUGACAUGAUAUGGCCAAUAUCAUUAUGCUCCUUUGAUCUCCAUCUUCGGGGCACCAUGAUCAUCUUCGUCACCGGCAUGACACCAUGAUCUCCAUCAUCAUGAUCUCCAUCAUUGUGUCUUCAUGAAGUCGUCACGCCAACGAUUACUUCUACUUCUAUGGCUAACGCGUUUAGCAAUAAAGUAAAGUAAUUUACAUGGCGUUAUUCAAUGACACGCAGGUCAUACAAAAUAAUAAAGACAACUCCUAUGGCUCCCGCCGAUUGUCAUACUCAUCGACAUGCAAGUCGUGAUUCCUAUUACAAGAAUAUGAUCAAUCUCAUACAUCACAUAUAUCAUUCAUCGCAUCUUCUGGCCAUAUCACAUCACAUAGCUCUUGCUGCAAAAACAAGUUAGACAUCCUCUAAUUGUUGUUGCAAGUUUUUUACGUGGUUUGUAGGUUUCUAGCAAGAACGUUUCUUACCUACGUAUGACCACAACGUGAUUUGCCAAUUUCUAUUUACCCUUCAUAAGGACCCUUUUCAUCGAAUCCGUUCCGACUAAAGUAGGAGAGACAGACACCCGCUAGCCACCUUAUGCAACUUGUGCAUGUCAGUCGGUGGAACCUGUCUCACGUAAGUGUACGUGUAAGGUCGGUCCGGGCCGCUUCAUCCUACAAUGCCGCCGAAACAAGAAAAGACUAGUCGCGGCAAGAAGAAUUGGCAAACUCAACGCCCACAACUGCUUUGUGUUCUACUCGUGCAUAGUAACUACGCAUAAGCCUGGCUCAUGAUGCCACUGUUGGGAUUCGUAGCAUAAUUUUAAAAUUUUCCUACGCUCACCAAGAUGCAUCUAUGGAGUCUACUAGCAACGAGGGGAAGGAGUGGAUCUACACACCCUUGUAGAUCGCCAGCAGAAGCGUUCCAAUGAACGUGGAUGACGGAGUCGUACUCGCCGUGAUCCAAAUCACCGAUGACCGAGUGCCGAAUGUACGGCACCUCCGCGUUCAACACACGUACGGUGCAGCGAUGUCUCCUCCUUCUUGAUCCAGCAAGGGGGAAGGAGAGGUUGAUGGAGAUCCAACAGCACGACGGCGUGGUGGUGGAUGUAGCGGGUCUCCGGCAGGGCUUCGCCGAGCUUCUGCGAGAGAGAGAGAGAGGUGUUGCAGGGGAGGAGGGAGGCGCCAAAGGCUGUUGUGUGCUGCCCUCCCUCCCCCCCCCCUUUAUAUAGGCCCCUGGGGGGGUACGCCAGCCCCAAGAGAUGGGAUCUCAAGGGGGGUGGUGGCCAAGUGGGGGGGAAGGGGUGCCUUGCCCCCCAAGGCAAGGGGGAAGCUCCCCCCCCUAGGGUUUCCAACCCUAGGCGCAUGGGGGGAGGCCCAAGGGGGGCGCCCCAGCGCACUAGGGGCUGGUUCCCUUCCACUUUCAGCCCACGGGGCCCUCCGGGACAGGUGGCCCCACCCGGUGGACCCCCGGGACCCUUCCGGUGGUCCCGGUACAAUACCGGUAACCCCCGAAACUUUCCCGGUGGCCGAAACUUGACUUCCUAUAUAUAAUUCUUCACCUCCGGACCAUUCCGGAACCUCUCGUGACGUCCGGGAUCUCAUCCGGGACUCCGAACAACUUUCGGGUUUCCGCAUACAUAUAUCUCUACAACCCUAGCGUCACCGGACCUUAAGUGUGUAGACCCUACGGGUUCGGGAGACAUGCAGACAUGACCGAGACACCUCUCCGGUCAAUAACCAACAGCGGGAUCUGGAUACCCAUGUUGGCUCCCACAUGCUCCACGAUGAUCUCAUCGGAUGAACCAUGGUGUCGAGGAUUCAAUCAAUCCGUAUGCAAUUCCCUUUGUCAAUCGGUAUGUUACUUGCCCGAGAUUCGAUCGUCGGUAUCCCAAUACCUUGUUCAAUCUCGUUACCGGCAAGUCUCUUUACUCGUACCGCAAUGCAUGAUCCCGUGACUAACGCCUUAGUCACAUUGAGCUCAUUAUGAUGAUGCAUUACCGAGUGGGCCCAGAGAUACCUCUCCGUCACACGGAGUGACAAAUCCCAGUCUCGAUUCGUGCCAACCCAACAGACACUUUCGAAGAUACCCGUAAUGCACCUUUAUAGUCACCCAGUUACGUUGUGACGUUUGGCACACCCAAAGCACUCCUACGGUAUCCGGGAGUUGCACGAUCUCAUGGUCUAAGGAAAAGAUACUUGACAUUGGAAAAGCUCUAGCAAACGAAACUACACGAUCUUUUAUGCUAUGCUUAAGUUGGGUCUUGUCCAUCAUAUCAUUCUCCUAAUGAUGUGAUCCCCUUAUCAAUGACAUCCAAUGUCCAUAGUCAGGAAACCAUGACUAUCUGUUGAUCAACGAGCUAGUCAACUAGAGGCUUACUAGGGACAGGUUGUGGUCUAUGUAUUCACACAUGUAUUACGAUUUCCGGACAAUACAAUUAUAGCAUGAAUAAUAGACAAUUAUCAUGAACAAAGAAAUAUAAUAAUAACCUUUUAUUAUUGCCUCUAGGGCAUAUUUCCAACAAUAAGGAUUCCCCCUUCCUCUUCUCACGCUCUUUCUCCGUCUCCGCCUCUCCGAUCUCAAGCUCGAGCGCCCAAGUUCUCAUCUCCUUUCCACUCAAGCAACCAUGUCCGGAUCCGGUGGUCAGGGCAAGUGGAUGGUCUCCUCCGUCAAGGAGGAGGACAUUACUGAGCUCCGGGCAGCCGGAUAUUUGGCGAAGGAGAUCGCCCACCGCCUGCCGGCCGAGGUACAAAUUGUCCCCAUGCCGAAGCCCACUGAGAGGGUAGUAUUCAUCCCCCAUUUCUUCCGCGGGCUAGGGUUUCCACUCCACCCUUUUGUCUGCAGGCUAAUGUAUUAUUACGGAAUAGAUUUCCAUGAUCUGUCCCCGAAUUCCUUCCUCAACAUCUCGGCGUUUAUCAUCGUGUGCGAGGCCUUCCUCUGCAUCCAUCCCCACUUCAGGCUGUGGCUCAAAGUCUUCAAGGUGAAGCCAAAGGUGGUGGAUGGCCAGCACGCGGAGUGUGGAGGAGCCAUGGUGAGCAAGCUAUCCAACGUCUCCUGGCCCAAAGGCACUUUUGUGGAGACAGUAAAGGAAUGGCAGAAGCAGUGGUUCUACAUCACAGAACCUCGCGGCACCACCUGGGCCGCGGCUGCCAGAUUCUGCUCCGGUGCUCCCAUGCGACUCACCUCCUGGGUCGAGAAGAGUCCGGACUGGAGUUCACCUGACGAGCUGAUAGCGUUGCAGACGCGCGUUCAAAGCAUGGUGACCAAGAACUUCAAGCUCGUUGACGUCAUCUAGGUGAUGCUGGUCCGCCGGAUUCUUCCGUGCCAGCGCCGGAGCCGCCCUUUGUGGGAGUUCAAUUCGAAGAAGCACUAGACCUUGAAAAGGCUCUUCGAGACUUCUCACGAAGGGGCCUGGAAGUUGCUCUUUAAGGGCAACGAGAAGCCACCGGCCACGGACUCAGACCGUGGUCACGAUUGUAAACACCCCGCCAGCGAGGUAUGUUUUCUCUGACGUAUCCCCGACUUAAAUGUUUCGAGGAUGAUUCUAAGUUUUUAUUAUUUCUCUUUCAGGACUGGAUGGAGAGGGCGAGGCGGAUCCGGUGUCCGGCCCCGCUGCCUGAAGAACCUGUCAUCUCGCGCCUGGCGAAUAUGCUGGUGCCGGUGCCAUAUAAGGCGCCGGAGAAGAAGGCCAAGAAGAAGGCCAAGGGGGCCAAGAGUGGCCCCCGUCGCAAGGGCAGUCCGGACGUGACGUCCGAAGACGACGAAGCUCAUUCCUCUGUACCUGAGGACAAUGACGAGGAAGAGGAGGAGGAGGAGGAGAACAACCCUCCCCCCGAGGAGAAGAAGAAGAAGAGGGCGGCUUCGGCGCAUCUGGAGGCGGAGACGCCCAAGAAGGGGAAAGGCGUCCCAGCGGUCAACACCUCAUGGGAUGUCGACAGUAGUCCGGAACAACGCCCCCGUACUAAGCCCCAGGCCGCAUCGUAAGUGACGUGGCUUGCUCGCGCGCACAUCCGGCCCUUUUUCUCCAUUUAUCUUUGACAUAGUUUAACUGUACUAUUGCAGUCCGGCCCGUGACCUUAUCCAGCAAUCCUCAUCUGAAGGCUCGUUGGCUCCGUCGGAGAUGGCGAGCAUGUCGCCACCGCCCGCUUACUCCCCUGGGGCUAGGGAUGACGCCGAAGUGCUGUCCCGAAAGACCGCUCUGAACUAGGGAGGAGCCCAGGACGUUGUCCGGGAGGCGCCACAAGGCGGGACCUCCACUGCCGGACACAUGAGGGAGCCAAUCCCCAUGGAGACUGGCGAAGAAGGCCGUAUCCAGUUCGGCUCUCAGCCGAAUACGAUUCUAGAGACCCAUAUGGCUCCGGAGUCGGGCGAGCAGCCCCCUUUGAAGGAGAGGGGUGCGCCGCCUCCACCGGUGGCUCCUGUCCAUCCAGGAGCGUCGGAUGACCUAACGGGGGCGCUACGAAGCGCCUCCGUCGUGGACGAGCAUCGUGUCCUUAUGGGUGCGGUGAUCGAGAAGGUUCAGUCCACCAAGAGCGGACUGAAUGAAGCCUGUAGUAGCCUGUUAACAGGUUUCGAGGUAAGAAAGAGAGAAAAACCCGAAUAGUCCGUAGCCCCUAAGACGUUGUCCGGUGUUCAGCGAGAAGAACCGGACAGGGGAUCAAUCCUUAAUUAUAAGAGGCUGACUGAAUAUAUAUCGAUAAGCAGGCGUCCCUAUUGGUCGCGACCUCGCAUGCUACCGAGGUCUCCGAACUGAGGCGGAGGCUGGAGCGGACCGAGAACGAGCUCGGCGAGGUUAAGGUUCGGCUCCAGGAUCAGCAAGGUGAGUAACGACUUGUUGUAUGUUCGGGAAAGGAUAAGCGCUGUAUAUUGACAAUGGUAUUGUGAUACAUGAAGAAGCCGCGACCGAGGUCGAGGCCCUGAGGAAGGCCCUAGGCGAGGCCGAGGAGCAGGCUGUCCAGCAGCAAGAUGCCCGUAAGAAGCUAGAGGCCCGGGUCAAAGAAGUCCAGCAGGAGCUCCAGGAUGCGGUUAACAAAUGUGAGACCUUGGAGAAUGAUGCAUCGGCUCAAGGGGCCGAGCUCACCAAGGCUCGUCAGAGCACGGAGACCGCUCGGAAUGAGGCCCAGGCCGCCCUCCAGGAGAUCCAGGAGGCCAAGAAGAUCACAGCGGGUAAGGCUUUUAAUAUGCAAAGCAAGUACGCGGAGAAGCAGUACCUUUUACUAACCCGGGUUCGGAGUUCCCCAGGGGCUUUUGCUGAUCUACCACACAGUGUAUCGGACGCCGUGGAGUUCUAUCGAGCCGAAGGAGGGGGUUCCACAGAGAAGCUCUUCUGGUCGUAAUAUGCGGUGCCAGAGCCUCCCAUGUCCUUCACCGAUCAGCUGAAACAGCUGGUGGAGCUGCACAAGGUGGCCGAAUUAGCCAUGAAGAAUUUGACAAUCCGGCUAUGGCCAGCCGAAGCUAUGCCUGGCAGCUACUUCAGACUCGUGAGGCGGAUGGUAAACGCAUGUCCUCGGCUGGACGUCAUCAAGCGCUCCGCCUGUAUUGAAGGUGCCCGUAUGGCCUUCGCUUGCUGCAAGAUGUGGUGGGCGAAGAUGAACGCUGUUGAAGUUGCCAGCGGGCUGCCGGAGGGCAAGGAGCACCGCACACCCGAGCAAUAUUUCGCGGAUGUCGUAGAGGGGUCUCGACUUGUGGCGGCGCAAUGUUCGUAGGACAUUGUAUUUAAAUAAAUGUAUUCGUGUUGCCCUUUGCCUUGUAUUAUAGGAACAAAGCCGGUUUUUGUAAAAUAAUUUUAUUAUGCUUUGAAUUGUUUCCUCCUGUGUAGCCGUGUUAUUUGUAAUCUGAGGGUUGGCUAGCCGUCGGCUUCUGCCCUCGCGUAGGUAGUACGGAGGUGUUCGGAAUGGAUUCUAAACAAUCUUGAUCCAAUUAUAUGGUCCCUUGGAGGAUUUGUUUAGCGCAACGAACAAGGCAAUCGGACUGUACGGCUUAAACGCCCUCACUUAGCCAUAGGAGUUUUAUAAUUAAGCAAGUGCGCAGCCCCUGGUCCAAGCUAGGGUGCUGUCGGCGUCUAAUCGGGAAGUGUCGAUCCUUCGCAUGAUGCGGAAAAAAUCUCCAAUGAUUUUGUAACCCUCGAAUAGCUGACCGGCUCUCGCCGUAUCAUGACAGACAAUUUUCGGCUUUCUCUACUGAGGUGCUCAUAUGGUCAAGGCCAGGGCACAAUCGCAGUAGUUCUCCCUUUACUAACCUAGCCGAUAGAGCGGAACGUAGGGUAGCAAGCAUAGGAGCCCGGCAACCCAACUAUUGACCAAAGACAUGAUUCGGAGCCAAUGCAUAUAAUGCUAAAUUCGGGGUGCCGAACUUAUAUAUAAGAAGUGUUCGGACUUUGCUGCCGUAUUGUGGGGCGACAAGUAGCCCCUGGCGAAUAUGAAACGUAAAAGAGUGUCGAUGCAGCAAAUAAGCAAAUCGAAAUAAAAUGAAGUAAGAAGCGAAAACCAUAGAAACUGGGCCACGAACCAUUUUUAUUAUAACUGGAUGGAUACGUCAAGGUGUAUCUUGUAUAGAUGGUGCGAUAAGUAUCCGGGCCUACACACCUGUGCUGCUUGCCUCCGUUGUAUGCCAAUCCUUCUAAAGGACUCGCGAUCAGGCCCGUGGAAAAAGGAACCUGAAACAAGAAAAAAAAAGUAAAAGUGCGUGUGUUCGGGAUCUGUCUGGCCGAACUGUAGACCCCGGGUUAUCUUGUGCCUCCGUCGAUGUCCAUGGAAUUUUGAGUGCGUAAUUGUGUACGCGUGGUACGAAUGCCACUACCUCAUUGGGACUGGGACGGAGGCCGAAUUGCUAGUCGAGCACUUGACGAGCCGCACCGUCCUGUUGCAGUGAAGUCCGGAACCUCUUAAUGAUGUCCGAGGGCUCGACAGCCGUACUAUGGUGCUUCUUGAGAAGGCCGCUCUGUACUUCUGCUGCUAGGGCGGCGGUGUGCUCCUCUGUUCGGAGGGAGCGUUCCGUAUUGCCAUUGACUGUUCUGACGCCGAGUGGACCGGGCAUCUUGAGCUUGAGAUAAGCAUAGUGUGGCACUGCACUGAAUCUAGCAAACACGGUUCGUCCGAGCAGUGCGUGAUAGCCGCUGCAGAAGGGGGCGAUAUCGAAGAUUAACUCUUCGCUUCGGAAGUUUUCCGGAGAACUAAAGAGUACCUCUAGCGUGAUUGAGCCCGUACAGCGGGCCUCUACGCCUGGUAUGACUCCUUUAAAGGUAGUCUUUGUUGGUUUGAUUCGCGAGGGGUUAAUGCCCAUCUUCCGCACUGUGUCCUGAUAAAGCAGGUUGAGGCUGCUACCGCCAUCCAUCAGGACUCGUGUUAGGUGAAACCCGUCAAUAAUUGGGUCGAGGACUAGUGCGGCCGAACCGCCAUGGCGGAUACUAGUUGGGUGAUCCCGACGAUCGAAGGUGAUCGGGGAUGAUGACCACGGAUUGAAUUUUGGGCGACUGGCUCUACCGCGUAGACGUCCCUAAGUGCUCGCUUACGCUCCCUUUUGGGGAUGUGCGUAGCGUAUAUCAUGUUCACCGUUUUGACUUGAGGGGGAAAUUUCUUCUGCCCCCCAGUGUUCGGCUGCCAGGGCUCUUCGUCCUCGUCCUCACUUUGUGAUCCCUUUUCUUUUUUCGGCAUUUAACUUGUCGGCCUGCUUGAAGACCCAACAAUCCCUGUUGGUAUGAUUAGCUUGCUUAUCCGGGGUGCCAUGAAUUUGGCACGGACGGUCGAGUAUGCGGUCCAGGCUGGAAGGUCCUUCGCUGUUUCUUUUGUAGGGCUUCUUCCGUUGGCCGAACUUGGAGCUACUGAAUCCGGCGUUGACUGCGGUGUCAUCGGUGUUGUCGCCAUUGCUUCGGCAUUUGUGUCUAUUGCGCCGGAGCUUUCCAGUGCUGUUCUUGGCCUCAGUGGGGCUUGCCUCGCUGGCUGUGUUUUUACUACGAGCCAGCCAGCUGUCCUCACCCGCACAAAAGCAGGUCAUGAGUGUCGUGAGGGCUGCCAUAGACUUCGGCUUUUCUUGGCCGAGGUGGCGUGCUAGCCAUUCGUCACGGAUGCUGUGUCUGAAGGCUGCUAGGGCCUCGGCAUCCGGACAGUCAACGAUCUGGUUCUUUUUGGUUAGGAACCUAGUCCAGAAUUUUCUGGCUGAUUCUCCAGGUUGUUGAACUAUAUCGCUUAAGUCAUCAGCGUCUGGUGGCCGGACAUAAGUUCCUUGGAAGUUAUCAAGGAAAGCCUCUUCCAAGUCUUCCCAGCUGCUGAUGGAAUUCUCAGGCAGGCUAUUUAACCAGUGCCGAGCUGGCCCUUUGAGCUUUAAUGGGAGGUAUUUGAUGGCGUGGAGGUCAUCUCCUCGAGCCAUAUGGAUAUGGAGAAUGAAAUCCUCGAUCCAUACUGCGGGAUCGAUUGUGCCAUCGUAUGAUUCAAUGUUGACAGGCUUGAACCCCUCGGGGAAUUCGUGAUCCAGUACUUCAUCUGUGAAGCAGAGAGGGUGUGCGGUGCCGCUAUAUCGGGCUGCGUCGUGGCGUAGCUCUGAUGGAGUCCGUCUGCGGUAUUCAGCCCGGGCGUGGUUAGGUUUAUCACGUCCGAAUAGGUAGCCCUCGUCGUGCCUCGAGGCACGUCCUCGCGAUCCGUAGAUCGAUCUUGUAUGUCCUGCUCUACUGUCCAGGGUCUGCCGGAGGUCGUACGUGUGACCCCGAACUCUUCCGUUUCUGUUUUUACGGGGCGGUGGGGCAGGCUGCUGUUCGGCCUGAGUUGCCGCUUUAUCCCGGCCGCGGGGUGGCCGGUCGGCUGCCCUGUCUCGACCACGUGGUGGUCAUUCUGCACUAUGCGAGGGAGAUGUGUGCUCCGGUGCUUCCUCAUCGAAUUGAGGUAGUAGUCUGCGUUUCAGGUAGCUCUUGGCUGGGCGCCUGAGGCCGUAUUCUUCGGCUGUCAGGACAUUAGUCCAUCUAUCGACGAGCAGAUCUUGUUCAGCUUGGAGCUGAUGUUGUUUCUUUUUCAGACUCCUUGCAAUGGCUAUGAGCUGAAGCUUAAAGCGCUCCUGCUCCAGAGGAUCCUCCGGCACGAUGAAGUCUUCGUUGCCGAGGCUUGUCUCCUCCCCGGAGGGUGGACGGUAACUAUCGUGCUCCGAGUCAUCUUCUAUGGCCUGUUCAUCAGGGUUAUCUUGCCUGUUUGCCGUGUUCCUCCUGAUCGGAUGCAGCUCCGACAGGGUCUUCAUUGUUUUCGGCAUCGCCUGGAGUACUAUUUUCUCCGGUGCCGGUGUUGCCGUCCCUUGAGCGACGAGGCUUAGGGCGGCGUUUGGGGCGUCGGCGCUUCGACUGUAUCUUAGAGAUUUUAUUCGCAUCUGGCUCUUCUUUGUCGUCGCCAGAUCCUUUGGGUGUAUCAACCAUGUACACGUCAUACGAAGAGGUAGCCGUCCAGCGUCCGGUGAAUGGCGGGUCUUGGCCUUGCUCCUUAUCGGCAUCAUCGUCCAUACCGUCGAUGUCUUCGGAGCCAUAGUCAAGCACGUCGGUUAAGUCAUCGACGGUGGCUAUGAAGUGGGUGGCGGGUGGGGAGCAAAAUUCUUCGUCAUCCGUCUCUAGCUCGAACCGGACGUAAUUCGGCUAUGAGUCCUUCUCCAAGGAAAAAUUCUUUAAAGAUUUUAGCACGUCACCCAAAGGCGAGUGCUGGAAAACGUCAGCGGCGCUGAACUCGGAGAUCGAUAACCGAUCUAGCUCGGUGUCCGCGGGCAUACACAGUCCGGAACUUAUAGCCGGAGACAAGUCCGAAGUUCCGUUGAAGCGAAUAUUGCAGGGCGUUGAGUCCGUGUGCGGCUCUAACGCCGCGGAUUCUGCGGCCUCGGAUGGCACGAUCUGCUUUGGCCCUAAGGCCGUUGCAGCAGCCGGAACCAUCUCUUGGGUGUGAUCCGAUGACAGAUUUAAGUCACGUUCAUCGGGGUGAGGGGGAGCGAUCGCCGCGGGCUCAAAUCCCUUGAAGAUCAAGUCUCCACGGAUAUCCGCGAUGUAGUUCAAGCUUCCGAAUCUGACCUGAUGGCCAGGGCGUAGCUGUCGAUCUGCUCUAGAUGGCCAAGCGAGUUGGCCCGCAGUACGAAGCCGCCGAAUGCGAAGGUCUAUCCAGGGAGGAAGGUUUCUCCCUGGACAACGUCAUUACUGACGAUCAAAGGGGCCAUCGAGCCCUUUGCCGACGGCACAGUGGAACUCUCAAUGAAAGCACCAAUGUCGGUGUCAAAACCGGCGGAUCUCGGGUAGGGGGUCCCGAACUGUGCGUCUAGGACCGAUGAUAACAGGAGACGGGGGACACGAUGUUUACCCAGGUUCGGGCCCUCUCUAUGGAGGUAAUACCCUACUUCCUGCUUGAUUGAUCUUGAUGAAUAUGAGUGUUACAAGAGUUGAUCUACCACGAGAUCGUAAUGGCUAAACCCUAGAAGUCUAGCCUAUGUGAAUAUGGUAAUGAAUAUAUGCCUUCCGGACUAACCCCUCCGGUUUAUAUAGAUACCGGGGGGAUCUAGGGUUUACAUGGAGUCGGUUAAAUAAGAAGGAAUCUUCAUAGUUGGUCGCCAAGCUUGCCCUCGACGCCAAGGAAAUUCCAAUCCGGACACGGGUAUAGUCUUCGGCCUUCGUAUCUUCACAGCCCAUCAGUCCGGCCCAAUGAACAACAGGCCGGACGCCCGAGGACGCCUUAGUCCAGGACUCCCUCACUCGCCGUUUGUGUUGCGCCAUGAGCAGGACUUUGAUUGAGAGGGCGACGUGCAUGCAUUAGCAUGGUUUGCCAGCGUGAGCGUGAGUGUCUGCACGCGUACAUGCUACUUGCCUCUAUGGACGGUGUGCGCUAAUGUGUGCAUCACGUAUAAUAUAAAAAAUGGUUUGUGCAUUUAACGCAAAGUAUUUCAUUUUCAUUUGGCUGACGAGUGUGCGUUGCAGCGAUGAGUCUGUGGUUUGAUUCCUCACAUACGCACAAUUUUGGUUUUCAUUUCUUUCUCCACUGAUAGGUAGGCCCGCAUAGAUAGAUAGAUAAAGACCACGAGCUGAUGAGGCGCAUGCGGACUGUUUGACUGGUCGACCAGAUAAAUACGGAGCUAUACGCUGAGCCAGUGACCGUAUAAUCACCAUAUCUCCUAUACAAUGAUCAAAGUGAGCUAUCAAGACAAGUUCGAUGACCGCCAAUGCAUUUUACUCGGUAAUAAAUGACCAGGAUUGAAGGGGAAUCCAAAUUUCCUUCGUCUUCUGUCCUUGAGCUCUUGACAAACCAAUGCACUAUACGGUUGUCCGGCCACUCCACCCCAGAGCUGUCAUGAAGCGUCGUUCAUGCCACCGCGCCACACACUAACCGGUAAGGAAGCGAUGGCAUCCCGCCGCGCCGAGUUCCUCGCCGCCCACGACUGCACACAAAAUGGUAGGGAAGUGAUGGCAUCCCGCCGUGCCGAGUUCAUCGCCGCUCGCGACCUCACACCUACGUGGGCGGAAAUUGAAGCUGCCAAGGCCGAAUGGGCGGUAGAGCAAGAGGCGGCCAAAGCCGCACAGAGGGAGCGGAAAAGUCAGAAAGCACUCAAGAAAAGAGAGGCCCGCCACCGCAAGAAAGAAGAGGACGCACGCGCUGCUGCGGAGAGGUCGGCGGAGAUCCAAGCACGGUGGGGUGUCGCCGAAAAAGCCGGGAAGGAGAACGACGGCGUCUGGCCAGCAUGUGAGAAGUAGUAGUACUAGUAGUUAGUGUGUGUGUCUGUGUCACCCAUACAAUUGUUUAAUUAAUUACGAGCAUGUACCAGUACUAGUUACUGCUGUAGUUUUUAGAGCAAAUUACCAGUACAUUAGCCUAGACUCAAUGGAAAAAUUCCUAUCCUAUGCAUCAAAUGGCAUCUGUUUCUCUAUAGGAAUUGAGAUGCAUGUCAUCUCACUUCCUAUGAUUUUCAUAUUCCUAUAAAAUUCCUAUCCUAUGAACCAAAAGAGGCCUCUGCUGGAGUAACUAAUGUAGCUAGCAGUACUGCUGGUACAGUAGUUUUCGUCAAGCAGCGGAAUUCAACGAAGUCAUGAUGGUUCCUUCGUCCGAGCAACUACACUGUGGGAAAUCUUGGGCAUGUGAUUUGACGGCUCAUUAGUCAUUAUUACUGUGGCGCGACGACCGGGGUGACUCUCCCUUGGAGUUCUGCGUGCAUGGCAAGUGGACCAGGAUGGUCGACGUCCCACAUGUUGGCGCACGGAAGUAUUCUUUCCGAUAUCGAGGAGCAAGGAAGCGCGCGCCAGCAAGGGAGGGGGGUUGGGUCAGCCAGGGCGGUCAGAUGCGGGCGUGGUGGUGGUAUUGGUUUUGAACCGUUUCAGGUGUAGUACUGGUAGUUUGUAAAACUAUUCAAUUAUUGCACUCAGUUUCCUAAGAAAUUGUGGUAAAAAAUGUUACUCCACAGCCCGCUUCCCUUCUCCUUCCUCUUCCACCGCCCGGGCACGUCCGCGGGAAGCGAUCGGUCAACCCUUAUAUAGGAGUGCUAGCACAAAAAGAUGCAUGCAUGACCACUAAAAUUUCCAGAUUAAAGCGCCGCUCCGGCGGGAGUACGGCGUAUGCCGUUACCUUCGGCCGGGCCAUGGCUACCAGGCGACAGCGAGCAGAGAAGAGGCGGCGGGAGGGGAAUGAAUACAGCUACUGUUUGGGUUCGCCGUCCGGCUUAAAUAAAUGCGCACCAUCACGUGUACCCGCAGGUGCACAAAUUGUAACAUACGUGUCUGCAUAAGUGGGUGUCACGUAACUGGUGUGUGUGUGAGAUUCUGAGAGACAGAGUGCGUGUGUGCGACUCUACUCUUCGGACAUGUACUCAACCUUUUGCAUCGGGAUAUAAGUAUAAUGGUAUUACACUUUAGCUAGUGAUUUACGUGGCCAUGUUAACGUGGUUAUGUAAAAAAAUGUCACUUCCUGCUCGUGAUUUGCAUUAUAUAAUUACUAGCAAGAUGCUCGUGCAUUGCACGGAACAUCAAUAUGCAUUUUUUUACAAAACACCUGUUGUGAUUGACCCAUGCAGGAGUAAUCCCAUGUGUAAAAACUAAUGAUAUCUCGAGAAUUUUAUCGGAAAACUGGUAUCUCGAGAAUUUCAUCGAAAAAAUGAAAGAUGAGAGAUAAGGUGAGGAGGAGUGGAGCAUGGUGGUGACUGGUGGUCGGACUGGGCGGAGGCAUGGGGAUGGACGACGCCGACAGGCAACAACGGCCACCAUGCUAGAUUGUUCCAGAGACUUCCUUUUUUAAUUGCUCAGCAAUGAGGUUGUGGGAGAUAAGGAUGAAUGAGGCAAGGCCUUGUCUGUAAAUGUGGAGAGAGGUGAGGGUAUCUUUUGUAAAAUUGUCAUAGUUUUCUUUCUAUCCGUCAGAUAGAGAUCGGACGGUCUAUAUUACAAGAUGGCAGGCACACCAUCAUCACCAACUCAGUUUUUUAUAAGAGUAGAGAUGAUAAGUUUGCUAACUACUAAAGUAAAGUGGAAUUUGUCCAUGUUAUACAAGUAAAUUAAGGUGAUUGUUUAUCAUACGGGUAAGGUUGGACGAAGGGUGGUAGGAACAAAUGCUCCGCCUAGAGCAUGUGUGUGUGAGAUGGAGUCUUAGUGUGUGUGGGUGUGGGUGGGUGGGUGGGUGGGUGCGUGCAUGUGUGUGUGACGUGGGGUCCUCGGUGGCGGAUGUAAUUUAAGUGUGUGUGGCUUCAUCAUAGAGAGGUGAUCUAUAUGGCAGAGGCCACCAACGAGGGGGUGCGAGAGACAAAAGGCCCGUAGAGAGGGAAGAGAAGGCGUGUGCGCGUGAGAGGAGUCGACAUCAAGAGAACGUGCUUGUUCGUGAGACACCGAGGAAGACUACUAUAUAUCGAUGGUGCAUGUAGGCGGGAAUUAAAUGAAGGGAUGGUCUUAUUGGUUUCGGCGAUAUAGGGGAAGAGUGAGAGAGGGGGUAGCUAUAAGGAGAUUGUUAAGUGUGAGUGUGUGUUUUACCCAUCCAGGCGGAAGUUAUGUGCACACAAGAAGAGAACGAUUCGAUGUGGCGUUAGGGCUGAGGGUAAUUAACUAAGUAUGGAGACAUAGGAGACCUUGAACGUGCAUGUGUGAGAGGUAUACAUGUAUACGUGGGAUGUGUGUGUGUGCGCGCGCGCAUGAUCAAGAUAAAAGAAAGAAGACAUAAGUCAUAAGAUCAACAACAUGGGAGAGACGGAUCGGUAUGACAAUAUGCAUGCAUGUGAGAGUGCAAGGAAGAAGGCCCGAUAAUUGAGCAUGUGUUUUUGUAUUUAAGAGAUAGUGGCGUGGGUUGGAGCAUGCAUCUGUGGCGAGCAGAGGGAGCGAGACACAACUAUUGUGCAAAAGAGAUCAACCUAUAGAUGCAUGUAUGGAGAGACAUAUAUAGUGUGGGUGAUAGAAAGCAAGAGUGUGUGCGAGAAAGAAAUGUUGACGGAGAAACUACAGAUAGAUACAGAGAUAGAGAUGGUAGCUAGAGGGACAUCGGCUAGUUUGAGUGUUGGAGAUGACCGCCGGGUGGUUCAGAGGGUGAAGUUAUGUGUGUGUGAGAGAAAGAUAAAAAGAGGGAACAUGACUGCAUGUAGAGAGAAACAUAUAUAGUGUGCGUGAUAGGAAGCAAGAGUGAGGGCAAGAAAGAAGGUUGAUGGAGAAACAGAUAAAUAGAAAGAUAAAGAUGCUAGCUAGUGUGCGUUAGAGAUAGGAGUCAAGUGGAUCAGAAGGCUGAGUUAUGUGUGUGGGUGUGAGAGAGAGAGUGUGUGCAUGUGAGUCACAUACAAACAAAUAUCAGAGAGAAAUGAGAUCCCGAGAGACGGAGUUUUGUGUCUGCGAGAGAAAGAUAUUUCACAACGAGAGUGAUAGCUAGAGAGACAUAUGAGGGAACGCAAGAUAUCUCUAGGGAGAGAGUGUGUGUGUGAGCGACAUACAAGAGAAUGGUGGAGAGAUAUGAGACCCUGGGAGACAGAGUUUGUGUUUGUGUGUGAGAAAGAGAUAUUUAAGAGGAAGAGUCGUAGCUUCUCAUACCUAAGGAGCGAAAUACAUCUCUGUGUGAGAGGGCGUGUGCGAGUGGCACACAGGGGAACACUACUAGGAAAAAGGCUACUAGCAGCGCGGGUAAUAUGGCUACUAGCAGCGUGGGUACCCGCGCUACUAGUAUCGCGCUACAGCUAAUAGUUAGGAGUAGCGUGACACCCGCGCUACUGCUAUUACAGAACCGCGCUACUACUAACGAAGUAGCACUAGUAGAAAAACGACUUUUAGUACCGGUUCGUAAGGACCUUUAGUACCAGUUCUGGAACCGGUACUAAAGAGUGGGGACUAAAGGUCCCCCCCCCCCUUUAGUCCCGGUUUAACACGAACCGGGACCAAAGGCCCACCACGUGGCACGAGGCGCGCCGUGGUCUGGGGGGCCUUUAGUCCCGGUUGGUAAGGAUUUUUUUAAUUUUUAUUUUUGAAAUAAAGCAAAAACAGCCAGCCUACUGGGCCGGCACGGCCUGCAUACGACUAGAAACCCAAUCUCUAGUUGGGCCAGGAUGCAGGCCCGUACGGCCCAGUAGGCCCCACAGGGCAGAAGACUUGCAAUAGACCCACAAAGGCCUGCUUAGAGAGGAGCUCGACACGGUAGCCGCGGCGAGGCUUAUAAACCGGUGCGAGCUCCUCUCAACUAGCGAGGUGGGAGUAAACAUUGUGCACUGCGGGUGGCAUCGCACCACCUUUAGUACCGGUUGGGUUGGUGGCUCCAACCGGUACUAAAGACCCCCCCCCCCCUCCUUUAGUACCGGUUGGAGCCACCAACCAGUACUAAAGGCCACCACCUCUUUAGUACCGGUUCAUGGCACGAACCGGUACUAAAGAUUUCCCACGAACCGGUACUAAUGAGUGCCGCCCGCCUGGCCGUUGGAACCGGCAUUAAUGGUCACAUUAGUGCCGGUUCAAUACCAAACCGGGACUAAUGAGUUUCACAUUAGACCCUUUUUCUACUAGUGUAGUAGUAGCGUGCUUAUAAUACCAGCGCUACUAGUAUCCUGAAUACUAGUAGCGCGCAGUUUUUUCCCAACGCUACUAGUAACAAAUCAAGAAUAAAAAAAUAAAAAUUAGACGCAAUAUUCAUGAAUGGAGAUCAGAGACACGUCCAGUGCAAAAUAAAUUAAGGUCACAGAACCAUCUUAACACUUGCAGUGUUCAUGGAUGCAGCAUUGAACAUCUCAACUCGAAGAGAUCACGAGGACGCACACAACCAUCAUCAAAAGGUUGGUACCUUCCCUAUUGUUUCACCACCAACCUAACCAGACCACUUCUCUAGAUGUAUCUACAAAGCGUCGAGGUCCUCCACCUUGAGGAACUCCGGGCGGUGGCGUCGUCCUCCACCUCUGUGACCUUCGUAUGGUGGCGUCGAGGUCCUCCACCCCGGGGACCUCCGGCAUCGCAAUCACCUGGACAAUCAUCAGUAUGACACGGUCGCGAGGCUUCACGGUGAAGUCUGCCCCCGAGUAGUUGAAGAGCACGAUGCCCAUCAGGCCGCAGUAGUCUGCGUCGAUCACCCCUGCACCCAGUCGAGAAAGUGAAAACUUGUUAGUUCGCAUCCUCGUGUAGAUCCAGUAGGGUAUUUUCUUCAAUUAUAUGUCUCUUUUAGUCUAUUAUGAAUCUUCAAAAUGGAAAAACACCUACUAAAUGCAUACCCUAGUUGUACGUGUUCAUGCUAUCUUCUUGUUUUGGUGCAUUCAAGAAAUACUAGUGUAUUUGAGCUAUAUAUUCUUGAAAUAUUUGACAGUUAACAUUCUGUUCAAAAUUUAUUAUUGCAUGGAUAGGGAAAUCGCCAACAAAGGACUUCAGAAAAUUGAUUCCCACUGCUCUUCAAAACAGGGAAUAGGCAAAGUCUUUUUUGAAUUUUGAUAUUCCAUGCCAACUUCAAGUAUAUAUGCUACCAUGUAAUCUUUGAACGUGGAUCAAAAUGAGAUUUCAGGCUUUGUGGGCCUUACCAUGAUCAGUACUAAAUUCUCUAGGCUGCUCAACCUUUCCCUGUAGGGAGCAUUUCUUUCACCAGGUAUCGCAUUGUUAAGUUUGGGAAGAAACCUGCAUCCCUUCAGAUAGUCAUCCAUAUCCUGAAGAAAAAACAGUAUACAUUUUCAGUGACUCACAAUAUAUCAUCGAAUACUGCUCAAGUCUACUUCUAAGAAUAAUUGUUUAAGAUCAGCCAAUGUUUUCUUACGAUCUUCCACUCUGUGAAGUAGAAGUAAAAACUGAAAGCUAAACACACAUUAAGAUUACCUACAUAAAAUUCUUCAGAUAGCGAAUGAGCGAUAGAAAAAAAAUAUAUACUUCAGAUAGCAAGGAGCAGGCCAACAGGCAACAACAUAAGUUUUUUAGCAGCGGCGACAGGUAACUACCGAGACAUUGCAGGUGAAGAUAUGAAUUUUGGGUACCCUUCGUCCCCCACGAGCAGACUUCGUUGACAGUGGUGCAGGGUACAGUGUUGCGCAGGCGACGCGGAGAGAGGCCUGCCUGGCCGGGGCCUAGCCGAGCUUGGCGCUGAGGACGUUGCCCACGGACACCUCCUGCACCAGCGCCGGGUCGACGUUGACUCUCCGGAGAGCACCAUUUUAAAUCGGGCGGCAGAGCAUCACUGACUGGGUGCUCGGAUCCAACUACCAUCUACUUUGACCAUCCGAACCACAUGUGACAACAAGACUCAUCCGAUCUCUUGUCCUCUACCCAAUGUCAUGAGAUAUUGAGAUCCAAUGUUAUUAGUCCAGGUCUGCUACCAUCUACUUAUACUAAUCAAAAGGCAAACCAAUCCACUUACGCCCAGUCUAUCAGGACUAAACUUGUACUCCUAACAGUGGGGCUGUAAAAUUUCCACACGCGUUCAUCUGGGCCUUAUCCUACGCCAUCUCCAAAGAUUUAAAAAUGCAAAAGUUUUCAAUUGACACGACACUUGCCAUUAUAUAUUGUAAAAAAAGUUUAUGUCAUCCGUGCAAAAAACUAAUGCUGAAGUUCUUUCUACUGCCUUUUUCUGAAUUAUUAGUUGCUGAUGCCAAUAAAAACAAGUGCAGUUCAUCUAGCAGCAUACUACCAAAUAUACGCAGCUCAGAAGUUGAAGAUACAAUAAAUAGAUACGGCUAAAAGCAUGAGACCUGCUACUUUGGAAGAUAGUAACUUACAGUAUCCUGGAGAAGGCCUCCCUGUUCUCGUUGAGCUUCCACUGAUCCUCUGCGUCGGAGGCGUAGUAGUCGUACACCAUCUUCAGGAGCUUCUCCCUGGCAAGUUUCCAGUACUCGGACACGUUCGUGAUCAUCUCCAUUCCCCUGCUCAAAUUAUUCAUCAUCAAUUCCCAGUUAAUCUAUUUGCCAAGCAGCAAAAUAGAUCAUCUGCUUUUUCUCUGAAGAGUGAAGACGCUUGAACCUGAACUGUACAUCCUCCGGAUAGCUUGACAGGGAAUAUGAGAAAUCAAGAAGGAUGGCAAGAUAUGGAACAAAUCUGGAGGCUGAUCUAUCCAUGGAGGAGUUGAUUAACUGAAGAAUCGAUCCUGGAUUCCUGAUUCGGUAUCAUAUAUAUCACUCCAUCAGUAGUUCGAGAUGUUGCUUUCGAAUCAGCGGUACUGAAAAAACGAAAUAGAAAGAUUGAGCCGAGGCGAUUUGACGAGUCUUGUUGUCUCAUGACAUUGAGCCGAGGCGGUUUGAGUGGUUGCUUAACUAGUAGCAAGGAUUGGAGUAAGAAAGCAGAGAAAUUUCGUUACCCUGGAUGGCGACGGAGCCGAGCUUGGUGGCGGGGAGGGACGAGAGGCAGCCAAGCAAGGCGUCGAUGGGCGUGCUGGCGACGCCGACGGUGCACACGUCCAUGGGAUCCAGGCCGCCGUCGGGGGCGCAAGUGCUCGGGGACGGCGCCAUGGCGUGGUGGUGGACUGGCUUGGCUGUUGGAUCUUACCCCUCUGUGUGCUAGGGCUCACCGGCGGCGGGUGGAUUGGGUUUGGCCGGAGAGAGCGAGAGGGAGAGAGAGAGAGGGGGUGUAGCGACCCGACCUCAAACGGUAAAGUCUUUGUGCUUCUGUGUCAUCCCUGGAUCGGUAAUGCUGACACACAGUGCUCGAAGGAUUUAUAACAGAGUAGCAAUCACAAACUUAUUACAUCGAAUGUCUCCAAAAAGAACUUAUUACAAUAAAUAUGGCAUAAGGCCAUCUAAUACGAUAACAGCGGAAGACUUGGAAGAUAAAGUGAGUCCAUCAACUCCAACAGCAUAGCUGAGCUGCACGGCAACGACCUAACGAACCUUACUCCUCGUCUGAAAAGUCUGCAACAUAAUACGUUGCAGCCCGAGAACGGGUCAGCACAUGGAAUAUGCUGGCAAUAUAACACAGUAGAGCAAGAACAGAAUAAUGCUACCACUACAUGCAUAUUUGGCUGGUGGAAAGGCUCUAUGGUUAUAGUUUUGCGAAAAGCCAAUUUUUUCCUACAACAAUGGAAUAAGUUUUAUUUAACUAUCAUGGUAGUUGAAACAUCAUUGAGAAGGUUCCUCCAACUCAAUCCCAAUUAAAGUAAUUAUCAACCCAACAUAUUAAAUUAGAGUGAUGAGAUACUUAGGAUAAUCCAAGUACUAGAUACUCAAGAUGUCCAUAACCGGGGACACGGCUAACCAUGAUUAGAUUGUACACUCUGCAGAGGUUUGCGCACUUUUCCCCACAAGAUUCGAUCUCCUCCGUUGGAUUUCUCGCACUACAUGGUGUUUGAGAAACGGAUGACCGAGACACAGUCUUUCAGAAGCAUUAACUCUAACCCCGGGUAGACAGUACCAACCUACAUCCCUCUACAUCUGCUAGCCUACCACUGGAAGAGGUCAGGCAACUUACUCAACUAUGCUAGAGCCCACAAUAGCUUGUGGCUGCACACGGAAGUUUCUAGCAUGAAUAAUCUUAUGAUCCCUUUGAGCCUGGGUGGCGAGCCGUAGGAUGAUCACACGGGUCCUCCGGGAUAUCCUAGGACAACACUGGAUUCUCCAGGUGCCCGUAACCAAUCCACCCAGAUGUGUAUUAAAGUACCCACCUUAAGUUGAACCAUUAAGUAAACAAUCUCACAUCUGUCAUGGAUUCACUCACCCAAACCACGUCUACGAGCAUAGCAUAGCAAUAUAAGCAAUACGUUGAAGUAACUCCCAAGGGUUUGAUAAUAACAGGGCAAUAGGUUCUACCUCAUCAACUACUUCCCAAUACCCACAAGUUAAUCACAUCCUAAUCAUGCAGUGUUUGAGGAUUGGAGCUAAUGCAUAAAAACUGGGUAUGAAAAGAGUAUGAUCAAUGUGUUACUUGCCUUGCUGACGAUACGCAAAACCUAGAGACUCGUAGUAGCACGCUUCGCACUCCGGGAAUUCUAUCGCAAAAAAACAAUAGCAUGCAUAAGCAAUCAAUCAUGGAUGCACGGGUAAAACUCAAAUAAGAAGAACUAACCAGAAAAUCCAACUUAAGAACUCCGGUUUGCAAAAAGAAUCAAAUCAAACGGAGCAACAAAACUCAAACUGCGAAAGAAACAAGAUUCGAUUACUAAUCUGGACUAAAGUCAAAUUUUACAGUACCAAAAUCUUGUUCAAGUUGGUUAAACAGAAAUAGGGUUUCGAGACGAAGAUCUAGGCGCUUGAAUCGCCUGAUUCCGAUAAACGAGCGAAAAGAUAAACUAAAACGAAAAUCGGAUCAGAAAUCGCGAUCGAAAAUAAUCGCGAAAAAACUGAGAAAAAGAAAAACUGACGAACAGGCUAACGAACGAACGUUCGUUGUCUGUAACUAAUGAGCGAAAACGGUUCGUUAAAACGAACGUACGGACGAACGUCCGCUAAAUAAUCUAAACCGAGAAAACCAACGAACCGAUAAAAAAAGCAACUAGGGUUUUUAAAAAAACCGAUGGUUUUACCUAAACCGAAAGAAAAACAGCGGCUCCGGCGGCUUCCGCGGCGGCGCGGCGAGGCGGGGGCAGCGCGGGGUGAGGCGCGGCAGGCGGCGGCGGCUGCUGCUGCUGCUUGCGGUGGCGGUGGUGGCGAUUUGGGGGCGGGGGCGGCGGCUUUUAAAGGGGAGAGGGAGGGUGGCUUGCGGGAGGGGGCGGGAGGAGUCCCGGGCGGCGACGGCGACGGCUGCCGAGUCCUGGCCGGACUCGGGCACGGCGGAGGCGGUGGCGCGGCACGGGCCGGCGGCCUGGCUCGGCUGGGUCUUGGCCCAGUCGGGCGCGGAAGAAGUUUUUUUAAAAAAAAUGGAUUCCGCCGAAAAUAAAUCCUAGAAAAAUAAAUAAAAAUCUAAAAAUGCCAAAACAAAUUUUCACCGUCUAAAUAAAAUAUUUAGAACAAGAUGAACGUUUUCUUGGCCCUAAAAUGCAAUUUUGAAAACAUGCAAUUUUUCUAAUGCAAAUAAAAUAGCACUAAAAGCCGAAUAAAAUCAAAUAUUUGAUUUUAAUAUUUUUCCUCCAAUAUUUCAUUUAUUUUGGAGAAGUCAUAUUAUCUCCUCUCAUAUAUUUUAAUAUGAAAUAUUUUCGGAGAGAAAAAUAAUUAAAACAAAUAAUCCUCGUUUCAGUAUUUGAUAAAAUUCAAAUAUGGAAACAGUGAAAUCCCCAACUCUCUCCCAGGGUCCUUGAGUUGCGUAGAAUUUCGAGGAUCGCGAAACGAAAUGCAACAAAAAUAUGAUAUGCAUGAAUGAUCUAUGUAUAACAUUCCAAAUUGAAAAUUUGGGAUGUUACAAACCUACCCCCCUUAAGAUGAAUCUCGCCCUCGAGAUUCGGGUUGGCUAGGAAAUAGGUGUGGGUGGUCUUUACAAAGAUCAUCCUCUCGUUCCCAGGUGGCUUCAUCCUCGGUAUGGUGGCUCCACUGAAUUUUGCAAAACUUGAUAACCUUGUUGCGGGUGACUCGGCUGGCAAAUUCAAGAAUCCUGACUAGCUUCUCCUCAUAGGUCAGAUCACUGUCCAACUGAAUUGCUUCUAGAGGCACUGUAUCUCUCAGUGGAAUAUCGGCCAUCUCCGCAUGACACUUCUUCAACUGUGAAACAUGAAACACAUCAUGAACUCCCGACAGUCCUUCAGGUAACUCCAACUUGUAGGCAACCUCUCCCAUACGUUCCAAAACACGAUACGAUCCUACAAAUCUCGGGGCUAACUUUCCCUUAACUCCAAAACGUUUCACUCCUCGCAGAGGUGACACUCAUAGAUAUGCUCUGUCUCCAAUUUCAUAGGUUACUUCCUUGCGUUUCGAAUCUGCAUAACUCUUCUGCCUGGACUGGGCUUCCUUCAGUCUAUCUCGAAUCAAUUUAACCUUCUCUUCAGACUCCUUAAUCAAAUCUGGUCCAAACAACUGUCGGUCUCCAACUUCAUCCCACAUCAACGGUGUUCUGCACCUUCGCCCAUACAGGGCUUCGAACGGUGCCAUCUUCAAACUGGCUUGAUAGCUAUUGUUGUAUGAGAACUCCGCGUAGGGUAAAUUGUCAUCCCAAGUAGAUCCAUAAUCUAGUGCACAAGCCCUCAACAUAUCCUCCAGAAUCUGGUUGACUCUCUCGGUCUGUCCAUCUAUCUGCGGAUGAAAAGCUGUACUGAACUCCAGCCUGGUUCCCAAAGUCUGGUGCAACUGAUGCCAAAACUUUGAGGUAAACUGUGUUCCUCUAUCUGAGACGAUGGUCCUUGGAACUCCAUGCAGACAUACGAUCCUGGUCAUGUAUAUCUUGGCCAACUUCGCACUUAUAUAGGUGGUUUUCACUGGAAUAAAGUGAGCCACUUUGGUCAAGCGAUCAACUACUACCCAUAUAGAAUCAUAUCCUGAUUUGGUCCUGGGCAAUCCGGUGAUGAAAUCCAUGCCAAGCUUAUCCCACUUCCAUUCGGGUAUCGGCAUAGGCUGUAGCAAUCCUGCUGGCUUUUGAUGUUCUGCCUUCACUCUCUGACAUACAUCACAUACGGCUACAUACUCGGCAAUAUCCUUCUUCAUACCAGUCCAUCAAAAAUGUUCCUUCAAAUCCAAAUACAUCUUGGUGUUUCCGGGGUGUAUCGAGUAUGGUGAGUCAUGGGCCUCCUGAAAUAUUAACUUCCUGAUCUCUGUGUUAUUGGGCACAUAAACACGGUCCUCAAACCAUAAGGUGUCGUGCUCAUCCUCACGAAAACCUUUGGCCUUUCCUUUGCUCAUUCUCUCUUUUAUCUCGGCAAUUUCUUUGUCAUCCUUCUGAGCUUCUCGAAUCUUUGCUAACAAUGUAGACUGAACUUCCAUUGUUGCAACAAAACCUCUAGGAAUAAUCUCCAAUCGAAGUUCCCUGAGAUCCCCUGCUAACUCCUUUGGCAAUCCUGUGCUUACGAGGGUGUUAGCAUAACUCUUCCGGCUCAAAGCGUCUGCUACGACAUUGGCCUUGCCUGGAUGAUAGUGAAGCUUCAUGUCAUAAUCCUUUAUAAGCUCCAACCAUCUCCUCUGCCUAAGGUUCAGCUCCUUCUGUGUGAAAAUGUACUUCAAACUCUUAUGAUCCGUGUACACAUCACAACGGUUUCCAAUAAGGUAAUGUCUCCAAGUCUUGAGCGCAUGCACUACAGCUGCUAACUCCAAAUCAUGUGUGGCAUAAGUCAAUUCGUGCGGUUUUAGUUGUCGUGAGGCAUACGAAACAACUCUUCCGUCCUGCAUAAGCACACUUCCAAGUCCUAAGCGAGAGGCGUCGCAAUACACUUGGAAAUCCUUGCGUAUAUCCGGCAGAAUCAGCACUGGGGCUGUAGUCAGACGUUUCUUUAACUCCUGAAAACUCGCCUCACAUUCUUCCGUCCAUAUAAAUUUGGUAUCCUUCUUCAAUAACUCUGUCAUUGGCUUCGCAAUCUUGGAAAAAUUCUCAAUGAAUCUCGGAUAGUAUCCUGCGAGUCCAAGAAAACUGCGGAUCUCGCUAACUGAAGCGGGUGCCAACCAUUCAGUGACUGACUGAACCUUGGUGGGGUCUACUGGUAUACCUUCUCCUGAUAUAACAUGUCCAAGGAAUCCAACUUCCUUCAACCAAAACUCACAUUUGCUGAACUUGGCGUACAACUGAUGUUCCCUGAGUUUCUCGAGAACUAAUCGUAAAUGCUCAUUGUGCUCCUCUUCAUUCUUCGAGUAUACCAUUAUAUCAUCAAUGAACACCACAACAAACUUAUCCAAAUAUUCCAUGAACACCUUGUUCAUCAUGCUCAUGAAAUAGGCAGGGGCGUUAGUCAGUCCAAAUGACAUGACCGUAUACUCAUACAACCCGUACCUUGUGGUAAAUGCGGUCUUUGGUAUAUCCUUCUCUCGAAUUUUCAGCUGGUGAUAUCCUGAUUGUAGAUCGAUCUUUGAAAACACUUUAGCUCCUUGCAGCUGGUCAAACAAAUCAUUGAUCAUCGGCAAUGGGUAUUUGUUCUUGAUCGUCACCUCAUUCAAUGCCCGAUAAUCAACAACCAUCCUCAAUGAUCCAUCCUUCUUCUCAACCAAAAGCACUGGGGCUCCCCACGGUGAUGAACUUCGUCGAAUGUAACCUUUCUCCAAUAACUCCUUGAUCUGCUCUUAAUCUCUUCCAGAUCAUUUGUGGGCAUCCAGUAGGGUCUCUUUGAUAUAGGCCCGGUGCCUGGCAACAGUUCUAUCAAAAACUCGAUGUCCUGAUCUGGCGGCAUGCCUCGUAAUUCUUCUGGAAAUACAUCUGGGUAAUCCUUUACGACAGGCACUUCCUCCUGAACAACUCCUGAGAGGGAAUUUACUUGGGUUCUCCUUGUCAUAUGCCUGGAUACAUACUUGAUCCUCUUUCCCUCCGGGGUGGUGAGAUAAAUCGACUUACUAGCACAGUCAAUGCUUCCUCCAUACUUUGACAUCCAGUCCAUGCCUAAUAUCACAUUCAAUCCUUGUGACUCCAAAAUUAUUAGGUCGGACGGGAAAACAUGGCUACCAAUGGUUAAGGGUAUCCGGUCGCACCAUCGGCUAGCCAUAUACUCUGCUCCAGGUGAACUUACUAACAGAGGGGUCCUAAGGGCUUGGGUUGGUAGUUUAAACUUAUCCACAAAUCCCCUUGAUAUGUAUGAAUGCGAUGCACCAGUAUCAAAAAGAACAAGGGCGGUAAAAGACUUAAUCAAAAACUUACCGAUAACCGCGUCUGGCUGCUCUUCAACCUCCUCCAUGUUAACGUGGUUCACUUGUCCUUUGUUGAAUGGUUUGGGCUUCUUCCCAGCGCUCCCAUUACCGUUUCCAUUCUUCGCUUCAGGGCACUCCGUGGCAUAGUUUCCAGUCUUCCUGCACUUGAAGCAAGUAAUGUGACUUAGGUCUCUCUUGGUGGGUGUGCAUGGAUUGGAGCGGUUCUGAUUGUUGCUUGUUCCGUUCCCAGUCCCAUUCUUGGAACCAUUGUGGUUAUGCGAACUUCCUCCAUUGUGAUUAUGACCUCCAUGGUUAUGAACAAGUCCUCCUGAGUUCGGGGUUAGACGAGGCUUCUGCUGAGCUCCUGAGUUGUAUCUUCCUUGCCCAUACUUCCUCUUACGGCUCUCAAUCUGUUGCUGCUUCCCUUCAAUCAUAAGAGCCUUAUCUACCAACUCCUGGUAGUUGUUGAAUGUUGCCACCAUCAACUGCAUGCUCAUCUCAUUGUUCAGACCUUCCAAUAAACUUCUCCUGCUUCGCGGCAUCUGUGGCCACAUCAUCAGGGGCAUAGUGAGAUAACUUGCUAAACUCAUCCACGUACUGAGCCACAGUACGGUUCCCCUGGCGUAAGUUGCGAAAUUCACGCUUCUUCAUAUUCAUAGCUCCAGUUGAGACAUGGGCUGUGCGGAAAGCUUGCUGAAACUGAUCCCAAGUGACGUUGGCUAUGGGGAAAGUGGUCGUAUAAUUCUCCCACCAUGAGGCUGCUGGUCCAUCCAAUUGAUGUGCGGCAAAGUGCACCUUCUCAGCAUCUGUGCAACCUGCGGUGGUCAGCUCCCUUCCAAUACGGCAUAGCCAAUCAUCAGCAACUAUAGGCUCGGUGCUACUGGAAAACACUGGCGGCUGCAACCUUAAAAAGCGAGCUAAGUUGUCAACUGGAGGCGGGUUGUUGUUGUUGUUGCCUUGGUUCUGGACUAACAAUUGCAUCAAGGCAUUCUGCUGCUGGAUCAACUGAGUGAGCUCCAGCGGGAAGGCAAAUCUGGUGUCACGUCUCGGAGUCAUCUGAUGGGUUUAGAGGGGAGAGAUUGGAAUAGAAAAGGGGUCUAGUGAGAAGGCACUACCCAUAUGCACAUGAGACAAACACAAUCAUAUCACUCAAUCAAUCAAGCAAGGGCAUACAAACGGUCUAGAACUAUCGUUAAGAGUGCUCAACUACUACUAUAUACAUGGGGGAAUACUACUAAUCAUUUGGUGGUCAUCUAGAAAUUUUGAUCGGUGGAAGACUCCAUGAUGUCUGCUCCAGCUUCGUCUUCAAAGUCAUCUUCACUGGAGUCGGAGUCGGUGUCGUCGAUGAUGAUGUAGUUCUCCGGGCAAGUGGAAUCGUCGUCCUCUCCUCCUGACGCGGGGUCUCCCAUGAAUACUCCGAUCUUCUUUAUCAGGUCGUCAUUCUUCUCCAAUAGUGUUGCAAUUUCCUCCUCAUAUCCAUCGCGUGUAGACUUAAGUUCUUCUUCCAGCUCGAUGAUCCUUGUCUUCGCCUUCUUCAAAUCUAUCAUGCCUGCGCACAUCUGAUUCUCCUGGAGUCGAAUGUGCUGGUUUAACUCCUGGAUGAAAGCUGCAAUGGAUCUGUCCUUCCUGGUGCUGAUCAUCUCCCAUUGCUCAUCUCGGCGUCCACAUAUUUGGUAGAUAGUGUCCUUGAGAUCCUUGUUGUAGACUUCUCCAAUGCGUCCCAUGGCAAUGUGGGCUGCCAUGCUCUUGCCUAGACUCCAGGUUGGUGCUUCAAAGGAAAACUCUAUGGGCUCAGUGACUGGUGUGAACGUCCUUCCUGGAACUUGAACUCGAAUCAUCCAGCGCUCCUCUUCUGGUAAAGUGGCGUUGUAGGUCCCGGUGAAGCUUGGUAUUCUGAUGUUCAGAUACCUAGUGACUUCCUUCAAGUGUCGUCCAAAGGGUGUGUCUUCAUCCGGUUGUGCAGAUUUGUUCCUCAAAUCCGCCAUCCUAAAGAGUAGAAAAUGGAGAGGAGUCAGAAAUGAGUAGAGAAGAGUGACCUAUGGCUUAUCUUAGUGGUCGUGUCCUACACUCAGCAUGUGCUCUGAUACCAUCUUGUAGCGACCCGACCUCAAACGGUCAAGUCUCUGUGCUUCUGUGUCAUCCCUGGAUCGGUAAUGCUGACACACACAGUGCUCAAAGGAUUUAUAACAGAGUAGCAAUCACACACUUAUUACAUCGAAUGUCUCCAAAGAGAACUUAUUACAAUAAAUAUGGCAUAAGGCCAUCUAAUACGAUAACAGCGGAAGACUUGGAAGAUAAAGUGAGUCCAUCAACUCCAACAGCAUAGCUGAGCUGCAUGGCAACGACCUAAUGAACCUUACUCCUCGUCUGAAAAGUCUGCAACAUAAUACGUUGCAGCCCGAGAACGGGUCAGCACAUGGAAUAUGCUGGCAAUAUAACACAGUAGAGCAAGAACAGAAUAAUGCUACCACUACAUGCAUAUUUGGCUGGUGGAAAGGCUCUAUGGUUAUAGUUUUGCGAAAAGCCAAUUUGUUCCUACAACAAUGGAAUAAGUUUUAUUUAACUAUCAUGGUAGUUGAAACAUCAUUGAGAAGGUUCCUCCAACUCAAUCCCAAUUAAAUUAAUUAUCAACCCAACAUAUUAAAUUAGAGUGAUGAGAUACUUAGGAUAAUCCAAGUACUAGAUACUCAAGAUGUCCAUAACCGGGGACACGGCUAACCAUGAUUAGAUUGUACACUCUGCAGAGGUUUGCGCACUUUUCCCAACAAGAAUCGAUCUCCUCCGUUGGAUUUCUCGCACUACAUGGUGUUUGAGAAAUGGAUGACCGAGACACAGUCUUUCAGAAGCAUUAACUCUAACCCCGGGUAGACAGUACCAACCUACAUCCCUCUACAUCUGCUAGCCUACCAAUGGAAGAGGUCAUGCAACUUACUCAACUAUGCUAGAGCCCACAAUAGCUUGUGGCUGCACACGGAAGUUUCUAGCAUGAAUAAUCUUAUGAUCCCUUUGAGCCUGGGUGGCGAGCCGUAGGAUGAUCACACGGGUCCUCCGGGAUAUCCUAGGACAACACUGGAUUCUCCAGGUGCCCGUAACCAAUCCACCCAGAUGUGUAUUAAAGUACCCACCUUGAGUUGAACCAUUAAGUAAACAAUCUCACAUCUGUCAUGGAUUCACUCACCCAAACCACGUCUACGAGCAUAGCAUAGCAAUAUAAGCAAUACGUUGAAGUAACUCCCAAGGGUUUGAUAAUAACAGGGCAAUAGGUUCUACCUCAUCAACUACUUCCCAAUACCCACAAGUUAAUCACAUCCUAAUCAUGCAGUGUUUGAGGAUUGGAGCUAAUGCAUAAAAACUGGGUAUGAAAAGAGUAUGAUCAAUGUGUUACUUGCCUUGCUGACGAUCCGCAAAACCUAGAGACUCGUAGUAGCACGCUUCGCACUCCGGGAAUUCUAUCGCAAACAAACAAUAGCAUACAUAAGCAAUCAAUCAUGGACGCACGGGUAAAACUCAAAUAAGAAGAACUAACCAGAAAGUUCAACUUAAGAACUCCGGUUUGCAAAAAGAAUCAAAUCAAACGGAGCAACGAAAUCUGCGAAAGAAACAAGAUUCGAUUAUUAAUCUGGACUAAAGUCAAAUUUUACAGUACCAAAAUCUUGUUCAAGUUGGUUAAACAGAAAGAGGGUUUCGAGACGAAGAUCUAGGCGCUUGAUUCGCCUGAUUCCGAUAAAUGAGCGAAAAGAUAAACUAAAACGAAAAUCGGAUCAGAAAUCGCGAUCGAAAAUAAUCGCGAAAAACCCGAGAAAAAGAAAAAUUGACAAAUAGGCUAACGAACGAACGUUCGUUGUCUGUAACUAACGAGCGAAAACCGUUAAAUAAUCUAAACCGAGAAAACCAACGAACCGAUAAAAAACGCAACUAGGGUUUUUAAAAACCGACGGUUUUUACCUAAACCGAAAAAAAACGGCGACUCAGGAUCGGAUCGGCUCCGGCGGCGGCGCGGCGAGGCGGGGGCAGCGCGGGGUGGUGCGGCGCGGCGGCGGCUGCUGCUGCUGCUUGCGGCGGCGGUGGUGGCGAUUUGGGGGCGGGGGCGGCGGCUUAUAAAGGGGAGAGGGAGGGUGGCUUGCGGGAGGGGGCGGGAGGAGUCCCGGGCGGCGACGGCGGUGGCUGCCGAGUCCUGGCCGGACUCGGGCACGGCGAAGGCGGUGGUGCGGUGCGGGCCGGCGGCCUGGCCCGGCUGGGCCUUGGCCCAGUCGGGCGCGGAAGAAGUUUAAAAAAACGAAUUUCGCCGAAAAUAAAUCCUAGAAAAAUAAAUAAAAAUCUAAAAAUGCCAAAACAAAUUUUCACUGUCUAAAUAAAAUAUUUAGAACAAGAUGAACAUUUUCUUGGCCCUAAAAUGCAAUUUUGAAAACAUGCACUUUUUCUAAUGCAAAUAAAAUAGCAAUAAAAUCCGAAUAAAAUCAAAUAUUUGAUUUUAAUAUUUUUCCUCCAAUAUUUCAUUUAUUUUGGAGAAGUCAUAUUAUCUCCUCUCAUAUAUUUUAAUAUAAAAUAUUUUCGGAGAGAAAAAUAAUUAAAAUAAAUAAUCCUCGUUUCAGUAUUUGAUAAAAUUCAAAUAUGGAAACAGUGAAAUCCCCAACUCUCUCCGAGGGUCCUUGAGUUGCGUAGAAUUUCGAGGAUCGCAAAAUAAAAUGCAACAAAAAUAUGAUAUGCAUGAAUGAUCUAUGUAUAACAUUCCAAAUUGGAAAUUUGGGAUGUUACAGAGGGACGAUAGCGAUCAGAGAAGAACGACCACCGCAGGGGUGGACGGCAGAUGAGAGGAGAGGAGGGUGGAAGGGAGGCCGGCGGUGGAAGGGAUCUCGAUCUGAUCUGAAUCGAGGGUGGGCGAUGUGGGAGUGGAUCAGGGGUGGGAGGUGUGGGAUCUGAGUGACACACUUAACGGUAGCGUGAGUAUCUCAAAAGCGCUGCAACUAUCGACUUAGUAGUAGCGCACGUUUUGCAACCAGCAUUAUUAAUAUGGUCUGUCCACGGAUCACGGUUAAGAAUAUUUACUAGUAGCAUGUUUUUAGACCACGCGCUACUAGUAAUAUUUAGUACUAGCGCGGGUAAAUGUAGCUCGCUACUAGUAAGUAGCAGUAGCAUGGGUCAAUAUAGCGCGCUACUAGUAAGCGUCUGCCUAUAAGUUUUUCCCUAGUAGUGGAAUAGUAUAGAGAAAUGAGAUCCCGGGAGACGAAGUUUGUGUUUGUGUGAGAGAAAGAGAUUUCACAUGGAGAAUCAUAGUUAGAGACACAUAGCAGGGAGCGAGAUAUACUUAGAGAGAGAUAGAGUGAUGAAGGUCGAGGGAGAUAGUACCGUCAGUGUGUUACGUAGAUAAAAGAUCAUUGUCAACAUACAGGUAGCACGAGAGAUACCCGAGAGACGAUGAACGCGUAUAGGUCUAGAGAGAUACUCCUAUAUAAGAAUGAGUGAUAGCUAUAUGAGACGAAUAUCUGGAUUAAAGGGGAUUCAAAUAUUUAAACUGGAGAUCACGACAUCGAUAAUAUCAUAACGCAAAUUAGUGUAUCAAACAUGCAUAUUCAUUUGAAUUUGGGGACACGUGUAAUGUUAUAUAGUUUAUCAAUAUUAGUGAUCCAUAGAUUCUUUAAUUAGAGACAAUGCAUGGUUUAUAUGCAAUUAAUGUCUAAACGGGAUUAGACUAUAUGUUGCGUGUGUGAAACACAUUAUAUAUGUUUGAGAAGUAAAAAAACCCGCAUGAAACACACAUUAAUAGGAGACGGUUAACGAGGAAUGCAUACGUUGGAUUUCAACAUAAAGUGGUUUCAAAUAUUUGAAAAUCCAAAUUAAGAUGGAUACAGCCUUAUGAAUCUGAGAUCAUGCCAUUUGUAAACCAUAUUUAUGUAUAAAGGGUGUUGUGCUUUUGAAAGUAUAUAUAAAACUGAUGUAUAUAGAAUUUUAUUCCAAUCGAAAAUGGAUCCUGCCCGAACAAAAAUAGAAUACAAACUAGAUUCGGAUUGAGUUGGCACGGUAAACGUGCACUCUUGCUUUGCAAAAAUUUGAACGAAGCGGGGAAAGUCGCAGUAACUGCCCGAAACCAAAAUCUGUGAGAUGGAAAUUACUGCCUAUCCCUGACACGCAAAGCCUAUCGGCUCGAUUUCUAUAGGUUUCGAUAGGGGUAGGUUUGUAAUUUCACUCAAACGUGACAUAACCACCUAUCACCCGGAUUCAUACACGGUGGGCGCCAAAACACAGUGUCUCCUCGGCCGAAAUUGAAUCCCUCCCUGAUUCAUACACGGUGGGCGCCAAAAACAAACUCUCGUCGGCAAAUAUUCAGUGUAUGCGAGAUUACCGUCCUAUCCCCAACCGACUAAUAUUGUUGUGAUGUAGGAAAUUUUAAACGGGGGCUAAGUUUGUAAAUUUCCAACAGGGAGCCUAUUUUUUGUGUAGUUGUGCCAGAUUAUAUUAAUCUACUCACCAUAUUACAACAUACAUGGGCUAUCUCAUCAGAAUCCAGUGAUAGCACACAAGGGUUUACAGGGAGCCUCUAUUAUAUUACAAUAUCCUCUGCAUUACAAAGAUAAUCUCACUACUAUUUGUGUUUUCAUGCUUUACAGAUAUUGUACGCAAUCACAACGAAUAUAAGAAUACGCACAUCAGAAGAAUAUUGCGGAACAGUUCAAUGGGUAACAAACUUGGCAUCAAGGGAUUGAGGUCCAUUGUGGAUGCAAUGAAACCCACAUGCUCCCGACCUAUAGAUUCAUAUUCAGAAUAUGAUCCUAAUGACUAUUCUGAGCUCAAGGAGUCAAAGGCAGAUGGCCUAUCCAAUUCUCCCAAUAAGGUGCCUGUUCUAAUUUGGCAAGGUUUUAUUGGUUGCACAUAUCUUGCAUAAGGUGUCUUGCAUUUCUUUUGCUUCGUUGCACCGCCAUCUGCUUAGUUUACUCAUGAUAUAUGUGAAGAUGCCAUGCCCAUCCAUUAUCAACACCUAUUCCAUUUGUCGUCAUACCGUGUUUUUCCAUUCAAAUGUUGUUCUUGUGUUUCAGACAUCCAAAAGGAAGAGGGUGGUUGCAGAACCUGAAGGAGUAUAAGCAAAGUCCUUGAAAAAGGUGGUGCUACCGAAGAAAUCACAUAGCACCCGACAUAUAUUGGUGAUAGAACCAGCGCCGCAAAACCUAGGAUAUCGCAACUAUGCUGGUCGCUGCUUUGCUCUUAUGAGUACCUAUUGUCCUAUCGCUGUCCUUACAUUCAUACCUGGUGGAUUAUGUGACAUCAUUGUGCAUUAUAGCUUGCUUAUUCACUGUUUGCUCCAAAUUAUCAGAUCUAUAUUAAUGCUUAAAUUAAUGUACAAUAAACCCAAUGCCUAUGAAGAAAUUUAGUUCUGCAUUGUUCUUGUAAGUAUCUGUUGUCCUUCAUCACUGUACUUAUAUUUGUCAGCUAGUUCUUCAUGUACACUUUGCAGCUUAUUUUCCCUUGUCCUCCAUUUUUCUACACAUCAAAUCUACAUUUACUCUUGACAAAAUAUUGAAUAAAACCAAUGUUACUGAAGAAGUUUAGCUCCGCAUUGCUCGUCAGUGCCUUCUGCCUAUAUGCUGUAUUUACAUUUGUACUCUGCAUCUUAAGUUAAAUAAUCGCCAUUUGUUCCUAUAUUUUCACAUCUAUAUUACUCUUAACAAAAUGUAGAAUAAAGGCAAUACUCUUGAAGAAGAGUGUGCGGUAAACUUCUUGAAUUCCCCCCCCCCAUCAAUAUGGGCAAGGCCUUUAUAGAGCAUGUCUUCACUACUAAUGUAAGUUUGUCCUCCUCGAGCCUUCAAACUUUGUUGUGUAUAUUUGGAUAGCUAUGAGUGCAAAUGUUGUUUAUUUUUGUCGUCUGCAUCAAAUUGUUGUUCAAAGUUUAUAAAGUAGAAAUACAUAAACAUAAGUUUGUCCUUCUCAAUUUCAGUAUUUAGUUGUACAAUCUAGUUCCUUAUUCAUACCAUGUAAAUUAAACUAAACAUAGCAAGUUAUCUUCUUUAGCACUAUGUGUAUGCUUGUGUUCUUGAUCUGUAAUCCAGUGGUGUGGUGAGACUACCAACAACAGCACAAUGUCAUAUCCUGCUAUGUCUCAACUAUGAAUAAUGCCUUAUUAUAUUAAUGUUAUUUAAAUCGUGUCUCUUUAUUUACCAAUCUGAAAUGGUAUAAAUUGACAGUACACUCACCAUUCAUGCUUAUACGUUGUUUAGAACUACAUCUAUGCUUGUGUUCUUGAUCUGUAAUCCAGUGGUCUGGUGAAGCUGGCCGCUCCUGCACAAUGCCAUUUCCUGCCGUCUUAACUAUGAACAAUGCCUAUUAUGUUAAUGUUAUUUUAAAUAGUGUCUCUUUAUUUCUGACAAAGAAAUUAGAUGAAUUGACAGCACUAAUGCUUAUACGUGCAAAACUUGUUAUCUACCUACUUGUUUCUCUUUCAGGGUGACAACAUUGCUGCUAGGAAGAACUGCCACAAUGAUAGUGAGACGAACCCAUUGCUUGUCCCUCUAACACAUAUUCCAGAGGAGAAGGCAACACAUAUUGAGGGUAGGGAUACAACCACGAAGUCACAUCUUGAUGUAGUGUCAAACUUACUCGAUGACACAAGCUCAAUGAAGUCGCCGCCUGAAUCUGUUCGACUUCUUCAGUCUGAAAUUCAAGCAGAAAUACAUGCUUCCACUCAAAUACGACUGAAAUUCCAAUCUCUAUGCAAGAUUAACCAUAAGUACAUGACGUUUAUUGAUGCUAUCCAGCUUAAGUUGGUGGUAUGAGCGGCAAAGAAGCGCAGUCUCAUUAGGUUGCUAAGCUGCUUGCGCUACAGCUCCCGGGCCGGGCUAACCUUUCUUGAACUGUGUUGAAGUGCUGUCGGUUCUGUCUAUUAUUUUGUCCGCCUAUUAACUUCCACUGGUGGCGACCUGCCCAGUUUAUGUAAUUUGAUGUUUGGUUGCCCUUUAUUAUCACUGGCGGUGAACUUUUUUUUUGACAGAAAGACUGUAAGGGGACCCCCUACAGUAUAAUUGGUGCAACAAACCCAAAUUGCAAGUACCAUGCCUUGAACCUGGGUGGAUGGGAAGGCAUCAGCCCCUUCCAACCACUAGGCUAUGCCUUAACCUGCACUAGGCUAUACCCAAAUUUCUUUGUUGUAUAGUCUAGGUUUAUUCUUGGUCGGUAUGCUGUAAUUUAGGUCGGAAGGUUCAGUGGAUCUCAGUGUUGUCGGUCUUCAGGCCGGCCCGUUAGUCAUAUGGGCCAAAACGUGGGCCUAUUAUCAUCUUGGGCCAUUAGUAGGUCUAAACCUAUAGUAGUUUCCUGCCUUUAACAGGUCGAGUAAAGUUCUGGCCAGCUGGGCCAGAGAAUAUGGGCUUUUAACAGGCUAAAAUCUAGAUUGGGCUAGUGUUGAGCCAAAAAAUUCACGGGCCAAUACAGGCCGAAACUGCCUAAGGCCAAUGUUGGGGCCAAAUAGGACGAGCAAUUAACAGGCCAAAAUAUAUCUCGGGUCUGUUUGGCCAAAUAAAAUUAUGGGCUUUAAGCACGCCGGUAUCCGCGUGGGCCAUAGGCCCAAAAGUGUCACGGGCCAUUAUCAGAUGGGCUGUAAGCAGGCCGGAUUCAACGCGGGCUGUAAUUAGGCCCAACUGUUACACGGGCCAUUAACAGGCCGAUAGGCCAGUUGGGCUGAAAUUUAUCCACGAAGACUACGGGCCGUUAAGAGGCCUAAAGUUACUUUGGACAAGAAAUAGCCCAGUUUAUGCAUGGGUCGUUAAAUGGCCUAAAGUUAAACCGGGCCGACAACGUCCCAGAUACACCACGGGCCGCUAACAGGCCGAAACUAUUAUCGGGCCAAACUGGUAAACGAGCAUUUAACAGGCUGAAAUACAAACAUGUCUUAGAAUGGGCCCAAAAGAACAGUGGCCUGUUAACGGGCCUGAUCCAAUAUUGGCCGUAAUUUGGCCCAAAACGCGGCAGGCUGUGAAUGGGCCUGAUGUAGUAUGGGCCUCAAUUUGACCCAAAACAUGGCAGGUUGUUAACGGGCCAGCCCACUAGUGUCUGAAAAAACAUGGUGGGCCUUUAGCUGGGACGGCCUUUUCACCGGAAUGGGCCUCUGUUGGGCCGUGCCACGUGUCGACGUAUCAUAGUCGCCUCCUGUCCAAUGAGUGGAUGACAUCUGUCCCAACGGUGAGCCAACACGUGUUUCCUCCGGCCAAUAAGAAUUUUACACGUGGAAAAUCCCCAUUGGUCUGGGCUGUUAACGGGUGAAAGGACAUGCGGUGCCCCCAUGUGUGGUUUUGGUAAUUGAUGACAAUCUGUAUGGACUAAUGGUUGCAUUGAGUUAUAUUUGAAGGAUUUGUCCAUAGGCAUGUCUUGAAGUCCAUGUGUUGGUUUCAAGGAGUUUAUGUGUUGACAGAGGUGCUUUUAAGGAAUUAUCCAAAGAUUGGUCAUGUGAGAGUUGAGCUUAUUGCAAGCAUGUCUUGGAGAAGAAGAUUGUGUGAUCAUUCAUGUCUACCUUCAAGACAUCAUCCAAAUGAAGAGAGUUCGAAAGAUUCAAGGUUGAUCAAGAUUAAGUCAAGAGUGAAUCAAGUUGAUCAACACACAAAGCAUACAAGAUGUACCAAGGGAUCAAGUGAUCCCAUGGUAUGGUAAGCAUUGUCCAUUAUGCUUUGUAUGCUAUACCAUGGUAUUCGUGAGAGUUUUUUGUGGGGUUAGGUUGCGGUGUGUGAUACGUCUCCAACGUAUCUAUAAUUUUUUAUUGUUCCAUGCUAUUAUAUUAUCUGUUUUGGAUGUUUAAUGGGCUUUAUUAUGCUCUUUUAUAUUAUUUUUGGGACAAACCUAUUAACCGAAGGCCCAGUGCAAAUUGCUGGUUUUUUUGCCUAUUUCAAUGUUUCGCAGAAAAGGAAUAACAAACGGAAUCCAAACGGAAUGAAACCUUCACGAGGAUCGUUUUUGGAACAAACGCAAUCCAGGAGACUUGGAGUGGACGUCAAGGAAUCAACGAGGCGGCCACGAAGCAGGAGGGCGCGCCCCCCACCCUCGUGGGCCCCUCGUGGCUCCACCGACCUACUUCUUUCGCCUAUAUAUACUCUCAUACCCUGAAAACAUCCAGGAGAGCUACGAAACACUUUUUCCACCGUCGCAACCUUCUGUACCCGUGAGAUCCCAUCUUGGGGCCUUUUCCGGCGCUCCGCCGAAGGGGGAAUCGAUCACGGAGGGCUUCUACAUCAACACCAUAGCCUCUCCGAUGAUGUGUGAGUAGUUUACCACAGACCUUCGGGGCCAUAGUUAUUAGCUAGAUGGCUUCUUCUCUCUCUUUGGAUCUCAAUACAAAGUUCUCCUCGAUCUUCUUGGAGACCUAUUCGAUGUAAUACUUUUUGCGGUGUGUUUGCCGAGAUCCGAUGAAUUGUGAGUUUAAGAUCAAGAUUAUCUAUGAACAAUAUUUGAUUCUUCUCUGAAUUCUUAUAUGCAUGAUUUGAUAUCUUUGCAAGUCUCUUCGAAUUAUCAGUUUGGUUUGGCCUACUAGAUUGAUCUUUCUUGCAAUGGGAGAAGUGCUUAGCUUUGGGUUCAAUCUUGCGGUGUCCUUUCCCAGUGACAGCAGGGGCAGCAAGGCACGUAUUGUAUUGUUGCCAUCGAGGAUAAAAGGAUGGGGUUUAUAUCAUAUUGCUUGAGUUUAUCCCUCUACAUCAUGUCAUCUUGCCUAAUGCGUUACUCUGUUCUUAUGAACUUAAUACUCUAGAUGCAUGUUGGAUAGCGGUCGAUGUGUGGAGUAACAGUAGUAGAUGCAGAAUCGUUUCGGUCUACUUGACACGGACGUGAUGCCUAUGUUCAUGAUCAUGCCUAGAUAUUCUCAUAACUAUGUGCUUUUCUAUCAAUUGCUCGGCAGUAAUUUGUUCACCCACCGUAAUAUAUGCUAUCAUGAGAGAAGCCACUAGUGAAACCUAUGGCCCCCGGGUCUAUUUUACAUCAUAUUAGUUUCCCGUCAACUAGCCAAUUUCUGUCACCGUUUAUUUUGCAACCUUUAUUUUCCAAUCUAUACAACAAAAAUACCAAAAAUAUUAUCUUAUUAUCUUUAUCAGAUCUCACUUUUGCAAGUGGCCGUGAAGGUAUUGACAACCCCUUUAUCGCGUUGGUUGCAAGGUUCUUGAUUAUUUGUGCAGGUACUAGGCGAUUUGCGUGUAGUCUCCUACUGGAUUGAUACCUUGGUUCUCAAAAACUGAGGGAAAUACUUACGCUACUUUGCUGCAUCACCCUUUCCUCUUCAAGGGAAACCAACGCAUGCUCAAGAGGUAGCAAGAAGGAUUUCUGCCACCAUUGCCGGGGAGGUCUACGCACAAGUCAAGACAUACCAAGUACCCAUCACAAACUCUUCUCCCUCGCAUUACAUUAUUUGCCAUUUGCCUCUCGUUUUCCUCUCCCCCACUUCACCUUUGUCGUUUUAUUCGCCCUUUUUCAUUCGUCUCUUUUCGCUUGCUUCUUGUGUGCCCGUUCUUAGUGAGGUUUGUCGCCAUCAUGUCUGAAAUUGGGGAGGUUAUCGUCGAAAAAGAUAAUAGUAACAAUGGGGGAAACCUUGAUACUUUUGAUAAUCCAGAUGAAGAAUCCGCUAUUCUACACACUAAAAAGUUUUGGAUUGGUAGUGGUAAUAUUAUUGGAAAAGGAGUUACUCAAGAUUUCUUUACUUGUGCCGGUGCUUUGCCCACUAUGGGAGGGUCUAUUCUUCAUAGAACUAGUAGUCUCGCGGAUGCUAUAUCUUUUCUCAUAGUUGAACUUGAAAGACAAUUUAUGCAUAUGCAUCCUUGCAUACAAAGGAUUUUCCUAGAAUUUUUCAAUAUUGAGCAUUCUUCUGUUAAGCGUGUAGCUACUAUAUUUUUAGCACAUGAGUUCAGAUUUAUAAUGAAAGAGGCCAAUGAAAUUUUUGCGCAUUAUAGGGUGGACGCUUGCCGUCCUCCCAUAUAAGCUAUCCUUUUUAAUCAAGAAGACAUAAUGCGUUUACGAUCUUUAGAUCAUGUUGCUUAUAAUGAAAACCUUAGAAAAAAGGUUCCUACCGAUGUUCUAGUUGAUAGAAUCUCUAAACUUAAUGAUGAUUUUGCUAUUCAGAAUAAUGGGUUAGGAUUUCCUCUUGAACAUAGGCUCAUGACUUUUUGCCAAAAGAAUGCUUAUAAUGAUGAAUUGGUUGUGCAAUAUGAGGGGCCGAAGGAGGAACCAAUACCUCCCAAGCUUGAUCUUGGGGACUUUUGUCCCAUUAAAUUUAGCCCUUUUGAUUAUUUUUGCCUGCCGCAAAGAAAGCUUGCUGCUGAACGUAGGGAGUAUGAGAUGAGUUUUCGCGAUUUGCCCUAUCAUUAUGGCAAUACCUGGAUCUAUUCUUGUUUUUAUGCCUAGCUAGGGGCGUUAAACGAUAGCGCUUGUUGGGAGGCAACCCAAUUUUAUUUUUGUUCCUUACUUUUUGUUCCUGUUUAGUAAUAAAUAUUUCAUCUAGCCUCUGGUUAGAUGUGGUUUUAUGUUUUAAUUAGUGUUUGUGCCAAGUAGAACCUUUAGGAUAACCUAUGGUGAUAGUUAAUUUGAUCUUGCUAAAAAGCAGAAACUUUUGCGCGCACGAAAUUAGUUUUCAUAAAUCACAGGAACGUGCUUUUCAGUUGAUUCUUUUUGCAGAAUAUUAAUAAACAAAUUGCUUAGGACUUCCUAAUUCCUCAGAAUUUUUGGAGUUACAGAAGUAUUUGAAACUAUUAGAUUUCUACAGACUGUUCUGUUUUUGACAGAUUCUGUUUUUAGUGUGUUGUUUGCUUAUUUUGAUGAAUCUAUGGCUAGUAUCGGGGGGUACGAACCAUAGAGAAGUUGGAAUACAGUAGGUUUAACACCAAUAUAAAUAAAGAAUGAGUUCAUUGCAGUACCUUAAGGUGGUGGUUUGUUUUCUUAUACUAACAGAGCUCAUGAGAUUUUCUGUUUGAGUUUUGUGUUUUCAAGUUUUCAAGUUUUUGGGUAAAGAUUUGAUGGAUUUUGGAAUAAGGAGUGGCAAGAGCCUAAGCUUGGGGAUGCCCAAGGCACCCCAAGGUAAAAUUCAAGGUCAACCAAAAGCCUAAGCUUGGGGAUGCCCCGGAAGGCAUCCCCUCUUUCGUCUUCGUCUAUCGGUAACUUUACUCGAGGCUAUAUUUUUAUUCACCACAUGAUAUGUGUUUUGCUUGGAGCGUCUUGUAUGAUUUAAGUCUUUGCUUUUUACUUUACCACAAUCAUCCUUGCUGUACACACCUUUUGGGAGAGACACACAUGAAUCGGAAUUUAUGAGAAUACUCUAUGUGCUUCACUUAUAUAUUUUGAGCUAGAUAAUUUUGCUCUAGUGCUUCACUUAUACCCUUUUUAGAGCACGGUGGUGAUUUUAAUUUGUAGGAAUUAUUGAUCUCUCAUGCUUCACUUAUAUUAUUUUGAGAGUCCUUUAGAACAGCAUGGUAGUUUGCUUUGGCUAUAAAAUUAGUCCUAAUAUGAUAGGCAUCCAAGAUGGGUAUAAUAAAAACUUUCAUAUAGAGUGCAUUAAAUACUAUGAUAAAUUUGAUACUUCAUAAUUGUUUUCAGAUAUAAAGGUUGUAAUGUUAGAGUCAUGCUAGUUGGGUAAUUGUGGAAUUGAGAAAUACUUGUGUUGAGGUUGGCAAGUCCUGUAGCAUGCACGUAUGGUAAACGUUGUGUGACAAAUUUGAAGCAUGGGGUGUUCUUUGAUUGCUUUCCUUAUGAGUGGAGGUCGGGAUCGCGCGAUGGUUAACACCUACCAACCCUUCCCCUAGGAGCAUGCGCGUAGUGCUUAGUUUUGUUGACUUGUAGAUUUUUGCAAUAAGUAUGUGAGUUCUUUAUGACUAAUGUUGAGUCCAUGGAUUAUACGCACUCUCGCCCUUCCAUCAUUGCUAGCCUCUUCGGUACCGUGCAUUGCCCUUUCUCACCUCGAGAGUUGGUGCAAACUUCGCCGAUGCAUCCAAACCCCGUGAUAUGAUACGCUCUAUCACACAUAAGCCUCCUUAUAUCUUCCUCAAAACAGCCACCAUACCUACCUAUUAUGGCAUUUCCAUAGCCAUUCCGAGAUAUAUUGCCAUGCAACUUACCACUGUUCCGUUUAUUAUGACACGCUCCAUCAUUGUCAUAUUGCUUUGCAUGAUCAUGUAGUUGACAUCGUAUUUGUGGCAAAGCCACCUUCAUAAUUCUUUCAUACAUGUCGCUCUUGAUUCAUUGCAUAUCCCGGUACACCGCCGGAGGCAUUCACAUAGUCAUAUUUUGUUCUAAGGAUCGAGUUGUAAUUCUUGAGUUGUAAGUAAAUAGAAGUGUGAUGAUUUUCAUUAUUAGAGCAUUGUCCCAUGUGAGGAAAGGAUGAUGGAGACUAUGAUUCCCCCACAAGUCGGGAUGAGACUCCCGAUGAGAAAAAAAUAAAUAAAUAAAGAGGCCAAAGAAGCCCAAAUAAAAAAAGGCCAAAGAAGCCCAAACAAAAAAACAAAAAAAUGAGAGAAAAAGAGAGAAGGGACAAUGUUACUAUCCUUUUUCCACACUUGUGCUUCAAAAUAGCACCAUGAUCUUCAUGAUAGAGAGUUUCUUAUUUUGUCACUUUCAUAUACUAGUGGGAAUUUUUCAUUAUAGAACUUGGCUUGUAUAUUCCAAUGAUGGGCUUUCUCAAAAUGCCCUAGGUCUUCGUGAGCAAGCAAGUUGGAUGCACACCCACUUAGUUUCUUUUGAUGGGCUUUCAUAUAUUUAUAGCUCUAGUGCAUCUGUUGCAUGGCAAUCCCUACUCCUCGCAUUGAUAUCAAUUGAUGGGCAUCUCCAUAGCCCGUUGAUUAGCCGCGUCAAUGUGAGACUUUAUCCUUCUUUUUGUCUGCUCACAUAACCCCCAUCAUCAUAUGCUAUUCCACCCAUAGUGCUAUGUCCAUGGCUUGCGCUCAUAUAUUCCGUAAAAGUUGAAAGAGUUUGAAAAGGCUAAGUAUGAAACAAUUGCUUGGCUGAAACCAGGGUUGUGCAUGAUGGGAGCAUUUUGUGUGACGAAAAUGAAGCAUGGCCAAACUAUAUGAUUUUGUAGGGAUGAGCUUUCUUUGGCUAUGUUAUUUUGGUAAGACAUAAUUGCUUGGUUAGCAUGCUUGAAGUAUUACUAUUUUUAUGUUGAUAAUAAAAAUUUGUCUAGGAUCUUUUGGAUCUAAGCAUUCAUGCCACAAUAAAUAGAAUUACAUUGAAAAUUAUGUUAGGUAGCAUUCCACAUCAAAAAAUUUGUUUUAUCAUUUACCUACUCGAGGACGAGCAGGAAUUAAGCUUGGGGAUGCUUGAUACGUCUCCACCGUAUCUAUAAUUUUUGAUUGUUCCAUGCUAUUAUAUUAUCUGUUUUGGAUGUUUAAUGGGCUUUAUUAUGCUCUUUUAUAUUAUUUUUGGGACUAACCUAUUAACCGAAGGCCCAGUGCAAAUUGUUGUUUUUUGCCUAUUUCAGUGUUUCGCAGAAAAGGAAUAUCAAACGGAAUCCAAACGGAAUGAAACCUUCGCGAGGAUCGUUUUUGGAACAAACGCAAUCCAGGAGACUUGGAGUGGACGUCAAGGAAGCAACGAGGCGGCCACGAGGAAGGAGGGCGCGCCCCCCACCCUCAUGGGCCCCUCGUGGCUCCACCGACCUACUUCUUUCGCCUAUAUAUACUCUCAUACCCUGAAAACAUCCAGGAGAGCCACGAAGCACUUUUUCCACCGCCGCAACCUUCUGUACUUGUGAGAUCCCAUCUUGGGGCCUUUUCCGGCGCUCCGCCGGAGGGGGAAUCGAUCAUGGAGGGCUUCUACAUCAACACCAUAGCCUCUCCGAUGAUGUGUGAGUAGUUUACCACAGACCUUCGGGUCCAUAGUUAUUAGCUAGAUGGCUUCUUCUCUCUCUUUGGAUCUCAAUACAAAGUUCUCCUCGAUCUUCUUGGAGAUCUAUUCGAUGUAAUACUUUUUGCGGUGUGUUUGCCGAGAUCCGAUGAAUUGUGGGUUUAUGAUCAAGAUUAUCUAUGAACAAUAUUUGGUUCUUCUCUGAAUUCUUAUAUGCAUGAUUUGAUAUCUUUGCAAGUCUCUUUGAAUUAUCAGUUUGGUUUGGCCUACUAGAUUGAUCUUUCUUGCAAUGGGAGAAGUGCUUAGCUUUGGGUUCAAUCUUGUGGUGUCCUUUCCCAGUGACAGCAGGGGCAGCAAGGCACGUAUUGUAUUGUUGCCAUCGAGGAUAAAAAGAUGGGGUUUAUAUCAUAUUGCUUGAGUUUAUCCCUCUACAUCAUGUCAUCUUGCCUAAUGCGUUACUCUGUUCUUAUGAACUUAAUACUCUAGAUGCAUGUUGGAUAGCGGUUGAUGUGUGGAGUAAUAGUAGUAGAUGCAGAAUUGUUUCGGUCUACUUGACACGGACGUGAUUCCUAUGUUCAUAAUCAUGCCUAGAUAUUCUCAUAACUAUGCGCUUUUCUAUCAAUUGCUCGGCAGUAAUUUGUUCACCCACCGUAAUAUAUGCUAUCAUGAGAGAAGCCACUAGUGAAACCUAUGGCCCCCAGGUCUAUUUUAAAUCAUAUUAGUUUCCCGUCAACUAGCCAAUUUCUGUCGCCGUUUAUUUUGCAAUCUUUAUUUUCCAAUCUAUACAACAAAAAUACCAAAAAAUUAUCUUAUUAUCUUUAUCAGAUCUCACUUUUGCAAGUGGCCGUGAAGGGAUUGACAACCCCUUUAUCGCGUUGGUUGCAAGGUUCUUGAUUGUUUGUGCAGGUACUAGGCAAUUUGCGUGUAGUCUCCUACUGGAUUGAUACCUUGGUUCUCAAAAACUGAGGGAAAUACGUACGCUACUUUGUUGCAUCACCCUUUCCUCUUCAAGGGAAAACCAACGCAUGCUCAAGAGCUAGCAGUGUGCAAGUUCAAGUGGAGCAUCACGAAGAAAUCAAAUGCUUGAAGCUUGCCGUCCAUUGUGGUGACAAUGGAUUUGUGAAGAUGUGCGGAAGAGUGGCUCACCCAUAGUGGAGUAUGGGGGAGCAAUCAACUAGUCUUCAUCGAGCCAACGCAAUCAAGAAAGGUGGUCCAACUUGAGGGAGUCAAGAUCGUCAUCAUCUAGCUCAAGUGGACCAUGUGCAAGGCAAAGGUUUGCCCUUGAUAGGUUUUCUAUUUUACCGAUCUCAUGGUGGUAGUUGGGAGACCGGGUUAUAGGAUCGAUUGCCGUACUAUCAAGGGGGGCUCUCAAUGAGUAGCUUUAUCGUAUCAUUCGUAGAGAGCUCAAACCAUUGCAUCCUUGCAUCAUCUUUCUUGGUUCUUGUUUGAUUCUCUUUGUGAGUCUUAGAGCUUAUGGUCAUCUUGAUGACAAGCUCGAGUUCAUCGAAAACGGAGUUCACCUGCAUCUUCUAUGAUGUUUUCGAUGUUGGAGGUUAUGCCGGUUCUUCUCUGUUGGAGGUUUCACUCCUCUAUAUGUUAGGCAUACCUCCCUUGCCCCUUCUUACUCGCUGUUUUGAUGCUACUCGUUGUCUUCUAUCCAACAAGCUUGAGUUUUCUCAAUUCGGAGAUCAUUUGCAGAAGUUAUGGCAGUUCUGGUUUUAUUGGAUCCUUUUGUUGGCUUUAGCUGCGAUAUGAAGGCAGCCAAGUGCUAAAGCCUCUGUGGCGUGCGGUAGUACUGCUCAAGGGAGCGGUAGUACCGCAGGGGCCAGCGGUAGUACCGCUCCUGGUGAGCAGUAGUACCACGGCCUCUAGCCCAGAACAUUGUCACGCACGGAAGUAGGCGCGGAAGUAAUUUUUUACUUCCGUCCCUACGCGGUAGUACCGCUCCCUGCGAGCGGUAGUACCAUGCCGGCUUUCUACUCAAAGCUAGCUCCAGCGGAUGUAGGCGCGGCAGUAAUUUUUUACAUCCGUGGACGCACGGUAGUACCGCUAUCCCCAGCGGUAGUACCGCUACCUCACCGUGUAUACUGCUGUGUGCUGCACCUGUGUGGCCGUUGAAUACUACCCCUGCGGUAGUACCACAAGGGCAGGCAGUAGUACCCCUCCGGCAGUAGUACCACUCUGUUGCCCCGUUGUAGUAGUGUUUCAUUUGGCUACAGCCGCCCUAGCGGUAGUACCGCUCCUUGGAGCGGUAGUACCGCUCGGUGCGGGCUGUGAGGAUAACGGUUGGAUUUUUCCCCACCUAUAAAAGGGGGUCUUCUUCCCCAAUGAACCUUAUCCUUUGAGCUCGUGUUCUUGCCCCAUUGCUGACCUUCUUCGAGCUUGCUAACUCUCAAUCCCUCCAUGGAUUCUUGCUAGUUUUUGAGGGAAAAGAGAGAGGAGAUCUAGAUCCACAUUUCCACCAAUCACUUUCUCCUCUAUGUGAGGGGAACCCCUUGGAUCUAGAUCUUGGAGUUCUUGGUGUUCUCCUUCUUGUUCUUCCUCUCAUUUUCCUCCCCAGAAUUAGUUGCUUCGGUGGGACUUGAGAGAGAAGGACUUGGGCACUCCGUGUGCCCUUGCCAUUGCAUUUGGUGCAUCGGUUUGAGUUCUCCACGUGAUACGUGGAAGUUACAAGUUGAGAAGCUUAUUACUCUUGGGUGCUUGGUACCCUUGAGCUUGUUCCUCUUGGGUGCUUGGGCGCCCUAGACAGUUGGUGGUGUUCGGAGCUCAAUCAUUGUGGUGUAAAGCUCCGGGUGUCAGUGUCAAAACUGGUGGAUCUCGGGUAGGGGGUCCCAAACUGUGCGUCUAAGGUUGAGGGUAACAGGAGACGGGGGACACAAUGUUUACCCAGGUUCGGGCCCUCUCUACAGAGGUAAUACCCUACUUCUUGCUUGAUUGAUCUUGAUGAAUAUGAGUAUUACAAGAGUUGAUCUACCACGAGAUCGUAAUGGCUAAAACCCUAGAAGUCUAGCCUGUAUGACUAUGAUUAUGAUUAUUCAUCCUCUACGGACUAAGCCCUCCGGUUUAUAUAGACACCGGAGGGUUCUAGGGUUACAUCAGGUCGGUUACAGAGAAAGGAAUCUUCAUAUUUGGUCGCCAAGCUUGCCUUCCACGCCAAGGAGAGUCCCAUCCGGACACGGGAGAGAGUCUUCGGUCUUCGUAUCUUCACGGCCGAUCAAUCCGGCCCAUGUAUAACAGGUCGGAUGCCUGAGGACCCCUUAAUCCAGGACUCCCUCGGUAGCCCCCGAACCAGGCUUCAAUGACGAUGUGUCCAGCGCGCAGAUUGUCUUCGGCAUUGCAAGGCGGGUUCUUCCUCCGAUGACUUUCAAAGAGAUAUAUUCGGCACUCCAUUUAACGUUGUGCCCCUCGGCUUCUGUGCGUCAACAACUUCAGCUUCCACGUGUCGAGCGAAUGCGGGAGGUCAGGGUAUUUUCACAUAUAACACCCCGGCCAUGUAAGAACAGCGUCUAUUUAACGGGAUUGGAUCUCAGAUCCAUUCUAUAUCAUGCAAAAAAUCCUCAGAGCUUGCUAGGAAAAACCAUUCCAACAUGGCCAGCGCUCCUAGCUCUUCCUCCCGUCCCCACGGCCCAGAAAAAGGCAAUUGGGAGAGAUGUUUCAUAUCUCACGGUCAGUUGGUGAAGCUGCAAACACAGGGAUUCCUUCCCCCUGCGGAUCUAGUCCCCGUUCGAGUAGGAUUGAAUUCCUUCAACGGCGGGGCUCAGGCUGAGAAUUUCCACAACCCAUCCAGGGGGGAGCGAGUGUGCUUCAUCCCCUACUUGCUAAGAGGCGUCGGAUUUCCAAUCCAUCCGUUCCUCCGAGGGCUUCUAGAGUAUUAUGGCUUCCAACUGCACAACUUCACUCCUGCCUCCAUCCUGCACAUCACGGGCUACGUCACUCUUUGCGAGCUAUUCUUGGGUUGCGAGGCCCAUUUUGAUUUGUGGAGGAAGCUAUUCUGCCUCGUCCCUCGCAACCAAGAUGGAUCAAUAUUUGAAGUGGGCGGAGCCGAAGUAUGGCGCAUCGCCGGGACCGGAUACCUGUCCGGCACGCGGAAGAAGGCAUCCGAAGAAUGGCCUUCCGAAUGGUUCUAUAUCGAGGACGUCGCCCUUCCAGACCCAGUUCGAAUGGGUCUUCUCGAAUUUACAAGGGUUCCGUUGAAGAAAUGCCACAGCUGGCGCCCUCGGAGCCUCGAGGAGGAAGAUAGUGCGGAAGUCCGUCAACUGAUUAGCAAGAUAAAGACGCUUGCCCAGCCCGGAUUAUCAAUAGUCGACGUAAUGGCGACUUCCAUAGUGCGAGGGGUUCAGCCACUCCAAUACAGAGGGCUUCCUAUGUGGCACUACAAUGGGGAAGAUGACGCCUCCCGUUGCGGUCGAAAAGGUCCGGACACCCCCGCCGCUUUGGCCAAGAUAUUGGUCGAACUAUUCAAAGGGGAGGAAGAGGAAUUCCUUCGCAUCAAGCGUCGGGAUGGAUUUUCCAUGUACAACCCUACUAGUUGGGUGAGUUACAAUCCCAUUAUUCCAUUCAAUCUACUCCCUGAGUCACUUUUAACGAACAUUACUCCGUCCAUUCGUAACAGGAAUGGCGAAAAAUCACCAAGGGGCUACACCGCCCCGCCCCACAGCCAGAGAACCAUAACCGGGACCUUGACCCUGGAUUUGAAGAGGAUCCGGACAUAUAUGUGGAGCUCGAGGAUGGGGUGUUCUACCAGGCGAGCUAUGACGGCAUGGAAGUGGCCAUCACUGCCGACUAUCCCGGUCUUCUCCCUGCCUCGCACGUAAAUAAUCAGGAGAUAUCUCCUAUGAAAGAGCCUCCUCAUUCUGCCUCAUGAUGGGGAACGUAGCGAUAAUUCUAAAAUUUCCUACAUGUCACCAAGAUCAAUCUAGGAGAUGCUAGCAACGAGAGAGAGGGAGUGCAUCUUCAUACCCUUGAAGAUCGCUAAGCGGAAGCGUUACAAGAACGCGGUUGAUGGAGUCGUACUCGCGGCGAUUCAAAUCGCGGAAGAUCCGAUCUAGCGUCGAACGGACGACGCCUCCGCGUUCAACACACGUACAGCCCGGGGACAUCUCCUCCUUCUUGAUCCAGUAAGGGGAGAGGAGAAGUUGAGGGAGAACUCCAGCAGCACGACGGCAUGGUGGCAAUGGAGCUCGUGGUUCUCCGGCAGGGCUUCGCCAAGCACUAUGGAGGAGGAGAUGUAUGAGGAGGAAGGGGGCUGCGCCAAGGGAAGGGUAUGGCUUCCCUCCCACCCCCUCACUAUAUAUAGGGGGAGGGGAGAGGGUCCGGCCCCUCUAGAUGGAUCUAGAGGAGGAGGCGGCGGCCAGGGGAAACCCUAGAUGGGUUUGGGUGCCCCCACCCCCUAGGAAACUUGCCCCCCAAGCCGGGAGGGGCGGCUAUCCUAGGGGUGGCGCCCCCACCUCUCCUGGUUACGUGAGAGGGGUUGGGAGGGGCGCACAAUCCCUUAGUGGGCUGGUUUGACACUUCCCCUUGGCCCAUAAGGCCCCCCAACACUUGCCGGGGCCUCCGAAACCCCUUUCGGACAUGCUGGCCAUAGCCUGGUACCCCCGGAACAAUUCCGGACUCCAAUACCCUUCGUCCAAUAUACCGAUCUUCACCUCCGGACCAUUCCGGAGCUCCUCGUCAUGUCCGGGAUCUCAUCCGGGACUCCGAACAACCUUCGGUAACCACAUACUAUUUCCCAUAACAACUCUGGCGUCACCGAACCUUAAGUGUGUAGUCCCUACGGGUUCGGCAACCAUGCAGACAUGACCGAGACGUUCUCCGGCCAAUAACCAACAGUGGGAUCUGGAUACCCUUGUUGGCUCCCACAUGUUCCACGAUGAUCUCAUCGGAUGAACCACGAUGUCGGGGAUUCAAUCGAUCCCGUAUACAAUUCCCUUUGUCUAUCGGUAUGUUACUUGCCCGAGAUUCGAUCGUCCGUAUCCCUAUACCUUGUUCAAUCUCGUUACCGGCAAGUCUCUUUACUCAUUCCGUAACGCAUGAUCCCGUGGCUAACUCAUUAGUCACAUUGAGCUCAUUAUGAUGAUGCAUUACCGAGUGGGCCCAGAGAUACCUCUCCGUCAUACGGAGUGACAAAUCCCAGUCUCGAUUCGUGCCAACCCAACAGACUGUAGGAGAUAUGCCCUAGAGGCAAUAAUAAAUGAUAUUAUUUAACUCCGAGUUCAUAAUUAUGUUUAUGUUCCAUGCUAUAACUGCUAUGGUUCUCGAGUCUGCAAUAACCACGAGGCUCGGAGGAAGACUCAUAUGCACGUGUGGAAUAAUAAACGGUAAAAUGUAUUCCUAGUAUGGCCUCUAAGACUAGCUCAAGUGUUGAUGGUUAUGUUUUCCUGAUCAUGGGCAUGUCUAUGUCAGCAACCUUGAGGGCAUAAUGUUAAGAGAACAUUUGUGUUGAAUCGACCCGGCAUGAUGUUAUGCUAUGAGAUUCAUUCGUCACAAGUUUAUUGGUACAUAACACAGAGAUGGUUAAAGUUUGCAUGAUUCCUUAGACCAUGAGAGUAUCGAGUUUCUUCAUGCUUGCUUCAUGAACUUUGGGGUUUGUUAAACGUCAUCCGUAAAUGGGUGGCUAUUACGGCGGCUUACGGGUUCAUGGAAAAGUGUGUCAAGUAACUUGAUAGCUCAAGAUUGGGAUUUGCUCCUCCGACGAUGGAGAGAUAUCUCUGGGCCCUCUCGGUGUUACGGUAUCCAUCAUCGUCUGGCCAGACACUUUGUGAUUUGAUCACGGGGAUGCCGGAACACGAUAACGAGAAAAGAGAACAAUACCGGUAACGAGGUAACUAGCAUAGUGGACAAGUUGUUGAUCCACGGGAAUGCCAACAUGUCUCACCUCGGGUAUUUGCAACAUAUUGCGAAGCAACAGGAAUAGCACACGGCAACUGGAGGUUCACUCGAAUAUUUAUUCGUGUGGGUAUAGGGGUCAAUAUGGGUGUCCACGGCUCCGAUGUUGAUCAUUGAUCGGAAGGGGUUCCGGGUCAUGUCUAUACUUCACCGAACCUAUAGGGUCACAUGCUUAAGGGUCAUCUAUCUACUGAAUACUAGACAGGGAGUCUGAGAGAAAAUCACCGAAAAAGUUUCGGACACCGAAAAGUUUCGGACAGCGGAAUCGUACCGCAGAGAGAGGUCAUCGGAUAAGUUUCGAUGAUACCGAAAAGUUGUUUCGGGAUACACCAUUAAGUCAAAUUGGUUUCGGCACAUGCCUGAUAAUUCUUGGAGGAUGCCAGAAUCAUUCUGGAAGCUUUUUGGAAUUUUCUGAGAUAAAAACCGGAAAUGUUCCGGAGCUGCCGGAGCCACUUCAGAUGCGUUUCGCAGAUGAAAAUCACUAAAACCGGAAUUGUUUCGGAACGCGUUGAAAAUCAUUUUAGUGGGUAUUGGAAAUGUUCUUAGCCCACAUAAAUAUUUUCAGUUCGAUCAGACGCUGAAAAAUGUCGUCGUGAAUAGUGAAAAUCAGCUUUAUGGUUACUUUAUGGAAAGCCACCUUUUGGGGCUUUGCUCCAAAAGAUCUUGGGGAUGACAUGGAUGGAUAGGAGCCAUUUUUGGGGCCCCUCAUGGGGGUGUGGCCGGCCACAUGGGGUAUCCCCCCUUGGGGACCCUCUUGUUCCUUGGUUUCACUCCUAGGUCCUUGUGGAAGGACUUCAUUCAUGUGCAUUUUGGGUUUUUUGUGAAACUACCCUACCCCCUUGGGAUUUCCUAUAAAUAGAGGUGGAGGGGCAGCCCUCCACACUCAUCCCUUGCUCUCAUACACAUGCCAUGCAUUAUCUGGCUUCUUCUCUCCCUCCCACGAAAAGAGUUUCGUAGAGCCGUAAGGCUGUCUGGGUUCCGGCAGGAACUAGUUCUGGACGGCGAAGCCCUGCCGGAUAGAUGACACCGUAUGUGUGCAACUCUUUAGAGAGAUCGUAGUUUCGGUCUUAGUUCGUGAGUGCCUCCCGAAGGGCUGUCCGUGUGACCGUCCGAGUUUCGAAGGUCCUCCCGAAGGGCUGUCCGAGUGACCGUUCGAGUUUCGAAGGUCCUCCCGAAGGGCUGUCCGCGACACCGUCCGGGGGCUGUUCGACCGCCUCCUGGAGGGCUGUCUGAGGAGCAGAUGAGGGUAUACAUCCUCGCGGUUGGGAGGUUGUAAAUCCUAGCUGUGGGGAUCUGCACCGCCGAUCGUCAUCGACUCUACUUCCCGCUGCGCUACGAGUCGGUAACGAAAAAGAUCAAACCAUGUAUGCAGUCUCCAUAGUGGUCCUGGGCUGGUCCGUAGGUCGGAAUUUUUUUUGUUUUCUGCUGCGUUCCCCUACACAGACACUUUCGGAGAUACCUGUAGUGCACCUUUAUAGCCACCCAGUUACGUUGUGACGUUUGGUACACCCAAAGCAUUCCUACGGUAUCCCGGAGUUGCACAAUCUCAUGGUCUAAGGAAACGAUACUUGACAUUAGAAAAGCUCUUAGCAAACGAACUACACGAUCUUGUGCUAUGCUUAGGAUUGGGUCUUGUCCAUCACGUCAUUCUCCUAAUGAUGUGAUCCCAUUAUCAAUGACAUCCAAUGUCCAUGGUCAGGAAACCAUAACCAUCUAUUGAUCAACGAGCUAGUCAACUAGAGGCUUACUAGGGACAUGUUGUGGUCUAUGUAUUCACACAUGUAUUACGGUUUCCAGUUAAUACAAUUAUAGCAUGAACAAUAGACAAUUAUCAUGAACAAGGAAAUACAAUAAUAACCAUUUUAUUAUUGCCUCUAGGGCAUAUUUCCAGCAGUCUCCCACUUGCACUAGAGUCAAUAAUCUAGUUCACAUCACCAUGUGAUUAACACUCAAAGUUCACAUCGCCAUGUGACUAAUACCCAAGAGUUUACUAGAGUCAAUAAUCUAGUUCACAUCACCAUGUGAUUAACACUCAAUGAGUUCUAGGGUUUGAUCAUGUUAUGCUUACGAGAGAGGUUUUAGUCAACGGGUCUGCAACAUUCAGAUUCGUGUGUGAUUUACAAAUCUCUAUGUCAUCUUGUAGAUGCAGCUACCACGCGCUACUUGGAGCUAUUCCAAAUAACUGCUCUACUAUACGAAUCCGGUUUACUACUCAGAGUCAUCCGGAUUAGUGUCAAAGUUUGCAUCGACAUAACCCUUUACGAUGAACUCCUUUUCCACCUCCAUAAUCGAGAAAAUUCCUUAGUCCACUAGAUACUAAGGAUAAGUUCGACCGCUGUCAUGUGAUCCCUUCCUGGAUCACUAUUGUACCCCUUGACUAACUCAUGGCAAGGCACACUUCAGGUGCGGUACACAACAUAGCAUACUGUAGAGCCUACGUCUAAAGCAUAGGGGAUGACCUUCGUCCCUUCUCUCUCUCCUGUCGUGGUCAGGUCUUGAGUCUUACUCAACACUCACACCUUGUAACACAGCCAAGAACUCCUUCUUUGCUGAUCUAUUUUGAACUCCUUCAAAAUCUUGUCACGGUAUGUAUUCAUUUGAAAGUACUAUUAAGCGUUUUUGAUCUAUCCUUAUAGAUCUUGAUGCUCAAUGUUCAAGUAGCUUAAUCCAGGUUUUCCAUUGAAAAACACUUUUCAAAUAACCCUGUAUGCUUUCCAAAAAUUCUACAUCAUUUCUCAUCAACAAUAUGUUAACAACAUAUACUCAUCAAAAAUUCUAUAGUGCUCCCACUCACUUCUUUGGAAAUACAAGUUUCUCAUAAACUUUGUAUAAACCCAAAAUCUUUGAUCAUCUCAUCAAAGCGUACAUUCCAACUCCGAGAUGCUUACUCCAGUCCUAAGAAGGAUUGCUGGAGCUUUGCAUACUUGUUAGCAUCUUUCAGGAUUGACAAAACCUUCUGGUUGUAUCACAUACAACCUUUCCUCAAGAAAAUCGUCGAGGAAACAAUGUUUUGACAUCCUAUCUGCAAGAUUUCAUAAAUAAUGCAGUAACUGCUAAUAUAAUUCCAACAGAAUCUUAGCAUCGCUACGAGUGAGAAAGUCUCAUCGUAGUCAACUCCUUGAACUUGUCGGAAAACAUCUUAACGACAAGUCGAGCUUUCUUAAUGGUGACACUUACCAUCAUUGUCCGUCUUCCUUUUAAAAUCCAUCUGCACCCAACAGCCUUACGACCAUCAAGUAGUUCUUCCAAAGUCUAUACUUUGCUUUUAUACACGGAUCCUCUCUCGAAUUUUAUGGCCUUGAGCCAUUCGUCGGAAUCCGGGCCCACCAUCGCUUCUCCAUAGCUCGUAGGUUCAUUGUUGUCUAGCAACAUGACUUCCAAGACAGGAUUAGUACCACUCUGAAGUAGUACGCAUCCUUGUCGACCUACGAGGUUUGGUAGUGACUUGAUCCGAAGUUUCAUGAUCACUAUCAUAAGCUUCCACUUCAAUUGGUGUAGGUGCCACAGGAACAACUUCCUGUGCCCUGCUACACACUAGUUGAAGUGAUGGUUCAAUAACCUCAUCAAGUCUCCACCAUCCUCCCACUCAAUUCUUUCGAGAGAAACUUUUCCUCGAGAAAGGACCUGUUUCUAGAAACAAUCACUUUGCUUCCGGAUCUGAAAUAGGAGGUAUACCCAACUGUUUUGGGUAUUCUAUGAAGAUGCAUUUAUCCGCUUUGGGUUCGAGCUUAUCAGCCUGAAACUUUUUCACAUAAGCGUCGCAGCCCCAAACUUUUAAGAAACGACAGCUUAGGUUUCUCUAAACCAUAGUUCAUACGGUGUCGUCUCAACGGAUUGCGUGGUGCCCUAUUUAAAGUGAAUGCGGUUCUCUCUAAUGCCUAGCCCAUAAACGAUAGCGGUAAUUCGAUAAGAGAUAUCAUGGUAUGCACCAUAUCCAAUAGGGUGCAGUUAUGAUGUUCGGACACACCAUCACACUAUGGUGUUCCAGGCGGUAUUAGUUGUGAAACAAUUUCCGCAAUGUCUUAAUUGUGUGCCAAACUCGUAACUCAGAUAUUCAUUUCUAUGAUCAUAUCAUAGACAUUUUAUCCUCUUGUCACGACGAUCUUCAACUUCACUCUGAAAUUACUUGAACCUUUCAAUAAUUCAGACUUGUGUUUCAUCAAGUAAAUAUACUCAGCAUCUACUCAAAUCAUCUGUGAAGUAAGAACAUAACGAUAUCCGCUGCGUGCCUCAGCACUCAUUGGACUGCACACAUCAAAAUGUAUUACUUCCAACAAGUUGCUUUCUUGUUCCAUCUUACUGAAAAUGAGGCCUUUCAGUCAUCUUGACCAUGUGUUAUGAUUUGCAUGUCUCAAGUGAUUCAAAAUCAAGUGAGUCCAAAUGAUCCAUCUGUAUGGAGUUUCUUCAUGCAUAUCUACCAAUAGACAUGGUUCGCAUGUCUCAAUCUUUUCAAAAACGAGUGAGUCCAAAGAUCCAUCAACAUGGAGCUUCUUCAUGCGUUUUAUACCAAUAUGACUCAAAUGGCAGUGCCACAAGUAUGUGGUACUAUCAUUACUAUUUUAUAUCUUUUGGCAUGAACAUGUGUAUCACUACGAUCGAGAUUCAAUAAACCAUUCAUUUUAGGUGCAAGACCAUUGAAGGUAUUAUUCAAAUAAACAGAGUAACCAUUAUUCUCCUUAAAAGAAUAACCGUAUUGCGAUAAACAUAAUCUAAUCAUGUCUAUGCUCAACGCAAACACCAAAUAACAAUUAUUUAGGUUUAACACCAAUCUCGAUGGUAGAGGGAGCAUGCGAUGCUUGAUCACAUCAACCUUGGAAACACUUCCAACACAUAUCGUCAUCUCACCUUUAGCUAGUCUCCGUUUAUUCCGUAGCCUUUUAUUUUGAGUUACCAACACUUAGCAACCGAACCGGUAUCUAAUACCCUGGUGCUACUAGGAGUACUAGUAAAGUACACAUUAAUAUAAUGUAUAUCCAAUAUACUUCUGUCGACCUUGCCUGCCUUCUCAUCUACCAUGUAUCUAGGGUAGUUCUGCUUCAGUGACCGUUCCCCUCAUUACAGAAGCACUUAGUCUCGGGUUUGGGUUCAACCUUGGGUUUCUUUACUAGAGCAGCAACUAAUUUGCCGUUUCAUGAAGUAUCCCUUCUUUCCCUUGCCCUUCUUGAAACUAGUGGUUUUACUAACCAUCAACAAUUGAUGCUCCUACUUGAUUUCUACUUUCGCGGUGUCAAACAUCGCGAGUUGCUCAAGGAUCAUCAUGUCUAUCCCUGAUAUGUUAUAGUUCAUCACGAAGCUCUAAUAGCUUGGUGGCAGUGACUAUGGAGAACCAUCACUAUCUCAUCUGGAAGAUUAACUCCCACUCGAUUCAAGCGAUUGUAGUACUCAGACAAUCUGAGCACAUGCUCAACGAUUGAGCUUUUCUCCCUUAGUUUGCAGGCUUAAGAAACUUGUCAGAGGUCUCAUACCUCUUGACGUGGGCACUAGUCUGAAAUCCCAAUUUCAAUCUUUGGAACAUCUCAUAUGUUCUGCGACGUUUCAAAAUGUCUUUGGUGCCAUAAUUUUAAACCGUUAGCAUUACGCACUGAACUAUCACGUAGUCAUCAAAACGUGUAUGUCAGAUGUUUCGCAACAUCUACAGACGACGCUCGAGGUUCAGCACACCGAGCGGUGCAUUAAGGACAUGAGCCUUCUGUGCAGCAAUGAGGACAAUCCUCAGUAUACGGACCCAGUCCGCAUAAUUGCUACUGUCAACUUUCAACUAAAUUUUCUCUAGGAACAUAUCUUAAACAGUAGAACUAAAGCGUAAGCUAUGACAUAAUUUGCAAAGACCUUUUGACUAUGUUCAUGACAAUUAAGUUCAUCUGAUUAUUUAAUGAACUCCCACUUAGAUAGACAUCCCUCUAGUCAUCUAAGUGAUACAUGAUCCGAAUCGACUAGACCGUGUCCGAUCAUCACGUGAGACGGACUAGUCAUCAACGGUGAACAUCUCCAUGUUGAUCGUAUCUACUAUACGACUCAUGUUCGACCUUUCGGUCUCUUGUGUUCCGAGGCCAUGUCUGUACAUGCUAGGUUCGUCAAGUCAACCUAAGUGUUUCGCAUGUGCAAAUCUGGCUUACACCCGUUGUAUGCGAACGUUAGAAUCUAUCACACCCGAUCAUCACGUGGUGCUUCGAAACAACGAACCUUCACAAUGGUGCACAGUUAGGGGGAACACAUCUCUUGAAAUUUUAGUGAGGGAUCAUCUUAUUUAUGUUACCGUCGUUCUAAGCAAAUAAGAUGUGAACAUGACAAACAUCACAUGCAAAUCAUAAAGUGACAUGAUAUGGCCAGUAUCAUCUUGCGCCUUUUGAUCUCCAUCUUCGAGGCGCGGCAUGAUCACCUUCGUCACCGGCAUGAUCUCCAUCAUCGUGUCUUCAUGAAGUUGUCUCGCCAACUAUUACUUCUACUACUAUGGCUAACGGUUAGCAAUAAAGUAAAAUAAUUACAUGGCGUUUUUCAUUGACAUGCAGGUCAUACAAUAAAUUAAGACAACUCCUAUGGCUCCUGCCGGUUGUCAUACUCAUCGACAUGCAAGUCGUGAUUCCUAUUACAAGAACAUGAUCAGUCUCAUACAUCACAUAUAUAUAAUUCAUCACAUCCUUUUGGCCAUAUCACAUCACAUAGCAUACCCUGCAAAAACAAGUUAGACGUCCUCUAAUUGUUGUUGCAUGUUUUACGUGGCUGCUAUGGGUUUCUAGCAAGAACAUUUCUUACCUACUCAAAAGCCACAACGGUGAUAUGCCAAUUGCUAUUUACCCUUCAUAAGGAUCCUCUUCAUCGAAUCCGAUCCGACUAAAGUGGGAGAGACAGACACCCGCUAGCCACCUUAUGCAUCAAGUGCAUGUCAGUCGGUGGAACCUGUCUCACGUAAGUGUACGUGUAAGGUCGGUCCGGGCCGCUUCAUCCCACAAUGCCACCGAAUCAAGAUAAGACUAGUAACGGUAAGCAAAUUGAACAAAUCAUCGCCCACAACUACUUUGUGUUCUACUCGUGCAUAGAAUCUAUGCAUAGACCUAGCUCAUGAUGCCACUGAUGGGGAACGUAGCGAUAAUUCAAAAUUUUCCUACGUGUCACCAAGAUCAAUCUAGGAGAUGCUAGCAAUGAGAGAGAGGGAGUGCAUCUUCAUACCCUUGAAGAUUGCUAAGCGGAAGCGUUACAAGAACGCGGUUGAUGGAGUCGUACUCGCGGCGAUUCAAAUCGCGGAAGAUCCGAUCUAGCGCCGAACGGACGGCGCCUCCGCGUUCAACACACGUACAGCCCGGGGACGUCUCCUCCUUCUUGAUCCAGCAAGGGGAGAGGAGAAGUUGAGGGAGAACUCCAGCAGCACAACGGCAUGGUGGCAAUGGAGCUCGUGGUUCUCCGGCAGGGCUUCGCCAAGCACUACGGAGGACGAGGAAAUGUAUGAGGAGGAAGGGGGUUGCGCCAAGGGAAGGGUAUGGCUGCCCUCCCACCCCCUCACUAUAUAUAGGGGGAAGGGGAGAGGGGCCGGCCCCUCUAGAUGGAUCUAGAGGAGGAGGCGGCGGCCAGGGGAAACCCUAGAUGGGUUUGGGUGCCCCCACCCCCUAGGAAACUUGCCCCCCAAGCCGGGAGGGGCGGCUGCCCUAGGGGUGAUGCCCCACCUCUCCUGGUUACGUGAGAGGGGUUGGGAGGGGCGCACAGCCCCUUAGUGGGCUGGUUUGCCCCUUCCCCUUGGCCCAUAAGGCCCCCCAACGCUUGUCGGGGCCUCCGAAACCCCUUUCGGACAUGCUGGCCAUAGCCUGGUACCCCCAGAACAAUUCCGGACUCCAAUACCCUUCAUCCAAUAUACCGAUCUUCACCUCCGGACCAUUCCGGAGCUCCUCAUCAUGUCCGGGAUCUCAUCCGAGACUCCGAACAACCUUCGGUAACCACAUACUAUUUCCCAUAACAACUCUAGCGUCACCGAACCUUAAGUGUGUAGACCCUACGGGUUCGGGAACCAUGCAGACAUGACCGAGACGUUCUCCGGCCAAUAACCAACAGCGGGAUUUGGAUACCCAUGUUGGCUCCCACAUGUUCCACGAUGAUCUCAUCGGAUGAACCACGAUGUCGGGGAUUCAAUCAAUCCCGUAUACAAUUCCCUUUGUCUAUCGGUAUGUUACUUGCCCGAGAUUCGAUCGUCAGUAUCCCUAUACCUUGUUCAAUCUCGUUACCGGUAAGUCUCUUUACUCGUUCUGUAACGCAUGAUCCCGUGGCUAACUCAUUAGUCACAUUGAGCUCAUUAUGAUGAUGCAUUACCGAGUGGGCCCAGAGAUACCUCUCAAUCAUACGGAGUGACAAAUCCCAGUCUCGAUUCGUGCCAACCCAACAGACACUUUCGGAGAUACCUGUAGUGCACCUUUAUAGCCACCUAGUUACGUUGUGACGUUUGGUACACCCAAAGCAUUCCUACGGUAUCCGGGAGUUGCACAAUCUCAUGGUCUAAGGAAACAAUACUUGACAUUAGAAAAGCUCUUAGCAAAUGAACUACACGAUCUUGUGCUAUGCUUAGGAUUGGGUCUUGUCCAUCACAUCAUUCUCCUAAUGAUGUGAUCCCAUUAUCAAUGACAUCCAAUGUCCAUGGUCAGGAAACCAUAACCAUCUAUUGAUCAACGAGCUAGUCAACUAGAGGCUUACUAGGGACAUGUUGUGGUCUAUGUAUUCACACAUGUAUUAUGGUUUCCAGUUAAUACAAUUAUAGCAUGAACAAUAGACAAUUAUCAUGAACAAGGAAAUACAAUAAUAACCAUUUUAUUAUUGCCUCUAGGGCAUAUUUCCAACACCUCACCCACCGCACUGUCUUGUGCUCCAAAGGGGAGGCGCUCGAUGCGUCAUUCUACACCAGAGGCAACUCCAAAGAGAGCGGUGCCCAAGCCGGGCAGGCCUUCGAAGAGGAAGGCAAGCGAAGACACGACCGAGCCUUCAUCGAAGAGGUAUGGCUUUGUAAAUAUGCCCCUUGGCAAUCACAUCCAACUGUGACAUUAUCCGUUGUGUCUUAACAGGAAAAGCGUUCACCGGACUAUGUCCAGGGAUCUUACCGGCCGCGCCUCCACAAGUCAGGUUCCCGACCCUGCUUUAAAGGCAAGGGCUGAUACGGGAGUGACGCCGGAUUGUCCCUCGGCAGAUGAGUCGGAUGAUGUAUCCGUCACAAACUCGGAGGUGGAGAGCGCCAUGAAUCAUCGGCGCCGGAGAGCCGUUCUACGCGACCCCGGCUUUACGAGCGAGGCAUUCAAUGCCUUCAGCUCGACUGAUGCAUAUAUCCAAGCUGCUCGAGACGGGCUUGCCAGAGCCACAGACCAACAUUUGAAAGGUAUGCGGGUAAAUUUAUAUUAUACAAAACUGAUAAUUAUAUACUAGUAGCCCCCGAGACUUGAAGCAGUUGAUACAACUGAUUUAAGGAUCAUUGUAUAACUAGGUGCUUAUGGAGAAGAACAGCCUGUUGUCUCAGGAACUAGAAAAGUGUCGGACCCAGCUAACUGCUGCUACCACCGAACUGGAGAAAUCCAAGAAGGCAUCACCUGGUAAUGUUCCCCUCCAUCGAGAAAACAUAAUUAUAUACCGGAAAUGCUAACACUGUUGCUCAUCUUAUGGCAGGAUCGUUAGAUCAACUGAAGGAGCAACUGAAAGCCGCCCAAGCGGAAGAACAAGAGGCCAAAAGACUACUGGCCGCGGGCGAACGUGUGCUGACACGAGUCAGAGAUGAGAAAAACAAGCUGUAGGAUGCCCACACCCAGCUGGGCGAAGAACUGAAAGAUGUACGGGCCCAGCUGGCUAAUUCUGUAAAGGAAAAUAAGAGGCUGCGCGGUGGCAUAUUUGGUAUGUGGUCACACUUACCUCCGUGUAGUUCGGAGAUGAAAGGGACUGACAGAAUUAUAUCUGUAGGUAUGCUGACCGGCCGUCCCGAAGAGGAGAUGUCCAGAAUCUCGGGCGAUCUGCUACAAGAGCUGUCGCAAAUGCACGAGCAAGCUCGGCAGGUGAUGCGAAGUAUUGCCAAGGCUUUAUGGCCAUCCGUCUCCCCUCCAGGAAGGAUGGAGGAGCUUAUACAGCUAUUCAAGGGAGCGCGGCGGCGCUUCCGAUUAUGGAAGAUAUCGGCCUGCCGGGAAGGUGCACGAGAAGCCUGGGCCAUGGUGAAAACACGGUAUACCAAGCUUGAUCCAAAUCAUAUGGCCCAGGUCGGACCUCUAGGGUCAGAUGGGAAAGAAAUUCCCAUGAAUUUGGUAUAUGACCAAGUAGAAGUAGCUGCCAGAUAUUCCCAAUAGGAUUGUAAGUUAGACAGCCUGUUAGACGGUAUAGAGGAGGAAAUUUGUGAGUCUAAGUGACUAUGUACUUUCCCUGACGUAUUUGUCCCUAGCCGGAUUGUAAAACGAUUGUCAUGGCAGACCUUUUCGCUUUGACCUCUGGACCCAAAGGUGCAGAGUGUUUCCGAAUACCUGAGCGGCAAAAUAUACCGGAGUAUGCGUGGAAACCAGGCGUAGGGGUCAUAGUUGCUUGAACAGACAAGUUGUCUCUGGCUAGCUAUGUUAUAUUACAUUGUGAUUGUAAGAAACAUCUUCCAGAGAGAAUAGUUCUGUUAAGGGUUCCUUUCCCUGGGUGUGCAUGCGGUAAUGUGCAUGUCCGGACUGUGAUUGAAAAAAUCGCAGUAUAUUCAAUAUCUGGGGGUUCAUAUUUUAAUGAAUGUAAAAACAUCUUUAGUUUGCCGACCGAAUAUUCCCUUAAGAAUGCUAGCUUUCGGCUUCACCCAGUCUGAGGUACACAUCUGGAUGACCCGGCAGUAACAAUCGCAGAGGUGCUCCCUUUAUGCCCUAGCCGAACUAACGGGAACGUAGGGCAUAAGCACAGGAGCCAGGCAACCCAGCUUGGCCAAAACUUAAGUCAUAUCGAUGCAUAUAAUGGCGAAGAAAAGGUACAUAUGGGGAAAACGCGCAUAUGUGAUGAGCUUGAUGCUCAAAAAUAACAAUAAUAAGCUUCUAUCAAAGAAGCCCCCAGGUAUAAUUGACGUACAUAUUUGAGGAUGUGUAUGUCACUAGUGCACGGUUUAGCCGCACGAAAAGCUUUAAGGCUAAAAACGGAAAAAGCAAAAAGAGAGGAAAAAGUAAUGGAAACAAUAGGGAUAAGGAGACGAACAAAGAGUUCGGCGCUAGGCAUAGAAUCUUCGGAGUCUGGCCGCGUUCCAGGGGUUCGGCUCUAGGCGAUUGUCUGACGCAUCACGCAGGCGGUACGCUCCUCCGGUGAGAACUUCGUCGAUGAUGAAGGGACCCUCCCACUUGGGCUUGAGUUUGUCUUUUUUUUCUUCUCUGGCAGGCGUAGAGCAAGUUCGCCAACGUUAUAAGUCUUGGCCCGCACUUCUCUGCUUUGAUACCUGCGAGCCUGCUGUUGAUGAAAUGCGGAACGGGCUUUUGCAACGUCGCACUCCCCCUCCAUGGCAUCUAAGCUAUCCUGCCGAUCAAGCUCGGCUUCUCUCUCUUCGUACAUGCGCACUCGGGGUGAGUCAUGAAUAAUGUGGCAGGGUAACACAGCCUCUGCGCCGUACACCAUGAAGAAAGGUGUAUAUCCGGUGGUGCGGUUGGGCGUGGUCCGCAGCCCCCAGAGUAUGGAGUCGAGCUCCUCAACCCAGUGCUUGUCUGAUUCUUUCAAAGACCGCACCAGUCUAGGCUUGAUGCCGCUCAUAAUAAGACCAUUGGCUUGUUCGACUUGACCGUUUGUUUGCGGGUGAUAGAUGGAGGCGUAAUCGAGCUUAAUGCCUAGAUUGGUGCACUAGUUUUUCACCUCAUCGGCUGUGAAAUUGGAGUCGUUAUCGGUGAUGAUGUUGUGUGGGACACCAUAACGGUGUACAACGCCGGAUAUAAAGUCUAUCACUGGUCCGACUUCGGCCGUUUUAACUGGUUUGGCCUCUAUCCACUUAGUGAAUUUAUCCACCCUGGCCAGCAGAUAUUUUUUCUUAUGGCUUCCUCCUUUAAGGGGUCCAACCAUAUCAAGCCCCCAGACCGCAAAAGGCCAAGUGAUGGGGAUUGUUUGCAGAGCGGUGGGUGGCAUAUGGCUCUGGUUGGCGAAGAGCUGGCAUCCGACGCAACGUUGGACAAGGUCCUGUGCGUCUGCUCGGGCCGUCGACCAAUAGAAACCUAUACGGAAAGCCUUGCUUACAAGGGCCCGAGCCACGGCGUGGUGACCACCGAGACCGGCAUGAAUUUCAGCCAAGAGUUGCCGCCCCUCUUCCUCGGAGAUACAUCUUUGGAGUACUCCGGUAGCGCUUUUCUUGUAGAGUUCUCCCUCGUGAACCUUGUAGGCUUUAGAGCGCCGAACAAUGCGGCGAGCCUCGUUCUGAUCCUCGGGGAGUUCUCGCCUAUUAAGGUAAGCCAAGAAGGGUUCGGUCCAUGGGGCAAUGACUGCCAUUAUGAGAUGGGCCGACGGUGUUAUUUCGGUGGCUGAGCCCCCGAUGAUAUCGGUGUGUUCGACAUCUAAGGUUAUAGUCGGGUCCGGACUGUUGUUGCCGCUCUCCCCUUGCCACACCAUGGACAGCUUGAAAAGCCUUUCCAGAAAGAUGUUAGGUGGGAUGGGGUCGCGCUUGGCGCCGAUGCGAGCAAGGACGUCCGCCGCUUGAUUACUUUCUCGAGCCACAUGAGGAAACUCAAGCCCCUCGAAGCGGGCCGAGAUUUUAAGAACGGCGUUGCGGUAAGCCGCCAUUUUUGGAUCUUUGGCAUCGGAAUCUCCAUUUAUUUGAGAUAUUGUGAGGUUUGAGUCCCCACGCACUUCCAGGCGUUGUAUGCCCAUGGAGGCAGCCAUCCGAAGCCCAUGCAACAAGGCCUCAUAUUCGGCUGCAUUGUUGGAGUCUGUGUAUAAUAUUUGGAGUACGUACUGAACUGCGUCUCCAGUGGGGGACGUUAAGACAAUGCCCGCCCCUAACCCCGCCAACAUUUUGGAACCAUCGAAGUACAUAACCCAGUUGGAAUAUGUGUCGUACUCUUUAGGGAGUUCGGCCUCUGUCCAUUCGGCGAUGAAAUCAGCCAGUACUUGGGAUUUGAUGGCCCGGCGUGGUUUGUAUGUUAUGUCGAAUGGAAGGAGCUCAAUGGCCCACUUAGCAAUCCGGCCUGUCGCAUCGCGGUUGUUUAUUAUGUCAUUGAGUGGUACUUCGGAGGCCACCGUGAUUGAGCACUCUUGAAAGUAGUGUCGUAGCUUCCGGGAUGCCAUGAAGACCGCGUAUGCUAUUUUUUGGUAGUGAGGGUACUGGGAUUUGCAUGGUGUGAGGACAGUGGAUACGUAGUAUACCGGUUUUUGGAGUGGGAACUUGUGUCUGUCCUGCUCUUGCUCGAUGACGAGCACGGCGCUCACCACCUGGUGUGUUGCCGAUAUGUAUAAUAACAUGGGUUCGCCGAUGUUCGGCGCGGCCAGGAUUGGGUUGCUCGCUAAAAAGGCCUUUAUUUUCUCCAGUUCGGCCGUUGCCGCGUCCGUCCACUCGAAGUGGUCGGUGCGUCGGAGAAGGCGAUAGAGUGGCAACGCUUUUUCUCCCAAUCUGGAGAUAAAGCGGCUUAAAGCUGCCACGCAUCCUACAAGUUUUUGGACCUGUUUAAGGUCUGUUGGCGUAACCAAUUGUGACAAAGCUCGGAUUUUCCUCAAUUCCUCUAUUGGAAACGAUGAAGCCCAGCAGUUUUUCGGCGGGGACGCCGAAAACACACUUUUCCGGGUUGAGCUUGAUGUCAUAUGUACGGAGGUUGUCGAAUGUAAGACGUAAAUCAUCUAUCAGUGACUCGACGUGCCUGGUUUUGAUGACAACGUCAUCCACGUAUGCUUCAACUGUCUUGCCGAUAUGUUUCUCCAGGCAUGUUUGAAUCAUGCGUUGGUAGGUGGCGCCAGCGUUUUUGAGCCCGAAAGGCAUAGUGUUGAAGCAGAAAGGCCCAUAUGGGGUAAUGAAUGUCGUUGCGGCUUGAUCGGACUCCUUCAUCUUGAUUUGAUGGUAUCCGGAGUACGCGUCGAGGAAACACAGUGAGUCGUGUCCUGCGGUUGCGUCAAUAAUCUGAUCGAUGCGAGGGAGGGGGAAGGGAUCCUUAGGGUAAGCCUUGUUGAGGUCUUUGAAAUCGACGCAUAGGCGCCAGGAUUUAUCUUUUUUUGGUACCAUCACCAGGUUUGCUAGUCAGUCCGGGUGUUUUAUUUCUCUGAUGAAUCUGGCUUCGAGUAACUUGGCUAGCUCCUCUCCCAUAGCUUGUCGUUUGGGUUCGGAAAAACGCCGCAGUGUUUGUUUGACCGGUUUAUAUCCCUUUAAGAUAUUGAGGCUGUGUUCGGCCAACCUGCGUGGGAUUCCUGGCAUAUUAGAAGGGUGCCAGGCGAAUACGUCCCAGUUCUCACGCAGGAACUCUCGUAGCGCGGCAUCGACCGCUGGGUCGAGUUGUGCCCCGAUGGAUGCUGUCUUCUUGGGGUCCGUCGGGUGGACUUGAAAUUUGACUAUUUCAUCUGCUGGUUUAAAGGAGGUGGAUUUGGGUCGCUUGUCCAGGAUUACGUCAUCCCUAUCCACAGUGGAGCAUAGCACGGUCAGCUCUUCGGCCGCGAGGGCUUCAGACAAUGCCUCGAGGGCUAGGGAUGCGGUUUUAUUUUCGGCACGCAGUGCUAUGUCUGGAUCACUGGCAAGAGUGAUGGUGCCGUUGGGCCCGGGCAUCUUGAGCUUCAUCUACCCGUAAUGAGGUAUAGCUUGGAAGCGUGUGAAUGCGUCUCGCCCCAGUAGGGCGUGAUAUCCGCUGUUGAAAGGGGCCACUUGGAAGGUUAUCUCUUCGGACCGAUAAUUCUCCGGCGUGCCGAAUACCACGCCGAGCGUGAUUUUUCCUGCGCAACGCGCCUCUCGACUGGGAAUGAUUCCCCGGAAGGUCGUGCUACUUUGCUCAAUGCGGCUCCUAUCAAUUUCCAUUUUCAUGAGUGUGUCCUCGUAGAUGAGGUUUAGUCCGCUGCCGCCGUCCAUGAGCACUUUGGUGAGCCGGAAGCUGUCCACGAUUGGACUGAGGACCAAGGCGGCUGGUGCCCGGACUGUCUUGAAUUUUGGUUCGUCAUCGGCAUUGAAAGUUAUGGCUGUGUAGUUCCAGGGGUUUAUUGCUGCGACUUGGCAGACUUCCGCAAGGUCGCGAAGUGCCCUUUUGCGCUGAUUUUUUGAAGCAAAGGUCUCGAAGACCGUCAAUACUCUGAGGUCGUCGUCUUCUGGGGGGUGUUGUUCUGGGGUAUUUUUGGUGAGGAGAUCUUCGCCGCUCUUGGCCACUUGCCGGAGUAUCCAACAUGCUCUAAGGCUGUGGGUUCGUGUGGCAUCCGGUGUUGUAUGUAUUUUGCAUGGCCUAUCGAGCCAUCCUUCCAGAACAGUUCCGUGCCCCAUAAUGGGCUUUGAUUUCUUUACUAUUGGGUCAGGCGCUCCACGAGGGUGCGUCCUUUUUGCCCGGACGAGGGGCUGAGUUGAAACCGGUGGUUCCCAACGAGCUGCCUGAGUUUUCCAGGCGCUUUCCAUUGCGCAGUACUUCUGUACUAUGGUUGCCAAGUCAGCAAAGUGUAAUACGCGACGGCGGUUGAUGGCGUUGAGGAUUCCUUCGUCCGUGCAAUUGUUGCAGAAUACUGAGAUUGCGUCUUCAUCGCGGCAAUCUUUAAUCUUGUCUUUGACAAGGAGGAAUCUGGCCCAGAAGUGAUGGACCGUUUCCUGAGACUGUUGUCGUAUGUACAUAAGAUCGCGUAUAGCUGGGUGGGUGGGUGGUUUUAAAUCUGAACCCUGACCCGGUUUGGGAUCCGGAGUUUGUAAAUCUUCCGAACUUAAUGGUUCAGACUCCGGGAUAUCAACUGAUGUUUUAGGCCCGUCGUCCGAUUCUAGGUUCGGAGGGCAGGGCACGUCGUUCCGCGAACAGGUAUCCGGCUCCUCGAGCUCGGAAAUCUGAACAUAGUUCGUCCUCAAUAUAGAGGAAGAGUUAUUGUCUUGCUCCUCCACUAUCGCUAUCUGAUGGGUGAUAGGCGGAGAUUUAAUUUCUCUCUGGUCAGGUUUAAGCCCAAUCCGACCGUAGUCUGUAGCGACCCCCAAGGCGGUGAUGCGAUCUAGGAGUUCGUUUAAAGACGACAACUCCGUCGGAUCCAUCCGUUUGGAGUAUUCGGAGUCAACGCAGAGACGAUUUUCGAUGACUCGAGAGGUCAUCGUCGGCUUAAAGGCCGAACAGGCGGUCAUGGUGAAGCCGCCAAGUCGGAGGGUUUGGCCCGGAGCCAGGGCUCCUCCGGAGGUGAUAUUAUCCUUGACAACAAGGCGAGCCAUCAACCCUGUCUUCGACGUCACAGCGGAACUCUCAAUGAAAGCACCAAUGUCGGUGUCAAAACUGGCGGAUCUCGGGUAGGGGGUACCGAACUGUGCGUCUAAGGUUGAUGGUAACAGGAGACGGGGAACACAAUGUUUAACCAGGUUCGGGCCCUCUCUACGGAGGUAAUACCCUACUUCCUGCUUGAUUGAUCUUGAUGAAUAUGAGUAUUACAAGAGUUGAUCUACCACAAGAUCGUAAUGGCUAAAACCCUAGAAGUCUAGCAUGUAUGACUAUGAUUAUGAUUAUUCAUCCUCUACGGACUAAGCCCUCCGGUUUAUAUAGACACCGGAGGGUUCUAGGGUUACAUCAGGUCGGUUACAGAGAAAGGAAUCUUCAUAUUUGGUCACCAAGCUUGCCUUCCACGCCAAGGAGAGUCCCAUCCGGACACAGGAGAGAGUCUUCGGUCUUCGUAUCUUCACGGCCCAUCAGUCCGGCCCACGUAUAACAGGUCGGACGCCCGAGGACCCCUUAAUCCAGGACUCCCUCACCGGGCAAGCGUCGGGGUCUCCAAUUAGGUUGUGGAGAUCACCCCGAGCAAUUUGACGGGUACCGAUGACCGCCCCCAAGGGUUCCCAAAGGGUACGGGUUCGGUGACCGCCCCCAAGGGUUGCCAUUUGUACGAGUUCGGUGAUCGCCCUCAAGGGUCCCUUAGUGGAAUCACGGCAUCUUGCAUUGUGCGAGGGCGUGAGGAGAUUACGGUGGCCCUAGUGGCUUCUUGGGGAGCAUUGUGCCUCCACACCGCUCCAAACGGAGAUUAGCAUCCGCAAGGUGUGAACUUCGGGAUACAUCAUCGUCUCCGCGUGCCUCGGUUAUCUCUUACCCGAGCACUUUUACUUAUGCACUUUACUUUGUGAUAGCCAUAUUGUUUCUUGUCAUACAUCUUGCUAUCACCUAGUAGUUUAUCUUGCUUAGCGUAAGUUGUUGGUGUACAUAGGUGAGCCUAGUUGUUGUAGGUUUGUGCUUGACAAAUUAACCGCUAGGUUUAUUCUGCAUUUGUUCAAGCCUAAACCAUAAUUAUUUUAAAGCGCCUAUUCACCCCCCCUCUAGGCGACAUUCUCGAUCUUUCAACGGGUUAUCGGAUCCAAAACCGGUCCCGAUAGCUGGCGACCCGUUACGGUCAAUGCCACGUGUCAGUCACCCUUGACGAAAGCACUUCUAUGACGCGCGAUUUAUCGUCAUGGAAGUGGACACUUCCGUGAUGAUAAUUUUGGUAAUGUCAGGAACACUUCUACGAUAGCACAUGUAUGACUAUUUUGAUUCUGUCAUAAAAUCGUCAUGGAUGUACAUGCAUGACAGAAAACGUGACCUGCUGUGACAAACACGUAUCAUCACGGAAGUGUAUUUUUUUGUAGUGAGUAAUGCCUUAAGCAAGAUGCCAUGAUUUAGAGGGAUAGAUCCAAUCAAUAUGAACAAACCCCAUCUUUUUAUCCUUAAUGACAAUAAUACAAAUAUGUGUCAUGUCCCUUUAUGGGAUUGAGCACUGCAAGAUUGAACCCAUUACAAAUCACCUCUCCCAUUGCAAGAAAAAAUCAAUCUAGUUGGCCAAACCAAAUCAAUAGAUCGGUGAGAAAUACAAAGCUAUAUAAAUCAUGCAUAAAAGAGUUCAGAGAAGACUCAAAUAAUAUUUAUAGAUAAUCUGAUCAUAAAACCAUAAUUCAUCGGAUCUCAGCAAACGCACCGCAAAAGAAGAUUACAUCAAAUAGAUCUUCAAGAACAACAAGGAGAACAUUGUAUUGAAGAUCAAAGAGAGAGAAGAGGCCAUCUAGCUACUAGCUAUGGACCCGUAGGUCUGUGGUAAACUACUCACACAUCAUCGGAAGGGCAGCAAGAUUGAUGUAGAAGCCCUCCAUGAUCGAAUCCCCCUCCGGCAGAGUUCCGGAAAGGUCCCCAGAUGGGAUCUCACGAGGACAGAAGUUUGCGGCGGCGGAAAAGUAUUUUUGGUGUGCCCCUGGUCUUCGGGGAAUAUUUGGGUGUUUAUAGAAGAAAGAUUAGGGUUAGAGGAGCCACGAGGGGGCCACAAGCUUGGAGGGCGCCCCCCUAAGCUUGUCGCCAGCUCGUGGCCCUUCUGGCCUCCCCCCAAAGCUUUCAGGGUGUCUUGUGGUCAAAGAAAAAUCAUCAAAAGUUUAAUUCCAUUUAGACUCCGUUUGGUAUUGAUUUUCUAUAAAGACAAAAACAAGGAAAAGACAACAAUUGGCAUUGGGCACUAGGUUAAUAGGUUAGUCCCAACAUAAUAAUGCAUAUAAAACAUCCAAGAUUGAUAAUAUAAUAGCAUGAAAUAAUAAAAAAUUAUAGAUACGCUGGAGACGUAUCAGGUACCAUUGCCACUUCUGGCACUGCUCAGUGUAAACCUGUGGUGACCCAACCCCGUGCGGAACUUGAUUGCAAAUCGAACGGUGGCUUUCAUGACAGGCUCAACCUUAGGUCACUCCGAGGCUGCCAAUGUUUUCCUGACACCUGAAGCCCCCUGUAGAACGGGGUAUCCGACUAAGGAGGCCCAACCCCUUAUACCGAAGAACGACGGCAAGGACUGGGAUUGCAAUAAAGCCUGCGCCAACUGGUGGUAUCUUUUGGAACUAGCACGACGUUUGGUUACCAACGCAUGUAUCGUUCCCGCGGGCCUCCCUCCGGGCUAUGGUUUCGCCGAAGUUCUAUAUGAGAAAUCCCCUUGAAGGCCACCCUGGUCCCAUUGUAGGCCCCUUGCGAAUCCCUCAGCAGAACUUCACCAAAGAGACUGGUCCAACUGGUGGUAUCUUUUGGAACUAGCACGACGUUUGGUUACCAACGCAUGUAUCGUUCCCGCGGGCCUCCCUCCGGGCUAUGGUUUCGCCGAAGUUCUAUAUGAGAAAUCCCCUUGAAGGCCACCCUGGUCCCAUUGUAGGCCCCUUGCGAAUCCCUCAGCAGAACUUCACCAAAGAGACUGGUGUGUUUUUUUAAUGAUAUUCUUGUCGAGUUUCAUGUGCUAACUUAAGAGUGUUUAGUUCUUUAGUCAAGCGCUCAAUUUCCAUCGUUGCAUUGGCAACCGUCUCAUCUUUACUAUCAUGAUCACUAUAAAGUUCAUUAUAGCUAACAUCACUAGUUUUCUCAUUGAGCAAGUCAUCGUCACCUAGCAAGUCAUCCUCAUCACUGAUACGUCUCCAACGUAUCUAUAAAUUUUGAUUGUUUGAUGCUAUUAUAUUAUCAAUCUUGUAUGCUUUAUAUACCAUUCUAUAUCAUUUUUGAGGACUAACCUAUUAACUCAGUGCCAAGUGCCAGUUGUUGUUUUCUGCUUGUUUUUGGUUUUACAGAAAAUACAUACCAAACGAAGUCCAGAUGACAAACAAGGAGACGUCAAGGCAGCACGGCCCCCCUUGUGGGCCCCUCGUGGCUCCGCCUGACCUAAUUCUAGCGCUAUAAAUUCCCAAAUAUUUCGAAACCCCCAGGAGAGGCCCCGAAACAAUCCUUCCGCCGCCACAAGCCUCUAUUCUUCCGUGAUAUCUUCUGGAAGCCUUUUCCGAUACUCUGUCGAGGAGGGAAUGCAUCAGGGAAGACAUCAGUAAAGCAACUUUGUCAAUCUCAAAGCUCCGCAACUUUGAUCUAUCUUCGGUAGGUGCUGUGCGUGGUGAUGUGAUUGAGUGCAUGUCCAUAAGAAAAAAAAACUCCUUAAUUAAUGAAAAAUCUUUUGCCCCCUUGAACAAGUAUUGUUUUCGAUACGGGCUUGGGAGUACAACGGUAGAUACGAUGCAUUUAUUACAUCGAUGAUCCAUCGUCCCGUGUGCGGCCGCCCACACCAGUUUCCUCGUCCCACGAAAGCCCCUUCCAUGCGGGCCCUCGGAAGAGCGCACGCCCACUGGCCCCACAGGCAGCGGCACGGCUAAAAACGGGGGACGCUUCCCUUUCAUCUCGCGACUAUAAAAAAGAACGGGCGGCCCUGCCUAAAGCCCCCGCCCCCUGUCCUCUCCCCUCUCCUCGCCUUCUCCGCCCUCCGCUCCAUUCGUUUCGAUCUAUUUCGGCUUCCUCUCCAAGCUUCGGCCAUGGCGGCGACGAUCCAGUCCGUGAAGGCCCGCCAGAUCUUCGACAGCCGCGGUAACCCCACCGUCGAGGUACGCGCGGAUGCGCCCAUCCCCCGUCCGCCUCCCCGAUCUGUACGUUGUGGUCCGGUUCGAUUCGAUCUGGUAGGGCGGCGGGCGUACGCAGCAACGGCUUGUUUUCGAUCUGGUGAUUCGUCCGUCGGCUGUGGGUUGGGGCUUCUGGGGCGCGGGCAGUAGGUUUCUGAUGCGCUAGAUUCGAGGGGUUUUGGGUUGGUGGGCCGGUAGGUAGGAUGCGGAUUACUGUUGCCCCUCGGCCAGACUUUAUGGGGUUUGGAUGUGCUAGAUAGAUUCGAUGUGAGGUGGUUUGUUUAGUCGGACGCUGCCUGCUCGUCAUGCAUUUUGGGGUUUCGCAGGAUGUAUCCACAGAUCGGCUGGCCGCCAUGCCCAGCGUUUAUGUAGUCAUUAUGGUUUCGUGCCCUGGUUGUUGCUCAGCGCUUAUCGUUUGAUCUGCGCAUAAUGCCGUGGUGUGAAGUAAUGUGACGAAAAUGUAAAUGAGUGUAGGCUCAUCUCAUUCUGGUCCAAGUGGUUUUGGGCGUGCAGGUAGGAUUUAUAAUGUCGUUUGCUCGUUGCCCCUUGGCCAGUUUUUGUUUCUUCAUAUGUUAGAUAGAUUUGACGCAAAGUGGCUUGUUCAGUCAGGUAGAUACUGGGUAGAACUAUUUUUUAUUUUGCCUGCCAGGCGUCCAUUGUAGGUUUUCACAGUGUGUAUCAACAGAUGGUUGUUCGCCGUGCUUGGUGUUUACAUAGCUAAAUGUAGCCAUAUGGCCUGUGUCCUAGUUGCAUGCGACAUUGUCUGGAUUUUAUUGUUUAAGCUAUGCAUAAUGCCAAAGUGUAAAAUAUUUUGGCAAGUUAUUUUGCUAAUCUCAUGGUUUUGUGCAUCAGGUUGAUGUGUGCUGCUCAGAUGGAACCUUUGCCAGGGCCGCUGUUCCCAGCGGUGCAUCAACUGGUGAGUUAUUUUGUUAUUAUCAUCACUCUCUCCUUUUCAACCUUAAGUUUUUGCUUUGGUUUCCUGAGUUCCUGACUAGUGAAGGCACAAACUCUUAUUUGGAUCAUUAUUUAUGGAUUGUGAUUGUAUUGUUUUUGUUGAACUAAUCUUGUCUGAAUCAUCCCUCUUCUGCAGGUGUUUAUGAAGCUUUGGAACUGAGGGACGGUGGAUCUGACUACUUGGGAAAGGGUGUAUCCAAGGUUUACAUCCAUUUGAGCGAAUUUUAUCUUCACAUUCUUUAAAUCUAUGUCAUAGUUCUUAGUCAUGUAAUGUGGCUGCUGUAUAUGUUUUUUUUUGCCUCAACUCUGCUUUUGUUACACUAGCAAUAUUGUUGCCAGCUUUUGAAAUUUUCCUACUUGUUUACCGAAUUAUUAUGCCAAAUGGACCAAACAGUGCUAUCUUUCCGGUUAUCCUGUUUGUGAGGACAAGUUAUUUUGCCAUGUUGGUUUGGUUUCAUCCAUACAAUGUUUCCUUGUGCUGUAUAACUUGAUGUUUCUAGUUUGUGCCAGGUUGUAGAUUUUUUUUCUUAAUUUUAAUGUGAACUACAAUAUUUUUUCUUAAUGUUAAUGUGGUAGGUUGUAGCUUUUUUUUUUGAUAUCUCAUUGCCGUUGAUUGUAUGUACUCCCUCCGUCUGAAAAAGUUUGUCCCAAGCUUGUCCCUCAAAUGGAUGUAUCUAGCACUAACUUGGUGCUAGAUACAUUCAUUUGAGGGACAAGCUUUUUCGGACGAGGGAGUAGUAGCUUAGGAUUAUGUAUUUAUGAAGUGAAUAAUCGUGGGCAAUAUCUCUUGUGCACAUUUUCUUAUUUACUAAAAAACCAACUUGCUCAAGUACUGUCAUGAAAUGAACAACUCAGGAUCAUUUAGUGCUUGAUGUUUCACUAUAGCUAUCCUGGUUUUUUCUAUUGUAGCGAAUAGUCCAUUUGCAUGCAUAAUUUAGUCUUUUCUUUGUAUUUACAUGUAUUUUUUUAUUUUUUUCGCAGGCUGUUGACAAUGUGAACUCGAUUAUCGCGCCAGCUUUGAUUGGCAAGGUUAGCAUUGUCUCUGCCCCCUUUUCUAUUGUGAUAUGAGAGUUGAAUGCAUAAUUCAUUCAGUGCUCUCUUUCCUUCCACAGGACCCUACCGCUCAAACUGAGCUCGACAACUUUAUGGUUCAGCAGCUUGAUGGAACCAAGAAUGAGUGGGGUUGGUGCAAGCAAAAGGUAUAACAUAACCCAUGAUGAGUUUUACCUUUAGAGAGGGAGUACUAAUUUCCAUUUGCAGAUUCCCUUCUAACAGCUUGAUUUCUUUUGUAAACUCAGCUUGGUGCUAAUGCAAUCCUGGCUGUGUCACUAGCUGUUUGCAAAGCUGGAGCCAGCGUCAAGAAGAUUCCGCUGUACCAGGUGUGCAUCAUUGCUAAUCUCCUCUUUUAAUAUUCUACAUUUGUUUGCUAUUGCCUAAAGUCUUCGAACAUGAAUAUUCUUCACUGCAGCACAUUGCCAACCUUGCUGGCAACAAGCAAUUGGUUUUGCCUGUUCCUGCAUUCAAUGUCAUCAAUGGUGGAUCCCAUGCUGGAAACAAGCUUGCUAUGCAGGCAAUGCUCUGACCUAAGAUUUUCACAUCUUUCAUCAUGUUGUUUUCGCACAUUUCUUAUUUAUGCCUAUACUUGCAUAUCUGCAGGAGUUCAUGAUCCUUCCUACUGGAGCUGCCUCAUUCAAGGAGGCAAUGAAGAUGGGCGUUGAAGUGUACCACAACUUGAAGGUAAUUCUUUCAUCUUCUUUUUCUCUUUGCUAUCUUGUAAAAAGCAAAUUUACUAAAACUAACAUUUUCUGUGACAGUCUGUUAUCAAGAAGAAGUAUGGGCAAGAUGCCACCAAUGUUGGAGAUGAAGGUGGUUUUGCUCCUAACAUUCAGGUAUUUCCCUGUCCUUAGAGGUUUACGAUCAGAUUUCCUUGCUUUGUUAUGCCUUGUUAUUUCGACAACAGUUGCUGAUUGUCAUGUUUGGACGUAUAGAACUACUGUGUUGUUAUAAAUUGAGGUCAAUGUUUGUGGGGUGUGAUCUGAGUUCUUUUUAUUUUCGGGUGUUGUAGGAGAACAAGGAGGGCCUUGAGCUCUUGAAGACUGCAAUUGAAAAGGCUGGAUACACCGGCAAGGUUUGUCUGCUUGAAUUAAUCUGUUGUCACGCACUUCUCAGUGAGCUUUUAAGUUAGUGACUGAAGGAGAUUUGUUGGUUUGGGAAAUUCUAGGUUGUCAUUGGAAUGGAUGUUGCUGCUUCAGAGUUCUACAAUGACAAGGACAAAACCUAUGACCUCAACUUCAAGGAAGAGGUAAUUAGCCCCAUGGUUUAUUUUGUGGCAACAAUUUGUUUUCUUUUCAUGAGCAUUUUUAACAUUUGCCCUCCCUUGCUGUAGAACAACGAUGGUUCCCAGAAGAUAUCUGGAGAUAGCCUGAAGAAUGUAUACAAGUCAUUCGUGAGUGAGUACCCCAUUGUGUCGAUUGAGGACCCAUUUGACCAGGAUGACUGGGUGCACUAUGCUAAGAUGACUGAGGAAUGUGGAGUGGAAGUUCAGAUUGUUGGUGAUGACCUUCUAGUCACCAACCCAACCGUGAGUUAUUUGUUUUCUGUUGUGUAGGUGGGCAUUUUCAUUCUGUUGGAUCACUGUAAUUAAUUUGCUGUAUCACUAUGUUGUGCAGAGAGUUGCUAAGGCAAUCAAGGAGAAGUCAUGCAAUGCUCUUCUGCUGAAGGUAUUAUUCUGUUCAAACAUAAGCUGUUAUUGAUUCUUAUCCUUUGGUCGUCAUAGUACAAGUACUCCUUCCGUCCAUAAUAAGUACCUGAUCGGAUGGAGUAUGUAUUACAUAUUCUGAUUGUUUCAUCCUUUUCAUGUGUAGGUUAACCAAAUUGGAUCCGUCACUGAGAGUAUUGAGGCCGUGAAGAUGUCAAAACAUGCUGGUUGGGGUGUGAUGACCAGUCACAGGAGGUACAUACUAGAUACUGCCUUAUUACCCAUCCGUUUUCCCCCUUGUUUCUAUUGUUAUUACCAUUUGUAUGCUUAUGUACAUUCACUGUGUGCAGUGGUGAGACUGAGGACACAUUCAUUGCUGAUUUGGCUGUCGGUUUGUCCACGGUAUAAUUUUAUAAUCUUCAUUUUAUUGUUUGUCUGAAUAAUUUUAAUGAGACUACUGUUUCUUCUCCUCUGGAUCGAUUAGGAGUAUCUGAACAAUGUUUCUUCAUGUGCAACAGGGCCAGAUCAAGACUGGGGCUCCCUGCCGCUCAGAGCGGCUUGCCAAGUACAACCAGGCAAGUGGCUUUCCUGUAAUUCUUGUACUGCUGAAGCAUUCUCCUGAUAUUCUGUUGACCAACAUGACCUCUCGCAAUAACAAAAACCAAAUUAUUCUUCCUCUUUAAUCUUCUGUUCGAUGCAUUGUGCUCAUUUAAGAAUGAUUUCUUGUCUUUUGUUUGGUGUUAAGACUGAUCUUACAUGUUUGGUUUCUGAUAUUCUUUUGUUCAGUGUAAUGUGUUUAUUUGAGCAGUCAUGUCUUGUUUUUUUCUUGAUCUGUUUCCCAAAUUUAUACUAAGGUGUUAUUUCUUUUCCAAUUGGAACAGCUUCUGAGGAUCGAGGAGGAGCUGGGCGCUGCCGCUGUGUAUGCCGGCCUCAAGUUCCGUGCACCGGUGGAGCCAUACUAGAUGGGAUCUGCAUCCGAGACAUGAUCACCACUCUGCACUUGUUUUUGUGAAAGUGGGCGUGUGUUAACUUGUGGAAUGAACUAUGGUUGAAGCUCUUAGGACUUGUCGAGCAAUAAUGUACCGCAUGUUGCUGUGAACGGGACGGAUAUGUACCUACGUACUCCAAACUUGCUCCAAUUUUGGUCUUUGUGGUGAGCGAGCAAGUACGCCUGAUUACCUUUUGGAUCUGUAGUAAACUGUUUGGCUGUUGGCAUCAUCAUAUUUGGCGUCAGUUUAAUCUUGCAGAAAGCAUGCUUUUCGUUCGCCAUUCCUAAUUUACCACUGUUUUCGGUCUCUCUGUUUUUCUUAUUAUUAUAACUAGCACAAAUGCCCGUGCGUUGCAACGGGUUAAGUAGUUUAUAUUC
RNAcentral lists this long non-coding RNA (327757 nucleotides) under Triticum aestivum (bread wheat). RNAcentral describes it as "long non-coding RNA (TAES_LNC008307)". The stretch from base 161744 to 161878 matches the Rfam family "MIR1120/MIR1122 microRNA precursor family". Lineage: Eukaryota; Viridiplantae; Streptophyta; Magnoliopsida; Poales; Poaceae. The record is from RNAcentral.